AGAUUCAAAUGUUGAGAUAUCUAAUAUUAUUGAAAACUUAAUACAGUAACACUGGCCAAGUUUGAAUAUUCAUCACACUCAAGUAACAGACAAAUUGAAUACAUACCUCAAGAAGAUCCAACAAUAAUACAUGUCAUGCUCUUAUUUUAUCAUAAGUGGCUAGUAUAAUUAAUGAAAGUAGCAGUGUACCAUACUUUCUGAUUUCUCAAUCUUGAUUCUUCUUCCAUACAGCCGGCUUGUCAGAAGGAUAAGGGAAAUUUUUCAGAUUGAAGCAACGACUAACCUCUGCAUAACGUAGUAUAGGCAUAUCCUUCAGCAAAACAUUCCAAUCAAGAAUUAAGUUUGGCAUGAACUUUAAACAUAGACCCUCAAGGACCCAUGUGGUGCCAUUGCUAUCCUGAUCAGAUUCAGAACUGAUUUCGAAGUUGCUGAUGUCUCCAUCCUCAAGACAGAGAUAUUGCAGGCUUGAGAGGUGCUUAAGAUUAAUCCAUUUUGGCAGAAUUUCGUGGCGGUAUCGCCUGAGGUAAAGCUCCUGAAGGCUCGGAGGAGGCAAAAGCCUAUCCAACAUCUGUGAUACAUGUUUUUCUUUACAAUCCUCUGCAUCAAUAGCUAAAAUUUUGAGUUUCUUGAGCUGUGAUAAGACAUUCCAUUCAUCUUCCGAGAUUUCACUCUCAUUAUUUAUGGACAUUCGUAGAACUCUUAGCUGCUUGAGUCCCAGCAGGGCGUUAAGUCGACAGCCUUGUGUGUUAGACUGACUCGCCACCCGAAAUCCAGACAGCUCCUGGAGAUAAAUUAGCUUCUCGAGUCCAUGAGGUAGAUACUGGAGAGGACAAGAUCCAAGGUCCAAGAUGAUCAACUUCUUCAAACUAGUAAUUGAUGGAUGUAGUUUGGUGCACCUCCUCAGAACAAGUAUUUGGAGAUUACGAAGCUUUUGAAUUGAAGAUGGCAGCUCAAUAUUGCCUGCAACUCCGCUUAAGUUGAGACAUGCAAGGCGUUUAAGUGAAGAGAUCUUAUCCAAUAGAUCCUCAACAUUAAUUCGAUCAAGCUUACAGUAUGAGAAAUCCAGCACCCUCAGUCACAUGAGCGAUUUCACAUUCCAAAGGGAAACUGGAGUGCUUGAUUGCAGUAUCAAUGCCCUGAGCCUUGAACUUUUUUUCAGGGAUUUUGGAUCCAUGUCACUGGUGAAACCGAACCAUCGCGAGUCUUGUGUCAAUUUCUGCCUGCCUUGUUCAUCAAAGCUGCAAAAAGCCUCAUCUUUUGCAAUCUGAAUGGUCAUAUCCCUGACCAGAUCGUGCAUCUUGCAACUAUAGACCCUGCCAUCAUAGCCUCUUCGAUGGACAACUUCAACCAAGCAUCUGCUUACCAGCUCUGAAAGAUAAUCAAAGCCUAAUUCCGUAGCAGUCCAAUUGUCCCUGCCCCGGAUGAGUCCUUCUCCCACCCACCAAUGUACCAUCUGUUCACCACUUAUCUCAAAGUCGUCGGGAUAAACAGAGAAACACAAGAGGCACUGCUUUAGAUGUGUGGGGAGUUCAUCAUAGCUCAGUCGUAGAGAAGCCACCACCGAAUUGUUCUCUCUUUCGGUUGUCAAAUAUACAUGAAAAUCAUCAUUGAUUUUAUUCCACUCACUAAGGGAAUGGACUUUUGGAGCAAGCAAGCCUCCUAUUGUCUUGAUUGCCAGCGGUAGUCCCCCGCAUUUCUUCAAGAUCUCUCUGCCUUUUUUUUCAAACUCCUUAUUGGGGCAUUUUCCUUUGCUCGUUAAAAAUGCAUGCUUGCAGAGUAAUGACCAACUCUCCUCUUCAUUUAAAAUUUUUGGGCGAUGAAUUCUUGACUCAUCAACUCCCAUACUGUUGACAACGGUUUCAUUUCUGGAUGUGAUGAUAACGAAGCAUCUUUUUUCAGUCGGAUAUAAAUUCUUCCACCAAUCUAGAUUCAUUCUCCACACAUCAUCCAUUACAAUGAGACAGGUCUUGUCACUGAGCCUCUGUUGAAUUUUGUGCAGCAAAUGACUUUCUUCAAUUCCCGAUUCAUCCUCUCCCAGCUGUUUCAACAUGGCCCUCAUGACUCGUUCCUCACUGAAAUUCUGAGAAACUGGCACCCAUAUCCUCUUCUCAAAGUAUGCAACCAUCUCUCUAUCAUUGAAUAUCUUUUGGGCAAUGGUGGUUUUGCCUAAACCACCCAUACCCACAAUACUGAUUUGCUGAAGCUUCUCAUUACUGCUAAGGAUCCACCCUUUAAUCUUUUCCAAGUCCUUCUCCAAACCGAUUAUUUCAGAUGGUUCGUGGUCCUCUGGGGAAUAUUUAAAUAUUUGGUAUGAUGAAUUAUUAGGCCCCUGCUGGAUGAUUGGCUGUUCUGCUCUUCCAUACACCCCCAAGCUAGACUCCAUUUUCUCAAUCCGUGAAUUGAUAUGCUUCAAAUCCUUGCCUGUUUGGUAUAUGAAAAAAAAGUCACGAAGUGAGAACCUGUGGCAAAACCCAUCUUUCCGAUAUUCAUCUCUAAUUUGGCAAUCCGUCAUUAUGUCAUCAGCUUCAUAAAUUAUUUUUCUCAGGUUAGGCAAGAUCUUCUGCAUGAACUCCCCCCGAGUUUUCUGCUUAUCAGUGCAGGAGAUGAAGGCAGUCAUUAGCUCAAGCUUUGUCUUCAUUGCCUCAAGCUGAUCUUUAAAAUCAAGUGCGUACUGAGCUUGAGUCAGCAAAGCAGAAAACACUUUCUCUAUCAAUGUCCCAAUCAUCGCCUCUGUCGCUUUCGACGCCGCCAUAUCCUUGGGAAAAUGUUACCGGUUAAUUUCAUGUUCAUUAUCACGUCAGUAAAAUAUACAUCUUAUGAGCUCGUAUGGGCUUCUGCUACAACCAUACAAUCAUGACACACAUAAAGUACUAGGAGGGACAAGACAAAAUAUAUAAUGGAUUCAUCUCAUUGCCAUGGGACUCGACAGAACAUCUAUCAGAAUAGUAUCGAACAAAAAACUGAUUAUUGAAGCCAAGGUCUAGCUCACUUUCUUAGGACUCAGGUCUUAGGUUCGGGCUUCAAUAGAACAAGUUACGAAUAAAUUCUCUUGGUAACCAGGGAUCAAAUACAAUAAUUAAUUGCUAAGGUCGCUCCAGUAGUAAAAGCGACUUUCCUAAGACUUAGGUCUUAGCUUCGAGCUUCAAUAGAACAAGUUACGAAUUGGUUCUCUGCGUAACCAAGGAUCCAAUACAAUAAUUUAUUGAAAAUAUAUUUAUCAUAACUUUAAAAUUAAGUGAUACGACGGAAAAUAUUAACUUGAUAAAAGAUCAUCAUCAACCAUCAAAUUCUAUAAACAAGUUUUAGAAAUUUUCAUGUUUAAAUUCACAUCAAUCAGAGAUUUAGCAAUGGCAUGGGUGAAUCAUAAAAGGGUUUUAAGCAGAGGCACUUACUGGAAUCCUGAAAGUGUGUGUAUGUAUAUAGCUUGACUGGGCUGAACAGAGAGUAUGCUAGAACCUGAAACCCAAAAAACAAAUUGAGUUUUAACAGUCAGAGUAGAUUGUUCAGCUGAAUAUAACAGAGUACCAUGUAAUCAAAUUAUUUUUUAUUUCUACUUUUAAUUCCUUGCUGGCUGUUCAACGUUUCAGUUCGCUUACUCACUCACUAGCUCCCCUCUGGCUCUGCUAAUUUGAUUUAUGUUGCCGACAUUUAUUAUACAGGAGAAGAGAUGCCAGAAUUGAUCAAAUAACAAGCUACCUGCGCUUUGUAUUUUCAGUUUACAAGAAGACUAGGUGAAAAAUAUUUGACUGAUUAAUUAAAGUUGCAUUGAUUAAAGUUGAAAGCUAUUGGAAUUUGGAGAUAAGAGGCACUUUUAUCUUCUUCUUUUCACAACAAUCAAAUUUUAUUUAAUAAAAUAUCAUAAAAAUUGUAUUUUUAAUUUUGAUAAAUUAUAAAUUUAUAAUUUGAAUGAGAUUGCAUAGUUGCAUAAAAAAUUUAAGAAAAAAAUAUUAUCUUAUUAGUUUAUGAAAAUUAUUAAUUUAGACCUUUAGCCCAAGUUAGGAUUAUGUAAAAUUAUUAUAUAAUAGAGUUUAUUAAUUUAUCUGAGUAUUUAAUUAUAGUGGAUUUACUAUAUUAACCUAAGUGUUGAUCUUAUUUGUAGUAUUAGAGAAGUAUUGACGGUAUAGUUAAUAGGAAGAAGAAGAAUUGCGGUAAAAAGAGUGCGUGAAGAAAAAAAUAAAUCAAAAUAAUAAUGAUAUUAAAUUUUCUAUUUUAUUUCUUGCCUAAUUAAGGAUAAUUUUGAGUUCAUGUAAAAUAUGUAGGGAUAUAUAUGAAAUUAUAUUGAAUAUGAAAUUAUUCUCAAAAUUAAGUUUUGAAAAGUUAAUAUCUCCAUUCUUUUCAAAAUUAACUGUAAAAUAGUAUAUAUUUAUUUUGUCUAAAGUGAUUUUUUAAAAAAAUUUACCAAACAAUAAAGUUAACUUUUAGUUUUAAAAAGUAUUUUUAAGCCUUCUAAUAAAAAUUCCAAACAAAUCCCAAAUUUUUCUAAAUAACUAAGUAUUGCAUUACUUAUAAAUAAAUUGAAGUGGUAGGUUAUUCUGUCCCAACAGUCAUUUCAAGCACGGGAGAAUCCAAAAUUUUAAAGUGCUCGGCCUAAAAGUUUAUACAAAAUAAUUAUAUAAAAAUAAAAAAAAUGUAAUUCAAAACAAAGUAUAAUUAAAGUUGUACAUUUUGCGGAUUUAAACAACAAAAUUUAUCAAUUAUGAAUUCUGAAUGAAUAGUAUCUGCAAUUUUUCUUUCAACAUAAACAACCAUACAAUUUGAAAGAAACUUAUGUUCCAUCUUAUCGCGAAGUGAUGUCUUGAUAAAGCUCACAUAAAAAUUAAUAAAUUAAUUAAUAAUUACAAGCUUAAUUAGCAUGCUUAAAUAAAUUAAACAAUUCAAUUUUAUUCAUCCUUUUCAUUUUAAAAAACUAUUAGUGAAAAAAUAACAAUAAUAAAUCAACUCAAACUAAUAAAUCACAAAACUAAUUACCAAAAAAAAAGCCAAUCAAACAUUCAAAAUAAUAAAUUAAAAUAAGAUGUAAAAUAAAUCAAUAAAAUCUAUCUAAAAAAAUAAAUAAUUUAUGCAAAUUCUAAAAGUAUAGUAAUAUACCAAUAGAAAAAUGUACAGAUUGCAAAGAAAUUGGAAGAUAUGAAUGGAUGAUGAAUUGUGAGUUGUGAAGCAGUGAAGGUGAAUUGAUGAAGAAUGAAGAAUCGUGAAGGGUUUGGAAUUUUUUUUUGUUUUUUCUAACGGUGUCGGUGGAAGUAAAGGAAGAGUAAUAAUGAUGGAUGGUAUUUUGUAAUUAACAGUUGAUGGUAUUUUCGUAAUUAACAAUUAAUGGCAUACAAACAAAAGGUGCUGUAUCGAUUCCUCUCACUCGUUUGAAUGCUCGCCAUCAAUAAUUAGUUUGCUUAUCAAGAAAAGAAGAACUUUUUCAAAAAGCAAAAGAAAAAAAAGAAGACUGAUAAAAUCACGAGAAUAUAUACUUUUGCUUUGCAUGUGAAUUCGCACUCAAAGGCCCGAUAAAACCUGAAAAUAUUGCCACUUGGGCUUGUAGCCCAAACCAUUGCCCUCAAAGUUAAGUAUGACUAUGAGGGUAAUGGUUCGAGUCCCCAUGGACUCAAUCUCCCUCAAUUAAAUAUAAUUGUGUGGAGACUUCUUACAACGUUUUUCUCUCUUGCGAAAUACGAGUGGAGUAGAGACAUCCCUCCUCUGUGAGGGGUAUUUCGAUGGGCAUGUACUUCAUAGAAUAAAAAUGUAAUAAUAUAAGUCCCAUGUAUAUAUCUAAUUGUAAAUAUCAGUGUAAUGACCUGCUGUCAUAGCAGUUGUAUAUAUCUCUGUGUAAUACAGUAACCAACUGAUGCUUAAUCAGUUUAAAAAAAAAAAAAACAACCUGAAAAUAUUAAUUUAUACUAUUCUUGUUUAAUUUUUAACAGGCAUGAAGGACAAUUAUAGGCUGGCAUUAUUGAUGUGGCCCAAAAUGAAGAUAAUCAAAAUAAAAGAAGAAAGGGGAAACUGCUUUAUUAACAAUAGGAUAAUGAAAGCAAAUUUUAGGAAGGUUAUUGCAUUCUUGAAUGUUUUCAUUGAUGGUUUAUCUAAAUGUAAUCUAGGUGGCUCAAUUUGUGGUGGUAUUUUUUGAGAUUACAAAGGAUAUUUUUUAGGUGCUUUUGGUCUUUCUUUAGGCACUAACACUGCCUACUUUGCUGAAAUAGGCAGCUACGUUGGCUGCUGAAUUUGCUCAUGACAAGGGUUGGUAUCGUCUUUGGCUAGAAAGCGACUCUAUUUCCAAUCCUUCGCUCGAUCCUCCAUGGGGUAUUCAUAACAGAUGAUUGAAUUGUUGUAAUCUCCUCAACUCUAUGGCGUUUAGAUUCUCUCAUAUCUUCUGAGAAACUAAUUAUGUGGCGGAUCAUUUAGCUAACUUAAGUCUUAUUUGUGAUUCUCUCACAUGGUGGCAGACUCCGCCUUCAGAUAUUUUGGAGUUAGUUUCUCAUGAUGCCAAUGGGUUUCUAAAAUAUCAUUUUAUUUAGUUUCUCUUGAGAGGUUUUGUUUUAUGUCUCCCUCCUUAUAUUCAAUUAUUGAUUUAUUUAUAGAUAGGGAUCUGGCUUAACCCCACCACCUUGGUGGAUUUUUAAUUAAAAAAAAAAAUAAACGUGCUUCUUAUCUCCAAUAGCUUUCGACAUUAAUCAAUCACAAAUAUAUUAAACUUUAAUCAUCCCUUUGACAAAUACUUUCUAAUUACCCAAAUAGAUUCGACUUUAAUUAAUCCAUCACAACGUUUUUCACCUUGUUUUCCUUUUUAGCUUUUUCCUUUUCUGAAUUGGAUAAUUACUCUUGUACCCUCAAAAUACAAAGCACAGGUGUGCGUUAUUUAAUCAAGACUGGCAUCUCUUCUCCUAUAUAAAAAUAUCGGCAAUAGAAAUGUUCGAAUUAGCGCAGCCAGACAAGAGCUAGCUAGUGAGUGAGUGAGUGAGCGAGCGAGCUGAAAGUUUAGAACAGCCAGCUAGGAAUUAAAAGUUUUUUAAAAAAAUGGAUGAACGUUCUGCUGGGCAUCGCGUGGUUCUAAUUACUAAGACUGUUUUCUUACUAACUUUGUUUCUUCUUUGUCAACUUGGCUCCGAGUUCAAAUUUCGGAGUGCUGCUGAAACUGAUAUUGAAGUAGGUGAUCUACCUCGUGGUGAAGGUAAUAUAUGCUAAUAAUUAUUUGUAUCUCAUGUAAAUUCCAUAAUUUUAGAGGGUUUUUGGUUCUCUAGAAUGCGGUUUGCAUUAUUAUAUACAUACAAGUACAUAAGAAUUAAGCUAAUUAUUUGAAUCAGAUGUCUGAAUUUUUAAUAUACAUAUAUAGUCGUAUAUAUGCAUGAUGUGUUGUAAUAUAUAUAUAUAUAUAUAUAUACACGUACACACACACUCACAUAUAUAUAUAUGUGUGUAUGUGUGUAGUACAUAAAUUUACAAAUAGAGAAUAUCUUAAAAGAAAAAAAAACUCUAUUACAAUGUAUUUUGUCUGAUAGUAUAUUGAAAAUAUGUGUUUCUUUGUCUUUUAACUUGUCUCUUACAUUAUGAAUUCCCUUAUUUUAAAAUCAAGAAAUGUUCUAAUCCAGGAUCUUAAUUUUUGUUAUAGUCCGUGAAAGCUAUUAAAUUUAAUGUCUGUGAAAAUUAUUAAGGCAUGUGGUUUAAUAGUAAUUUAAUGCCUGUAAAAAUUAUUAAGCCAUGAGGUUUAAUAGUAUAAUUGCAUAACGCUAUUAAACCGCACGACAUAAUAGCUUUUCCGAACUUUAUAUAUAAAUGUGGAUGUCUUCAUUUUUUUCAAUGCAGACUCGGGAUAACACCAUAUAGUAUCAACAUGUUUUUAUCAUUUUUUGCAAUUAACUAUAAUACAAUAUAGUGUUAUAUCCGUGCUAGAUAAUGACUAUAUAUAUAUAUAUAUAUAUAUAUAUGAUCACUACUAAUCAGGUGCGCAUAAAUUCUCUGUUUUGAGAAUUGCUAAAAGUUAAAACAAACGAAAUUAUAAUUGGAUAGCAAAUUCGAUAAUGCAUGCAACUUUUAUAAAUUAAUUAAGAGUUUAACGAAUGUUUUUGUCUUGUAGCUAUAUAGCUGGCAUAGAUCCAUUUGCUCAUGAUCAGUUUAACAACAUCUCUUGUCGGAAAUAUUAUUGGCAGUAGCCGGUCUCACGGACAUGCUGUCCAGUUUGCAGUGGAGGCUACAACUACCUAAAUUGAGUUCAUAUUGCCGUGAGACGCCAGAGCUUAGUCUCAAUAUUAUCAUCACUUGCCCCGUCGAUAAAGGGACCCCGCACAUCUCCAAAAUGUAUAUGUUCCAACUCUAAUCUAAUUACUUGCCUAGACAGUCAUAACAAAAGCAAGGUUAAUAUCCAUUAUUAACUGCAUGUUAAUCAUUUUGUAUACAGAACCAUGGACAGUUUAGCCUUAACUGGAAUAAUCUCAGAACAUGUGGCUGCUCUGACACACCUGCAGAAACUGUAUGUACAAUUAAUUAAUUAAUUCAAUGAUCAAUCAUUUUGCAUAAGCUUUUAUAACUAAAUUUAAUAAAUUAAACAACUAUAUAUAUAUAUAUAUAUCGUCGUAAGCUUGACUCUUGCCUUAAUUAGUACAUGCAUACAUAUUUGAUAUGGUUUGAUGCAUGUCAAAACUCAACAGUGAUCUAUCCGACAACACAAUUCAUGGUUCCAUUCCUGACCAGAUUGGGCAAUUAGAUCAGCUUAUCACUCUGUAAGUCCUCACUUGUCGCAAGUAAUUCAAUUAUAGCUCCUUUUUUCUUUUUCUCUUUCCUUUUCUUCUAAUACACUGGAUUUGUGUGAUGAGUAGAGAUUUAUCAAAAAAUCAAUUAACUGGGACCAUACCAACAAGCUUGGGGAAUUUGAGGAACCUACAAGUACUGUAAGUCUUUUUAUUAGUUACUACGAUCAUUGAGUUAAUGGUGCAUUUACUUGUUAGUAAUUGGAAUGAAUUGGAAUGGGAAUCGGUUGGAAUGUGAAUGAAGAAUGAGAAUAAGAAUAAGUUGUUACUUGAGCUGUAGGAAUUGAAUUCUGAAUGGAUUGAAAUACCAUUAAUGUGUUUAUUUUAUCUUGGAAUUGGAAUUGGAAUCAGAAUAAGCUGAAUUAUUUUAAUUUAUUAAAAUACCCUUUAUUAUUAUUAUUUAUGAUUUUUAUUCUUAUAAAAAUGAUUGUUAAUAAUAAUAAUAAUAGUAAAAAUAAUAUCAUUAAUAAUUUAUUAAAAUAACUUUUGUUAUUUAUUGUCAUUUGAUGAUGAUGAUAAUAAUAAUAAUAAUAAUAAUAAUAAUUAAAAUAAUAAUUAUUAUUAUCAUUAUUAAAAUUGAAUUCCAUAAUAAUAAUAAAUAACAAUUAUUAAAAAAUGGGAGUAGCAAAAUUUUAAAAAAUUAUUGUUAAUACUAAUAAUAAUAAAAAAAAUUUCCUCUUUUAUUUUUUAUAUUAUUUUAUCUCUCUUCUGUUUUUUUCUUUCUCUCUCUUCUGCAAUUUCUUCGUUACUUCUCUCCAUCGUCAAUUUCAUCUUCUUCAUCAACAACAUCAUCAUCACAAUUAUCUUCUUCUUCCUCCUGUCAAUUUUGUCUCUUCUUCUUCAUCAACAUCAAAAUUUAAUUUCAUCUUCUAUCUUAUAUAAUUAUAAAUUUAAUAACAUAAUGGCCAGGUAAUACAAACACCAAACAAUACAAUCACUGUUGUUGAUUUUUUUUUUUUUGGUUUAAAAGCCAAGCACCCCUUUGACUUGGAAUAAAAAAAAUCGAAGUCAAUCCAGGUGCUGUUCUUCAUUUUUUUUGGGUUUUUCAGAACAAAAAAAUAGGGGAAACACACUUGGACCGAUGGAGAGAUUCGGACGUAAGUGACGAACCGAACUGGUUUAAUUUGGCUGUCGGUUACAAGCUGAAGAGAGAGAGGUGGCUAUCGGUGACGAUGCCGUUGACGAGAGAGAGUGCCUAUGAUGCUGAUGAAAUUGAGGGGAGGGAGAAGAUACGGGAGUUUCUGGUGAUGGAGAGAUGAAUCCUCCUUUUCUUUUUUUUAAUUCAUAUUUUUCAUUUGUCAGAGGGGUAUUUUCGAAAAAUAAAGAAAUGAAUGAGGAUAUUUUCGUCAUGGGAGGGAAUGGAGUUAUGAUUCCAACCCUCCUCCACUGGAAUGCCAAUCCGGGUAAUCAAUCCUUAUUUUGAGUGAGACCCACGCGUCUCAUUCCCGUUCCCAUUCCCAAUUUUUUUUUUUCCUUUCCAUUCUUAUUCCCAAUUUUAAUUUAACAAAUAAAUAGAUUUUUGAUUCCGAUUUCACCAUUUCGAUUCCCAUGUCAUAAAUGUAAAUACACCAUAAAAUUAUUCCUUCGUAUUUUGUCUCUAAGUGAAGUGUCAAUUGAGAUUCUCUCCUUGACUCUCCUGAAUUUUUAAAGCUUUAUUAUGCAUGCUUGUUUACAGAGAGAGAGAGAGAGAGAGAGAGGGAGAGAUAUGAAAUCUCAAUAGAUAGAAGAUUUUGUUCAUUAUGCAUGCUUGUUUUUACACACACACACACACACACAGAGAUAUGAAAUUUCAAUAGAUAGAAGAUUUUUGGUUCCCUUCAUUUUCUUACCAUCAUACGUCUAUGAUUUCCUGCCGUAGCAAUCUGGGUCAGAACUUACUCUCGGGGAAGAUACCACCAUCAUUGGGGCGCUUGUCAUCUCUUCAAACACUGUAAGAAUCUUCACAUGCAAUUUAUUUAUUUUAUUUAUUUUUUUAAAGCAAAUCUAAAGGGUACAAGAAAAAUUUUACUACUAAGGGCAAAAAAAAAAAAAAAAAAAAAGAUGACACUUAAAUAAGGGUAGGCAAUGAAUCUUAUCCUUAAAAAAUUAAGAAAACAAAACAUAUGACCAAUAUAAAAAAAGAAGAGCAACAUAAGCAAAAUGCAUGUAACUAUGCACAUACAACCACAAAUGAAAGGCAAAAUAGCAACAGGACAAUCCGGCUACCAAUCUGACUCAGAUUCCACAACUCCCAUAUUAGCCAAUUUAUCUGAAAAUAUGAGUAAAUCGCACUUACAGUUGCUCCACAAAUUAAUUACUCCAAAAAUUAAUUAAUUACUCCAAAAAUUGCAUUUUGCAUUUAUCUUACUAUGUACUUCUGGGCAUUUUAGGGAACUAUGGAGCAACCAGCUAGCUGCUUAAAUCAAUACUUAGCUUAUUUCUUUGAAAAUACAAUACAGUUUUUAAUUUCAUAUAUAUUUUCUAAUAUAUAGAUCUCUGCUGGAGAAUGGACUCAAUGGUACACUCCCACCAGAACUUGGAAAAUUAAGCAAUCUUAAAAAAUUGUAAGUGUGUGUGUUAAGUAUUUAUUUAUAGAAUUUAUAAAAUGGUUAAUUAGGAUGUUGAUGUCGUCGUGUAUAUAUAUGCUUGUGACUAAUUAUGUACUACAUUUCACUUGUACUUAAAAAGUCAUUUAUACAUAGACACGCGUGCGUGUACAUGCACAAACACAUAUUUAGCUGGUAUGCAAUUAUUAUUUGUCAAUCAUUCAUCUACGUUCAUACCAAUACCACAUUAAAAUUUACAACACUUCAAUCUUAAACAUAACCUAAAAGUAACUUUCAUGUGGUUGCAGGCGGUUGCCAUCCAACAAUUUAAGGGGGGAUUUACCAAAAGAUUAUGAGAAUCUAAAGAAUCUGACGAUUUUGUAAGUGUCCUGUUUGUUCGUUUUCUAAUUGUUAUUGUUGUUGUUAUUUUUAAGGAUCGUAAUUGAUUUGGUCUAGAUUUUUCUUGCUUAUUGUUUGAAGUCUGCAAAUAUCAGUAGCGGAAAUUUUAUUUGUCAAUGCAGUGGAAUAGGUGGGAAUUAUUUGUCUGGUCCGAUCCCCACAUUCAUUGCAAAAUGGGUCAACCUCUAUGCUCUGUAAGCCUAUUCAUUUUGUCCUUUUAUGUGACAACUGAAACUUGGGUACUCUCUGUGUAAACAAUCUGCUUUUGUUGGAGUUUAAUUAUUUCUACAUAAAACUGUUAACCAAACUCUGACAUGUACUCCGUGGCAAACCAUGCUAAGUAAAGGUAGGAAUAUGGGCUGGGUAGAAUGGAUAUCCCUCCGUAAUUAAAGGUAGAAAUGUAGGUUGUCGCAGUAUAUAAAUUUCUUAUUGCAAUAUAUAUAUCGCAUCAUAUAAAAGUAAACCAAUUUGCAUGAUGCUCGAAAACAUACAAAAACAAUGAAUUCUCCCACACGCGCGAGCUAAUUAUCAAUAAUAUUACUUUUCUUUGCUUGAAUCUCACAGAAAUCUGAUGGGAAAUAACUUCGAAGGGGAGCUGCCACCAGAAAUUUUUAAUAUGUCAAGCCUUCAAUUUUUGUAAGAACAAUUAAUAAUAAUCCAAACUCUGCUCUAUAUAUGUAUGUAUGUGUAUUUGUAUAUAUAAUCAUUUUCUAGUGCGGGCGCCCUCAUUUGUUUUUUAUUGUGAACACGAUUUUAAGCAGUACAAUUUAACCGAAUUAGUUUUUAGUGUUAUUAAACCGCACGGCUUAAAAGUGUGUCCGUAAUAAAAAUAUAACAAAAUGAGAGCGCCCGCACACACUCACACACAAAGAAAAAUUUCAGACACACACACAUAUAUAGAAAAUUUUCAAUGACAUUAUACUAUAUGGUGUAAUAUAGACUAUUAACAUUCCCGUACUUUAAUAAAGUACAAUAUUAAAAACUAUCUUUUUCAUGGUUUACAAUGUUUUGUCAUCGACAUUGUAAAGUCCAUGACUCCCGGAUGGGAAAUUUUCUUUUUUAAUUUCGCAAUUAACUUAAUUUCUAACUUGGCUUCGUUGUUUAUCCCAGGUUUAUCUCUGACCUACAAACGAUGGGCUUUUCUUUCCCGAAGUCAGCUAAUUUGAGUAGUAUAUCAAGCCUGUAAGCGGUGUAUUCCAAUUCCAUGCACGUAUAAUUAUUUUAUGCGUUAAUUAUAUAUUUAUCUGUUUUUGUUAAUUAAUUAAUACCUGAUCUGCAUUUUAAAUUUAUUAAUUGUUUACUAUUCCUUAUAAUUAAUUAAUUAAUUAAUUAAUUAUUUUUUAGAAAUUAAAUUAAUCAUAAUAAUUCUGCAGGAUAUUGAGAAAUUGCAGCAUUACUGGUUCAAUCCCACCAUACAUUGGCAAUUGGAAUCAGUUAAGCGGUGAAUUCCAAUUCCAGAUAACAAAAACGAUUGUCUUCAAUAAUAUUGUCUUCUUUUUUUUUUUUUCUCUAAAUAUUGUCUAAAAUUUUCUUCAAUCGGCGACCUUCCCUAUGUUCAUGCGGUUGGGAAGAGUUGUUAAUCCACAUGUGAUCGUUUCAUCACAUUUUUUUUUCUCUAAAUAUUGCUUUUUUUUUCAUCACAUGUGAGCUAGACCUUAAUCGCCGACUUUUUUUUUUUUUUUUCUCUAAAUAUUGCUUAUCAAUCCCGGAAACAAGGAAUUAUCAUUUUUUUUGUUAAUCUUUCAUCGAAUAAUUUCCAUUUUUUUUACUGAAUUUUUUUUUAUUUUUUGAAAGUUUUAUUUAUAAGUACUAUGAUUAUGCAUUCAAUUCUAGUCCAUGUCCAUGAUAUAAGUCUUUUUUAAAGAAUUAAUUGUCAGUAUUUCUUCUUUGCUCAAGUUUAUACCAAAGUUUAAAGUUUCUGAUAAAAAAAACUACAGAAAGAAGGAGCAGUUUGGUUAAAAACCGGCACGGCUUGUUAGCGCCCGUUAAGAAACAAUGUGUCUUGAUAUUUAAUAAGAAAAAUUUUAAAUAAAAUAAAACCUAGUCUUAGAAAGGUUUAAUUGAAAUAUGUCAUAAUCUUAUAGUAAACUUAAGAAAUAUUAGAUAAGGAGAGGAUCCAAAUCCUUACUGUAAAUGAUCAUUUUUAUUUUAUUUUUCUCUAAUCAUUGAUUAUUAAUUUGUACUGCAGUGACCUGAGCUUCAACGACUUAACUGGUGGAAUUCCAAAUACAUUCAAGAAACUGUUUUUAUAUGAGCUGUAGGUGAUAACUUUCUUGAAUCCCAUUAAUUUUACCUUUUCUUAAUAUAAAAGGGAGAAUAACAUUUAGACUCCUAAUAUUUCUCCCCAAUUUUACCAAUUCGAUCCAUGAUUUUUUUAUAUCACACAAUUACGUCCCUAACUCUAAUUAUUCAAACUUUUAUUGGUAAAGGGUAAAUGAGAUUUUUUUACCGUACAAAUCAUAUGUUCCUUUUGACAUAUAUAUCUUAUCUGAAUUUUGUCUUCUCACUUUUUCCCUUUUGACUGACAGUAAUAGUGUAAUAAAAAAGAAUCCAAAUAAUUUAUUUUUUCUGUUACUAUUUUUACUUUCCAGGUAUCUUACAGGAAAUAUGCUCAAUGGAACAUUGCCAGACUGGAUUUACAGCAAUGUUAGAGAUAAGGGGUAUGCUUUCUAACUAUACAUAAAUGUGAUAAAAUGUUUUCAAACUUGUUCUAGUGUAAACAUGAUUUAUGUAAAAAAUAAAUCCAAAAUUAUUUCAAAGACGCGGGUUAGGCAAAUGAAAAUUUAUGUAAAAAAUUUCAAUUUAGAAUAGUGUAAUGUGUAAAUGUUUUGAAGCUUCACAUUCAAAUGCUAGCUGCAUGUGUUUAAUUAAAUAUAUGAUCGUCCCAAGUCAUGAACAAACUAUAGCCUGCCAGCAUUUUGCAUGCAUCUAGUUAAAUAUGCAAAUACAAAUUAAUAAUUAACGCCAACACUACUUGUCUGAAUUUUCAUCUUGCAGGGAUCUUGCGUACAAUGAAUUUAUAUUUCCAGAACCAGAGACACACAAGUAAGAAAAUAGCGUUAAUUAAUUAAUUUGUUUCUUUGCAGUUGCAUGCAUGCUUUUCCACAUGCAUAGUUGUAUAUAUAUAAAUGAAUUUCAUAAUAAUUUUAAAUUUUUAUCUUGUAGGAAUCUUCCCAACAACAAUUCUCGGAUAAAUCUGUAAGAAAAUUAUACUACACCGUAUUAUAUAAUAUCCUCCUACGUUUUUACUCUUUUUCGUGCUUCAAAUUUCAAUUCCAACAGUUUCCUGUCUAUCUCGUUUUCUGAUUUUGAUUUUAACUUUCAAUGGACAUGUGAUAUCUGCACGCAUACUAUUAACAAUAAUGCUGCUGUAAACAGUGAACCUAAGAAUCGGUAUGUUCAUAUUCAUUUAUCUAAUAAUUAUAUUAUAGGUGAUUUAUCGAUCGAUCAGCAAGCAUUUAUUACGUGAAUUAAUGCCCUUACAAAAUUAAUUGAUCUUAUUAUUGUAAUUAUUUAUAUAGGACAUUUCCGGAAGAGAUUAUGAGGGAGUAUUGCCCCGCUGGCCAGAAGAAAUCUCAGUGUAUGUAUACAUAUCCAUCUGUACAGAAAUGUUCCUAUUAAGGAUUUGUUAAGUUCCGGAAAAACUGUUGUAUAAAUUAUAUAUAUUUAUAUAUAUAUAUAUAUAUUUUAUUAUUAACUCAUGCAUACACUGAAACUUGAACUCAAGACUUGAGCUCCAGGAAGGCUGUCCUUUGCCACCGGAGCUAGACCUUGGUUUCAUAUACAUUUUAAAAUUAAUCUACCGGAGCUACAUCUUGGUUUCACAUACAUGUUUAAAUUAAUCAAUAUGUAUAUAUGUUGCAGACAAUUAUAAUUUGCAUAUAAAUACUGGUGGCGAGGAACAUAACAUUGAAGGAAUUCGGUAUGAGGCAGAUAACUCGACAUCAAAUUUUUAUGUUAACAAACCGGCGUACAACUGGGCAUAUAGCUGUAACGGAUAUUUCUUGGCGGAUUCAACGGCUGAUUCACGUGCAUUUAUACAGAAAGUAACAUGUGGAGCUGCAGUGACUGAUGCACCUUUAUAUGACGAAGCUCGCCUUUGCCCCAAUUCUCUCAAAUACUAUGGUUUUUGCUUGCGAAACGGCAAUUACACUGUCAGUCUUUACUUCUCUGAGAUUGUUUUUGAAAGAAACGAUGAUUACAGCAGUUCAGGAAAACGUGUAUUUGAUAUAUAUAUACAGGUAUGUACGCUAUCCACAAAACUUUUUUUAAUAAUUUUAAUUAGCAAUUUAUCCCUCCCUAGCCUCCUUUAAUUAAUUUUAAUUUCCAUACAUGCAGAGCGAGCUAAUGCGAAAGGAUUUCAACAUAAAAGAAGUGGCCAGGCAUUCAAAUAAUGUAACGAUUCAAAAUUUCACGGCUUCUGUACACGACCAUCUACUGGAAAUCGAGUUAUUCUGGGCUGGCAAAGGAUCUAUAUUAAACCCACCUUAUUUUCAUGGACCUCUCAUAUCAGCUAUUUCUUUAACUCCAAGUACGGUUCAAAGUUGCAAUCAUUGCUCUGAUGUUCAAUUUUGUUAAUUAUCAUCUCCCAAUAUGCCUUUUGUUGCAUGCUAUGAAUCGCUGUUUAAUUUUCAGAUUUCGAAGUCAACCGACCAGGACCAGGAGGACUAUAAAAAAAAGUGAUAGUAGGAAUUGUACUUGGGGCUGUGCUAGCUUUGAUUCUUUUCAUGGCUCUCAUGUGGAGAUUAGGAUGGAUAGGAGACAGAGAAUUGCGUGGUACGUACGGGAGAUUAUUUAUAUAUAUUGGAAAAAAUUUCAAUUCGAAGUUAAAUCCCAGGAUGGAUUUAUGAUUUCGUAAAUCGAUUUUUACAAUGUUCUAAACUGAUUUACAAUAUAAUAAAUCUAUCUCGAACUUUAAUACUACAUUUUAAGCCUGGGUAUCAUAAGCACUAUAUAUAUAUAUGUGCCAUAUAGAAAUUAUCAGGUGAGGGAUUUGGUACUGUAAUAAAUGCGAGAUGAAUUUUUACAAUAUUGUAAGUUUAGUAGAGUGCAGGACGGAUUUUUGAAGUCUGUUUGCAACGUUUUGAAAAUUUAUCUCGUAUUUUAAUUGAGUGCAUAAUCCCACAUUAGAAGCCCACUUUAUGCUAUCUAUGCUAUAGUACUUUAUGCUAUAUUGCUAUAGUAUAAGGCUUACAAAAGAUAUCAAGAAAAAAUAUAUGUAUAAUUGAUCUGUUUCUUUUAUCAUUUCUUUAUGAAAUACACAGUGACAACGGUCAACCUACGAGGGAAGUCUUACACCCUUAAACAAGUGAAAGUCGCUACUCGAAAUUUCAGCCCCAGGAAUGUAAUUGGCACGGGGCGUUUUGGGACAGUAUACAAGGUUAAACAUUAAUUGCCGUAUCUCUCUUUAUGUGCAUGUGUACGUGUGUGUGUGUGUUUUGUGUGUCCGUGUGUGUGCGUGCGUGCGCAUCCUUAUGAAAGAUUUUUUAAUCUGGGAUUAAAAUUCAGGAUAAGUUAACAAUGGUGUGAACAUGUUUUUACAACAUUAUAAAUAUAUGUUCACAAUAUUGUCAAUUUGUCUCAAACUUUAAGAAAGUUUGAGAUCCUAAACUAGAUUGCUACUUAUAUAUAAUAAGGGAUCCUUAGCUUUUUAAAACAAGAGAUCAUCUAAAAGGUCUUGUAAUUUAUCCAUUACUUUAACAAAGUAAGGGAUUCCUUAUUUGAAAUUUUUUUUUUCUCUCUCUCUAUAUACAUAUAUAUACUCACUAAGAUCCUAUUUUUAUUGGAGUCCAGUAAAGCUAUUAGAAUAUAUGGUUUAAUAGUAUAAUGUCACUAUUAAAUCAUAUCGCAUAAUAGUUUUCUCAAACUUCAGCAAAUUCAAUAUCAUUGAUUGGAACAUAAUACUAUGAAAUUGGCUUAAUGGCUUUUUCAGGCUUUAACAAAGUUGAGGAUCCUGAAUUAGAUUAAUACUCUAUAUGUAUGUAUGCAUUUAUGUAUAUGAAUUGAUUUUCCUUGUUAGAAAUAUGGUAUAUUAAUCUGCUUGCAUUGUGCAAACAUGCAUUACAGGCUGAAUUGCCAGAUCAGACUGUAGCUGUGAAGAUGCUUUCUUCUCAAUCAAAGCACGUGAUUGAUCAAAUAGGAACUGAAGUUUAUGCCCUUACAACACUGAAACAUGAAAAUAUUGUCGAAUUUUUGGAUGGCUACUCUAAAAAAGACCUCAACUUACUCAUCUACGAAUACAUGGAAAAAGGAUCGCUUGAACGAGCCUUGUUUGGUAAACCAAUUUAUGUAUAUUUUCAUCAUCAUUUUAUUUCUAUCAAUUUUUCAGCUUAGUGCCAUCUUCUAAUCGGGGAAUCCUGAACUUUAUUAAAGUUGGGGAUGAAUUUACAUUUUUGUAAGCUAACUUUUUCACAAUUUUUUUUAAAAAUUGUUUUCACUCAAUUCCCGAUUGGAAAAUUAAGUAUUAGCUUCUGUAACAGGUUAAAAUUACUUUUUUUUUUUUUUAAAAAAAAUAAUUAUUAGUUAAAUAUUUGUAGAUGCCAAUUCUUCCACGCGACUUGAUUGGCCAACCAGAGUCCGUAUCUGCCAUGGAAUAGCAAAGGGUCUAAAGUAUCUACACGAAGAUAAUCCGAGUCGUAAAAUCGUUCACAGAAAUAUUAAACCUAGCAAUAUUCUGCUUGAUGGGAAUCUGAACGCUAAGGUGUCUGACUUGGGAUUGGCAAAGCUUUAUGACGAAGAAAAUCCAUACAAGUUUAUCCAAGAAAAAGGGACAGUGUAAGUAGCAAAUUAAAUUGAGCAAGCACAAAAUGUAUGCCAUCUUGCACAAGCAAUAGCAUUAAUUAAUUAAUUAUGGUUGCUUGCAGAGUUUACAUGGCACCAGAGUAUGCAAUGCGGAAAGCAAUAACAGAAAAAGUUGAUGUUUUCAGUUUUGGAAUUGUUCUGCUUGAAAUAAUUAGUGGGCAGACAAAUGCCAAGUAUGAAGCAAACCAGGAGACUGAAUUUCUUUUGGAUACGGUAAGAAGACAACAACUAGAGUCAGCUUUCAGUUCGGGAAUCUCAAAUUUUAUAAAGCUCUACACAAUACCCUUUUCAUGGUUUACAACACUGUAAACAGAAUCCUUCACUUCAAAAAUUCCAGGAUUCCCAGAUUGAAAAUAUCUCCUCCAUAUGCAUAAAAUAAGGUCUUAAUUUAAUUUGCAAACGAUGUCGCAUGGCAUGGGAUAUAUGGAUUAAUUAAUAAAUAAAUAAUGUACACUGUGCAGGCCAUUGGAAUGUCUUGGUGAAGGUUAAGCCUAUAUACUACGAUUAUGCAUAUGUAUGUACACCGGGCAUUAUCUUAUGUUGACGGUGCACUACUGCUUUCAAAUAUAUAUGGGUCGCUAUAAUGCUGUAAACGUUUAACAGCAUUAACAAUGUAAUAAAUGUAUACCAUUAGAUUUAAUUACUCUAAUGCAAUAUUUGUGUUAAAGUAAAAGAUAGUUUAAUUAAUAAUUAUUAUAACUACCCUUAUAGUUUGAAACAAUUGUACUUGAAUAAUACUUUUAUUUAAAUAAACCUUUAAAUCAAUGGUGUAACUCUAAUAAACAACACAACUAAAUAUGUACAUUUAAAUGAAUAUCAUAAAUUGUAUAAAUAAAUCUUUAAGUGAGAUUUUUUGUAUUUUAUAUAUAUUAGGACCUUUGUAUAACUUUUGAAACCCAUUUCUCAUAUAUGCCAAGAUCAACCUAGGACACGUAGGCUCGGCUUGGGUUGGGUUUUCCUACUAUCCCUAUUGCCAAGUGAUGGACCAUAUGGAAAAUCCACACAUGAAAUGCUUUUUGAUGUACCACCAAAACUAUCUUGCUUAAGAGUUUUUGGUUGCUUGUGUCUCGAUAAGAAUUUUUAGAUUAAAAAUAAAUUUGACCAACAUGUAUGAUAUCCCUUACAACCCAUGUAUUAUAUGCAAAUUCUAUUCAAUUCUAAGUACGAAUUUGAUUUUAUUUUAUUUUACUUUAAUGAAUAUAAAUUAGGAUUGGGCUAUUUAAACCCACCAUAGUACUUUAUACACCCACUUUUUCAUAAAAAAAUUAAUAACUAAAUGUCCAUGAGUUAAAUUACUAUUAUAUCUAAAUGAAAUUAGCCUAUCCUCUCCACCAUCUAUGAAUCCAAUUAACUUAAUUGAUUUUUCUACAAAAAGAGUAGCAAAGAGCAAUGUUUUAAUUUCGUUUCAUUUUCUUUUCACCUAUACUCUUCCGAGUACACUUUUAUAGAUAUAUUUUCUUUUAAUGUGUGACAUUGUUGGUUAGCAAACUUCUACCUCUUGGAUUCAAUCCCCUUUCAACUCAAAUAUGUUUCUCAACUAGAGACAUUUAUUUUUAGAAUCAAUUAAGGAGCAAAGAGAAAAUAAAAUCUGAAUUGUUUUUGGCUUUUCUUACAUUUAUGAUGCAAUCAUGCAAUGAGUUCCACAAGGAUUAGACAAUAAAUUAAAAAUAAAAAUCAUAUCAUCAAUCAUAAAGAAAACAAACCAUGCGAGAUGGCUAAGCCAUUGAUAUUUUAAUUUAUUGUUGGGUAUGAUUCAAAUAUACUUUCAUAGUCUUAACGUACUUUCCCAACAGGUGAUUCUGUAUUUCUAGGGAUAAAACAUUUGAAAUUAAUUUAGUAAAGGUAUAUUGACACUGAGGUGGGUUUAUAAAGUAAAACUUUCAUAUGUAAGAGAGGUUUAUUGAGAGAAUGUGUUUAAAGAGUAUUUUAAUGGGUUCUAAUAGCCUUACCCUAUAUAUUAAUAUCACUAAGGGAUUUUACCAAUGACCCAUCAAAGAUGUAUUAGUGGAAUUAAUUAGCAGGUGCUUCGUUUUAUAUUCAUAAGACCCAUGACUUGUGUAUUAUUACUACAUUGUAUGUUGAAAACAGAAGGGGACUAAACUGCUCAAUAUUAAAACUAUUUAGGCAAUAGAAGAAUUUGCUAAACUGAAGGACUUUAUUGAUAGUUUACAAGAAAAACACUACAACACUCACGGCUCACUCAUCUUUCUCUAUACUAAUUCUUCACUCUUUACUUGAUGCCUAUAACAAAGAGCUUUAAGGAUAUUUGUAGUAACUUAAAACUAAUAUAAACCACACAAAUAUCAAAUUACAAAAAUUUAAUAACCUCAUUUUACAAAUAUCACCAAAUAUUCACGAACAUUCUAGAUUUAGAUAUUUUUACUUCUAUUAGAUAUUUUUUAAAUUAUAGUCAUCUCUCAUUUUCUACACAAUUCUUGAAACUUCCACGCAUUAAACUUUAAAAUUGGGCUUGGCUAAGUAUAAUUGGAUUAGAUCAUGACCCAACGCCAACUUUCAUCCUUUGAUUCAUAUUUAAUUGUUGCUGGAACUCUUGAAACUUUUCGAUACUAAGACUUUUUGUAAACAAAUCUGCAACUUGAUCAUCCAUCUUGAUGUACAACAUUUCAACUUCAUCUUGCAAGAACUUUUCCCUGAUGAAGUGUUAGUGCACCUCCACAUGCUUAGUUCUCCGUUAAGCUAAUAGCCGAUUGGUUAUCACAAUAUAAUGAUACUGCGUAAUCUACUGGUUGGUGUAGCUUCUUCAUAAACUGCGUUAGCCAAGUGCUUUCUUGAACUGUCAUCGCUGCUACUCUAUACUCCACUUUUGUGGUGAUAAUGAUAUAGUUGGUUGUCUUUUACUACACCAAGAAAUUGUUCUAGACCCAAUUCUAAAAACAUAUGCAGUACUUGAUCUUCUUGUAUCAUGAUCUCCGGCGCAGUCAGCAUCAUAAUAGCAAGUCAGCUUGUAGCUUUCACUUCUUGUAACUUUCACUUUCUUUUACAAUAUACCAAAGUUGAUUGUAUGUUUCACAUAUUUUAGUAUUUUUCAAACCAUUUCCAAAUGAAGCUUCUUUGGAUUUUGCAUAUAUAAGCUUAUUACACCGAUUGCAUAUGAAAUGUCUGAUCGAGUUAACGUUAAGUAGAACUUUUUACGAAUUUUCGAUACAUCGUUUCAUCUUGUAAAUCUUUGCUUUCAUGUGUGCAAAAUUUUGCAUUGACUUCCAUUGGAGUUGAGAUUGGCUUGCAUUCUAACAUUCAAAACUUCUUCAACAAGUUUUUGGCAUAUUUCUGUUGGCAAAAGAAUAUCCCCUCUUCUAUUCGAUCAACCUCUAUACUAGGAAAGUGCUUAAGCUAACCAAGUUCUUUCAUCUAGAAAUGAACUGAUUAGUUCUCCUUUUGCUCGCCGAAUCUCUUCUUCAUCGUCACCAUAAAUAAUCAAAUCAUCCUCGUACCCCAAUAUAGUUGUUAACUUUCCUUUAUUAGAUUUGACGAACAAGCUAGAGUCUACAUGUGCUACUGCCACUCUAAGUUAGAAAUUCAACAAUCUUACCAUACUAUGCCCUUGGUGCAACCGUAUAAUGCCUUUCUUAGCUUGCAUACAUAUUUCAGAUGAGCUUGAUUCUCGAACCCUCUUAGUUAGUUCAUGUAGAUCUCUCAAUCUAAUUCUGUGUAGGAAGACAUUUUUUAUAUCUAUCUGUCAUAAUUUCCUUUCUUUGUUGGCUGUGAGUACAUGUAGAGCUCUUGAUGUUGUGAGCUUUACCAUCAGAGUAAAUGUUUAUCAUAGUUUAGCCCGUAUUGUUGUGAGAAUCCUCGAGCUACUAACCGAGCUUUGUGUCUUUCAAUUGAACCAUCUGGGCAAUUUUUAAUCUUGUACACCCAUUUGCAAGAUAUUUUAUAUCCUUUAGUUUCGGAACCAGAUCCCAAGUUUGAUUAUGCUUCAAUAAGGUGAUUUAUUCCUUUAUCGUCUUCAUCCAAUGAGAAUUCUCUGCUAGUUAUUCAAAUGUCUCAGGUUCUUUUACUUUUUUCUUAUUCUGCAACUACUACAUUAAUGUACAUGAGAUUUACCUUUCUCAUUCUUUUGGAUCUUUUAAGUUGAAAUUUAGAAGUUCUUGGUUCUACUUUAUUUGGUUCUUCGUCUACAAUAGAGCUCUUGUGAACACUUGUCUUUCAAGGACUUUGCGCCUUAUCAUGCUCGAUAUCAUCAUCCCUUAGAUCAUCAGAAUCUUUAAAUUCUUCUUGGCUCGGGUGAAUUUCAAUAAUUCGUUCCUUUAUUUGGUCUUCAAUUUCUUUUGAAUCUAAUAGCUCUUCUUUUUCUGAAGACUAUCAUGAAGAUGCUUCGUCAAACACCAUAUUUCGUGUUGUGUAGCACCGUCCACUAGUAGGAUCACAACACCUCCAUUCUUUCCUCCGACAUUCAUACUCGACAAAGAUACGAUGAUCGCCUUCUUGUCAAAUUUGCUUCGUAAGUGGCUUAGUACUAAGACAUAGCACACAAAGCUAAAGGCUUUACAUUCUACAGCUUCUUAUAAGGUGAUGUGAACCCUAGUUUUGGUUAAGGAAGCAUGUUGAUCACAUGAGCUAUCGUCUUUAUAACUUUGGCCCAAAAACUUAUUGGUACAUUUUUUGCAUGUAUCAUAUUCCGAUAGAUAGAUCUCCUGUAGAUGCUGCUUUUUUCAUUCUGCUACUCUGUUCUGGUGUGGUAUAUUGGCACAAGUGAACUAAUGACAUAUCUUAUAGUCUCAAAGAUACUAGGAGAACUCAUGUGAUGUAUACUCUCAUCCACUGUCUAUUCAUAAGUAGUAAAGCUUCUUUCUUACUUCUCAUUCGACUAUGUUUUUGAAUUCCUUAAACUUUGAAAAAGUAUCAGAUUUUUUUUUUUUAUAAAGAGGACCCAAAACAUAUCUGGAGAAGUCAUCGAUAAAUGUGAUCAUGUAUCGCAUGCGCUAAUAGAAGAUUGCUUGACAUGCCCAAACACGUCAGAAUGUACCAAUUGUAAUAGUUUUUUUGCUCUGAACUUUGACUCCUCAUAUGGGAGUUGGUGAGCCUUGCCGUAUUGGCGCCUUGCACACGCCAUGUUUAUUCUCACAUCAAGUUGAGGCAGACCUCUGAGCAUUGACUUCAGACGUUAUCUAGCAUGAAUUUAUUAUAAUGAAGUGUUUGAAUAAAACCAUUUUUUCCUACAUAUUUGUCACAUGAUCAACAAAUAUGUAGGAGACAUAGAUCAAUUUUUUUUUUUUAGGCAGGAAGCCAACAACCAAAACUAGGAAUGUUACUGACAAUAACUAAGAAUCAUAAGGUGAUCGAGGAGGAAACGAUCUUCAAAAUCACAAUCAAAUAGGAAAAAUGAAUAAACAGCACACAUUGGGACAAUAACACUUGUUUUACAAGAAAGAUGAUGUGUUUUACAGAGCUAAAGCCUGAUAAGCAGCAGCGAUGAAAUGAGCUUAAACUACAUUUAAGCAAUCUACUAAAAAGCUCAACCUAUUCCCAAAAAAUUAGACUCAGAUCUCGGUCUCAUAUGUUUAUAUUAUGCAAUCAGUACAGAGGAAAAGCUGAAAUGAAAAAAAAUAACUAUCUGAUGCUCAUGUUUUAUUUAACUUUCUUUUGAUCUUUAAUCAAAUGGCACAUAUACAAUGCAGCAAAUGGGUAUUUAGUUUCAUUCCCCCAAUAGCAGUGAACCGAAAAAUACCACACAUUUGAUUUAAUAGAUGAAGUUCUCUUCAUAUCAACAUAUCUAAAAAUUAAAAAUCACCUCUUUACAAUUUUCUUGACGUGCAGCCAAAAGCUCAUUUUAUUUCAAUUGCAAAUAUGACAUUUCAGCUUGCAGCGUCUCAUAUUCAGAGACAUUGGAGCUCAUAAUUUCUGUUGAAAAAACCUGCCCACUAAAAUGAAAAAAUAAACAAAAUAGAAAAACCCAAUUUUUUCAGCCAAUUAAAUGAUCCCAUUUGAAAGAAGAAAAAAAUUACAUGAACUUACUCAAGAGCAGAAGAAGGCUUGUCAUUUUGCUCAUACAAUGCAACAAGUGUCAAAGUCAAUGGGCGGUGCCAAACCAUUAUCAAUUUGGCCACCCAAAUUGAAGUCUAAGGAGGUGCCGCCCAAAUGAAGAAAAAAAGGAAAAGUUUGACAAGAACAAAGAAAAAAUGGAGAUGGUGGUUGGUAUACCAAAUGAAAAAAAAAUGAAAAAAAUAUUAUUUUUAAUAGCCAAUUUUGGCUAUAAAAGGGGAGAGCUCCAUUUCGAUUUUAACAUCCAAUUUUUUGAGAGGUAUUUUUGAGAGAAAGUUUAGAGAGCUUGAAAAUUAUAAGCUCUUGUUAUAGUGAUUUGAGAGUUUGGGCGUAUUGGAGUUUUGGGAAGUGAGCUAAAAUACUACAAUACUUGUAACUCAUUUUCACUAGUAAAAUAUUUUCUUCUGUCUUCGCCGUGGACGUAGGCUAAAAGCGAACCACGUAAUUUCUGGUGUCCUCUAUUGUGCUUAUUCUUUAUUUUUCUUCAAUUUUAUUUUAGUUGCGGUUCUGCUUCACCCACCAAUUUCCUAAUAGUGGUAUAAGAGCUAUUGGUUGUAUUUUUUGGAGUCGGGUACUGUACGUAAGGGGUACUAUUUACGUAUACGGUACUGUUCACGUAUACGGUACUAUUCACGUGAAACGGUGGGAGUGAUCAGAAUUUUACGGUGCAAAGCAAGGAAUAGUUGUGUGAGUAAAGCAACUGUGUGGUUUUGUACAUGUUUAGGAAGGUUCUGUCACAAUGCGAUAAGAGCUUAAGGAGUCUGGGUUUUUAAGUGGGACCAUUGUGAACCCUCUAGUCUUUCCUGGGAACUUUCCUGGUGUGCAUUCUUACACAUACUCACAAUUAUUCAAGGUGGUACACUAGCUUGUGUGCAAUAUUUAUCAACAAAAUGGCGGCAACGUAUGAAAUUGAGAAGUUUAAUGGAAAUAAUUUUUCGUUGUGGAAAAUGAAGAUGAAAGCUGUAUUGAGGAAAAAUAAUUGCUUGACAGCAAUUGGAGAAAGGCCCAUGGAGAUAAUUGAUGACAAGUGGAACGAGAUAGAUGACAAUGCCAUUUCUGAUCUACACUUGACACUUGCAGAUGGAGUAUUAUCCAGUGUGGCAGAGAAAAAUACAGCGAAGGAAAUAUGAGAUACUCUCACAAAAUUGUACGAGGCCAAGUCACUACACAACAAAAUCUUCUUUAAGAGGAAACUUUAUACUCUUCGAAUGGCGGAAUCUACAAUGGUGACCGACCACAUCAACACCUUGAGGACUCUAUUUUCAUAACUCACAACGUUGGGUAUAAUAUAAAGAAAAAUGAACAUGCAGAGCUUUCUACUUCAAAGUCUAUCAGAUUCGUAUGAUCAACUCAUCAUCAACCUGACAAACAACAAUCCAGUGGAGAGUCUAGUUUUCGACGAUGUUGCAGCCUCCGUAUUAAAUGAGGAGAGCAGGCGAAAAAUAAGGAAAACAAACAAGCAAGUUCGCAAAGCGGAGGCGCUAUUGGUGACGAGAGGGAGAUCAACGGAACGUGGUCCUAGUGGGAGUCAAAAUCAUGGUAGAUCAAAAUCCAAAGUAAUAAGAAUGUUAAAUGCUACAAUUGUGGCAAGAAAGGGCACGUCAAGAAAGAGUGUUGGAGUAACCAGAAGAGAAAAGGGCAAAGAACAUGAGUCAUCAAAUAUUAUCCAUAAUUAAGUUUAACAUAGACGAAAGGCCCCUUCACAUCAUUCAGCCAAGCAACCACUAAGCUGAAGAGGUUUAACGAAACAACAUCUAUGAUUAAAAAUAAGCAUAAGAUGUACGCAGCUUGUGCACGUGAAAAAUGAGCACAAACUUCACCUAAAAACCGUAAAGAAAAAAAAAAAAAAAAAGAUCAGAGCUAACCAGUUAGAAUGGAAAUGUAGAAUAGAAAUAUUAAAAGGAUCGGAGAAAAGCCAGAACUUCCAUACCUCCUCCAAUUUUCUUUGGUAUAGAUCUGUUCGAUAAUAUGCAGUUGACAUUAACAGAGUUGGAUUGUAAGAAGUGAAAAGACUGCAAAACAACCGUCACAGAUGUGCUAUAGACGGGGAUGGGCAAAAUCCCGGGCCAGCUCAGGGUCUUAGGCUCCAUUCGGUACUGCUGUAUUGCGGCUGUGCUUCCAAAGCAAAGCUGCCAAAGUUUUUAGUAAACACUUUCAGCUUCAUUUUGGAAGCUAACCUAAUUUUACCCAUAGUUGUUCUAUGAAAAAUUAUUACCCUCACUAACUUACCUUUAACAAACUUCAAAGCUUUGAUUACCAAACACUCAUUUAGUUUCACUAAAUAGCUAGUGCUUCCAUUUCACAGAAGUCGCGGCUUCAAAGCCUCAACACCACAAUCCCAUAAGAAGCCUUACUGGUGGGUUAUGACUAAAGAGCACCCAAGCCAGGAAAAUACCUAGUUUCUGGGAAGCCCCAGCUGGAUCUGGUGAUGUUUGGCUGGGAUCAGGUUAUAAAACUUAUAUUGGCAUUCAAGCUUAUGUGUCAGAGACUCUAAGAUACUACUCUUAUAACGAGCAUAAAGUCCUACUUUCGGUGUACUUGCUCAAUGACGCAUUGUCAUACAUAUUCAGCUUUUCAAAGAAAGCAAGGGUAUAAAAUGUGAAACGAUCCACGACAGAUACUCCAACCUGAAGUUAAUAAGAGAUGUUCAUAUGUAAUAACUGCAAUUGUAGAAGCAAAAUAAAAGAUUGAAACUUCAAAAACAGGGUAUACUAGGUCCUAUAUGUUUAAAGGAUUGGUAAACAAGAAAAUUCUAUCUUCUUAGCUUACAUCGAGAGUCCAAGUGAUGAGAUAUGAGUUCUCCCCUUUCAUGCUACUUCCAAUAGCCAAAAAACACCUGGAGAAUGAAGCUGCACAAUUUAAAAAAGGCGUUUCCUUCAGCAUCAAAACCACUGGUUAGUAAAUCAACUUUUAAAUGUAUGCUAAGUUAAAAGACUCAGGAAAGUCAUGUCACUGGUCCAAAUUUGAUUCAGAAGCUUGUUACCAAGCUCACAACCUAGAUGAUAGUAACCAGUUAUCUAAAAAAAGAUGCAUCUCACAAAAGCCGAGGUGCACAACAAUUGUAAACAUUGCUUUCAUGAACAAACAUUUGCGGAUCUCAUGCGGCAGAGCAGGGGUGUAGGCCACAAAUGAAACAGAUAACUGCUUGGAGUAUAAUGACAUUUGAUUCUUAAAUAAUUAUGAGUAGUCACCAAUGAAAGAGCAGCUAUGAAGUGAUUCGUAGUUUAACCAUUCAAACUGAGCAAUGUAGGUUAAAGAUUUUUCUUCACACUAACCACGUGCAUGUUUCGCUAGUUUUAAAAAUAAUACUGCAGAAAAGUAAAGUCUAAUAAUCACUAGAAGUAACUAGUCUAAUAUUUAUGAAAAGUGAAACCCAUUUAAACACCACCAUACUAACCUGAGAAAAGAGUGUGGCAGCUUGGCACAGUGUCCACCAUUAUCAACAACUCCUUGAAUCUAGUUUUGUGGUAAGACACACCAAAGCUCAUUAUUAAGCAGGAUCAUUAAUGCAUAAAUGUCAACGGCCACCAAAAUCUACCAUAAACAAUUAGCAUUUCACGUCGGCAUUUUCCAUUGAGAAAUAAAUAUGUUUCAUACAUACACAUCCAAAAUGGCAGAACUACAAGUCUAUAAACCCUUUUACUUUUCAUUCUUAUGGUUGAAUGUUAUUGUUAAGGCAACACGCAUGAAAGCAGAAAUACAAUCUUAUCUGCGCUUUUCUUUCAUUUGCUUCACUGCAUCUGCUAGAUCAUGACUUUGGAGCUCUUCUGAGUCCUGAAAUUUUAAAAAUUCAUCUCCCCCAUUGCCCAGUCAUGUAUAGAAGAAUAUGGCUUCCUUCGUCACUUAAAAGACGCUUUGAUCUAGGAACAGCAGCCUCGUGACGCCCGGGUCAAAACUCUUAAACAGUUUUCAGCAUUCACUUUCAUAACCAUGAUAGUCUACCUGGAGUGAUUGAAGUUUAGUAAAAUGAGGAUCUGCUAAACUUUAAUUUCCUAGAAGCAGGCAUGUUCAGUAAUUAUACAACCUUAAAUUUAAAUUCUUGAUUGACUGUCUCCAUAAGGUGUUCAUUGAAAGCCUUAUGGAGACUUAUAAGGAGACAGCACCCCUUUCAAAACCUAAAGACCUAGGCAGAGUAUCUGGAGAACACAGUACCAACCUCGACAUUAUCUCCAUACAAAUUAAGUUUAUGGUUCUCGUUAUUGAAACCUUGUGCUGGAUACUUGUUUCUAGCAUUACAAGCCAUGUCAUCUACCAGCAUAAGUAUUAUCCUCUCAUCGGGUAUUCCUAGCCGCUUAACUGUUCUGAAAAAUCAAGUUAAAGUGCACAGUCGACAAAUGAAAACAGGAGGAAGAGAAAUGCAAAUUACUUCACAAGAUGAUGUGAAAACAACAAGCUAAUUGCUUGCCUAUAUAAGGAUAAUGUGUUAGCCAUAUGCCGAUAAUUGAACCUGAAAAAACCAAUUCAGCAAUUAAUUCAAUUGGCAAAGGACAUGGAAUCGGUUUUUAGUUCAUCAAAACAAUGCCAUUUGACAUGGCUCAAGUAUCUAGUAACUUUAUGAAUCAAGCAAUAAAAACUUAAAGAAUCAAGCUUAUCAACAAGAAUGCAGUAAUAUUAGCUGAAACUCAGAAAUUACAAUCACAAGAAAGAGAAAUUGUAACAUGGGUAUUGUUUAUCAUCAACAUUGUUACAUGGGUAUAAUUUAUAAUGUAAUGGCAAAGCGUUAAUUCUUCCCAAAUCAAAUCAAAAUCCGGGAAAAAAAAAUUUAUAAAAACUGCAAAAAAUAAAAUAAAUAAAAAUGAAGGUGAUUUAGUUACCAGAAGCGAGAAGUGCAAACCAAGACAGCCCAAUUGUUAGUGUGCAUGGUUGUCUCAGCUGACGCUCUGUACGAAAUCGAAAUGGAGAGAAUAAAAAACAACAGCAUCGUCGCCAAACUUUUGAAACCAAAUGAAUUGUACAUCUACCAUCAUUUUCUCCGCGAAUUUUAAUUUCUGGGUCAAAAACUGAAGACUGUGAUUUAAAUUUUAUUCGUUUUUUUUUCCUUUCCCUCUUUUGCUGAGGAUGAAAUCUAUUGUUGCAGUUUCAGUGACGCAAACAGUGCUCCGGCCGGAUCCACGUCCCGGAGCUGCAAAUAGGAUACAAAUUUGGGUCCGCUCCCGUCUCGUAAUCCGACGAAUAAAUUAUCUUUAAGCCACCAAAACUUUUUUGAAAAUUCCUGGGCAAUGGGAAAUGCUAUUUCCACAUAAUUAAAUUACAAGCUCAUUUUUAUUCAGAUUCCUAUAAAUUAAUUAUGCGUUUACUAAACUAGAAUCAGAAUGAGUUGAAAUUGGAAUGUGCAGGAAUGAGAAUGAGUUGGAAUAGAAAUAAGAAAUAAGAAUCAGAAUAAAUUAUUUACUUGAACUGUAGGAAAUGAGUUAAAUUGUCAUAAAUAUGUUUACUUUGUCUUGUAAUCAGAAUCAGAAUAAGUUAGAUUGUAACAAAUUAUUAAAAAAUACUAAAUAAAUUAUUGUCAUAAUUAUUAUUUUUAUAUAUUAAUUAUAGUGAUUAUUUAUUCAAAAAUUAUUAUUAUUAUUAUUAAUUAUUGUCAAUAAUAUAUGAUAUAUUAAUUUAUUAUAAUAAUUAUAUUAAUAAUUAUUAUAAAUAUAUCAAUUAAUAAUAUUAAUAUUACUUAUUUAAUUAUAAUAAUAUAUUAAUUAUUGGGAUUAUUUAUUCAAAAACUAUAAUUAUUAAUAUAUUUUUGUUAAUAAUGUAUUAAUAUAUUAAUUAAUAGUAAUAAUUAUAUUAAUGAAUUAAUUAUAAAAAUAUAUGAAUUAAUUAUAAUAACUAUAUUAAUGAUUAUUAUGAUAGUAUAUUUAUUAAUUAAUUAUAAUAAUAAUAUAUUAAUUAUUGUAAUUAUUUAUUCAAAAACUAUAAUUAUUAAUAUAUUAUUGUUAAUAAUGUAUUAAUAUAUUAAUUAAUCGUAAUAAUUAUAUAUAUUAAUUACUAAUAAUAAUAAUAUAUGAAUCAAUUAUAAUAAUUAUAUUAAUUAUUAAUAAUAAUAAUUAUAGUUUUUAUAUUAAUUAAUAGUAAUAAUUAUUUCAAUUAAUUAAUGAUAGUAUAUGAAUUAAUUAUAAUAACUAUAUUAAUAAUUAUUAUAAUAGUAUAGUAGUAAAUUAAUUAUAAUAAUAAUAUAUUAAUUAUUGUGAUUAUUUAUUCAAAUAUUACAAUUAUUAAUAAUUCUUAUUAAUAAUGUAUCAAUAUACUAAUUAACUAUAAUAUACUAAUUAAUUAAUUAAUUAUAAUAAUAUAUUAAUUAAUUAUAUGUUUGGCUUUUUUAUUUUUAUAUUUAUAUUUUUGAUUUAAAGGAGGGGCAUUUUAAGAAAAUUUGAAUGUCAAUGGCGGCAAAAUGGGAACUCUAGGGAAUGGAGAUUGAUUCCCACCUUCGCCCAUGGGAAUCAAUCUCUCAUUCCCCAUUCCCAAAUAGUGGUGGGCCCCACGAUUCCGAUUCUAAUUCUUACUCCAUUUUUGCGAAGUAAACGCCGUCGAUCAUUCCGAUUCCGGAUUCCGAUUCCCCAAUCUGAGAAGUAAAUGCACCAUAAGUAAACAAUUUAUUCUUAUUCUCAUUCUUCAUUCUAAUUCCAACUCAUUCAAAUUCUAGCGUAAUUCGAUUUCAUUUUUUUUAGUUUUUUAAAGUUAAUUCAUUUUGUAUUUUGUGAUUUUUUUUCAGCUUUUAAUAUAUAUAUAUAUAUAUAUGUUACUAAUCCUUAAUUGAAAUGGAUGGAAUUAGAAUGUUAAAUGGGAAUCAAAAUAAUUUUUUUACUUUACUCAUAGGAAUUGGAAUACAAAUGAGUUGUAUUACUAUUAAUGUGUUUAUUUUAUCUUGCAAUCAAAAUAGAUUAUUACAAGUUAUUAAAAUAACCUAAGUUGAUUAUUGUUAUUAUUUAUUAUAAUAAUUGUGAUUAUGAUUAUUAUCAUUCAAUAUAAUUAUUAUUAAUAACAAUAAUAAUAAUCUUAAUAAAACUAAAAAAAACAACAACAACAACAAUGAUCAAAAUAAUAAAUAAAUUUUAAUAAUAAUAAUAAUGAUGAUGAUGACAUAUUAUUAUUAUUAUUAUUAUUACUACUACUACUACUACUACUACUACUACUACUACUAUUACUACUACUACUAUUAUCUUACUAAUAAUAAAUAAUUUAGGACCUAUUUGCAAAUGACAAAAAUUAGUUAAGGAUAAUCUGAAAAUUAAAAAAAUUUAAUAGAGGUAAAAUAAAAAUUUAAGGAAUAGGGACUUGAUUCCCAAAAUUUUCUUAAUUUAAAAAACAUAUAGACCAUCUUAUAUUUCAUUCUCAUUCCCAUUUUUACUUUAACAAAUAAACACUAAUAAUCAUUCCCAUUUCAAAUUCUGAUUCCCUAAUCCUACAAAUAAAUACACCUCUAAUAUGAACCAAUUGAUUUUUAUUAAUUUUUUAAACCAAACCGCACCAAACCGAAUCGUUGGUUCAGUUUGGUCUCUUCGAAGGACUUUAUACUCUAUAUUUUUACACCUGAAAAUGAAUAUAAUAAAAGGAAAAACAUCUUGGUUGAAUGAGAUCAAUAUCUCUAUAUUUUGUGUUUUUAUUUCUAUUUAUGUGUCCUUUGUUAUUUAUUGAACCGCAAUUAGUAACAAAUUACCCAUAGAUAAUUUCUUUUAUUACAUCCAUUUUCAUCUCUUUAUUUUAUAUAUAUUUAUUCUUUAAGUACUAGAUGAUAAUCCAACAUCUUUCACAGUAAUACAAAGGAGAUUGGAACUUAUACUUCAGUACAUACUCAUAAAAAAUUUUACAAAUCGAACAAUGUUAGAGUGCAAUUUAUGCACUAGUUUUGUAUUGUUUACUUCUCUUAAUAUCGAUGUUUUGCACUUAAUAAUAUUGAUUUACUUGUGUUUUACUUUUAUAGGUGCAAUUCUAUUGAUUAGUGAUAAAAUUGAGCUACAAGAUGAUGUUUAAGGAUGAUUGUUCUCUUGGAGAAAUUAUGAGCGGCAGAAGAACUUUGUUGAUAAGGCGUGGGCGCGUGCUGUCAACUGCAAACCUGCAGUUUUUAGUUUAACGUGUUUUGUAUUUUUGGUUAUUUUUGUAAUUACGAAUUUAAUAUUUCAGAUAUUAGUAUUUUAUUUUAAAUAGAAUUCUAGAGGAGAAGAGAGAGAGAGUAUUUAAGGGAGGAAUUUAUUGUGAAAAAUGGAGAUUUUGGGAUUGGAGAAAAACAAAGAAACCCUAGAUCUAAACUUUUCUCUUCUCUCUAUGAAGAACUAAACCUAUUUUUCUGGUUGAAGGAUAAUGAAGCUUUGAUUCAUCACUACUGUGAGAUCUUUCUUAUGCUUUAAUUGUUUUAUUGCUUUUUGGGUAUUUGUUUAUUCUCUGAAUUAUUUUCAUGAUUAUGUUUGUUAAUUAGAUAAUUGGCCACUAUUUAAUUAUCAACUUAAUCUAUUGUUAAUUAAAGGAUUCAUCGUAUGAAGAAUUUAAUGUUUGUGACAAAUAACAUAGCAGAGAGUUGUGUUGUGAGAAUAAACAAUCUAAUUUAAAUGAAUCAUCAUAUGUGUUGAUUAGGAUUUGAGUCUCUCUGGUUUUUCAGGCUGUCAAUUGAUUAAAUCCUAUGAUCGUAUCUAGGGUUGUCUAUUGAUUAGGGAAAUAUCCAACGGUCGUACCUUGGUUAUCGACUAAUUAAGGAGAGAUUGGCUAUUAGAGGGUCUCAGUAGCUAUAACCGGUCUAUUCAUAAGUAAUAAUAAUUUAUAUUUGAAUCAAUGAUCAGUAGUCGAAUCAAGCUGAGUUAAUUCCUUUAACCAGAGCUUUCUCCAAUUUGAAUUACAACUUUAAUUUGCAUUCUUGUUAUUUUAAUUUGAUUUUUAUUAUUGUCAACAAUUCCCCCAUUUUACGUUUUACAUUUCAAAAGGAUUUAAAUAAUUACCGAUCUCUGUGGACACGACCCUGCUCAAUCACUAUACACAAUUUAUUUAGAGUAGGAAUUUAUUUUUGUUGGCUUCGACACCCAUCAAAUUUUGGCGUCGUAGCCGGGGAUUGGUGUCAUUUAUUUAAUCCUUUUUACGUUUUACUUGGUGUAUGGUUCAUUCUUCUCGUACAGGUACACUUUCGUUUGAUCCUAAAAUUGAGAAGACAGCUCGCCAGCUGAGACAGCAGACGAAGCGAGAUAAGUAACGAUCCUCGUUGCCUUUGCUUUCUGAAACAGAUACGGUGCCUGAUUUAGUUGAAUUAUCUAGCGAUUCGGAAGAACAAGUGAUGGAUAGAGCUGCACCUGUAGAAAGAACUCUUAGAGAGUUAGCUGAACCAGACUUGAAUCAGCAACCACUCUGCAUUCAAUAUGUAGACUUAGAGGUAAAUUUUGAAUUAAAGUCUGGUCUUAUUCAUUUAUUACCCAAGUUUCAUGGUUUUGCAGAUGAAGAUCCUCAUAAACAUCUUAAGGAGUUUCAUGUUGUAUGUUCAAGUAUGAGGCCACAAGGCGUGACUGAAGAGAAAAUUAAGCUGCGUGCUUUUCCGUUCUCUGUAGAUGGGCUAGCUAAAGACUAGUUGUACUACUUGCCUCCUGGAUCGAUUACAACAUGGAAUUGUUUGAAGAGGCAGUUCCUCGAGAAGUACUUUCCUGCUUCAAGAGCUGCCAACAUCAGAAAGGAUAUUUGUGGGAUCAGACAACUUCCUGGGGAGACUUUGUAUGAGUAUUGGGAGCGAUUCAAACAAUUGUGUGCCAGCUGUCCUCAGCAUCAGAUUUCUGAUCAACUUCUUAUUCAAUAUUUUUAUGAAGGACUAUCAUUAAUGGAUAGGAGUAUGAUAGAUGCUGCUAGUGGAGGUGUGUUGGUGAACAAAACCCCUACUCAAGCAAGGGAGUUGAUAUCAAAUAUGGCUGCCAAUGCACAACAAUUUGGCAACAUGCAAGAUCCCACUUCAAGGAAGGUGAAUGAGGUAAAUAUUUCUUCUGUUGAACAACGUUUAGAUAAACUUACUUCUCUUGGGGAAAAGUUUGUUGUAGGUAAUGUGCAACAGGUGAAGACUUGUGGCAUUUGUUACAAUAUGGGUCAUUCAACUGAUAUGUGUCCUACACUUCAAUAAGAACCCGUUGAACAAGCCAAUGCAGUUGGAGGAUUUCCAGGCAUGCCUCAGAUGAGGUAUGUCCUUAUGCACAAACAUACAAUCCGGGAUGGAAGGAUUAUCCCAACUUCAGCUAUGGAGUUAGGCCGUCAGGAUUCCCACAACAGUAUCCACCAAGACAACCAGCACCUCCACAGUCAAACUUCAAGUCAGGUAUAUCUCUUGAAGAAAUUGUUAAAUCACUUGCGACUAACACUCAACAAUUUCAGCAGGCAACUACAGCAAGCAUUCAGAACUUGGAGAACCAAAUGAGUCAAUUGGCGACUACAGUGAGCCGUCUGGAGUCUCAAGUAUUAGGGAGAUUGCUUUCACAAUCUGAGGUGAAUCCAAAGCAAAACGUUAGUGCUGUCAUCCUUAGAAGUGGGAAGGAGUCGCAAGAGCCUAGUAAGAAAGUGACAAAGCAUGUAGAAAAUGAGCUUGAGAAGAAUGAAUUGAUACCUCAAUCUCAAGAUGUGGAACCCACCAGAGCGAAACCCCUACCUAUUGUGAUACCUCCUCCUUUUCCAAGCCGGUUUGCAAAAUCCAAGAAGGAGGAACAAGAGAAAGACAUCCUUGAGACAUUUCGCAAGGUUGAGGUAAAUAUUCCUUUAUUAGAUGCUAUAAAAAAAAUACCUCGAUAUGCUAAAGUCCUUAAGGAACUGUGCACCUCUAAGAGAAAAUUAAGAGGAGAUGAAAAAGUUCACAUGGGGGAGAAUGUUUCAGCAGUUCUCCAAAAGAAACUACCUCCUAAGUGCAAGGAUCCAGGUAUGUUUACUAUCCCUUGUAAAAUUGGUAGUGUUAGAAUUGAAAAGGCUUUGUUAGAUCUAGGAGCUUCUAUUAAUGUCAUGCCUCGUUCCAUUUAUUCAUCUUUGAAUGUUGGUCCAUUAAAAGAAACUAGCGUGAUAAUUCAAUUAGCUGAUAGGUCUAAUGCAUAUCCUGAUGGGGUAUUAGAAGAUGUCUUAGUACAAGUUAAUGAGUUGGUUUUUCCUACUGACUUUUAUGUAUUUGAUAUGGAAGAUGAUAACUCCUCUAAUUUUGUCCCAAUUUUGCUAGGAAGACCUUUUCUUAAGACUGCUAGGACUAAAAUGGAUGUACAUAAAGGGACUCUCACUAUGGAGUUUGAUGGAGAGGUUAUAGAAUUCAAUAUGAAUGAUGCCAUGAAAUAUCCUAGUGAGGAACAUUCGGUAUUUUCUGUGGAUGUUAUUAACCCUAUAGUGCAGGAAGUUAUUUACAAGGAAAAAACAAAGACAUUUCAUGAUAGAAUGAUUUUGAGAAAGGAGUUCUCUGUUGGUCAAAAAGUUCUUCUUUUUCAUUCUAAGCUUAAACUUUUUCCGGGUAAAUUACGUUCUUGCUGGGUUGGACCUUUUAUUGUUACUAAUGUUUUUCCUCAUGGUGCAGUUGAGAUUCAGAGUCCGACCUCUGACAAAAUUUUUAAGGUUAAUGGUCAUCGCUUAAAACCUUUUUAUGAAGGUUUUUCGGUGAAUAUUGUGGAGGAUGUGGCUCUCGAGAGUCCUAAUUAUGGAGAUUGAUGCAUAAAUGUGUCUAGCCAAAGACAUAAAACAAAGGCGCUUUUUGGGAGGCAACCCAAAUGAUUUAUUUAUUUUGGUUUUUGUUAUAUCUUCUUUUAAUUUUGAUUCAUUUUUUUAAUGUGUUUGCUUAUUUUGGUCAGAAGAAAAUUUUUGAUAAGGCGUGCCCACGUCUUAACUAAUAAGUACUUCUGUGAUUUUUAAAGUAAAAUGGUUUUAAGACGUGCCCACGUGCGAACUAGAAUGUACUGUUCCUGUCUUUAGUGUAUCGAAGUUUAUAUCUUCUUUUUCUUUUUUAAUCUUUCAACUCCAUCCUGAUAAUUUUAAAAUACGAACAUCAGCAAUUAAGCAUGACUCAUCGUAUGCUAUAUUAAUUGAAAUAUACAUUUUGUAUUAAAAAAUAAACAAUACUAAAUUCUAGUUCGUAAUCAAUCCUUCUAAUAGAAAAAUUUGUUUAAUAUAAUAGUAAGUAUCAUGCAACACCAUCAUCAUGAGUUUUAAUUUGACUUUUAAGAACGGACAUGGAUCUUCUUUUAAUAUUUUUUCCCCUUAAUCUCUUCAAGUGAAAUAGUGGUUAAAAUUGAAUUUUUAAAAUUUCAUAUUGUCAAUCAAGCCAAUUUUUUUCACUUUAUUUAGAAAUAAAUUUAUAAAUAUUGAAGGACUAAGAGAGAUUAAAAGAGAUUGAAAAAAAGAAGAAGAGAGAAUCCAAUCCUUGAAGAACAAACCCAAAUUCUCUAUCCUGUCACAUGAAAUUCUAAUGCAAAAUAAAGAAAAAUGAUGGGUAAAAAUCAGUGCUCUAAAAGUGAGCGGAGAAUUGAUUAUUCUUCCCUUACUUUAUAAAGAGAUGAUGCUAAUAAUAAUAUACUUAAUCAAAGUUGUAGUAGGGAGUAAACAUAGCAUGCUAAUAAUAAUUAAUAAUGGAAAGGGAUGCGGCCUGCUGUAGCAUGAAAUUGAAAUCAGCCUAAUCAGGCUAGUCAAUAUUUUGUGUGGCAGUCUUUAGCACCUUCAUUCCAUCUUUAUUUGCUUACUUUUCCUAUGAAGAAAAAAAAAAAAAAAAGAGAGGAAAAAAAGGCAGAUUUUUAGCCACCAAUCAAAUUCAACACCCCCAAUACCUUUAGAGAGAAGUGGACAUCUUUAACAAUUCAGUGGCUUUUUAAAAAAAAAUAAUAUUUGAAUACACUUGAAGUUGUCCAAAUUGUAAAUAAAGUUGAAUGUCUGAAUUUAAAUAAUAUAUUUUUAAAAUUGUUAAAAAUAAGUUUUAAAAUAUUUUUAACUGAAAAAUCCGAAAACUAUUAUUUUUUAUAUUUGUAUCCUUAUAAAUUAGAAAUGUGAAACAAAUAAUCAACAUAUUAAAUAAUAAAAAUAAAAUAACAUAUUAUGAACACAAAAAAAAUCAUGCUCAAUUGAAUACAAUUCUUUAAUAUUUUUAAUUAGUACAGGUUAAUUGAUUUUAUUGUAAUUUACAAUGUUUUUAUAUUGUUCAUAAAAAAUUAUGAAGAUAAUAAUGCUAAUUUGAAUAAAAUAAAAAGAUAAAAUAAUAAUAUUCUAUCAUUAUAUCAACACAAGUUAUAGAGAUGGAUAAUAAUGUUAAUUAUUAAAUUUUAUUCAAGUAAGGAAGAAAAUCGAUUAAUUAAAUUGGGAUAUUUUAGAGAAUAGCUUUUAAUGAUAUCAUUAAGAUUUUUUAGAUUUUGCAAAAAGUUAAAAAAAUUGGUUUAAUAGCUUAAUGUUUUAAUGAUUGAAAAUUUUCGUUAAGUUGAAAAAACAAAUGGACUUAAUGACUUAAUUGAUUGAAUUUAAGCUAAUUAAGUCAUUAAGUCAAAAAAACAAUCAAGCCCCUCUUUAGCUUUGCUUUAAGAGUGGUGCUGUUUUAAGCUCUCAAAAUCUUGAUAAAACCCCUCUUUUAAAUUUACAAUUGUAACCUCAAUGGAAAAUUAUAAAUGACAUUAAAAGACAAAGACUGAAACUUAUCAAUUCUUCAUAAUUUUCUAUCACAAAUGCAUGUACAGUAAUAUUUGGUUAAGAUUUAAUUGGUUUUAGAUUUUUAUCUAAUAACUACCAAUUAUAUUUCUAAAACGUUAGCAAAAAGUUCAAUUCAAUACCGAAUUUAAAUCCUAUUAUUAUGUGUGGCCUUUGCAGUACUUCAUAUGGGUUUUGCGUGGUGUCUUCAGGAACUAUUACAUAGUUUAUGAUUUUAUCUCUUGUUUGGUUGUUGAUGUUUUUUGAAUUUUGAUAAUAUAUGUAACUUGCAAGUAGUUUGAGUUUUUUUUUUUUUUCAUUUGCACAAUGAUUUAAAAGAAUAAAAAAAUAAAAAAGGUCAAGAGGAAAGUUUUGUAUCCCAAUAUUUAAGUCCUAAUUUAAGUUUCAACUAAUAUAACACUGAUAUAACGUUCAUCUAUUGAAUGGUAGUUAAAUAAUUUAUUGAAUGAUAGUUAAAUAAUUUUAGAAGUUAUAAAUUAUAUUAUCUAAUAAAUGAAUGGUAUUUGGAUUUAAGUUAAGAUUCAAAUGUUGGGAUGUCCAAUAUUAUUGAAAAGUUAAUACAGUAACACUGGCCAAGUUCGAAUAUUCAUCACACUCGAGUAACAGACAAAUUGAAUACAUACCUCAAGAAGAUCCAACAAUAAUACAUGUCAUGCUCUUAUUUUAUCAUAAGUGGCUAGUAUAAUUAAUGAAAGUAGCAGUGUACCAUACAUUCUGAUUUCUCAAUCUUGAUUCUUCUUCCAGACAGCCGGCUUGUCAAGAGGAAAAGGGGAAUUUUUCAGAUUGAAGCAACGGCUAACCUCUGCAUAACGCAGUAUAGGCAUAUCCUUGAGCAAAACAUUCCAAUCAAGAAUUAAGUUUGGCAUAAACUUUAAACAUAGACCCUCAAGGACCCAUGUGGUGCCAUUGCUAUCCUGAUCAGAUUCAGAACUGAUUUCGAAGUUGCUGAUGUCUCCAUCCUCAAGACAGAGAUAUUGCAGGCUUGAGAGGUGCUUAAGAUUAAUCCAUUUUGGCAGAAUUUCGUGGCGGUAUCGCCUGAGGUAAAGCUCCUGAAGGCUCGGAGGAGGCAAAAGCCUAUCCAACAUCUGUGAUACAUGUUUUUCUUUACAAUCCUCUGCAUCAAUAGCUAAAACUUUGAGUUUCUCGAGCUGUGAUAAGACAUUCCAUUCAUCUUCCGAGAUUUCACUCUCAUUAUUUAUGGACAUUCGUAGAACUCUUAGCUGCUUCAGUCCCAGCAGGGCGUUAAGUCGACAGCCUUGUGUGUUAGACUGACUCGCCACCCGAAAUCCAGACAGCUCCUGGAGAUAAAUUAGCUUCUCGAGUCCACGAGGUAGAUACUGGAGAGGACAAGAUCCGAGGUCCAAGAUGAUCAACUUCUUCAAACUAGUAAUUGAUGGAUGUAGUUUGGUGCACCUCCUCAGAACAAGUAUUUGGAGAUUACGAAGCUUUUGAAUUGAAGAUGGGAGCUCAAUAUUGCCUGCAACUCCGCUUAAGUUGAGACAUGCAAGGCGUUUAAGUGAAGAGAUCUUAUCCAAUAGAUCCUCAACAUUAAUUUGAUCAAGCUUACAGUAUGAGAAAUCCAGCACCCUCAGUGACAUGAGCGAUUUCACAUUCCAAAGGGAAACUGGAGUGCUUGAUUGCAGUAUCAAUGCCCUGAGCCUUGAACUUUUUUUCAGGGAUUUUGGAUCCAUGUCACUGUUGAAACCGAACCAUCGCGAGUCUUGUGUCAAUUUCUGCCUGCCUUGUUCAUCAAAGCUGCAAAAAGCCUCAUCUUUUGCAAUCUGAAUGGUCAUAUCCCUGACCAGAUCGUGCAUCUUGCAACUAUAGACCCUGCCAUCAUAGCCUCUUCGAUGCACAACUUCAACCAAGCAUCUGCUUACUAGCUCUGAAAGAUAAUCAAAGCCUAAUUCCGUAGCAGUCCGAUUGUCCCUGCCCCGGAUGAGUCCUUCUCCCACCCACCAAUGUACCAUCUGUUCACCACUUAUCUCAAAGUCGUCGGGAUAAACAGAGAAACACAAGAGGCACUGCUUUAGAUGUGUGGGGAGUUCAUCAUAGCUCAGUCGUAGAGAAGCCACCACCGAAUUGUUCUCUUUUUCGGUUGUCAAAUAUACAUGAAAAUCAUCAUUGAUUUUAUUCCACUCACUAAGGGAAUGGACUUUUGGAGCAAGCAAGCCUCCUAUUGUCUUGAUUGCCAGCGGUAGUCCCCCGCAUUUCUUCAAGAUCUCUAUACCUUUUUUUUCAAACUCCUUAUUGGGGCAUUUUCCCUUGCUCGUUAAAAAUGCAUGCUUGCAGAGUAAUGACCAACUCUCCUCUUCAUUUAAAAUUUUUGGGCGAUGAAUUCUUGACUCAUCAACUCCCAUACUGUUGACAACGGUUUCAUUUCUGGAUGUGAUGAUAACGAAGCAUCUUUUUUCAGUCGGAUAUAAAUUCUUCCACCAAUCGAGAUUCAUUCUCCACACAUCAUCCAUUACAAUGAGACAGGUCUUGUCGCUGAGCCUCUGUUGAAUUUUGUGCAGCAAAUGACUUUCUUCAAUUCCCGAUUCAUCCUCUCCCAGCUGUUUCAACAUGGCCCUCAUGACUCGUUCCUCGCUGAAAUUCUGAGAAACUGGCACCCAUAGCCUCUUCUCAAAGUAUGCAACCAUCUCUCUAUCAUUGAAUAUCUUUUGGGCAAUGGUGGUUUUGCCUAAACCACCCAUACCCACAAUACCGAUUUGCUGAAGCUUCUCAUUACUGCUAAGGAUCCACCCUUUAAUCUUUUCCAAGUCCUUCUCCAAACCGAUUAUUUCAGAUGGUUCCUGGUCCUCUGGGGAAUAUUUAAAUAUUUGGUAUGAUGAAUUAUUGGGCCCCUGCUGGAUGAUUGGCUGUUCUGCUCUUCCAUACACCCCCAAGCUAGACUCCAUUUUCUCAAUUCGUGAAUUGAUAUGCUUCAAAUCCUUGCCUGUUUGGUAUAUGAAAAACAAGUCACGAAGUGAGAACCUGUGGCAAAACCCAUCUUUCCGAUAUUCAUCUCUAAUUUGGCAAUCCGUCAUUAUGUCAUCAGCUUCAUAAAUUAUUUUUCUCAGGUUAGGCAAGAUCUUCUGCAUGAACUCCCCCCGAGUUUUCUGCUUAUCAGUGCAGGAGAUGAAGGCAGUCAUUAGCUCAAGCUUUGUCUUCAUUGCCUCCAGCUGAUCUUUAAAAUCAAGUGCGUACUGAGCUUGAGUCAGCAAAGCAGAAAACACUUUCUCUAUCAAUGUCCCAAUCAUCGCCUCUGUCGCUUUCGACGCCGCCAUAUCCUCGGGCAAAUGUUCCCUGUUAAUUUCAUGUUCAUUAUCAUGUCAGUAAAGUAUACAUCUUAUGAGCGUAUGGGCUUCUGCUACAACCAUACAAUCAUGACACACAUAAAGUACAGAUGGCAGAAAAGAGACUAGCACUUUCAGUACUAGGAGUGACAAGACAAAAUAUAUAAUGGAGUCAUCUCACUUCCAUGGGACUUGACAGAACAUCUAUCAGAAUAGUGAAGUCACCCAACAACAUUGAUCAGAGUAAAAUUGUGUCAUAUGCGUGAAUCGACAGAAUGAUACUAGUCAGAACAUAAUGAUGUAUCGAACAAAAAAACUGAGAAUUGAAGCUAAGGUCUAGCUCAAAACUGAGAAUUGAAGCUAAGGUCUAGCUCACUUUCUUAGGACUCAGGUCUUACGUUCGAGCUUCAAUAGAACAAGUUCCGAAUAAAUUCUCUUGGUAACCAAGGAUCAAAUACAAUAAUUAAUUGCUAAGGUCGCUCCAGUAGUAAAAGCGACUUUCCUAAGACACAGGUCUUAGCUUCGAGCUUCAAUAGAACAAGUAACGAAUUGGUUCUCUGCGUAACCAAGGAUCCAAUACAAUAAUUUAUUGAAAAUAUAUUUAUCAAAACUUUAAAAUUAAGUGAUACGACGGCAAAUAUUAACUUGAUAAAAGAUCAUCAUCAACCAUCAAAUUCUAUAAACAAGUUUUAGAAAUUUUCAUGUUUAAAUUCACAUCAAUCAGAGAUUUAGCAAUGGCAUGGGUGAAUCAUAAAAGGGUUUUAAGCAGAAGCACUUACUGGAAUCCUGAAAGUGUGUGUAUCUAUAUAGCUUGGAUGGGCUGAACAGAGAGUAUGCUGGAACCUGAAACCCAAAAAACAAAUAGAGUUUUAACAGUCAGAGUAGAUUGUUCAGCUGAAUAUAACAGAGUACCAUGUAAACAAAUUAUUAUUAUUUUUACUUGUAAUUCCUAGCUGGCUGUGCAACGUUUCAGUUCGCUUAAUCACUCACUAUCUCCUAUCUGGCUCUGCUAAUUUGAUUUCUAUUGCCGAUAUUUAUUAUAUAGGAGAAGAGAUGCCAGAAUUGAUCAAAUAACAAGCCACCUGCGCUUUGAGGGUACAAGAAAAGAAGGUGAAAAAAAUAUUUUGACUGAUUAAUUAAAGUUGAAUUGGUUAAAGUUGAAAGCUGUUGGAAUUUGGAGAUAAGAAGCAUUUAUAUCCUCUUCUCUUCACGACAAUCAAAUUUUGUUUAAUUAAAUAUCAUAACAAUUAUAUUUUUAAUUUUAACAAAUUAUAAAUUUAUGAUUUGAAUGAGACUACAUAGUUGCAUAAGAAUUUUAAGAAAAAAAUAUUAUCUUAGUAGUUUAUGGAAAUCAUUAAUUUAGACCUUUAGCCCAAGUUGGUACUAUGUAAAAUUAUUAUAUAAUAGAGUUUAUUAACUUAUCUUAGUAUUAAAUUGUAGUGGAUUUACUAUAUUAACCUAAGUGGUGAUCUUAUUUGCAGUACUAGAGAAGUUUUGAUGGUAUAGUUAAUGGGACAAAGGAGAAUUGCAGUAAAAAGAGUGCGUGAAAAAAAAAUCAAAAUAAUAAUGAUCUUAAAUUUUCUAAUUUAUUUCUUACCUAAUUAAGGAUAAUUUUGGGUUCAUAGUAAAAUAUGUAGGGAUAUAUAUGAAAUUAUAUUGAACAUAAAAUUGAUUCUCAAAAUUAAAUUUUGAAAAACUACUAUCUCCUCGCUUUUCAAAAUCAACUAUAAUAUAGUAUACAAUUAUUUUGUCAAAAGUGAUUUUUAAGAAAAUUUAUCAAACAGUAAAGUUAACUUUUAAUUUUAAAAAUUAUUUUUGAGCCUUCUAACAGAAAUUUCAAACAAAUCCCAAAUAUUUCUAAAUAACCAAGUAUAACAUUACUUAUAAAUAAAUUGAAGUGGUAGUUAUUCUGUCCCAACAGUCAUUUCAAGGUCAGUAUAUCACAUACAAGCAGAAGGUUCUGUAUCGAUUCCUCUCACUUGUUUGAAUGCUCGAAUGUCUGAGGUCACAUACCAUCAAUGUCUGAGGUCACAUACCAUCAAUUUUUUCAAAAAGCAAAAGAAAAAAAAAAGAAGACUCUGAUAAAAUCCUGAGAAUAUAGUCUUUUUCUUUGCAGGUGAAUUCGUAUUCAAAGGGCCCGAUAAAGCCCGAAAAUAUUAAUUGAUACUAUUCUUGUUGAAUUUUUAACCGGCAUGAAGAACAAUUAUAGGCUGGCAUUAUUGUUGUAACCCAAAAUGAAGAGAAUCAAAAUAAAACAAGAAAAGGGAAACUGCUUUAUUCACAAUAGGAAAAUAAAAGUACAUAUAUUCGUCACAAAAGUCAAAAUCAAUAUUUUUUUUUUAGAUAUUUCUGUCAAAAAGAAGAAUAAAUAAAGAGGUUUAAAAGUUUAAUGAUUAUUCUCGGUCGAAGCAAGGAGUGGGUAUGUUCGAAUUAAAAGUUUCAAUUAGAUUAAAUAUGAAAUUGAUUCUCAAAACAAAAUUUUACACUGUUUCCAAGUUCUUCAAACAGUUUUAGUUUACUGACCAUUUGAGUUCAAGAGAUUAAAAAAAUUAAUUUUCGUUUUGUGCACCCCCUCUAUCUUUUACGGGUGGGGUAAAAUUUUGAACAAAGUCUAUAGAAUUUGUGGCUUUGUUACACAUACGGCCAGAUUUUGGACCGAUUUUGCUGUUUAAGCCUUCAAAUGAUCUUUAUUUAUUUAUUUAAGAAAUUUUAAGAAUGUUUUCAUUGAUUUUUUUUUAUCUUCCGUCUGGUUUUUGGAAUUAAGGAUACUUUGUUUCAUUUAUUUUAUUUUUAAUUUAUGGAAAGUUAGUAGUAAUCUGAUAUUAAAAAUUCGUGUUAUUGCAUUCUUGAAUGUUUUCAUUGAUGGUUUAUCUAAAGGUAAUCCAGGUAGCUCAAUUUGUGGUGGUGUUUUUUGAGAUUACACGGGAUCUUUUUAGGUGCUUUUGGUCUUUCUUUAGGCAUUAACACUGCCUACUUUGCUGAAAUUAUGGCAGCUACGUUAGCUACUGAAUUUGCUCAUGACAAGGGUUGGUAUUGUCUUUGGCUAGAAAGCGACUCUAUGUUAGUCAUUCAUCUUUCUUCCAAUCCUUCGCUCAAUCCUCCAUGGGGUAUUCAUAACAGAUGGUUGAAUUGUUGUAAUCUCAUCAACUCUAUGGCGUUUAGAUUCUCUCAUAUCUUCUGAGAAACUAACUAUGUGGCGGAUCAUUUAACUAACUUGGGUCUUAUUUGUGAUUCUCUCACUUGGUGGCAGACUCCGCCUUUAGAGAUUUUGGAGUUACUUUCUCAUGAUGCCAAUGAGUUUCUAAAAUAUCAUUUUAUAUAGUUACCUCUUUUGGUUUAACUUCAUACUUUUUUCUUUUUUCUACUUUAACUUCUUACAAAUUUUAAGGGAUAAAACUCAUUAUGUCCCCUGUGGACAGUUGUAAUUCCUUUCUUUUUAUUUUUUUGAUUAAUUAAUUCAGUUUAUUAAAAAAAAAAAAGAAAAUUGACCAGUAUUAUUACUCUAUGUAUUAGCAUUAAAUCACACAUUAUUAAUGAAGUAAAAAUGAUAUGACAGAUCCAAUUUUAGUAGUUUACCAAGUUCAAUUAAAGGCGAAUUAAACAAAUUAAUGUGUAAAAAUAAAAUAAACAAGAGAAUUUUUACAUGGUUUUGGAUUCAAAUCCUUGCAUCCAUGGAGCCACAUUUAGAGAUCAAAUAAUUCACGAGGUUCAAGAGAUUACAAACUAUUGGAAUCUUACACAGUAUGAGACACCCUCUAGUGAUUGUGGCCACCUUGUCAUAACCUAUCCAAGUGAACACUUUGCGUGCACCACAUGUCUUUUGCUUGCUCUCCCGAGCAAGACUUCUUAGUCAAUGGUAUAUCACCUCUCUGUAAAAUCCCGCUACUGCGAACAUAUGACUCUUCUCGUGAAAAGACCAGAGACAAUUAAUGUCUCCCAAAUCAAAGAAUGAUCACAAGGUUGUAGCCUCUGAAGUAGAAUCCUUUAGUAAAAUAUAUGAAUGACUCGCCUUUAUAUAGUGACAGACAAAUCACGUGUAAUGAAGAGUCUAAAUUUUUUUCCUUUGAUAACUCCCAAAGCCUUUAGAUGUAUAAGGAACUCUUCACGAUAAUAUAACAAUAUUAUCUCUUCAAUAUCUGUUUAUCAUCUGCUUUAAAUCAAAACAAUUUAAUCUCAAUCUUCAAUGAUCACGCCAAUUGUAAUUUCCAUCUCAAGGAAUAUUGCUUGCUUGAUCUUGAUAGAUAACAUCUAUGUAGAGAUUGAUUUAUCUUCAACUACUUUGACCUUGUUGUCCGCAUGUGAAGUAACACCCAUGUCUUGCAUCUUCUCUAUGGUUCACGCCAACUUCAUCAUAUAAGUUUGCCUUACGCGUUUCCCUCAUGCUAAAAUCUCUCUGUAUAGACUAAUGUGGACCUCACAUACAUAUAAUAUGUAAAAUCCUAAUUUGCCUGUAUUUGCCGUCGUUCCAAGGCACUGUUGUAAUACUUGAGAUAAAUUAAAUUACGUAGGUAUUAAAAUAUUAAUGAAGACUCAAUGAUGUGUACAAUGAGGAUGGCAACGUACAAAUAUUAAAUGGAUGUUGUAUAGAAAUACCAACAUCCAUACAAUGAAAUUCCCUUUUUUUUUUUCCCCAAAAAACUGAAUAUUGAAACUGAUUCAAUUUCAAUCACCCGCCCUAAAAGUUGCAUGACAGCUAGAACAGAUCCAAGAACACAAAAAGUCUGCGAAUUAAAGGACCAGAAAAUUGGAGAAUUACUUUAUCGUAGCAUCUUUCUUUUCAUUUAAUGGAGUGAAUAACGAAUCGUGUAAUAUGGGAAUUAUUUAAGAAUCUAAAUAGAAACAAUCUGUCACCACUGAUACUUGCUGGAUUAUAUUAGUGCCAUUCCUGAAGUUUGAAGAGCUUUAGAGCCACGAAUCUAAUCUUCAUGAAUUUUUUUUUGGGGAUAAGCUGCAUGGAAAUUUCAAGAAAUCGCUGAGUACGAAAAACAAGUGGAAAACAUUUAAGACCAAUGCGUGGUUAAAACUUAACACACCACCUGAGAUCCGUGUCUUCCUUCAGAAGGAUGCUUCCCAAUCCCUUUAAAAUCGCUUUAGUUGAUUCGGUGCUUAAUGUUUUGUUGACUUUUUUUUUUUUUUUGAUCAUUAAAGGGCUCUUAAGAGAGCUAAGGCAACACUAAUCGGGAUUGUGCAACCCCAUGAACAUCAUUAAGCAAUAUGCUAAGCAUAUUUGGAGGAAUAGAUUGAAAACAAUAUAAACCUAAAGGGAAAGAAAAACUAUACGAAGCUAGGAAAUCCGCUGCUUCAUUGGCUUCUCGGUAGAUAUGCUCCACUUUGGUCAACCAAUGACGCCGGAGGAGAGCUUGAAUUUCCCGAAUGAGAGUAAAAUGCUCAUUGAUAGGAGGGUUGGAGUUGGAGAUUAACUUCAUAACACACAUGCUAUCUACUUCCACGUAAACUUUGCGGAAUCCAUAUUGCCAAGCGAUAGAUAAUCCAUGAAAUAAACCCCAUAACUCAGCUGAAGUCACCGAGCACACACCUAAAUUGGCACUGUAGCCUACCUGCCACCCACCUCUGAAAUCACGGAUUAGCCCACCAGCUCCUGCAAUCCCCGAAGAUUUCUUUGCACCGUCUGAAUUUAAUUUAACCCAAGGCCAAACAGGCGCAAUCCAACGAAUCCAUCUUUCGAUACGGGUAGUGCCAGCAGCAAAAGAAAAGGAAUUACUUCGUUGAAUUUCAGCAGCCCUUACUUUUUAAUUGAGAGGCUUGGCUUUCUUUUAAAGACUCAACUCCUUGUUUUUAUUUUACUCUUUUCUUAGUUUUAUUUUUAUUGGAAAGUAGAAUCCAUUUAUUCAUUAUAUUGAGCUGUAAAUAUAUCUUUCUAUACGUAUUCCUAAAUUAUAGUAGACUUUGAUUGCAUAGCUUAAUUAUAGGGAUCCUACCAUGUAUAGCAAGUCAGUCAUAUAUGUAUAUAUACUCAAUCAAAUAUCAAUGAAAAGAUGCUUCUGCCCAUUCUACUUUUCUCUCAUAAUUUACAUGGUAUCAGAGCAAGGACUCGCUGCACUUUAGGGCUCAUUUGGUAUUGUUUCUGAAUUUGUAUUUUUUGAGAAUAAAAAUGAAAAUGAAAAUGGUGUGUUUGCAGUUGCUGUAUUUUGAAUUUAAAUAUGCGUCUGGUAUCAUUUUCUGUAUCCUAUAUUUUAAAACUGAAAACAAUAAUAUGCGUUUGGUAGACACAGUUGAAAAUGAUAAAACAAAAAAUAUGCGUUUGGUAAUACUUUUUUCAAAAACAGUUUUUACUAAGCAUUUACAUUAUAUUUGUAGUCAUAAAAUAAUUAUUUAGCUAAUACAUACAUAAAUACAACAAAAUAAUUUAAACAAAUUUAUUAUUAAAAAAUUACAUGAUGAUAAAGUUUUAAAAUUAACAUUAAUUAAAGAAAAGUUUGAUAAUAAACUGAAAGCAUGCAUGGUAUGAACUAGUGUUAGUGCAAUUUAACAUGAAGCUUGCUCGUGCAAAAUUAUUUUAUAUAGCAUUUGCAGUUUCAAUUUCCAAUUCCAAGGUUCUGAUUCCAUGCUCCCAAACACAGCAAUAAAUGUAAAUCCAAUUACACAUCUUCUUCGAACAACUUUUUGUGAAGUAAGUGCCAUUUUUUUUUUUAAAGAAUAUUCAUUCUGCAAACACAUUAGACAUGGAAUUAGAAAGCUGUUUAACUGCUUUCUAGAAACAAUAUUUGCUCUGCCAAAAGAAAAAAAAAACUACUUCACGUUGACUCACCAAUCCACUCCUCCACUUUCAAUCAUAAAUUCCACAAUAAUCAAUAAUCAUCAGCACUAGCAGGAAAAUUACAUUACACGUUCAGCAACUCACAUAACAAAGAUUCCCAAGCAAAUUAAAACCCAAUGAAUGCCAAAUUCGAUUGUACGCAAUCCAAAGAUUUGUUGUAUAUACAACAAAACACUUAACUGCAACUGCAUCGAAGAAGGAGAGUGUCCUUCUGAUUGUUAUCCUCUGUUUGUAUAUCCAAAAUUCAUGGCCCCAACGCUUACUUCCUCCAAUUCAUUUCUGCUCAAUACAACACCCCGUUCAAGGCUCAUCGUCAAGAACCCAAGAUUCACUGUGUUUGCCAAGAAAGUUGGACCGUUCCCUCCAUUUCAGCUUGGCAAGUCGAAGGAUGAGAAUUCAUCUGAUGAAAGCUCAAAUGGUGAUUCCGGCAAUUCCAAUCCUUUUCGCUUCAACUUUGGUAAGGUGAGGGAUGUGACAUCUUUGAUCCUAGUUGUGAGCAGCCCUAGAACUGGGCUUUCAUUUGGAACUGGGCAGGCCGGCGUUUGUAUUUUGUGGCAACAGCCACGACGGAGAGAGAACGGCACACCAAAGGACAGUCGCGGUAGAGACGAAGUUGCAGCGGCGGCAGAGAAAAUGUUGUUUGAGGGAGAAAAGGAGAAAGCACUGCUGCCGUGACUAGAUCGAGGAUGGCCGUGGGGGGGGGGGGGGGGGGGAGGGGGGUUGACCAGAUCGAGAGCGAUGAGAGGGGGGAGAAGGUUGCUGCGGAAGAGAAUGGGUUUUGUUUCUUAAUCUAUUUUUGAGUUUAGUUUGUAAUAUUUAGGAAACAUGUUAAACACGUUUUCAUGUUUGUAGUUAUAACAUUGGAUCUGAAUUUGUUAUUUCGUGAUUUGUUUUUUGAAUCCAUCCCACCAAACAUAUAUUAUGUUUGUAUUAUGAAAACAAAAAUGAAAACAAUGGGUAAAAAACGCUACCAAACGGGCCCUUAAUUUCUCGUGUAGCAUCUCUCUUUCAGCCAUCAUGGCCCUUGAAGAUAUUCCAAAAACCAGCAGUUCUGAUCCACAAAAAUCAGAGAUUUCUGCAGAUUUCUCCAAGGCAGAUCUCUCCAAUCCCUUCUUCACUCACCAUUCGGAUAACCCCGGAUUGAUUCUCGUCUCCAAACCUCUAAAUAGAGAUAAUUAUUUUGGUUGGAAAAGGGCUAUGGUUCGAGCUUUAAACUCCAAAAACAAGCUCGGAUUUGUCAAUGGUUCUAUCAAAGUUCCUUCAGAAGAAACUGAUCCUGAAGGCUAUGCGAUUUGGUCGAGAUGCAAUGAUAUGGUUCAUUCUUGGAUCGUCAAUUCCUGCGAUCCAGAAAUAGCUGAUAGUGUGACUUAUUGUCCUACUGCUCAUGAGGUUUGGGAAGAUCUCUAUGAGUGUUUCUCUCAAGGCAAUGCAACUUGCAUCUUCGAGAUACAACGAGAUAUUGCUUCUCUUCGACAAGAGCAACUCUCUGUCUCAGCUUACUAUACUAAGUUGAAAAGUUUAUGGGAUGAAUUGGCAACACAUUCAGACAUAGCACAAGCCGAUCGACAGAAAUUGAUGCAGUUUCUAAUGGGUCUAAACGAAACUUAUAGUGCAAUUCGAGGUUAAAUCCUGCUCAUGAAUCCUUUGCCUUCUAUUCGCCAAGCCUACUCUUCAAUCUCCCAAGAAGAGAAACAACGCCUCCUUAUUUCAGCACAUACGAACACCGAUUCAAACAGCAGCGCUGCUACCAUGGCUGUACGCAGCAAACCGACUCCUUCAGCAACAGAAAAAACCGAACAAACUCGGUCUCAUGGGUUUCCAAAUUCUCGCGAUCGAACAUACUCUCAGGUGCCAGAACUUGUAGGAUCUCAAGAAGGAGAUCGGCGUUGAUUUGGCUCUGGGAGAGGUAGGCCUUUGUGUGACCACUGUGGAAAUUUCGGCCAUUGGAUCCAGAAAUGUUAUAAGCUGCAUGGAUACCCACCAGGCCAUCCUAAAGCUAAAAUAAACUCAGGCCAAAAUUCAAAUCGGCAUAAAGGUAUUUCUAUGGCUAAUCAAGUUGAAGGCUCACUUACAAUAUCCGAUGAUCAACUCAAGCAACUUUUGUCACUCCUGAAUAAUCAAAAUGAAGGUUCUCACUCCAAAGCAAAUACGGUAACAAAGCCAGGUUUGUCUAAGAUUGUUUCCCGAAAUUGGAUUAUUGAUAGCGGGGCGACAUAUCAUAUUACUUCAUCAUCUAAAUUAUUGCAUAAAGAUAACAAAUGCUCGUUACCGCCUGUAUUGUUGCCUAAUGGAGAAAGAGCAAAUAUUGUUGCAAAAGGGUCUUUACCUCUCAAUUCCGUCUAUUAUCUACAUAAUGUGUUAUUUGUGCCUAUAUUUAAAGUUGAUUUGAUGUCAGUUAGUCGUUUGACAAAAGGUUUGGGUUGUUCAGUGACGUUUUUCCCUUCUUGGUGUAUUUUGCAGGAUCUGGCUACGAGGAGGACGAUUGGUUUGGGUAAACAACGAGAUGGGCUAUAUUUUUUUGUGGCAUUAGCGACGAAGCAAUCUGUGACAAAACCUUCCUCACCAAAAAAUCGACCAGCCUGCAAUCUCACCAUCUCAUCCACUGACCUCUGGCAUAAUCGCUUAGGCCAUGUACCACCUUCUCGUUUAAGUCUUAUUGCCAAGAACUUUUUGAAUUUUUCUGUUAAGUCUAAUAAUGUUUGCCCCAUAUGUCCGUUGGCUAAACAAAGUCGUUUUCCUUUCAAUAACAGUGUUAUUUCUUCUACAAAACCUUUUGAAAUAAUUCAUUGUGAUAUUUGGGGUCGUUAUCAACACCCUUCCCUUACCGGAGCUUAUUAUUUCCUCACUAUUGUUGAUGAUUAUACUCAUUUCACAUGGAUUUUUUUGAUGCGACACAAAAAUGAAACACAAUCUCUUUUAAAACGCUUUUUCAGCCAUGUUUCCACUCAAUUUGACUGUCGCAUUAAAACAUUUCGCAGUGACAAUGGUGGAUAAUUUAUCUCACUCCGAUCUUUCUUUCAAGAUCAUGGUGUUGUUUUCCAAACUUCAUGCGUUUACACGCCUCAACAAAACGGGGUUGUGGAACGCAAACAUCGCCAUAUCCUACAAGUAGCCCGAGCAUUAAAAUUCCAAGCACACCUACCAACCCAAUUUUGGGGCGAAUGUGCACUCACUGCUGUACACAUCAUCAAUAGGUUACCUUCUCCGGUUAUUUCUUUCAAAACUCCUUACGAACUUCUCUAUUCAAAACCACCUUCUUUUUUCCAUCUUCGUGUUUUUGGGUGUUUGGCCUAUGCCACUAAUGUUCACAAUUCUCACAAAUUCGACUCUCGUGCCAUACCAUCCAUAUUCAUCGGUUAUCCCAUUGCUCAAAAGGGCUACAAAUUAUUUAAUUUAUCAACUAAAAAGAUUUUUACAAGCCGAGAUGUCAAAUUCCACGAAACCAUUUUUCCUUACUCAUCCGUCCAACCCAAAUUUUCUCUUCCCUUGACAACCCAUCAAUCAAGCCCAAUUCCUUUAAUUCCUUCUUCCAUUGACUCAUCAUUCAACUCUCACGUCAUUCCACCAAGCCCCAUUCCCUCAUCCCAACUCUCUCCCAAUUCUCCCGAUCAAAUUUCCUCUUCUCCUCCCGCGGUAGAACCACCAUCUUCUCCUCCCCAAGCUGUCCUUCGUACUUAUUCCCGCCGUCCUAAACAUGUUGCCCCACUCGUCUCAACUAACCCAUCCCCAUUACACUUCUCCGAUCCAUCUUCUUCGACCCCACAGUCCUCGCCUCCUCCAUUCCCUGAACCCGCUGCAUCAUAAGAAUCCGAACCCGAACCCGGACCUAAACUUCGUCGCUCCAGCCGCAACACCGGUCCACCGGUCAAGCUCCACGACUACGUCUGCUCACAUGUUUACUCCGACCAAUCGGCCUCCUUAAUUCCAGGUCCGACCAAAGGUACACGAUAUCCACUGGCUAAUUAUACUUCAUAUCACCGAUAUAAGCCUGCUUAUCAGUCCUUUAUUGCUCAAAUCAGUCAUCUCACAGAAUCUUCUUGAUUAUUUAUUGAAAUUCAAGAAUAAAAACUGAAAUGGAUUUUCAGUUCUUUAUUGUUUUAUUGAGUAUUGAAAUUACUAAAUAAAAAGAGGCCUCAUAAAAAAAAAAAAAAGUUCGCCUAAGGCCCCUAAUACUGUAAAGCCGGCCCUGCUGCUCUGACACACCUGCAGAAACUGUAUGUACAAUUAAUUAAUUAAUUAAUUCAAUGAUCAAUCAUUUUGCAUAAGCUUUUAUAACUAAAUUUAAUAAAUUAAACAACUAUAUAUAUAUAUCGUCGUAAGCUUGGUUCUUGCCUUAAUUAAUACAUGCAUAUAUAUUUGAUAUGGUUUGAUGCAUGUCAAAACUCAACAGUGAUCUAUCCGUCAACACAAUUCAUGGUUCCAUUCCUGACCAGAUUGGGCAAUUAGAUCAGCUUAUCACUCUGAAAGUCCUCACUUGUCGCAAGUAAUUCAAUUAUAGCUCCUUUUUUUCUUUUUCUUUUCCUCUUUCCUUUUCUCCUAAUACAUUGGAUUUGUGUGAUGAGUAGAGAUUUAUCAUACAAUCAAUUAACUGGGACCAUACCAACAAGCUUGGGGAAUUUGAGGAACCUACAAGUACUGUAAGUCUUUUUAUUAGUUACUACGAUCAUUGAGUUAAUGGUGCAUUUACUUGUUAGUAAUUGGAAUGAAUUGGAAUGAGAAUCGGUUGGAAUGUGAAUGAGAUGGAAUGAGAAUGAAGAAUGAGAAUCAGAAUAAGUUGUUACUUGAGCUGUAGGAAUUGAAUUCGGAAUGGACUGAAAUACCAUUAAUGUGUUUAUUUUAUCUUGGAAUUGGAAUUGAAAUAAACUGAAUUAUUUUAAUUUAUUAAAAUACCCUUUAUUAUUAUUAUUUAUGAUUUUUAUUCUUAUAAAAAUGAUUGUUAAUAAUAAUAAUAAUAGUAAAAAUAAUAUCAUUAAUAAUUUAUUAAAAUAACUUUUGUUAUUUAUUGUCAUUUGAUGAUGAUGAUGAUAAUAAUAAUAAUAAUAAUAACAAUUAAAAUAGUAAUUAUUAUUAUCAUUAUUAAAAUUGAAUUCCAUAAUAAUAAUAAAUAAAAAUUAUUAAAAAAUGGGAGUAGCAAAAUUCUAAAAAAUUAUUGUUAAUAAUAAUAAAAAAAAUUUCCUCUUUUAUUUUUUUAUAUUAUUUUGUCUCUCUUCUGUUUUUUUUUCCUCUCUCUUCUGCAAUUUCUUCGUUACUUCUCUCCAUCGUCAAUUUCAUCUUCUUCAUCAACAACAUCAUCAUCACAAUUAUCUUCUUCUUCCUCCUGUCAAUUUUGUCUCUUCUUCUUCAUCAACAUCAAAAUUUAAUUUCAUCUUCUAUCUUAUAUAAUUAUAAAUUUAAUAACAUAAUGGCCAGGUAAUACAAACACCAAACAAUACAAUCACUGUUGUUGAUUUUUUUUUUUUUUGGUUUAAAAGCCAAGCACCCCUUUGACUUGGAAUAAAAAAAAUCGAAGUCAAUCCAGGUGCUGUUCUUCAUUUUUUUUGGGUUUUUCAGAACAAAAAAAUAGGGGAAACACACUUGGACCGAUGGAGAGAUUCGGACGUAAGUGACGAACCGAACUGGUUUAAUUUGGCUGUCGGUUACAAGCUGAAGAGAGAGAGGUGGCUAUCGGUGACGAUGCCGUUGACGAGAGAGAGUGCCUAUGAUGCUGAUGAAAUUGAGGGGAGGGAGAAGAUACGGGAGUUUCUGGUGAUGGAGAGAUGAAUCCUCCUUUUCUUUUUUUUAAUUCAUAUUUUUCAUUUGUCAGAGGGGUAUUUUCGAAAAAUAAAGAAAUGAAUGAGGAUAUUUUCGUCAUGGGAGGGAAUGGAGUUAUGAUUCCAACCCUCCUCCACUGGAAUGCCAAUCCGGGUAAUCAAUCCUUAUUUUGAGUGAGACCCACGCGUCUCAUUCCCGUUCCCAUUCCCAAUUUUUUUUUUUCCUUUCCAUUCUUAUUCCCAAUUUUAAUUUAACAAAUAAAUAGAUUUUUGAUUCCGAUUUCACCAUUUCGAUUCCCAUGUCAUAAAUGUAAAUACACCAUAAAAUUAUUCCUUCGUAUUUUGUCUCUAAGUGAAGUGUCAAUUGAGAUUCUCUCCUUGACUCUCCUGAAUUUUUAAAGCUUUAUUAUGCAUGCUUGUUUACAGAGAGAGAGAGAGAGAGAGAGAGGGAGAGAUAUGAAAUCUCAAUAGAUAGAAGAUUUUGUACAUUAUGCAUGCUUGUUUUUACACACACACACACACACAGAGAUAUGAAAUUUCAAUAGAUAGAAGAUUUUUGGUUCCCUUCAUUUUCUUACCAUCAUACGUCUAUGAUUUCCUGCCGUAGCAAUCUGGGUCAGAACUUACUCACGGGGAAGAUACCACCAUCAUUGGGGCGCUUGUCAUCUCUUCGAAUACUGUAAGAAUCUUCACAUGCAAUUUAUUUAUUUUAUUUAAUUUUUUAAAGCAAAUCUAAAGGGUACAAGAAAAAUUUUACUACUAAGGGCAAAAAAAAAAAAUGACACUUAAAUGAGGGUAGGCAGUGAAUCUUAUCCUUAAAAAAUUAAGAAAACAAAACAUAUGACCAAUAUAAAAAAAGAAGAGCAACAUAAGCAAUAGUUACUAGGAAACAAAAUGCAUGUAACCAUGAGUGGCUUUAAGUAUAGGCGAGCAAGACGGUCGCCUAAGGCCCCAAAUUUUAAAAAGGCCUCAAUUUUUUAAUAUUAGUAAUAAUUCUCUAGUUAAUAAAAUCUUUUAAAAAAAUUAUGUGUGGUAGAAAAGCCUAUUAGACAUAUCUCUAAUUAAUAAUUAUCCUAUAAUUAAUAAAUUUUUUUUAUAUAAAAACCUAUAAUUGAUUAUCUUAUUGUUAAAGAGAUAUAAUUAAUAAUAUUGUCUAACCAUUAAUUUAUUCAUUAUUAGUUUUUCUAAUAAAAAUAAGUAAAUUUUUUUAUCUUUUCAACUUCUUAAAAAAACUCAAUUAUUCAACAUUAGAAUCUUUGACUUUGAGUAUUUCUUUUAACUUCUACUAAAAAUCUUAUAAUCUAGAAAAUUAUAGAUGAAAAAUUUCUUAUUAUCUUCUCUACGAUGAAGAUUAUUUCAUGCAUUAGUUCAUUCAAAAAAGAAAAAUAAAAAAUUAGUUACUUGAAAUACAAAGUCCAUAUCCAUUAUCUAACCAUCAAUUCAUGAUCUCAACUUUUUAUGUGCUACCAUUCUAAAUAUUCUAUUUGAAAAUAGUAUUGUUCUCAUUUAUUCGUUUGCUUCUUUUUGUAUAAUUUCUAAUGGUAAAUUUUAGAUUUUGUUUUUGAAAAUUUUUAGAAUCUUCUUGAUUAUUUGUUGAAAUUCAAGAAUAAAAACUGAAAUGGAUUUUCAGUUCUUUAUUGUUUUAUUGAGUAUUGAAAUUACUAAAUAAAAAGAGGCCUCAUAAAAAAAAAAAAAAAAGUUCGCCUAAGGCCCCUAAUACUGUAAAGCCGGCCCUGCAUGUAACUAUGCACAUACAACCACAAAUGAAAGGCAAAAUAGCAACAGAAGAAUCCGGCCACCAAACUAACUCGGAUUCCACAACUUCCAUAUUAGCCAAUUUAUCUGAAAAUAUGAGUAAAUCGCAUUUACAGUUGCUCCACAAAAUCCGACAGUUCUUCCAACGAAAAAUUCAGAAGUAAAAUAUUGAAAUAUUCAAUUAAUUAAUUACUCCAAAAAUUGCAUUUUGCAUUUAUCUUACUAUGUACUUCUGGGCAUUUUAGGGAACUAUGGAGCAACCAGCUAGCUGCUUAAAUCAAUACUUAGCUUAUUUCUUUGAAAAUACAAUACAGUUUUUAAUUUCAUAUAUAUUUUCUAAUAUAUAGAUCUCUGCUGGAGAAUGGACUCAGUGGUACACUCCCACCAGAACUUGGAAAAUUAAGCAAUCUUGAAGAAUUGUAAGUGUGCGUGUUAAGUAUUUAUUUAUAGAAUUUAUAAAAUGGUUAAUUAGGAUGUUGAUGUCGUCGUGUAUAUAUAUGCUUGUGACUAAUUAUGUACUACAUUUCACUUGUACUUAAAAAGUCAUUUAUACAUAGACACGCGUGCGUGUACAUGCACAAACACAUAUUUGGCUGGUAUGCAAUUAUUAUUUGUCAAUCAUUCAUCUACGUUCAUACCAAUACCACAUUAAAAUUUACAACACUUCAAUCUUAAACAUAACCUAAAAGUAACUUUCAUGUGGUUGCAGGUGGUUGCCAUCCAACAAUUUAAGGGGGGAUUUACCAAAAGAUUAUGAGAAUCUAAAGAAUCUGACGAUUUUGUAAGUGUCCUGUUUGUUCGUUUUCUAAUUGUUAUUGUUGUUGUUAUUUUUAAGGAUCGUAAUUGAUUUGGUCUAGAUUUUUCUUGCUUAUUGUUUGAAGUCUGCAAAUAUCAGUAGCGGAAAUUUUAUUUGUCAAUGCAGUGGAAUAGGUGGGAAUUAUUUGUCUGGUCCGAUCCCCACAUUCAUUGCAAAAUGGGUCAACCUCUAUGCUCUGUAAGCCUAUUCAUUUUGUCCUUUUAUGUGACAACUGAAAUUUGGGUACUCUCUGUGUAAACAAUCUGCUUUUGUUGGAGUUUAAUUAUUUCUACAUAAAACUGUUAACCAAACUCUGACAUGUACUCCGUGGAAAACCAUGCUAAGUAAAGGUAGGAAUAUGGGCUGGGUAGAAUGGAUAUCCCUCCGUAAUUAAAGGUAGAAAUGUAGGUUGUCGCAGUAUAUAAAUUUCUUAUUGCAAUAUAUAUAUCGCAUCAUAUAAAAGUAAACCAAUUUGCAUGAUGCUCGAAAACAUACAAAAACAAUGAAUUCUCCCACACGCGCGAGCUAAUUAUCAAUAAUAUUACUUUUCUUUCCUUUAAUCUCACAGAAAUCUGAUGGGAAAUAACUUCGAAGGGGAGCUGCCACCAGAAAUUUUUAAUAUGUCAAGCCUUCAAUUUUUGUAAGAACAAUUAAUAAUAAUCCAAACUCUGCUCUAUAUAUGUAUGUAUGUGUAUUUGUAUAUAUAAUCAUUUUCUAGUGUGGGCGCCCUCAUUUGUUUUUUAUUGUGAACACGAUUUUAAGCAGUACAAUUUAACCGAAUUAGUUUUUAGUGUUAUUAAACCGCACAGCUUAAAAGUGUGUCCGUAAUAAAAAUAUAAAAAAAUGAGAGCGCCCGCACACACUCACACACAAAGAAAAAUUUCAGACACACACAUAUAUAGAAAAUUUUCAAUGACAUUAUACUAUAUGGUGUAAUAUAGACUAUUAACAUUCCCGUACUUUAAUAAAGUACAAUAUUAAAAACUAUCUUUUUCAUGGUUUACAAUGUUUUGUCAUCGACAUUGUAAAGUCCAUGACUCCCGGAUGGGAAAUUUUCUUUUUUAAUUUCGCAAUUAACUUAAUUUCUAACUUGGCUUCGUUGUUUAUCCCAGGUUUAUCUCUGACCUACAAACGAUGGGCUUUUCUUUCCCGAAGUCAGCUAAUUUGAGUAGUAUAUCAAGCCUGUAAGCGGUGUAUUCCAAUUCCAUGCACGUAUAAUUAUUUUAUGCGUUAAUUAUAUAUUUAUCUGUUUUUGUUAAUUAAUUAAUACCUGAUCUGCAUUUUAAAUUUAUUAAUUGUUUACUAUUCCUUAUAAUUAAUUAAUUAAUUAAAUAUUUUUUAGAAAUUAAAUUAAUCAUAAUAAUUCUGCAGGAUAUUGAGAAAUUGCAGCAUUACUGGUUCAAUCCCACCAUACAUUGGCAGUUGGAAUCAGUUAGCCUACCUGUAAGUUUAUUUUUCGUUUAUUUUCUUAUUAGUUUACUAAUAUGAGGUCAGAGGUCAUUUAAACUUGUAUCGUCGAUCCAUCUGCAACAUCUAUUAACCUUGUCAGAAUCUCGUAAAGUAAAUUACUAAACUAGUGUAUAUAUUUGAUUUUUGCAUAUAUUACCUCAAUUUCUAAGAUAUAUUAAAAAAGGGUUAUUUUCAAGAAUACUUUUGGAAAUAUACAUCUGUCUUCGGAAAUACUCAUUUCUGAAAGAAAAUUAAUAAAAUAUUAAUGAUUUUUUUUCCCAUCUAAUCUGAUAUUUCCUAAGCUUUAUAUGUAAAAUAAGUUGCAGUUAUAUAUUAUUUUGCAGAUAACAAAAACGAUUGUCUUCAAUAAUAUUGCCAAUAAUUCAAACUUGUUAAAAUUAAAUCUUUUUUAGAAAUUAAAUUAAUCAUAAUAAUUCUGCAGGACAUUGAGAAAUUGCAGCAUUACUGGUUCAAUCCCACCAUACAUUGGCAGUUGGAAUCAGUUAAGCGGUGUAUUCCAAUUCCAGAUAACAAAAACGAUUGUCUUCAAUAAUAUUGUCUUCUUUUUUUUUUUUUCUCUAAAUAUUGUCUAAAAUUUUCUUCAAUCGGCGACCUUCCCUAUGUUCAUGCGGUUGGGAAGAGUUGUUAAUCCACAUGUGAUCGUUUCAUCACAUUUUUUUUUCUCUAAAUAUUGCUUUUUUUUUCAUCACAUGUGAGCUAGACCUUAAUCGCCGACUUUUUUUUUUUUUUCUCUAAAUAUUGCUUAUCAAUCCCGGAAACAAGGAAUUAUCAUUUUUUUUGUUAAUCUUUCAUCGAAUAAUUUCCAUUUUUUUUACUGAAUUUUUUUUUUAUUUUUUGAAAGUUUUAUUUAUAAGUACUAUGAUUAUGCAUUCAAUUCUAGUCCAUGUCCAUGAUAUAAGUCUUUUUUAAAGAAUUAAUUGUCAGUAUUUCUUCUUUGCUCAAGUUUAUACCAAAGUUUAAAGUUUCUGAUAAAAAAACCUAGAGAAAGAAGGAGCAGUUUGGUUAAAAACCGGCACGGCUUGUUAGCGCCCGUUAAGAAACAAUGUGUCUUGAUAUUUAAUAAGAAAAAUUUUAAAUAAAAUAAAACCUAAUCUUAGAAAGGUUUAAUUGAAAUAUGUCAUAAUCUUAUAGUAAACUUAAGAAAUAUUAGAUAAGGAGAGGAUCCAAAUCCUUACUGUAAAUGAUCAUUUUUAUUUUAUUUUUCUCUAAUCAUUGAUUAUUAAUUUGUACUGCAGUGACCUGAGCUUCAACGACUUAACUGGUGGAAUUCCAAAUACAUUCAAGAAACUGUUUUUAUAUGAGCUGUAGGUGAUAACUUUCUUGAAUCCCAUUAAUUUUAUCUUUUCUUAAUAUAAAAGGGAGAAUAAUAUUUAGAGUCCUAAUAUUUCUCCCCAAUUUUACCAAUUCGAUCCAUGAUUUUUUUAUAUCACACAAUUACGUCCCUAACUCUAAUUAUUCAAACUUUUAUUGGUAAAGGGUAAAUGAGAUUUUUUUACCGUACAAAUCAUAUGUUCCUUUUGACAUAUAUAUCUUAUCUGAAUUUUGUCUUCUCACUUUUUCCCUUUUGACUGACAGUAAUAGUGUAAUAAAAAAGAAUCCAAAUAAUUUGUUUUUUCUGUUACUAUUUUUACUUUCCAGGUAUCUUACAGGAAAUAUGCUCAAUGGAACAUUGCCAGACUGGAUUUACAGCAAUGUUAGAGAUAAGGGGUAUGCUUUCUAACUAUACAUAAAUGUGAUAAAAUGUUUUCAAACUUGUUCUAGUGUAAACAUGAUUUAUGUAAAAAAUAAAUCCAAAAUUAUUUCAAAGACGCGGGUUAGGCAAAUGAAAAUUUAUGUAAAAAAUUUCAAUUUAGAAUAGUGUAAUGUGUAAAUGUUUUGAAGCUUCACAUUCAAAUGCUAGCUGCAUGUGUUUAAUUAAAUAUAUGAUCGUCCCAAGUCAUGAACAAACUAUAGCCUGCCAGCAUUUUGCAUGCAUCUAGUUAAAUAUGCAAAUACAAAUUAAUAAUUAACGCCAACACUACUUGUCUGAAUUUUCAUCUUGCAGGGAUCUUGCGUACAAUGAAUUUAUAUUUCCAGAACCAGAGACACACAAGUAAGAAAAUAGCGUUAAUUAAUUAAUUUGUUUCUUUGCAGUUGCAUGCAUGCUUUUCCACAUGCAUAGUUGUAUAUAUAAAAAUCAAUUUCAUAAUAAUUUUAAAUUUUUAUCUUGUAGGAAUCUUCCCAACAACAAUUCUCGGAUAAAUCUGUAAGAAAAUUAUACUACACCAUAUUAUAUAAUAUCCUCCUACGUUUUUACUCUUUUUCGUGCUUCAAAUUUCAAUUCCAACAGUUUCCUGUCUAUCUCGUUUUCUGAUUUUGAUUUUAACUUUCAAUGGACAUGUGAUAUCUGCACGCAUACUAUUAACAAUAAUGCUGCUGUAACCAGUGAACCUAAGAAUCGGUAUGUUCAUAUUCAUUUAUCUAAUAAUUAUAUUAUAGGUGAUUUAUCGAUCGAUCAGCAAGCAUUUAUUACGUGAAUUAAUGCCCUUACAAAAUUAAUUGAUCUUAUUAUUGUAAUUAUUUAUAUAGGACAUUUCCGGAAGAGAUUAUGAGGGAGUAUUGCCCCGCUGGCCAGAAGAAAUCUCAGUGUAUGUAUACAUAUCCAUCUGUACAGAAAUGUUCCUAUUAAGGAUUUGUUAAGUUCCGGAAAAACUGUUGUAUAAAUUAUAUAUAUAUAUAUAUAUAUAUAUAUAUUUUAUUAUUAACUCAUGCAUACACUGAAACUUGAACUCAAGACUUGAGCUCCAGGAAGGCUGUCCUUUGCCACCGGAGCUAGACCUUGGUUUCAUAUACAUUUUAAAAUUAAUCUACCGGAGCUACAUCUUGGUUUCACAUACAUGUUUAAAUUAAUCAAUGUGUAUAUAUGUUGCAGGCAAUUAUAAUUUGCAUAUAAAUACUGGUGGCGAGGAACAUAACAUUGAAGGAAUUCGGUAUGAGGCAGAUAACUCGACAUCAAAUUUUUAUGUUAACAAACCGGCGUACAACUGGGCAUAUAGCUGUAACGGAUAUUUCUUGGCGGAUUCAACGGCUGAUUCACGUGCAUUUAUACAGAAAGCAACAUGUGGAGCUGCAGUGACUGAUGCACCUUUAUAUGACGAAGCUCGCCUUUGCCCCAAUUCUCUCAAAUACUAUGGUUUUUGCUUGCGAAACGGCAAUUACACUGUCAGUCUUUACUUCUCUGAGAUUGUUUUUGAAAGAAACGAUGAUUACAGCAGUUCAGGAAAACGUGUAUUUGAUAUAUAUAUACAGGUAUGUACGCUAUCCACAAAACUUUUUUUAAUAAUUUUAAUUAGCAAUUUAUCCCUCCCUAGCCUCCUUUAAUUAAUUUUAAUUUCCAUACAUGCAGAGCGAGCUAAUGCGAAAGGAUUUCAACAUAAAAGAAGUGGCCAGGCAUUCAAAUAAUGUAACGAUUCAAAAUUUCACGGCUUCUGUACACGACCAUCUACUGGAAAUCGAGUUAUUCUGGGCUGGCAAAGGAUCUAUAUUAAACCCACCUUAUUUUCAUGGACCUCUCAUAUCAGCUAUUUCUGUAACUCCAAGUACGGUUCAAAGUUGCAAUCAUUGCUCUGAUGUUCAAUUUUGUUAAUUAUCAUCUCCCAAUAUGCCUUUUGUUGCAUGCUAUGAAUCGCUGUUUAAUUUUCAGAUUUCGAAGUCAACCGACCAGGACCAGGAGGACUAUCAAAAAAAGUGAUAGUAGGAAUUGUACUUGGGGCUGUGCUAGCUUUGAUUCUUUUCAUGGCUCUCAUGUGGAGAUUAGGAUGGAUAGGAGACAGAGAAUUGCGUGGUACGUACGGGAGAUUAUUUAUAUAUAUUGGAAAAAAUUUCAAUUCGAAGUUAAAUCCCAGGAUGGAUUUAUGAUUUCGUAAAUCGAUUUUUACAAUGUUCUAAACUGAUUUACAAUAUAAUAAAUCUAUCUCGAACUUUAAUACUACAUUUUAAGCCUGGGUAUCAUAAGCACUAUAUAUAUAUAUGUGCCAUAUAGAAAUUAUCAGGUGAGGGAUUUGGUACUGUAAUAAAUGCGAGAUGAAUUUUUACAAUAUUGUAAGUUUAGUAGAGUGCAGGACGGAUUUUUGAAGUCUGUUUGCAACGUUUUGAAAAUUUAUCUCGUAUUUUAAUUGAGUGCAUAAUCCCACAUUAGAAGCCCACUUUAUGCUAUCUAUGCUAUAGUACUUUAUGCUAUAUUGCUAUAGUAUAAGGCUUACAAAGAUAUCAAGAAAAAAUAUAUGUAUAAUUGAUCUGUUUCUUUUAUCAUUUCUUUAUGAAAUACACAGUGACAACGGUCAACCUACGAGGGAAGUCUUACACCCUUAAACAAGUGAAAGUCGCUACUCGAAAAUUCAGCCCCAGGAAUGUAAUUGGCACGGGGCGUUUUGGGACAGUAUACAAGGUUAAACAUUAAUUGCCGUAUCUCUCUUUAUGUGCAUGUGUACGUGUGUGUGUGUGUGUUUUGUGUGUCCGUGUGUGUGCGUGCGUGCGCAUCCUUAUGAAAGAUUUUUUAAUGUGGGAUUAAAAUUCAGGAUAAGUUAACAAUGGUGUGAACAUGUUUUUACAACAUUAUAAAUAUAUGUUCACAAUAUUGUCAAUUUGUCUCAAACUUUAAGAAAGUUUGAGAUCCUAAACUAGAUUGCUACUUAUAUAUAAUAAGGGAUCCUUAGCUUUUUAAAACAAGAGAUCAUCUAAAAGGUCUUGUAAUUUAUCCAUUACUUUAACAAAGUAAGGGAUUCCUUAUUUGAAAAUUUUUUUUCUCUCUCUCUCUAUAUACAUAUAUAUACUCACUAAGAUCCUACUUUUAUUGGAGUCCAGUAAAGCUAUUAGAAUAUAUGGUUUAAUAGUAUAAUGUCACUAUUAAAUCAUAUCGCAUAAUAGUUUUCUCAAACUUCAGCAAAUUCAAUAUCAUUGAUUGGAACAUAAUACUAUGAAAUUGUAUGGCUUAAUGGCUUUUUCAGGCUUUAACAAAGUUGAGGAUCCUGAAUCAGAUUAAUACUCUAUAUGUAUGUAUGCAUUUAUGUAUAUGAAUUGAUUUUCCUUGUUAGAAAUAUGGUAUAUUAAUCUGCUUGCAUUGUGCAAACAUGCAUUACAGGCUGAAUUGCCAGAUCAGACUGUAGCUGUGAAGAUGCUUUCUUCUCAAUCAAAGCACGUGAUUGAUCAAAUAGGAACUGAAGUUUAUGCCCUUACAACACUGAAACAUGAAAAUAUUGUCGAAUUUUUGGAUGGCUACUCUAAAAAAGACCUCAACUUACUCAUCUACGAAUACAUGGAAAAAGGAUCGCUUGAACGAGCCUUGUUUGGUAAACCAAUUUAUGUAUAUUUUCAUCAUCAUUUUAUUUCUAUCAAUUUUUCAGCUUAGUGCCAUCUUCUAAUCGGGGAAUCCUGAACUUUAUUAAAGUUGGGGAUGAAUUUACAUUUUUGUAAGCUAACUUUUUCACAUUUUUUUUUUAAAAUUGUUUUCACUCAAUUCCCGAUUGGAAAAUUAAGUAUUAGCUUAUGUAACAGGUUAAAAUUACUUUUUUUUUUUAAAAAAAUAAUUAUUAGUUAAAUAUUUGUAGAUGCCAAUUCUUCCACGCGACUUGAUUGGCCAACCAGAGUCCGUAUCUGCCAUGGAAUAGCAAAGGGUCUAAAGUAUCUACACGAAGAUAAUCCGAGUCGUAAAAUCGUUCACAGAAAUAUUAAACCCAGCAAUAUUCUGCUUGAUGGGAAUCUGAACGCUAAGGUGUCUGACUUGGGAUUGGCAAAGCUUUAUGACGAAGAAAAUCCAUACAAGUUUAUCCAAGAAAAAGGGACAGUGUAAGUAGCAAAUUAAAUUGAGCAAGCACAAAAUGUAUGCCAUCUUGCACAAGCAAUAGCAUUAAUUAAUUAAUUAUGGUUGCUUGCAGAGUUUACAUGGCACCAGAGUAUGCAAUGCGGAAAGCAAUAACAGAAAAAGUUGAUGUUUUCAGUUUUGGAAUUGUUCUGCUUGAAAUAAUUAGUGGGCAGACAAAUGCCAAGUAUGAAGCAAACCAGGAGACUGAAUUUCUUUUGGAUACGGUAAGAAGACAACAACUAGAGUCAGCUUUCAGUUCGGGAAUCUCAAAUUUUAUAAAGCUCUACACAAUACCCUUUUCAUGGUUUACAACACUGUAAACAGAAUCCUUCACUUCAAAAAUUCCAGGAUUCCCAGAUUGAAAAUAUCUCCUCCAUAUGCAUAAAAUAAGGUCUUAAUUUAAUUUGCUAACGAUGUCGCAUGGCAUGGGAUAUAUGGAUUAAUUAAUAAAUAAAUAAUGUACACUGUGCAGGCCAUUGUGUUGCAUUCAAAGGGAAGGCUUUCUGAAUUGGUCGACAAGCAAAUGCCAAAUGAGCAUGUAGUGAUGAAGCAAGCCAAAAUAAUCUUGGAGUUGGCAAUGAGAUGUGUGGAUCAGUCACCUACUCUCAGGCCAACUAUGUCUGAAUUUGUGAGCGAGCUUGAGCGCAUCUCUAAUUAGAUCUGAACUGCUCAGGAUUCUAUGGUUCCACGUGGAUCCUUAUUGAACUCUGGACUGGAAUGUCUUGGUGAAGGUUAAGCCUAUAUACUACGAUUAUGCAUAUGUAUGUACACCGGGCAUUAUCUUAUGUUGACGGUGCACUGCUGCUUUCAAAUAUAUAUGGGUCGCUAUAAUGCUGUAAACGUUUAACAGCAUUAACAAUGUAAUAAAUGUAUACCAUUAGAUUUAAUUACUCUAAUGCAAUAUUUGUGUUAAAGUAAAAGAUAGUUUAAUUAAUAAUUAUUAUAACUACCCUUAUAGUUUGAAACAAUUGUACUUGAAUAAUACUUUUAUUUAAAUAAACCUUUAAAUCAAUGGUGUAACUCUAAUAAACAACACAACUAAAUAUGUACAUUUAAAUGAAUAUCAUAAAUUGUAUAAAUAAAUCUUUAAGUGAGAUUUUUUGUAUUUUAUAUAUAUUAGGACCUUUGUAUAACUUUUGAAACCCAUUUCUCAUAUAUGCCAAGAUCAACCUAGGACACGUAGGCUCGGCUUGGGUUGGGUUUUCCUACUAUCCCUAUUGCCAAGUGAUGGACCAUAUGGAAAAUCCACACAUGAAAUGCUUUUUGAUGUACCACCAAAACUAUCUUGCUUAAGAGUUUUUGGUUGCUUGUGUCUCGAUAAGAAUUUUUAGAUUAAAAAUAAAUUUGACCAACAUGUAUGAUAUCCCUUACAACCCAUGUAUUAUAUGCAAAUUCUAUUCAAUUCUAAGUACGAAUUUGAUUUUAUUUUAUUUUACUUUAAUGAAUAUAAAUUAGGAUUGGGCUAUUUAAACCCACCAUAGUACUUUAUACACCCACUUUUUCAUAAAAAAUUUAAUAACUAAAUGUCCAUGAGUUAAAUUACUAUUAUAUCUAAAUGAAAUUAGCCUAUCCUCUCCACCAUCUAUGAAUCCAAUUAACUUAAUUGAUUUUUCUACAAAAAGAGUAGCAAAGAGCAAUGUUUUAAUUUCGUUUCAUUUUCUUUUCACCUAUACUCUUCCGAGUACACUUUUAUAGAUAUAUUUUCUUUUAAUGUGUGACAUUGUUGGUUAGCAAACUUCUACCUCUUGGAUUCAAUCCCCUUUCAACUCAAAUAUGUUUCUCAACUAGAGACAUAUUUAUUUUUAGACUCAAUUAAGGAGCAAAGAGAAAAUAAAAUCUGAAUUGUUUUUGGCUUUUCUUACAUUUAUGAUGCAAUCAUGCAAUGAGUUCCACAAGGAUUAGACAAUAAAUUAAAAAUAAAAGUCAUAUAAUCAAUCAUAAAGAAAACAAACCAUGCGAGAUGGCUAAGCCAUUGAUAUUUUAAUUUAUUGUUGGGUAUGAUUCAAAUAUACUUUCCCAACAGGUGAUUCUGUAUUUCUAGGGAUAAAACAUUUGAAAUUAAUUUAGUAAAGGUAUAUUGGCACUGAGGUGGGUUUAUAAAGUAAAACUUUCAUAUGUAAGAGAGGUUUAUUGAGAGAAUGUGUUUAAAGAGUAUUUUAAUGGGUUCUAAUAGCCUUACCCUAUAUAUUAAUAUCACUAAGGGAUUUUACCAAUGACCCAUCAAAGAUGUAUUAGUGGAAUUAAUUAGCAGGUGCUUCGUUUUAUAUUCAUAAGACCCAUGACUUGUGUAUUAUUACUACAUUGUAUGUUGAAAACAGAAGGGGACUAAACUGCUCAAUAUUAAAACUAUUUAGGCAAUAGAAGAAUUUGCUAAACUGAAGGACUUUAUUGAUAGUUUACAAGAAAAACACUACAACACUCACGGCUCACUCAUCUUUCUCUAUACUAAUUCUUCACUCUUUACUUGAUGCCUAUAACAAAGAGCUUUAAGGAUAUUUGUAGUAACUUAAAACUAAUAUAAACCACACAAAUAUCAAAUUACAAAAAUUUAAUAACCUCAUUUUACAAAUAUCACCAAAUAUUCACGAACAUUCUAGAUUUAGAUAUUUUUACUUCUAUUAGAUAUUUUUUAAAUUAUAGUCAUCUCUCAUUUUCUACACAAUUCUUGAAACUUCCACGCAUUAAACUUUUAAAUUGGGCUUGGCUAAGUAUAAUUGGAUUAGAUCAUGACCCAACGCCAACUUUCAUCCUUUGAUUCAUAUUUAAUUGUUGCUGGAACUCUUGAAACUUUUCGAUACUAAGACUUUUUGUAAACAAAUCUGCAACUUGAUCAUCCAUCUUGAUGUACAACAUUUCAACUUCAUCUUGCAAGAACUUUUCCCUGGUGAAGUGUUAGUGCACCUCCACAUGCUUAGUUCUCCGUUAAGCUAAUAGCCGAUUGGUUAUCACAAUAUAAUGAUACUGCGUAAUCUACUGGUUGGUGUAGCUUCUUCAUAAACUGCGUUAGCCAAGUGCUUUCUUGAACUGUCAUCGCUGCUAUUCUAUACUCCACUUUUGUGGUGAUAAUGAUAUAGUUGGUUGUCUUUUACUACACCAAGAAAUUGUUCUAGACCCAAUUCUAAAAACAUAUUCAGUACUUGAUCUUCUUGUAUCAUGAUCUCCGGCGCAGUCAGCAUCAUAAUAGCAAGUCAGCUUGUAACUUUCACUUCUUGUAACUUUCACUUUCUUUUACAAUAUACCAAAGUUGAUUGUAUGUUUCACAUAUUUUAGUAUUUUUCAAACCAUUUCCAAAUGAAGCUUCUUUGGAUUUUGCAUAUAUAAGCUUAUUACACCGAUUGCAUAUGAAAUGUCUGAUCGAGUUAACGUUAAGUAGAACUUUUUACGAAUUUUCGAUACAUCGUUUCAUCUUGUAAAUCUUUGCUUUCAUGUGUGCAAAAUUUUGCAUUGACUUCCAUUGGAGUUGAGAUUGGCUUGCAUUCUAACAUUCAAAACUUCUUCAACAAGUUUUUGGCAUAUUUCUGUUGGCAAAAGAAUAUCCCCUCUUCUAUUCGAUCAACCUCUAUACUAGGAAAGUGCUUAAGCUAACCAAGUUCUUUCAUCUAGAAAUGAACUGAUUAGUUCUCCUUUUGCUCGCCGAAUCUCUUCUUCAUCGUCACCAUAAAUAAUCAAAUCAUCCUCGUACCCCAAUAUAGUUGUUAACUUUCCUUUAUUAGAUUUGACGAACAAGCUAGAGUCUACAUGUGCUACUGCCACUCUAAGUUAGAAAUUCAACAAUCUUACCAUACUAUGCCCUUGGUGCAACCGUAUAAUGCCUUUCUUAGCUUGCAUACAUAUUUCGGAUGAGCUUGAUUCUCAAACCCUCUUAGUUAGUUCAUGUAGAUCUCUCAAUCUAAUUCUGUGUAGGAAGACAUUUUUUAUAUCUAUCUGUCAUAAUUUCCUUUCUUUGUUGGCUGUGAGUACAUGUAGAGCUCUUGAUGUUGUGAGCUUUACCAUCAAAGUAAAUGUUUAUCAUAGUUUAGCCCGUAUUGUUGUGAGAAUCCUCGAGCUACUAACCGAGCUUUGUGUCUUUCAAUUGAACCAUCUGGGCAAUUUUUAAUCUUGUACACCCAUUUGCAAGAUAUUUUAUAUCCUUUAGUUUCGGAACCAGAUCCCAAGUUUGAUUAUGCUUCAAUAAGGUGAUUUCUUCCUUUAUCGUCUUCAUCCAAUGAGAAUUCUCUGCUAGUUAUUCAAAUGUCUCAGGUUCUUUUACUUUUUUCUUAUUCUGCAACUACUACAUUAAUGUACAUGAGAUUUACCUUUCUCAUUCUUUUGGAUCUUUUAAGUUGAAAUUUAGAAGUUCUUGGUUCUACUUUAUUUGGUUCUUCGUCUACAAUAGAGCUCUUGUGAACACUUGUCUUUCAAGGACUUUGCGCCUUAUCAUGCUCGAUAUCAUCAUCCCUUAGAUCAUUAGAAUCUUUAAAUUCUUCUUGGCUCGGGUGAAUUUCAAUAAUUCGUUCCUUUAUUUGGUCUUCAAUUUCUUUUGAAUCUAAUAGCUCUUCUUUUUCUGAAGACUAUCAUGAAGAUGCUUCGUCAAACACCAUAUUUCGUAUUGUGUAGCACCGUCCACUAGUAGGAUCACAACACCUCCAUUCUUUCCUCCGACAUUCAUACUCGAUAAAGAUACGAUGAUCGCCUUCUUGUUAAAUUUGCUUCGUAAGUGGCUUAGUACUAAGACAUAGCACACAAAGCUAAAGGCUUUACAUUCUACAGCUUCUCAUAAGGUGAUGUGAACCCUAGUUUUGGUUAAGGAAGCAUGUUGAUCACAUGAGCUAUCGUCUUUAUAACUUUGGCCCAAAAACUUAUUGGUACAUUUUUUGCAUGUAUCAUAUUCCGAUAGAUAGAUCUCCUGUAGAUGCUGCUUUUUUCAUUCUGCUACUCUGUUCUGUUGUGGUAUAUUGGCACAAGUGAACUAAUGACAUAUCUUAUAGUCUCAAAGAUACUAGGAGAACUCAUGUGAUGUAUACUCUCAUCCACUGUCUAUUCAUAAGUAGUAAAGCUUCUUUCUUACUUCUCAUUCGACUAUGUUUUUGAAUUCCUUAAACUUUGAAAAAGUAUCAGAUUUUUUUUUUUAUAAAGAGGACCCAAACAUAUCUGGAGAAGUCAUCGAUAAAUGUGAUCAUGUAUCGCAUGCCACUAAUAGAAGAUUGCUUGACAUGCCCAAACACGUCAGAAUGUACCAAUUGUAAUAGUUUUUUUUGCUCUGAACUUUGACUCCUCAUAUGGGAGUUGGUGAGCCUUGCCGUAUUGGCGCCUUGCACACGCCAUGUUUAUUCUCACAUCAAGUUGAGGCAGACCUCUGAGCAUUGACUUCGGACGUUAUCUAGCAUGAAUUUAUUAUAAUGAAGUGUUUGAAUAAAACCAUUUUUUCCUACAUAUUUGUCACAUGAUCAACAAAUAUGUAGGAGACAUAGAUCAAUGUUUUUUGUUAGGCAGGAAGCCAACAACCAAAACUAGGAAUGUUACUGACAAUAACUAAGAAUCAUAAGGUGAUCGAGGAGGAAACGAUCUUCAAAAUCACAAUCAAAUAGGAAAAAAUGAAUAAACAGCCCACAUUGGGACAAUAACACUUCUUUUACAAGAAAGAUGAUGUGUUUUACAGAGCUAAAGCCUGAUAAGCAGCAGCGAUGAAAUGAGCUCAAACUACAUUUAAGCAAUCUACUAAAAAGCUCAACCUAUUCCCAAAAAAUUAGACUCAGAUCUCGGUCUCAUAUGUUUAUAUUAUGCAAAUCAGUACAGAGGAAAAGCUGAAAUGAAAAAAUAACUAUCUGAUGCUCAUGUUUUAUUUAACUUUCUUUUGAUCUUUAAUCAAAUGGCACAUAUACAAUGCAGCAAAUGGGUAUUAGUUUCAUUCCCCCAAUAGCAGUGAACCGAAAAAUACCACACAUUUGAUUUAAUAGAUGAAGUUCUCUUCAUAUCAACAUAUCUAAAAAUUAAAAAUCACCUCUUUACAAUUUUCUUGACGUGCAGCCAAAAGCUCAUUUUAUUUCAAUUGCAAAUAUGACAUUUCAGCUUGCAGCUUCUCAUAUUCAGAGACAUUGGAGCUCAUAAUUUCUGUUUGAAAAAACCUGCCCACUAAAAUAAAUAAACAAAAUAGAAAAACCUAAUUUUUCAGCAAUUAAAUGAUCCCAUUUGAAAGAAGAAAAAAAUUACAUGAACUUACUCAAGAGCAGAAGAAGGCUUGUCAUUUUGCUCAUACAAUGCAACAAGUGUCAAAGUCAUGGGCGGUGCCAAACCAUUAUCAAUUUUGGCCACCCAAAUUGAAGUCUAAGGAGUGCCGCCCAAAUGAAGAAAAAAAGGAAAAAAGUUUGACAAGAACAAAGAAAAAAUGGAGAUGGUGGUUGGUAUACCAAAUGAAAAAAAAUGAAAAAAAAUAUUAUUUUAAUAGCCAAUUUUGCUAUAAAAGGGGAGAGCUCCAUUUCGAUUUUAGCAUCCAAUUUUUUGAGAGGUAUUUUUGAGAGAAAGUUUAGAGAGCUUGAAAAAUUAUAAGCUCUUGUUAUAGUGAUUGAGAGUUUGGGUGUAUUGGAGUUUUGGGAAGUGAGCUAAAAUACUACAAUACUUGUAACUCAUUUUCACUAGUAAAAUAUUUUCUUCUGUCUUCGCCCGUGGACGUAGGCUAAAAGCCGAACCACGUAAUUUCUGGUGUCCUCUAUUGUGCUUAUUCUUUAUUUUUCUUCCAAUUUUAUUUUAGUUGCGGUUCUGCUUCACCCACCAAUUUCCUAAUAGUGGUAUAAGAGCUAUUGGUUGUAUUUUUUAGAGUCGGGUACUGUACGUAAGGGGUACUAUUUACAUAUACGGUACUGUUCACGUAUAGGGUACUAUUCACGUAUACGGUACUAUUCACGUGAAACGGUGGGAGUGAUCCAAGAAUUUUACGGUGCAAAGCAAGGAAUAGUUGUGUGAGUAAAGCAACUGUGUGGUUUUGUACAUGUUUAGGAAGUUCUGUCACAAAUGCGAUAAGAGCUUAAGGAGUCUGGUUUUAAGUGGGACCAUUGUGAACCCUCUAGUCUUUCCUGGGAACUUUCCUGGUGUGCAUUCUUACACAUACUCACAAUUAUUCAAGGUGGUACACUAGCUUGUGUGCAAUAUUUAUCAAAAAAUGGCGGCAACGUAUGAAAUUGAGAAGUUUAAUGGAAAUAAUUUUUCGUUGUGGAAAAUGAAGAUGAAAGCUGUAUUGAGGAAAAAUAAUUGCUUGACAGCAAUUGGAGAAAGGCCCAUGGAGAUAAUUGAUGACAAGUGGAACGAGAUAGAUGACAAUGCCAUUUCUGAUCUACACUUGACACUUGCAGAUGGAGUAUUAUCCAGUGUGGCAGAGAAAAAUACAGCGAAGGAAAUAUGAGAUACUCUCACAAAAUUGUACGAGGCCAAGUCACUACACAACAAAAUCUUCUUUAAGAGGAAACUUUAUACUCUUCGAAUGGCGGAAUCUACAAUGGUGACCGACCACAUCAACACCUUGAGGACUCUAUUUUCAUAACUCACAACGUUGGGUCAUAAUAUAAAGAAAAAUGAACAUGCAGAGCUUCUACUUCAAAGUCUAUCAGAUUCGUAUGAUCAACUCAUCAUCAACCUGACAAACAACAAUCCAGUGGAGAGUCUAGUUUUCGACGAUGUUGCAGCCUCCGUAUUAAAUGAGGAGAGCAGGCGGAAAAAUAAGGAAAACAAAAGCAAGUUCGCAAGCGGAGGCGCUAUCGGUGACGAGAGGAGAUCAACGGAACGUGGUCCUAGUGGGAGUCAAAAUCAUGGUAGAUCAAAAUCCAAAAGUAAGAAGAAUGUUAAAUGCUACAAUUGUGCAAGAAAGGGCACGUCAAGAAAGAGUGUUGGAGUAACUAGAAGAGAAAAGGGGCAAAGAACAUGAGUCAUCAAAUGCUCAGGUGUGUGUAGCAAGUACCUCGGAUGAUGGCAAAAUUCUCUACAGCGAGGCAAUAACUAUUUCAGAAGGCAGAAAAUGAAUGUCUGGUGUCUGGCUUAUAGACUCAGGAGCUACCUGACACAUGACCUCUCGGAGAAGAAUGGUUCCACACAUAUGAACCUAUCUCAGGAGGAUCUGUAUAUAUGGAGAUGAUCAUGCCUUGGAGAUCGCUGGUAUGGUACUAUCAAAAUAAAANNNNNNNNNNNNNNNNNNNNNNNNNNNNNNNNNNNNNNNNNNNNNNNNNNNNNNNNNNNNNNNNNNNNNNNNNNNNNNNNNNNNNNNNNNNNNNNNNNNNNNNNNNNNNNNNNNNNNNNNNNNNNNNNNNNNNNNNNNNNNNNNNNNNNNNNNNNNNNNNNNNNNNNNNNNNNNNNNNNNNNNNNNNNNNNNNNNNNNNNNNNNNNNNNNNNNNNNNNNNNNNNNNNNNNNNNNNNNNNNNNNNNNNNNNNNNNNNNNNNNNNNNNNNNNNNNNNNNNNNNNNNNNNNNNNNNNNNNNNNNNNNNNNNNNNNNNNNNNNNNNNNNNNNNNNNNNNNNNNNNNNNNNNNNNNNNNNNNNNNNNNNNNNNNNNNNNNNNNNNNNNNNNNNNNNNNNNNNNNNNNNNNNNNNNNNNNNNNNNNNNNNNNNNNNNNNNNNNNNNNNNNNNNNNNNNNNNNNNNNNNNNNNNNNNNNNNNNNNNNNNNNNNNNNNNNNNNNNNNNNNNNNNNNNNNNNNNNNNNNNNNNNNNNNNNNNNNNNNNNNNNNNNNNNNNNNNNNNNNNNNNNNNNNNNNNNNNNNNNNNNNNNNNNNNNNNNNNNNNNNNNNNNNNNNNNNNNNNNNNNNNNNNNNNNNNNNNNNNNNNNNNNNNNNNNNNNNNNNNNNNNNNNNNNNNNNNNNNNNNNNNNNNNNNNNNNNNNNNNNNNNNNNNNNNNNNNNNNNNNNNNNNNNNNNNNNNNNNNNNNNNNNNNNNNNNNNNNNNNNNNNNNNNNNNNNNNNNNNNNNNNNNNNNNNNNNNNNNNNNNNNNNNNNNNNNNNNNNNNNNNNNNNNNNNNNNNNNNNNNNNNNNNNNNNNNNNNNNNNNNNNNNNNNNNNNNNNNNNNNNNNNNNNNNNNNNNNNNNNNNNNNNNNNNNNNNNNNNNNNNNNNNNNNNNNNNNNNNNNNNNNNNNNNNNNNNNNNNNNNNNNNNNNNNNNNNNNNNNNNNNNNNNNNNNNNNNNNNNNNNNNNNNNNNNNNNNNNNNNNNNNNNNNNNNNNNNNNNNNNNNNNNNNNNNNNNNNNNNNNNNNNNNNNNNNNNNNNNNNNNNNNNNNNNNNNNNNNNNNNNNNNNNNNNNNNNNNNNNNNNNNNNNNNNNNNNNNNNNNNNNNNNNNNNNNNNNNNNNNNNNNNNNNNNNNNNNNNNNNNNNNNNNNNNNNNNNNNNNNNNNNNNNNNNNNNNNNNNNNNNNNNNNNNNNNNNNNNNNNNNNNNNNNNNNNNNNNNNNNNNNNNNNNNNNNNNNNNNNNNNNNNNNNNNNNNNNNNNNNNNNNNNNNNNNNNNNNNNNNNNNNNNNNNNNNNNNNNNNNNNNNNNNNNNNNNNNNNNNNNNNNNNNNNNNNNNNNNNNNNNNNNNNNNNNNNNNNNNNNNNNNNNNNNNNNNNNNNNNNNNNNNNNNNNNNNNNNNNNNNNNNNNNNNNNNNNNNNNNNNNNNNNNNNNNNNNNNNNNNNNNNNNNNNNNNNNNNNNNNNNNNNNNNNNNNNNNNNNNNNNNNNNNNNNNNNNNNNNNNNNNNNNNNNNNNNNNNNNNNNNNNNNNNNNNNNNNNNNNNNNNNNNNNNNNNNNNNNNNNNNNNNNNNNNNNNNNNNNNNNNNNNNNNNNNNNNNNNNNNNNNNNNNNNNNNNNNNNNNNNNNNNNNNNNNNNNNNNNNNNNNNNNNNNNNNNNNNNNNNNNNNNNNNNNNNNNNNNNNNNNNNNNNNNNNNNNNNNNNNNNNNNNNNNNNNNNNNNNNNNNNNNNNNNNNNNNNNNNNNNNNNNNNNNNNNNNNNNNNNNNNNNNNNNNNNNNNNNNNNNNNNNNNNNNNNNNNNNNNNNNNNNNNNNNNNNNNNNNNNNNNNNNNNNNNNNNNNNNNNNNNNNNNNNNNNNNNNNNNNNNNNNNNNNNNNNNNNNNNNNNNNNNNNNNNNNNNNNNNNNNNNNNNNNNNNNNNNNNNNNNNNNNNNNNNNNNNNNNNNNNNNNNNNNNNNNNNNNNNNNNNNNNNNNNNNNNNNNNNNNNNNNNNNNNNNNNNNNNNNNNNNNNNNNNNNNNNNNNNNNNNNNNNNNNNNNNNNNNNNNNNNNNNNNNNNNNNNNNNNNNNNNNNNNNNNNNNNNNNNNNNNNNNNNNNNNNNNNNNNNNNNNNNNNNNNNNNNNNNNNNNNNNNNNNNNNNNNNNNNNNNNNNNNNNNNNNNNNNNNNNNNNNNNNNNNNNNNNNNNNNNNNNNNNNNNNNNNNNNNNNNNNNNNNNNNNNNNNNNNNNNNNNNNNNNNNNNNNNNNNNNNNNNNNNNNNNNNNNNNNNNNNNNNNNNNNNNNNNNNNNNNNNNNNNNNNNNNNNNNNNNNNNNNNNNNNNNNNNNNNNNNNNNNNNNNNNNNNNNNNNNNNNNNNNNNNNNNNNNNNNNNNNNNNNNNNNNNNNNNNNNNNNNNNNNNNNNNNNNNNNNNNNNNNNNNNNNNNNNNNNNNNNNNNNNNNNNNNNNNNNNNNNNNNNNNNNNNNNNNNNNNNNNNNNNNNNNNNNNNNNNNNNNNNNNNNNNNNNNNNNNNNNNNNNNNNNNNNNNNNNNNNNNNNNNNNNNNNNNNNNNNNNNNNNNNNNNNNNNNNNNNNNNNNNNNNNNNNNNNNNNNNNNNNNNNNNNNNNNNNNNNNNNNNNNNNNNNNNNNNNNNNNNNNNNNNNNNNNNNNNNNNNNNNNNNNNNNNNNNNNNNNNNNNNNNNNNNNNNNNNNNNNNNNNNNNNNNNNNNNNNNNNNNNNNNNNNNNNNNNNNNNNNNNNNNNNNNNNNNNNNNNNNNNNNNNNNNNNNNNNNNNNNNNNNNNNNNNNNNNNNNNNNNNNNNNNNNNNNNNNNNNNNNNNNNNNNNNNNNNNNNNNNNNNNNNNNNNNNNNNNNNNNNNNNNNNNNNNNNNNNNNNNNNNNNNNNNNNNNNNNNNNNNNNNNNNNNNNNNNNNNNNNNNNNNNNNNNNNNNNNNNNNNNNNNNNNNNNNNNNNNNNNNNNNNNNNNNNNNNNNNNNNNNNNNNNNNNNNNNNNNNNNNNNNNNNNNNNNNNNNNNNNNNNNNNNNNNNNNNNNNNNNNNNNNNNNNNNNNNNNNNNNNNNNNNNNNNNNNNNNNNNNNNNNNNNNNNNNNNNNNNNNNNNNNNNNNNNNNNNNNNNNNNNNNNNNNNNNNNNUAACUAAAGCGGGCCAUGACUAGUGUUCCGGUGCUAGCAUUACCAGAUUUUAGCCGACCAUUUAUCGUAGAGACAGAUGCAUCGGGGUAUGGGUUAGGAGCGGUCCUUAUGCAAAUCAACGCCCAAUCGCUUACUUCAGCCAAGUAUUAACAGCUAGGGCUCGACUCAAGUCAGUUUAUGAGCGCGAACUCAUGGCAAUUGUAUUAGCUAUUCAGAAGUGGAGGCCAUACCUUUGGGGCGACGUUUUAUCGUUCGAACCGACCAACGGGAGUCUCAAAUUCCUGUUGGAGCAACGGAUGGUGACUGAGGAACACCAACGCUGGUUGUCGAAGUUACUAGGCUAUGAUUUUGAGAUACAGUAUCGGCCGGGGUUGGAAAAUAAGGCGGCAGAUGAUUUAUCGCGACAGGGGAGGAACCUCAGUUGGUAGCUUUAUCGGUGCCUUUGGUGAUGGAUUGGGACGCCUUGUUAUGGGAAAUUGAAGCAGGCGAGGGGCUGAUAAAGAUCCGGACAGCGUUGUUACGUGGGGAACCGGGAUACCCGGGUUAUUCUAUGGAUGGACAGCGACUGUUAUAUCAAGGGCGUCUGGUGCUGCCGAGGACAUCACUCCAAAUACCGAAGUUAUUACGAGAGUUUCACGAGAGUGCUAUUGGGGGACAUUCCGGUGUUCUAAAAACUUAUCGGCGUUUGGCCGCAGAGCUGUAUUGGGUUGGGAUGAAGAAGGAUGUUGAGGAGAUGGUAGCGAAGUGUGAUGUGUGCCAACGCCACAAAUAUAUGGCAAUGGCGCCAGGAGGGUUGUUGCAACCAUUAUCACUACCCAAUAAGGUUUGGGAGUAGGUAACGAUGGAUUUUAUUGAAGGAUUGCCACAUUCGGAUGGAUACACGGUAAUCUUGGUGGUGGUCGAUCGACUAAGCAAGUAUGCUCAUUUCAUACCCCUACGACACCCUUAUACUGCUGUGAUGGUUGCAGCGGCGUUUAUGCGUGAGGUGGUACGUUUACAUGGAAUUCCGGAGCCGAUAGUAACGGACCGAGAUAAGGUUUUUUUGAGCCACUUUUGGAGGGAGUUGUUUAAAAUGCAGGGUACAAUUUUGAAGAGGAGCACAGCUUACCAUCCACAAACUGAUGGGCAGACUGAGAUAGUCAACCGAUGUGUAGAGACUUAUCUGCAAUGUUUUGUGUUAGACAAGCCUAAGCAAUGGGCGAGGUGGUUAGCAUGGGCAGAGUAUUGGUACAAUACUUCUUAUCACACUGCUGCACAGACCACUCCUUUUAAGAUCUUGUAUGGGCGAGAUCCUCCACAUUUGGUGUACUAUGGUCAAGGUUCGAAACCUGUAUCGCAGGUGGAUCAAUACUUGGAGGAACGAGAUCGAAUACUUGAUGAGUUGAAGAGGCAUCUAUCUAAAGCGCAGCAGAUAAUGAAAAAACAGGCGACGGUCAUAGGAGGGACGUACAAUUUGCGGUAGGAGACCGAGUUUAUCUGAAGCUACGGCCAUACCGACAGAAAUCUCUUGCGCGACGGAGGAGUGAGAAGCUCUCCCCUCGGUAUUUUGGGCCCUAUGAGAUCGAAGAAAAGAUUGGCGAGGUGGCAUAUCGGUUGAAGUUGCCACCAACAUCGGUCAUUCACCGGUGUUUCAUGUGUCUCAGUUCAGACGAGCUAUUGGAGAACAUACACCCUCUCCUUUGCUUCCGCCAACGCUGACUGAGGAUAUGGAGGUCGUGCUAGAACCAUCGGUUGUGGUGGGAGUACGCCAGGGAGUUACAGGACAACCUGCUGAUACAGAAGUGUUGAUUACAUGGAAGGACUUGCCAGACUAUGAGGCGACAUGGGAGCCAUAUGAGUUGAUACAACAGCAGUUUCCCGAAUUCCACCUUGAGGACAAGGUGUCUUUUUGGGAGGGGAGUAAUGUUAGACCUAUGAAAACUUAUGUUAGGCGCAAAUAUAAAGGGGCAGGGGCUGUUUAGUAAUUUUAGGGGCAGGGACAAUUUAGUAACUUUAUUAUUAAUUAGGGUUUAGCUAUAAAUAAGAGAUUAUGGAAUCAUUUAGGGUCUAUGUUGAGUUUUGUCUGGUAUUAGGAACCAUUAGGAUUUUUGGGAGAGAUUGACCUACCUCUCGAAUUGUAGGUCAGGAUUGAUUGUUUGUUUUCUUUUGAUUUAAUCAAUAAAAGUCAGCCCUAAUUUAGCCCUAAGUCCUAUCAUCUUCUCUCAUCAUGCUCGACUGAUUGUUGCAAAGGCAUUUUUGUUUCUGAGGUUUUCCUUGAACGAGUGGUUCUGUAGGCCAAGUCAGUAUGUAUUGUUUCCAUGACUGAGCCAAAGAAGUUUGUCACAGGUACCUAUACAGAGAAGAGAGAAACAAUGGCAAAUUCUUAGUCAAAACUCAGAAGUUAUUUCAACCCUAACAAAAAUUUUGAAUAAAAAUGUAGCAUCAGCUUCCAUACUAAUCAAUUAUUGUAAAGCAUAGAGGUGAUUCACCUCAAAAAGUGAUCAUAGUUUGCUUUGAAAUUAGUAAUAUUUAUCAUGGCAGUGGUAAACCAUCCUCAAUUAUCCAUAAUUAAGUUUAACAUAGACAAAGGCCCCUUCACAUCAUUCAGCCAAGCAACCACUAAGCUGAAGAGGUUUAACGAAACAACAUCUAUGUAUAAUUAAAAAUAAGCAUAAGAUGUACGCAGCUUGUGCACGUGAAAAAUGAGCACAAACUUCACCUAAACAACCGUAAAGAAUAAAAAAAAAAAAAAAAAGAUCAAAGCUAACCAGUUAGAAUGGAAAUGUAGAAUAGAAAUAUUAAAAGGAUCGGAGAAAAGCCAGAACUUCCAUACCUCCUCCAAUUUUCUUUGGUAUAGAUCUGUUCGAUAAUAUGCAGUUGACAUUAACAGAGUUGGAUUGUAAGAAGUGAAAAGACUGCAAAACAACCGUCACAGAUGUGCUAUAGACGGGGAUGGGCAAAAUCCCGGGCCAGCUCAGGGUCUUAGGCUCCAUUCGGUACUGCUGUAUUGCGGCUGUGCUUCCAAAGCAAAGCUGCCAAAGUUUUUAGUAAAACACUUUCAGCUUCAUUUUGGAAGCUAACCUAAUUUUACCCAUAGUUGUUCUAUGAAAAAUUAUUACCCUCACUAACUUACCUUUAACAAACUUCAAAGCUUUGAUUACCAAACACUCAUUUAGUUUCACUAAAUAGCUAGUGCUUCCAUUUCACAGAAGUCGCGGCUUCAAAGCCUCAACACCACAAUCCCAUAAGAAGCCUUACUGGUGGGUUAUGACUAAAGAGCACCCAAGCCAGGAAAAUACCUAGUUUCUGGGAAGCCCCAGCUGGAUCUGGUGAUGUUUGGCUGGGAUCAGGUUAUAAAACUUAUAUUGGCAUUCAAGCUUAUGUGUCAGAGACUCUAAGAUACUACUCUUAUAACGAGCAUAAAGUCCUACUUUCGUGUACUUGCUCAAUGACGCAUUGUCAUACAUAUUCAGCUUUUCAAAGAAAGCAAGGGUAUAAAAUGUGAAACGAUCCACGACAGAUACUCCAACCUGAAGUUAAUAAGAGAUGUUCAUAUGUAAUAACUGCAAUUGUAGAAGCAAAAUAAAAGAUUGAAACUUCAAAAACAGGGUAUACUAGGUCCUAUAUGUUUAAAGGAUUGGUAAACAAGAAAAUUCUAUCUUCUUAGCACUUACAUCAGAGUCCAAGUGAUGAGAAUAUGAGUUCUCCCCUUUCAUGCUACUUCCAAUAGCCAAACACCUGGGAAAUGAAGCUGCACAAUUUAAAAAAGGCGUUUCCUUCAGCAUCAAAACCACUGGUUAGGUAAAUCAACUUUUUAAAUGUAUGCUAAGUUAAAAGACUCAGAAAGUCAUGUCACUGGGUCCAAAUUUGAUUCAGAAGCUUGUUACCAAGCUCACAACCUAGAUGAUAGUAACCAGUUAUCUAAAAAAGAUGCAUCUCACAAAAGCCGAGUGCACAACAAUUGUAAACAUUGCUUUCAUGAACAAACAUUUGCGGAUCUCAUGCGGCGGAGCAGGGGUGUAGGCCCACAAAUGAAACAGAUAACUGCUUGAGUAUAAUGACAUUUGAUUCUUAAAUAAUUAUGAGUAGUCACCAAUGAAAGAGCAGCUAUGAAGUGAUUCGUAGUUUAACCAUUCAAACUGAGCAAUGUAGGUUAAAGAUUUUUCUUCACACUACCACGUGCAUGUUUCGCUAGUUUAAAAAUAAUACUGCAGAAAAGUAAAGUCUAAUAAUCACUAGAAGUAACUAGUCUAAUAUUUAUGAAAAGUGAAACCCAUUUAAACACACCAUACUAACCUGAGAAAAGAGUGUGGCAGCUUGGCAAGUGUCCACCAUUAUCAACAACUCCUUGAAUCUAGUUUUGUGGUAAGACACACAAGCUCAUUAUUAAGCAGGAUCAUUAAUGCAUAAAUGUCAACGGCCACCAAAAUCUACCAUAAACAAUUUAGCAUUUCACGUCGGCAUUUUCCAUUGAGAAAUAAAUAUGUUUCAUACAUACACCAUCCAAAAUGGCAGAACUACAAGUCUAUAAACCCUUUUACUUUCAUUCUUAUGGUUGAAUGUUAUUGUUAAAGGCAACAGGCAUGAAAGCAGAAUACAAUCUUAUCUGCGCUUUUCUUUCAUUUGCUUCACUGCAUCUGCUAGAUCAUGACUUUGGAGCUCUUCUGAGUCCUGAAAUUUUAAAAAUUCAUCUCCCCCAUGCCCAGUCAUGUAUAGAAGAAUAUGGCUUCCUUCGUCACUUAAAAGACGCUUUGAUCUAGCCUCGUGACGCCCGGUCAAAACUCUUAAACAGUUUUCAGCAUUCACUUCAUAACCAUGAUAGUCUACCUGGGUGAUUGAAGUUUAGUAAAAUGAGGAUCUGCUAAACUUUAAUUUCCUAGAAGCAAGGCAUGUUCAGUAAUUAUACAACCUUAAAUUUAAAUUCUUGAUUGACUGUCUCCAUAAGGUGUUCAUUGAAAGCCUUAUGGAGACUUAUAAGGAGACAGCACCCCUUUCAAAACCUAAAGACCUAGGCAGAGUAUCUGGAGAACACAGUACCAACCUCGACAUUAUCUCCAUACAAAUUAAGUUUAUGGUUCUCGUUAUUGAAACCUUGUGCUGGAUACUUGUUUCUAGCAUUACAAGCCAUGUCAUCUACCAGCAUAAGUAUUAUCCUCUCAUCGGGUAUUCCUAGCCGCUUAACUGUUCUGAAAAAUCAAGUUAAAGUGCACAGUCGACAAAUGAAAACAGGAGGGAAGAGAAAUGCAAAUUACUUCACAAGAUGAUGUGAAAACAACAAGCUAAUUGCUUGCCUAUAUAAGGAUAAUGUGUUAGCCAUAUGCCGAUAAUUGAACCUGAAAAAACCAAUUCAGCAAUUAAUUCAAUUGGCAAAGGACAUGGAAUCGGUUUUAGUUCAUCAAAACAAUGCCAUUUGACAUGGCUCAAGUAUCUAGUAACUUUAUGAAUCCAAGCAAUAAAAAACUUAAAGAAUCAAGCUUAUCAACAAGAAUGCAGUAAUAUUAGCUGAAACUCAGAAAUUACAAUCACAAGAAAGAGAAAUUGUAACAUGGGUAUUGUUUAUCAUCAACAUUGUUACAUGGGUAUAAUUUAUAAUGUAAUGGCAAAGCGUUAAUUCUUCCCAAAUCAAAUCAAAAUCGGGAAAAAAAAUUAUAAAAACUGCAAAAAAUAAAAUAAAAUAAAAUGAAGGUGAUUUAGUUACCAGAAGCGAGAAGUGCAAACCAAGACAGCCCAAUUGUUAGUGUGCAUGGUUGUCUCAGCUGACGCUCUGUACGAAAUCGAAAUGGAGAGAAUAAAAAACAACAGCAUCGCCGCCAAACUUUUGAAACCAAAUGAAUUGUACAUCUACCAUCAUUUUCUCGCGAAUUUUAAUUUCUGGGUCAAAAACUGAAGACUGUGAUUUAAAUUUUAUUCGUUUUUUUUUCCUUUCCCUCUUUUGCUGAGGAUGAAAUCUAUUGUUGCAGUUUCAGUGACGCAAACAGUGCUCCGGCCGGAUCCACGUCCCGGAGCUGCAAAUAGGAUACAAAUUUGGUCCGCUCCCGUCUCGUAAUCCGACGAAUAAAUUAUCUUUAAGCCACCAAAACUUUUUGAAAAUUCCUGGGCAAUGGGAAAUGCUAUUUCCACAAAUUAAAUUACAAGCUCAUUUUAAUUCAGAUUCCUAUAAGUUAAUUAUGCGUUUACUAAACUAGAAUCAGAAUGAGUUGAAAUCAGAAUGUGCAGGAAUGAGAAUGAGUUGGAAUAGAAAUAAGAAAUGAGAAUCAGAAUAAAUUAUUUACUUGAACUGUAGGAAAUGAGCUAAAUUGUCAUAAAUAUGUUUACUUUGUCUUGUAAUCAGAAUCAGAAUAAGUUAGAUUGUAAUAAAUUAUUAAAAAAUACUAAAAUAAUUAUUGUCAUAAUUAUUAUUUUAUAUAUUAAUUAACUAUAAUAUACUAAUUAAUAUUAAUUAUAAUAAUAAUUAAUUUAUUAUGUUUGGUUUUUUAUUUUUUAUAUUUAUAUUUUUGAUUUAAAGAGGGGCAUUUUAAGAAAAUUUGAAUGUCAAUGGCGGCAAAAUGGGAACUCUAGGGAAUGGGAGAUUGAUUCCCACCUUCGCCAUGGAAUCAAUCUCUCAUUCCCCAUUCCCAAAUAGUGGUGGGCCCCACGAUUCCGAUUCUAAUUCUUACUCCAUUUUUGCGAAGUAAACGCCGUCGAUCAUUCCGAUUUCGGAUUCCGAUUCCCCAAUCUGAGAAGUAAAUGCACCAUAAGUAAACAAUUUAUUCUUAUUCUCAUUCUUCAUUCCAAUUCUAACUCAUUCAAAUUCUAGCGUAAUUCGAUUUCAUUUUUUUUUAGUUUUUUAAAGUUAAUUCAUUUUGUAUUUUGUGAUUUUUUUCAGCUUUUAUAAUAUAUAUAUAUAUAUGUUACUAAUCCUUAAUUGAAAUGGAUGGAAUUAGAAUGUUUAAAUGGAAUCAAAAUAAUUUUUUUUACUUUACUCAUAGGAAUUGGAAUACAAAUGAGUUGUAUUACUAUUAAUGUGUUUAUUUUAUCUUGCAAUCAAAAUAGAUUAUUACAAGUUAUUAAAAUAACUUAAAUUGAUUAUUGUUAUUAUUUAUUAUAAUAAUUGUGAUUAUGAUUAUUAUCAUUCAAUAUAAUUAUUAUUAAUAACAAUAAUAAUAAUCUUAAUAAAACUAAAAACAACAACAACAACAAUGAUCAAAAUAAUAAAUAAAUUUUAAUAAUAAUAAUAAUGACAUUAAUAAAUAAUAAUAAUGAUGAUGAUGACAUAUUAUUAUUAUUAUUAUUACUACUACUACUACUACUACUACUACUACUACUACUACUACUACUACUACUACUACUACUACUACUACUAUUAUUACUACUACUACUAUUAUCUUACUAAUAAUAAAUAAUUUAGGACCUAUUUGCAAAUGACAAAAAUUAGUUAAGGAUAAUCUGAAAAUUAAAAAUAUUUAAUAGAGGUAAAAUAAAAAAUUUAAGGAAUAGGGACUUGAUUCCCAAAAUUUUCUUAAUUUAAAAAACAUAUAGACCAUCUUAUAUUUCAUUCUCAUUCCUAUUUUUACUUUAACAAAUAAACACUAAUAAUCAUUCCCAUUUCAAAUUCUGAUUCCCUAAUCCUACAAAUAAAUACACCUCUAAUAUGAACCAAUUGAUUUUUUAUUAAUUUUUUAAACCAAACCGCACCAAACCGAAUCGUUGGUUCAGUUUGGUCUCUUCGAAGGACUUUAUACUCUAUAUUUUUUACACCUGAAAAUGAAUAUAUAAAAGGAAAAACAUCUUGGUUGAAUGAGAUCAAUAUCUCUAUAUUUUGUGUUUUUUAUUUCUAUUUAUGUGUCCUUUGUUAUUUAUUGAACCGCAAUUAGUAACAAAUUACCCAUAGAUAAUUUUCUUUUAUUACAUCCAUUUUCAUCUCUUUAUUUUAUAUAUAUUUAUUCUUUAAGUACUAGAUGAUAAUCCAACAUCUUUCACAGUAAUACAAAGGAGAUUGGAACUUAUACUUCAGUACAUACUCUCAUAAAAAAUUUUACAAAUCGAACAAUGUUAGAGUGCAAUUUAUGCACUAGUUUUGCAUUGUUUACUUCUCUUAAUAUCGAUGUUUUGCACUUAAUAAUAGUGAUUUACUUGUGUUUUACUUUUGUAGGUGCAAUUCUAUUGAUUAGUGAUAAAAUUGAGCUACAAAAUGAUGUUUAAGGAUGAUUGUUCUCUUGGAGAAAUUAUGAGCGGCAGAAGAACUUUGUUGAUAAGGCGUGGGCGCGUACUGUCAACUGCGAACCUGCAGUUUUUAGUUUAACGUGUUUUGUAUUUUUGGUUAUUUUUGUAAUUACGAAUUUAAUAUUUCAGAUAUUAGUAUUUUAUUUUAAAUAGAAUUCUAGAGGAGAAGAGAGAGAGAGUAUUUAAGGGAGGAAUCUAUUGUGAAAAAUGGAGAUUUUGGGAUUGGAGAAAAACAAAGAAACCCUAGAUCUAAACUUUUCUCUUCUCUCUAUGAAGAACUAAACCCAUUUUUCUGGUUGAAGGAUAAUGAAGCUUUGAUUCAUCACUACUGUGAGAUCUUUCUUGUGCUUUAAUUGUUUUAUUGCUUUUUGGGUAUUUGUUUAUUCUCUGAAUUAUUUUCAUGAUUAUGUUUGUUAAUUAGAUAAUUGGCCACUAUUUAAUUAUCAACUUAAUCUAUUGUUAAUUAAAGGAUUCAUCGUAUGAAGAAUUUAAUGUUUGUGACAAAUAACAUAGCAGAGAGUUGUGUUGUGAGAAUAAACAAUCUAAUUUAAAUGAAUCAUCAUAUGUGUUGAUUAGGAUUUGGGUCUCUCUGGUUUUUCAGGCUGUCAAUUGAUUAAAUCCUAUGAUCGUAUCUAGGGUUGUCUAUUGAUUAGGGAAAUAUCCAACGGUCGUACCUUGGUUAUCGACUAAUUAAGGAGAGAUUGGUUAUUAGAGGGUCUCAGUAGUUAUAACCGGUCUAUUCAUAAGUAAUAAUAAUUUAUAUUUGAAUCAAUGAUCAGUAGUCGAAUCAAGCUGAGUUAAUUCCUUCAACCAGAGCUUUCUCCAAUUUGAAUUACAACUUUAAUUUGCAUUCUUGUUAUUUUAAUUUGAUUUUUAUUAUUGUCAACAAUUCCCCAUUUUACGUUUUACGUUUCAAAAGGAUUUAAAUAAUUACCGAUCUCUGUGGACACGACCCUGCUCAAUCACUAUACACAAUUUAUUUAGAGUAGGAAUUUAUUUUUGUUGGCUUCGACACCCAUCAAAUUUUGGCGCCGUUGCCGGGGAUUGGUGUCAUUUAUUUAAUCCUUUUUACGUUUUACUUGGUGUAUGGUUCGUUCUUCUUGUACAGGUACACUUUCGUUUGAUCCUAAAAUUGAGAAGACAGCUCGCCAGCUGAGACAGCAGACGAAGCGAGAUAAGUAACGAUCCUCGUUGCCUUUGCUUUCUGAAACAGAUACGGUGCCUGAUUUAGUUGAAUUAUCUAGCGAUUCGGAAGAACAAGUGAUGGAUAGAGCUGCACAUGUAGAAAGAACUCUUAGAGAGUUAGCUGAACCAGACUUGAAUCAGCAACCACUCUGCAUUCAAUAUGUAGACUUAGAGGUAAAUUUUGAAUUAAAGUCUGGUCUUAUUCAUUUAUUACCCAAGUUUCAUGGUUUUGCAGGUGAAGAUCCUCAUAAACAUCUUAAGGAGUUUCAUGUUGUAUGUUCAAGUAUGAGGCCACAAGGCGUGACUGAAGAGCAGAUUAAGCUGCGUGCUUUUCCGUUCUCUGUAGAUGGGCUAGCUAAAGACUAGUUGUACUACUUACCUCCUGGAUCGAUUACAACGUGGAAUUGUUUGAAGAGGCAGUUCCUCGAGAAGUACUUUCCUGCUUCAAGAGCUGCCAACAUCAGAAAGGAUAUUUGUGGGAUCAGACAACUUCCUGGGGAGAGUUUGUAUGAGUAUUGGGAGCGAUUCAAACAAUUGUGUGCCAGCUGUCCUCAGCAUCAGAUUUCUGAUCAACUUCUUAUUCAAUAUUUUUACGAAGGACUAUCAUUAAUGGAUAGGAGUAUGAUAGAUGCUGCUAGUGGAGGUGUGUUGGUGAACAAAACCCCUACUCAAGCAAGGGAGUUGAUAUCAAAUAUGGCUGCCAAUGCACAACAAUUUGGCAACAUGCAAGAUCCCACUUCAAGGAAGGUGAAUGAGGUAAAUAUUUCUUCUGUUGAACAACGUUUAGAUAAACUUACUUCUCUUGGGGAAAAGUUUGUUGUAGGUAAUGUGCAACAGGUGAAGACUUGUGGCAUUUGUUACAAUAUGGGUCAUUCAACUGAUAUGUGUCCUACACUUCAAUAAGAACCCGUUGAACAAGCCAAUGCAGUUGGAGGAUUUCCAGGCAUGCCUCAGAGGAGGUAUGUCCUUAUGCACAAACAUACAAUCCGGGAUGGAAGGAUCAUCCCAACUUCAGCUAUGGAGUUAGGCCGUCAGGAUUCCCACAACAGGAUCCACCAAGACAACCAGCACCUCCACAGUCAAACUUCAAGUCAGGUAUAUCUCUUGAAGAAAUUGUUAAAUCACUUGCGACUAACACUCAACAAUUUCAGCAGGCAACUACAGCAAGCAUUCAGAACUUGGAGAACCAAAUGAGUCAAUUGGCGACUACAGUGAGCCGUCUGGAGUCUCAAGUAUUAGGGAGAUUGCCUUCACAAUCUGAGGUGAAUCCAAAGCAAAACGUUAGUGCUGUCAUCCUUAGAAGUGGGAAGGAGUUGCAAGAGCCUAGUAAGAAAGUGACAAAGCAUGUAGAAAAUGAGCUUGAGAAGAAUGAAUUGAUACCUCAAUCUCAAGAUGUGGAACCCACCAGAGCGAAACCCCUACCUAUUGUGAUACCUCCUCCUUUUCCAAGCCGGUUUGCAAAAUCCAAGAAGGAGGAACAAGAGAAAGACAUCCUUGAGACAUUUCGCAAGGUUGAGGUAAAUAUUCCUUUAUUAGAUGCUAUAAAACAAAUACCUCGAUAUGCUAAAGUCCUUAAGGAACUGUGCACCUCUAAGAGAAAAUUAAGAGGAGAUGAAAAAGUUCACAUGGGGGAGAAUGUUUCAGCAGUUCUCCAAAAGAAACUACCUCAUAAGUGCAAGGAUCCAGGUAUGUUUACUAUCCCUUGUAAAAUUAGUAGUGUUAGAAUUGAAAAGGCUUUGUUAGAUCUAGGAGCUUCUAUUAAUGUCAUGCCUCGUUCCAUUUAUUCAUCUUUGAAUGUUGGUCCAUUAAAAGAAACUAGCGUGAUAAUUCAAUUAGCUGAUAGGUCUAAUGCAUAUCCUGAUGGGGUAUUAGAAGAUGUCUUAGUACAAGUUAAUGAGUUGGUUUUUCCUGCUGACUUUUAUGUAUUUGAUAUGGAAGAUGAUAACUCCUCUAAUUUUGUCCCAAUUUUGCUAGGAAGACCUUUUCUUAAGACUGCUAGGACUAAAAUGGAUGUACAUAAAGGGACUCUCACUAUGGAGUUUGAUGGAGAGGUUAUAGAAUUCAAUAUGAAUGAUGCCAUGAAAUAUCCUAGUGAGGAACAUUCGGUAUUUUCUGUGGAUGUUAUUAACCCUAUAGUGCAGGAAGUUAUUUACAAGGAAAAACCAAAGACAUUUCAUGAUAGAAUGAUUUUGAGAAAGGAGUUCUCUGUUGGUCAAAAAGUUCUUCUUUUUCAUUCUAAGCUUAAACUUUUUCUGGGUAAAUUACGUUCUUGCUCGGUUGGACCUUUUAUUGUUACUAAUGUUUUUCCUCAUGGUGCAGUUGAGAUUCAGAGUCUGACCUCUGACAAAAUUUUUAAGGUUAAUGGUCAUCGCUUAAAACCUUUUUAUGAAGGUUUUUCGGUGAAUAUUGUGGAGGAUGUGGCUCUCGAGAGUCCUAAUUAUGGAGAUUGAUGCAUAAAUGUGUCUAGCCAAAGACAUAAAACAAAGGUGCUUUUUGGGAGGCAACCCAAAUGAUUUAUUUAUUUUGGUUUUUGUUAUAUCUUCUUUUAAUUUUGAUUCAUUUUUUUUAAUGUGUUUGCUUAUUUUGGUCAGAAGAAAAUUUUUGAUAAGGCGUGCCCACGUCUUAACUAAUAAGUACUUCUGUGAUUUUUAAAGUAAAAUGGUUUUAAGACGUGCCCACGUGCGAACUAGAAUGUACUGUUCCUGUCUUUAGUGUAUCGAAGUUUAUAUCUUCUUUUUCUUUUUUAAUCUUUCAACUCCAUCCUGAUAAUUUUAAAAUACGAACAUCAGCAAUUAAGCAUGACUCAUCGUAUGCUAUAUUAAUUUAAAUAUACAUUUUGUAUUAAAAAAUAAACAAUACUAAAUUCUAGUUCGUAAUCAAUCCUUCUAAUAGAAAAAUUUGUUUAAUAUAAUAGUAAGUAUCAUGCAACACCAUCAUCAUGAGUUUUAAUUUGACUUUUAAGAACGGACAUGGAUCUUCUUUUAAUAUUUUUUCCCCUUAAUCUCUUCAAGUGAAAUAGUGGUUAAAAUUGAAUUUUAAAAUUUCAUAUUGUCAAUCAAGCCAAUUUUUUUCACUUUAUUUAGAAAUAAAUUUAUAAAUAUUGAAGGACUAAGAGAGAUUAAAAGAGAUUGAAAAAAAGAAGAAGAGAGAAUCCUAAUCCUUGAAGAACAAACCCAAAUUCUCUAUCCUGUCAAAUGAAAUUCUAAUGCAAAAUAAAGAAAAAUGAUGGGUAAAAAUCAGUGCUCUAAAAGUGAGCGGAGAAUUGAUUAUUCUUCCCUUACUUUAUAAAGAGAUGAUGCUAAUAAUAAUAUACUUAAUCAAAGUUGUAGUAGGGAGUAAACAUAGCAUGCUAAUAAUAACUAAUAAUGGAAAGGGAUGCAGCCUGCUGUAGCAUGAAAUUGAAAUCAGCCUAAUCAGGCUAGUCAAUAUUUUGUGUGGCAGUCUUUAGCACCUUCAUUCCAUCUUUAUUUGCUUACUUUUCCUAUGAAGAAAAAAAAAAAAAAAGAGAGGAAAAAAAGGCAGAUUUUUAGCCACCAAUCAAAUUCAACACCCCCAAUACCUUUCGAGAGAAGUGGACAUCUUUAACAAUUCAGUGGCUUUUUUUAAAAAAUAAUAUUUGAAUACACUUGAAGUUGUCCAAAUUGUAAAUAAAGUUGAAUGUCUGAAUUUAAAUAAUAUAUUUUUAAAAUUGUUAAAAAUAAGUAUUAAAAUAUUUUUAACUGAAAAAUCCGAAAACUAUUAUUUUUUAUAUUUGUAUCCUUAUAAAUUAGAAAUGUGAAACAAAUAAUCAACAUAUUAAAUAAUAAAAAUAAAAUAACAUAUUAUGAACACAAAAAAAAUAUGCUCAAUUGAAUACAAUUCUUUAAUAUUUUUAAUUAGUACAGGUUAAUUGAUUUUAUUGUAAUUUACAAUGUUUUUAUAUUGUUCAUAAAAAAUUAUGAAGAUAAUAAUGCUAAUUUGAAUAAAAUAAAAAGAUAAAAUAAUAAUAUUCUAUCAUUAUAUCAACACAAGUUAUAGAGAUGGAUAAUAAUGUUAAUUAUUAAAUUUUAUUCAAGUAGGGAAGAAAAUCGAUUAAUUAAAUUGGGAUAUUUUAGAGAAUAGCUUUUAAUGAUAUCAUUAAGAUUUUUUAGAUUUUGCAAAAAGUUAAAAAAAUUGGUUUAAUAGCUUAAUGUUUUAAUGAUUGAAAAUUUUCGUUAAGUUGAAAAAACAAAUGGACUUAAUGACUUAAUGACUUAAUUGAUUGAAUUUAAGUUAAUUAAGUCAUUAAGUCAAAAAAACAAUCAAGCCCCUCUUUAGCUUUGCUUUAAGAGUGGUGCUGUUUUAAGCUCUCAAAAUCUUGAUAAAACCCCUCUUUUAAAUUUACAAUUGUAACCUCAAUGGAAAAUUAUAAAUGACAUUAAAAGACAAAGACUGAAACUUAUCAAUUCUUCAUAAUUUUCUAUCACAAAUGCAUGUACAGUAAUAUUUGGUUAAGAUUUAAUUGGUUUUAGAUUUUUAUCUAAUAACUACCAAUUAUAUUUCUAAAACGUUAGCAAAAAGUUCAAUUCAAUACCGAAUUUAAAUCCUAUUAUUAUGUGUGGCCUUUGCAGUACUUCAUAUGGGUUUUGCGUGGUGUCUUCAGGAACUAUUACAUAGUUUAUGAUUUUAUCUCUUGUUUGGUUGUUGAUGUUUUUUGAAUUUUGAUAAUAUAUGUAACUUGCAAGUAGUUUGAGUUUUUUUUUUUUUUUUCAUUUGCACAAUGAUUUAAAAGAAUAAAAAAAUAAAAAAGGUCAAGAGGAAAGUUUUGUAUCCCAAUAUUUAAGUCCUAAUUUAAGUUUCAACUAAUAUAACACUGAUAUAACGUUCAUCUAUUGAAUGGUAGUUAAAUAAUUUAUUGAAUGAUAGUUAAAUAAUUUUAGAAGUUAUAAAUUAUAUUAUCUAAUAAAUGAAUGGUAUUUAGAUUUAAGUUAAGAUUCAAAUGUUGGGAUGUCCAAUAUUAUUGAAAAGUUAAUACAGUAACACUGGCCAAGUUCGAAUAUUCAUCACACUCGAGUAACAGACAAAUUGAAUACAUACCUCAAGAAGAUCCAACAAUAAUACAUGUCAUGCUCUUAUUUUAUCAUAAGUGGCUAGUAUAAUUAAUGAAAGUAGCAGUGUACCAUACAUUCUGAUUUCUCAAUCUUGAUUCUUCUUCCAGACAGCCGGCUUGUCAAGAGGAAAAGGGGAAUUUUUCAGAUUGAAGCAACGGCUAACCUCUGCAUAACGCAGUAUAGGCAUAUCCUUGAGCAAAACAUUCCAAUCAAGAAUUAAGUUUGGCAUAAACUUUAAACAUAGACCCUCAAGGACCCAUGUGGUGCCAUUGCUAUCCUGAUCAGAUUCAGAACUGAUUUCGAAGUUGCUGAUGUCUCCAUCCUCAAGACAGAGAUAUUGCAGGCUUGAGAGGUGCUUAAGAUUAAUCCAUUUUGGCAGAAUUUCGUGGCGGUAUCGCCUGAGGUAAAGCUCCUGAAGGCUCGGAGGAGGCAAAAGCCUAUCCAACAUCUGUGAUACAUGUUUUUCUUUACAAUCCUCUGCAUCAAUAGCUAAAACUUUGAGUUUCUCGAGCUGUGAUAAGACAUUCCAUUCAUCUUCCGAGAUUUCACUCUCAUUAUUUAUGGACAUUCGUAGAACUCUUAGCUGCUUCAGUCCCAGCAGGGCGUUAAGUCGACAGCCUUGUGUGUUAGACUGACUCGCCACCCGAAAUCCAGACAGCUCCUGGAGAUAAAUUAGCUUCUCGAGUCCACGAGGUAGAUACUGGAGAGGACAAGAUCCGAGGUCCAAGAUGAUCAACUUUUUCAAACUAGUAAUUGAUGGAUGUAGUUUGGUGCACCUCCUCAGAACAAGUAUUUGGAGAUUACGAAGCUUUUGAAUUGAAGAUGGGAGCUCAAUAUUGCCUGCAACUCCGCUUAAGUUGAGACAUGCAAGGCGUUUAAGUGAAGAGAUCUUAUCCAAUAGAUCCUCAACAUUAAUUUGAUCAAGCUUACAGUAUGAGAAAUCCAGCACCCUCAGUGACAUGAGCGAUUUCACAUUCCAAAGGGAAACUGGAGUGCUUGAUUGCAGUAUCAAUGCCCUGAGCCUCGAACUUUUUUUCAGGGAUUUUGGAUCCAUGUCACUGUUGAAACCGAACCAUCGCGAGUCUUGUGUCAAUUUCUGCCUGCCUUGUUCAUCAAAGCUGCAAAAAGCCUCAUCUUUUGCAAUCUGAAUGGUCAUAUCCCUGACCAGAUCGUGCAUCUUGCAACUAUAGACCCUGCCAUCAUAGCCUCUUCGAUGCACAACUUCAACCAAGCAUCUGCUUACUAGCUCUGAAAGAUAAUCAAAGCCUAAUUCCGUAGCAGUCCGAUUGUCCCUGCCCCGGAUGAGUCCUUCUCCCACCCACCAAUGUACCAUCUGUUCACCACUUAUCUCAAAGUCGUCGGGAUAAACAGAGAAACACAAGAGGCACUGCUUUAGAUGUGUGGGGAGUUCAUCAUAGCUCAGUCGUAGAGAAGCCACCACCGAAUUGUUCUCUCUUUCGGUUGUCAAAUAUACAUGAAAAUCAUCAUUGAUUUUGUUCCACUCACUAAGGGAAUGGACUUUUGGAGCAAGCAAGCCUCCUAUUGUCUUGAUUGCCAGCGGUAGUCCCCCGCAUUUCUUCAAGAUCUCUCUACCUUUUUUUUCAAACUCCUUAUUGGGGCAUUUUCCCUUGCUCGUCAAAAAUGCAUGCUUGCAGAGUAAUGACCAGCUCUCCUCUUCAUUUAAAAUUUUUGGGCGAUGAAUUCUUGACUCAUCAACUCCCAAACUGUUGACAACGGUUUCAUUUCUAGAUGUGAUGAUAACGAAGCAUCUUUUUUCAGUCGGAUAUAAAUUCUUCCACCAAUCUAGAUUCAUUCUCCACACAUCAUCCAUUACAAUGAGACAGGUCUUGUCACUGAGCCUCUGUUGAAUUUUGUGCAGCAAAUGACUUUCUUCAAUUCCCGAUUCAUCCUCUCCCAGCUGUUUCAACAUGGCCCUCAUGACUCGUUCCUCGCUGAAAUUCUGAGAAACUGGCACCCAUAUCCUCUUCUCAAAGUAUGCAACCAUCUCUCUAUCAUUGAAUAUCUUUUGGGCAAUGGUGGUUUUGCCUAAACCACCCAUACCCACAAUACUGAUUUGCUGAAGCUUCUCAUUACUGCUAAGGAUCCACCCUUUAAUCUUUUCCAAGUCCUUCUCCAAACCGAUUAUUUCAGAUGGUUCCUGGUCCUCUGGGGAAUAUUUAAAUAUUUGGUAUGAUGAAUUAUUAGGCCCCUGCUGGAUGAUUGGCUGUUCUGCUCUUCCAUACACCCCCAAGCUAGACUCCAUUUUCUCAAUCCGUGAAUUGAUAUGCUUCAAAUCCUUGCCUGUUUGGUAUAUGAAAAACAAGUCACGAAGUGAGAACCUGUGGCAAAACCCAUCUUUCCGAUAUUCAUCUCUAAUUUGGCAAUCCGUCAUUAGGUCAUCAGCUUCAUAAAUUAUUUUUCUCAGGUUAGGCAAGAUCUUCUGCAUGAACUCCCCCCGAGUUUUCUGCUUAUCAGUGCAGGAGAUGAAGGCAGUCAUUAGCUCAAGCUUUGUCUUCAUUGCCUCAAGCUGAUCUUUAAAGUCAAGUGCGUACUGAGCUUGAGUCAGCAAAGCAGAAAACACUUUCUCUAUCAAUGUCCCAAUCAUCGCCUCUGUCGCUUUCGACGCCGCCAUAUCCUCGGGCAAAUGUUCCCUGUUAAUUUCAUGUUCAUUAUCAUCUAGUAAAGUAUACAUCUUAUGAGCUCGUAUGGGCUUCUGCUACAACCAUACAAUCAUGACACACAUAAAGUACAGAUGGCAGAAAAGAGACUAGCACUUUCAGUACUAGGAGGGACACGACAAAAUAUAUAAUGGAUUCAUCUCACUUCCAUGGGACUUGACAGAACAUCUAUCAGAAUAGUGAAGUCACCCAACAACAUUGAUCAGAGUAAAAUUGUGUCAUAUGCGUGAAUCGACAGAAUGAUACUAGUCAGAACAUAAUGAUGUAUCGAACAAAAAACUGAGAAUUGAAGCUAAGGUCUAGCUCAAAACUGAGAAUUGAAGCUAAGGUCUAGCUCACUUUCUUAGGACUCAGGUCUUACGUUCGAGCUUCAAUAGAACAAGUUCCGAAUAAAUUCUCUUGGUAACCAAGGAUCAAAUACAAUAAUUAAUUGCAAAGGUCGCUCCGGUAGUAAAAGCGACUUUCCUAAGACUCAGGUCUUAGCUUCGAGCUUCAAUAGAACAAGUUACGAAUUGGUUCUCUGCGUAACCAAGGAUCCAAUACAAUAAUUUAUUGAAAAUAUAUUCAUCAUAACUUUAAAAUUAAGUGAUACGACGGCAAAUAUUAACUUGAUAAAAGAUCAUCAUCAACCAUCAAAUUCUAUAAACAAGUUUUAGAAAUUUUCAUGUUUAAAUUCACAUCAAUCAUAGAUUUAGCAAUGGCAUGGGUGAAUCAUAAAAGGGUUUUAAGCAGAAGCACUUACUGGAAUCCUGAAAGUGUGUGUAUCUAUAUAGCUUGGAUGGGCUGAACAGAGAGUUUGCUGGAACCUGAAACCCAAAAAACAAAUUGAGUUUUAACAGUCAGAGUAGAUUGUUCAGCUGAAUAUAACAGAGUACCAUGUAAACAAAUUAUUUUUAUUUUUACUUGUAAUUCCUAGCUGGCUGUUCAACGUUUCAGUUCGCUUAAUCACUCACUAGCUCCUAUCUGGCUGUGCUAAUUUGAUUUCUAUUGCCGAUAUUUAUUAUAUAGGAGAAGAGAUGCCAGAAUUGAUCAAAUAACAAGCCACCUGCGCUUUGUUUUUUGAGGGUACAAGAAAAGAAGGUGAAAAAUAUAUUUUGACUGAUUAAUUAAAGUUGAAAGCUGUUGGAAUUUGGAGAUAAGAAGCAUUUAUAUCCUCUUCUCAUCACAACAAUCAAAUUUUGUUUAAUUAAAUAUCAUAACAAUUAUAUUUUUAAUUUUAACAAAUUAUAAAUUUAUGAUUUGAAUGAGACUACAUAGUUGCAUAAGAAUUUUAAGAAAAAAUAUUAUCUUAGUAGUUUAUAGAAAUCAUUAAUUUAGACCUUUAGCCCAAGUUGGGACUAUGUAAAAUUAUUAUAUAAUAGAGUUUAUUAACUUAUCUGAGUAUUAAAUUGUAGUGGAUUUACUAUAUUAACCUAAGUGGUGAUCUUAUUUGCAGUACUAGAGAAGUUUUGAUGGUAUAGUUAAUGGGACAAAGAAGAAUUGCGGUAAAAAGAGUGCGUGAAAAAAUCAGCUGUAAUAUAGUAUACAAUUAUUUUGUCAAAAGUGAUUUUUAAGAAAAUUUAUCAAACAGUAAAGUUAACUUUUAAUUUAAAAAAUUAUUUUUGAGCCUUCUAACAGAAAUUUCAAACAAAUCCCAAAUAUUUUUAAAUAACCAAGUAUAACAUUACUUAUAAAUAAAUUGAAGUGGUAGGUUAUUCUGUCCCAACAGUCAUUUCAAGGCCAGCAUAUCACAUACAAGCAGAAGGUUCUGUAUCGAAUCCUCUCAGUUGUUGAAUGCUCGAAUGUCUGAGGUCACAUACCAUCAAUAAAUAGUUUACUUAUCAAACAAAGAAGAACUUUUUCAAAAAGCAAAAGAAAAAAAAAGAAGACUGAUAAAAUCCUGAGAAUAUAUGCUUUUUCUUUGCAGGUGAAUUCGUAUUCAAAGGGCCCGAUAAAGCCUGAAAAUAUUAAUUGAUACUAUUCUUAUUGAAUUUUUAACAGGCAUGAAGAACAAUUAUAGGCUGGCAUUAUUGAUGUAACCCAAAAUGAAGAGAAUCAAAAUAAAACAAGAAAAGGGAAACUGCUUUAUUCACAAUAGGAAAAUAAAAGUACAUAUAUUCGUCACAAAAGUCAAAAUCAAUAUAUUUUUUUUAUAUUUCUGUCAAAAAGAAGAAUAAAUAAAGAGGUUUAAAAGUUUAAUGAUUAUUCUCGGUCGAAGCAAGGAGUGGGUAUGUUCGAAUUAAAAGUUUCAAUUAGAUUAAAUAUGAAAUUGAUUCUCAAAACAAAAUUUUAUACUGUUUCCAAGUUCUUCAAACAGUUUUAGUUUACUGACCAUUUGAGUUCAAGAGAUUAAAAAAAUUAAUUUUCGUUUUGUGCACCCCCUCUAUCUUUUACGGGUGGGGUAAAAUUUUGAACAAAGUCUAUAGAAUUUGUGGCUUUGUUACACAUACGGCCGGAUUUUGGUCCGAUUUUGCUGUUUAAGCCUUCAAAUGAUCUUUAUUUAUUUAUUUAAGAAAUUUUAACAAUGUUUUCAUUGAUUUUUUUUUAUCUUCCGUCUAGUUUUUGGAAUUAAGGAUACUUUGUUUCAUUUAUUUUAUUUUUAAUUUAUGGUAGGUUAGUAGUAAUCUGAUAUUAAAAAUUGGUGUUAUUGCAUUCUUGAAUGUUUUCAUUGAUGGUUUAUCUAAAGGUAAUCCAGGUAGCUCAAUUUGUGGUGGUGUUUUUUGAGAUUACACGGGAUCUUUUUAGGUGCUUUUGGUCUUUCUUUAGGCAUUAACACUGCAGUAGAAAUCCCAUUAGACUAAAAAGAGGGGUGCAAUACGAGGACUUCCUAAGAGGUCACCUAUCUUAGUACUGCUCUCGCCCAAGCACGCUUAACUGCGGAGUUCUGAUGGGAUCCAGUGCAUUAGUGCUUUUGGUCUUUCUUUAGGCAUUAACACUGCCUACUUUGCUGAAAUUAUGGCAGCUACGUUAGCUACUGAAUUUGCUCAUGACAAUGGUUGGUAUUGUCUUUGGCUAGAAAGCGACUCUAUGUUAGUCAUUCAUCUUUUUUCCAAUCCUUCGCUCCUCCUCCAUGGGGUAUUCAUAACAGAUGGUUGAAUUGUUGUAAUCUCAUCAACUCUAUGGCGUUUAGAUUCUCUCAUAUCUUCUGAGAAACUAAUUAUGUGGCUGAUCAUUUAACUAACUUGGGUCUUAUUUCUGAUUCUCUCACUUGGUGGCAGACUCCGCCUUUAGAGAUUUUGGAGUUACUUUCUCAUGAUGCCAAUGAGUUUCUAAAAUAUCAUUUUAUAUGGUUACCUCUUUUGGUUUAACUUCAUAUUUUUUUUUCUUUUUUCUACUUUAACGUCUCACAAAUUUUAAGGGAUAAAACUCAUUAUGUCCCCUCUGGAUAGUUGUAAUUCCUCUCUUUUAUUUUUUUGAUUAAUUAAUUCAUUUUAUAAAAAAAAAAUUGACCAGUAUUAUUACUCCAUGUAUUAGCAUUAAAUCACACAUUAUUAAUGAAAUAAAAAUGAUAUGACAGAUCCAAUUUUAGUAGGUUUACCGAGUUUAAUUAAAGAAUGUGUAAAAAUAAAACAAACAAGAGGAUUUUUACAUGGUUUGGGAUUCAAAUCCCUGUGUCCAUGGAGUCACAUUUAGAUAUCAAAUAAUUCACUAGGUUUAAGAGAUUACAAACUAUUGAAAUCUUACACAGUAUGAGACACCCUCUAGUGAUUGUGGCCACCUUGUCAUAAUAACCAAGUUAACACCUAGUGUGUAGCACAUGUCUUUUGCUUCCUCUCCCGAGCAAGACUUCUUAGUCAAUGGUGUGUCACCUCUUCGCAAAAUCCCUCUGUUGUGAACAUGUGACCCCUUCCUCUGAAAAGACCAGAGACAAUGUCUCCCAAAUCAAAGAAUGAUCACAAGGUUGUAGCCUCUAAAGUAGAAUCCUUUAGUAAAAUAUAUGAAUGACUCGCCUUUAUAUAGUGACAGGCGAAUCAUGUGUAAUGAAGAGUCUAAAUUUUUUUCCUUUGAUAGCGCCCAAAGCCUUUAGAUGUAUAAGGAACUCUUCAUGAUACUAUAGCAAUAUUAUCUCUUCAAUAUCUCUUUAUCAUCUGCUUUAAAUCAAAACAAUUUAAUCUCAAUCUUCAAUGAUCACGCCAAUUGUAAUUUCCAUCUAAAGGAAUAUUGCUUGCUUGAUCUUGAUAGAUAACUUCUAUGUAAAGAUUGAUUUAUGUUCAAUUACUUUGACCUUGUUGUCCGCAUGUGAAGUAACACCCAUGUCUUGCAUCUUCUCUAUGAUUCAGGCCAACUUCAUCAUAUAAGUUUGCCUUAUGCGUUUCCCUCAUGCUAAAAUAUCUCUGUAUAGACUUAUGUGGACCUCACAUACAUAUAAUAUGUAAAAUCCCAAUUUGCCUGUAUUUGCCGUCGUUCCAAGGCACUGUUGUAAUACUUGAGAUAAACUAAAUUACGUAGGUAUUAAAAUACUAAUGAAGACUCAAUGAUGUGUACAAUGAGGAUGGAAACGUACAAAUAUUAAAUUGAUGUUGUAUAGAAAUACCAACAUCCAUACAAUGAAAUUCCUAUUUUUUUUUUUCCCCAAAAACUGAAUAUUGAAACUGAUUCAAUUUCAAUCACCCGCCCUAAAAGUUGCAUGACAGCUAGAACAGAUCCAAGAAUACAAAAAGUCUGCGAAUUAAAGGACCAGAAAAUUGGAGAAUUACUUUAUCGUAGCAUCUUUCUUUUCCUUCAACGGAGUGAAUAACGAAUCGUGUAAUCUGGGAAUUAUUUAAGAAUCUAAAUAGAAACAAUCUGUCACCACUGAUACUUGCUGGAUUAUAUUAGUGCCAUUCCUGAAGUUUGAAGAGCUUUAGAGCCACGAAUCUAAUCUUCAUGAUUUUUUUUUUUUUUUGGGAUAAGCUGCAUGGAAAUUUCAAGAAAUCGCUGAGUGCGAAAAACAAGUGGAAAACAUUUAAGACCAAUGCGUGGUUAAAACUUAACACACCACCUGAGAUCCGUGUCUUCCUUCAGAAGGAUGCUUCCCAAUCCCUUUAAAAUCGCUUUAGUUGAUUUGGUGCUUAAUGUUUUGUUGACUUGUAUUUUUUUAAUUGAGAGGCUUGGCUUUCUCUUAAAGACUCAACUCCUUGUUUUUAUUUUACUCUUUUCUUAGUUUUAUUUUAAGUUUCUUCUCGACAUUGUCGAGGACCAUUUAAAGAAAAAAAAAAAAAACUUAAGACUACAUGUAUGUCGGUUCAAUUAAUCAGGUAUGUGUAUAUCGUUUUAUAAAAAGAUUCCGCACUUGAACUAAAAUUUUAUAAAAUUGAAACUAUAAUUUUUAUUUAAAAAAUCUAAAAUUUUAUUAAUGACAUAAGAAAUUAGUUUUUUUAGACCUUAUUUAUCAUAAGACUCCAAUAAUAACUUGAACUUAAUAUCGGGUUACUAUUACAUGAUAAUCUACCGUGCAUAAAUUAAAGAUAAAAUAAAUGAAGCAAAGGACCCAUAAUCCAACAACCAGAACAUAUAAAUCAAUGAGAACAUUCUAAAAAUUUCUGAAAUAAAGAAAUAAAGAUCAUUUGAAGGCUUAAACAGCAAAAUUCGACAAAAAUCUGGCCACAUUUAAACAAAGCCACAAAUUCUUUACUUUUCGUUCAAAACUUGAAACAAAAUAUCAUGGAGGGUCUGGUUAACAUAUUAGCCGGCCACAUAUCCUCGAUCAAAUGGAAAUAGAUGCCAACACAUCCACACUUUGCUUUGACCGACCUACAAUUAGUUAUUAUACUUUUAAACUCGUUUUCUAUUUUUAUUUUUGAAGGAUAUGUAUAUAUAUAUAUAUAUACAUAGGGGAUCCUGAGCUUUGCUAAAGUAUUAGAAAUCUAUUAAGGCACGUAGUUUAAUAAUAUAAUAGCACUAUACCGUUAAAUCACAUGACUUAGUAGUUUUUUUUUAACUUUAACAAAGUUUAGGAUCUUGGACCAGAUUAGUACAUAUCUAGCAUCCUGAAUUAGAAAACACACACAUACAGAGACACGUAUAUAUCCGCGGAAAGAGAAGGCUUUAUAUUAAAAAACAAAAACACCUAAUUAAGGAGACGUAAUGAAUCUUAACCCUACAGAGAAGGUUAAGUACAAGGCAACGAAAAAUAAAUUCGAAAACAAAAGUCAUGCAUGUGAAGUGCAAGAAAGUAAAGAGCAAUGGAAACAUAUAUCUAGGGAACCGCCAUGUUGUGACGAAGAAAGAGAAAGAGAGGAAGACAAGUCAACGUGCUUCUUAUCUCCAAUAGCUUUCGACUUUAAUCAAUCACAAAUAUCUUUAAACUUUAAUCAUCCCUUUAACAAAUACUUUUCAAUUACCCAAAUAGAUUCGACUUUAUUUAAUCCAUCACAACGUUUUUCACCUUGUUUUUUUUUUUUUUUUUUCCUUUUCUGAAUUCGAUAAUUAUUCUUGUACCCUCAAAAUACAAAGCACAGGUGGCGUGUUAUUUAAUCAAGACUGGCAUCUCUUCUCCUAUAUAAAAAUAUCGGCGAUAGAAAUUAUCAAAUUAGCGCAGCCAGACAGGAACUGGCUAGUGAGUGAGUGAGCAAACUGAAAGUUUAGAACAGCCAGCUAGGAAUUAAAAGUUAAAAAUAAAUAAAAUAAAAUGGAUGAACGUUAUGCUGGGCAUCGCGUGGUUCUAAUUUCUCAGACUGUGUUCUUACUAAUUUUGUUUCUUCUUUGUCAACUUGGCUCCGAGUUCAAAUUUCAGAGUGCUGCUGAAAAUAAUACUAAAGUAGGUGAUCUACCUGGUCCUGAAGGUAAUAUAUGCGAAUAAUUCUUUAUAUCUCGAGUAAAUUUCAUAAUUUUAAAGGGUUUUUGGUUCUCUAGCAUGCGGUUUCCAUUAUUAUAUACAUAUAAGUACAUAGGAAUUAAUUAAUUCGUUGAAUCAGAUGUCUGAAUUUUUAAUGUACAUAUAUAGUCAUAUAUACGCAUGAUCAGUUUACAACAUAUAUAUAUAAAAUUUCACCAAAAAAAAAGAAUCUCUUACUUGAGUAGACAUAAAUUAAAAGAUAAAAAAAAACUAUUAUCAUGUAUUUUAUCUUAUAGUAUAUCGAAAAUAUGUGUUUUUUUAUCCUUUAACUUAUCUCUUAUAUUAUGAACUCCCUUAUUAUAAUAUCAAUAUAUAUAUAUCAUCACUAAUUAUCAGGUGCGCAUAAAUUCUCUGUAUUGAGAAUUGCUAAAAGUUAAAACAAACGAAAUUAUAAUUAGAUAUCAAAUUCGAUAAUGCAUGCAACUUUUAUAAAUUAAUUAAGAGUUGAACGAAUUUUUUGUCCUGUAGCUAUAUAGCUAGCAUAGAUCCAUUUGCUCAUGAUCACUUUAACAACAUUUGUUGACGGAAAUAUUAUUGGCAGUGCACGGUUUCACCGACAUGAUGUCGAGUUUGCAGUGGAAGGCACGACCACCUAAAUUGAGUUCAUAUUGCCGUGAGAUGCUAAAGCUUAGUUCCAAUAUUACCAUCACUUGUCGCGUCGAUAAAGGGACCCCGCACAUCUCCGGCAUGUAUAUGUUCCAACUCUAAUCUAAUUACUUGCCUAGACAGUCAUAACAAAAGCAAGGCUAAUUUCCAUUAUUAACUGCAUGUUAAUCAUUUUGUAUACAGAAUCAUGGAGAGUGUAGCCUUAACUGGAAAAAUCCCAGAACAUGUGGCUGCUCUGACAUACCUGCAGACACUGUAUGUACAAUUAAAUAAUUACUUCAAUGAUUAAUCAUUGUGCAUAAGCUUUUAUAACUAAAUUUAAUAAAUUAAACAACUAAAAUACUUAUAUAUAUAUCAUCGUAAGCUUGGAUAUAAUUAUUUGAUAUAACUUAAAUAAAUAAAUAAAAUUACUCUUGCCUUAAUUAAUACAUGCAUACAUAUUUGAUAUGGUUUUAUAUAUAUACAUGUCAAAACUCAACAGUGAUCUAUCCGACAACACAAUUCAUGGUUCCAUUCCUUACCAGAUUGGGUAUUUAUUUCAGCUUAUCACUCUGUAAGUCCUCACUUGCCGCAAGUAAUUCAAUCAUAGCUCCCUUUUUCUUUUUCUUUUUCCUUUUCUUCUGAUACACUGGAUUUGUGUGAUGAGUAGUGAUUUAUCAAAAAAUCAAUUAACUGGGACCAUACCAACAAGCUUGGGGAAUUUGAGGAACCUAGAAAUGCUGUAAGUCUUUUAUUAGUUACUACAAUCAUUGAGUUAAAAUUAUUCCUUCAUAUUUUGUCUCUAAGUGAAGUGUCAGAUUGAGAUUCUCUCCUUCACUAUCCUGAAUUUUUAAAGCUCUAUUGACAUGUGUCACUUAACCAGUUGGCCAGGCCCUUGGGGGCCAACUGCCAAUAAGAGACGGCAUUGAAUUUGAAGAGGAUCCAAAUCGGUGAAGUGUCAUGCCAUCCCAAGGAAUUUUAGUCGACAUUUCAAAUUUUUAAGAUUCAAAUUUUAGGAUGUUUUAUCAUUACUAUAUGAUUUUGUACAUUAUGCAUGCUUGUUCACACACACACACACACACACAGAGAUAUGAAAUCUCAAUAGAUAGAAGAUUUUUGGUUCCCUUCAUUUCUCUUACUAUGAAGUACCAUCAUACGUCUAUGAUUUCCUGCCGUAGCGAUCUGAGCCAGAACUUACUCACGGGGAAGAUACCACCAUCGUUGGGGCGCUUGUCAUCUCUUCAAACAUUGUAAGAAUCUUCACAUGCAAUUUAUUUAUUUAUUUGUUUUUUUGAGGCAAAUCUAAAGGGUACAAGAAAAAUUUUACUACUAAGGGAAAAAAAUGACACUUAAAUGAGGAUACGCAAUGAAUCUUAUCCUUAAAAAAUUAAGAAAACAAAACAUAUAACCAAUAUGAAAAAAGAAGAGCAACAUAGAAAUAAUUACAUUUGCUCCGCAAAAUCCGACAGUUCUUCCAACGAAAAAUUCGGAAGUAAAAUAUUGAAAUAUUCAAUUAAUUAGUUACUCCAAAAAUUGCAUUUGCAUUUAUCUUACUAUGUACUUCUGGGCAUUUUAGGGAACUAUGGAGCAAUCAGCUAUCGGGGGAAAUUCCUCGUGAACUGGGAGACCUUUCUCAGCUCGGGGUUUUGUAUGAAAUCUCACUCUACUUUUAAAAUUAUAAAGCCAGCUACUUAAAUCAAUAAUUAGCUUAUUUCUUUGAAAAUACAAUACAAUUUUUAAUUUCAUAUAUAUUUUCUAAUAUCUAGAUCUGUGCCGGAGAAUGGACUCAGAGGUACACUCCCACCAGAACUUGGAAAAUUAAGCAAUCUUGAAGAAUUGUAAGUGUGUGGAAGUAUUUAUUUAUGGAAUUUAUAAAAUGGUUAAUUAGGAUGUUGAUCUCGUCGUGUAUAUAUACGCUUGUAACUAAUUAUGUACUACAUAUAUGCUUGUACUUGAAAAUUCAUUUAUACGUGCCCACGUGCGCGCGCGCACACACACAUAUUUGGCUGGUAUGCAAUUAUUAUAUGUCAAUCAUUCAUCUACGUACAUACCAAUACCACAUUAAAAUUUACAACACUUCAAUCUUAAACAUAACCUAAAAAUAACUUUCAUGUGGUUGCAGGUGGUUGACAUCCAACAAUUUAAGGGGGGAUUUGCCAAAAGAUUAUGAGAAUCUAAAGAAUCUGACGAUUUUGUAAGUGUCCUGUUUGUUCAUUUUCUAAUUGUUAUUGUUGUUGUUAUUUUUAAGGAUUGUAAUUAAUUUGGUCUAGAUUUUUCUUGCUUAUUGUUUGAAGUCUGCAAAUAUCAGUAGUGGAAAUUUUAUUUGUCAAUGCAGGGAAAUAGCUGGGAAUUAUUUGUCUGGUCGGAUCCCCAGAUUCAUUGCAAAAUGGGACAACCUCUAUUUUCUGUAAGCCUAUUCAUUUUAUCAUUUUAUGUGUAAACUGAAACUUGGGUACUCUCUGUGUAAACAAUCUGCUUUUGUUGGAGUUUAAUAAUUUGCUACAUAAAACUGUUAACCAAACUCUGACAUAUACUCCUUUGGCAAACCAUGCUAAGUAAAGGUAGGAAUAUGGGCUGGGUAGAAUGGGAAAAAUUCAAGAAUACAUCUGUUGUAUUACAACCAAUUGAUGCAUGCAUGACAUAUGUAAUUGGGUUUAACACAACCACCACUUGCAUGAUGGUUUACAAAAUAAAUGCACACAUGUCAUGUCAUUAUUUACUUGUUGUAUGGCUGACAUGGUACAACAGAUGUAUUUUAGAAUUUCUCGUAGAAUGGAUAUUCCUCCGUAAUUAAAGGUAGAAAUGUAGGUUGUAUCAUAAUAAAUUUGACCCAGAAUAGUCGCAGUAUAUAAAUUUCUUAUUGCAAUAUAUAUAUCGCAUCAUAUAAAAGUAAACCAAUUUGCAUCAUGCUCGAAAACAUACAAAAAAAUGAAUUCUCCCACACGCGCGAGCUAAUUAUCAAUAAUAUUACUUUUGUUUCCUUUAAUCUCACAGAAAUCUGAUGGGAAAUAACUUCGAAGGGGAGCUGCCACCAGAAAUUUUUAAUAUGUCAAGCCUUCGAUUUUUGUAAGAACAAUUAAUAAUAAUCCAAACUCUGCUCUAUAUAUGUAUUUAUGUAUGUGUGUAUAUAAUUCUUCUCUACUGCGGGCACCCUCAUUUGUUUUUUAACUGCAAACAUGAUUUUAAGCAGUGCGAUUUAAUAGAAUUAGUUUUUAGUGUUAUUAAAUCACACGGCUUAAAAGUGUGUCCGUAAUAAAAAAAUAAAAAAUGAGAGCCCCCGCACACACUCACACACACAGAGAAAAUUUUCAGACACACACAUAUAUAGAAAAUUUUCAGUGACAUCAUACUAUAUGAUGUAAUAAAGACUAUUAACAUUUUUGUACUUUAAUAAAGUACAAAAAACUCAUUAGAUAAUAACUAUAUAUGUAUAGCUUUCAAUGUGGAACUUUGCUUACAAUAUUAAAAUCUAUCCUUUUCAUGGUUUACAAUGUUUUGUCAUAGACAUUGUAAAGUCCAUGACUCCCGGAUGGGAAAUUUUAUUUUUUAAUUUCGCAAUUAACUUAAUUUCUAACUUGGCUUCGUUGUUUAUUCCAGGUAUGUCUCUGACCUACAAACGAUGGGCUUUUCUUUCCCGAAGUCAGCUAAUUUGAGUAGUAUAUCAAGCCUGUAAGCGGUGUAUUCCAAUUCCAUGCACGUAUAAUUAUUUUAUGCGUUAAUUAUAUAUUUAUCUGUUUUUGUUAAUUAAUUAAUACCUGAUCUGCAUUUUAAAUAUAUUAAUUGUAUACUAUUCCUUAUAAUUAAUUAAUUAAAUCUUUUUUAGAAAUUAAAUUAAUCAUAAUAAUUCUGCAGGACAUUGAGAAAUUGCAGCAUUACUGGUUCAAUCCCACCAUACAUUGCCAAUUGGAAUCAGUUAGGCUACCUGUAAGUUUAUUUUCGUUUAUUUUCUUAUUAGUUUAGUAAUAUGAGGCCAGAGGUCAUUUAAACUUGUAUCGUCGAUCCAUCUGCAACAUCUAUUAACCUUGUCAGAAUCUCGUAAAGUAAAUUACUAAACUAGUGUAUAUAUUUGAUUUUUGCAUAUAUUACCUCAAUUUCUAAGAUAUAUUAAAAAAUGGUUAUUUUCAUGAAUACUUUUGGAAAUACACACCUGUCUUGGAAAAUAGUCAUUUCUAAAAGAAAAUUAAUAAAAUAUUACUGAUUUUUUUAUUUUUGCCAUCUAAUCUAAUAUUUCCUAAGCUUUAUAUAUAAAAUAAAUUGCAGUUAUAUUACUUUGCAGACAACAAAAAAGAUUGUCUUCAAUUGAUAUUGCUUUUUUUUUUUUCAAAUAUUGUCUAAAAUUUAUUCAAUCGCCGACAUUCACUAUGCUCAUGGGUUGGGGAGAGUUGUUAAUCCACUUGUGAUCGUUUCCUCUUACUUAUCAAUCCCGGAAACAAGGACUUAUAUUUUUUAUUUUGGUUGAUCUUUCAUCAAAUAAUUUCCAUAUUUUUUUACUGAAUUUUUUGUUAUUUUUUUUUAAGUUUUAUUUAUAAGUACUAUGAUUAUGCUUUCAAUUCUAGUCCAUUUCCAUGAUAUAAUUCUUCUUUAAAGAAUUAAUUGUCGGUAUUUCUUCUUUGCUCAAGUUUACACCAAAGUUUAAAGUUUUAUUUAUAAGUACUAUGAUUAUGCUUUCAAUUCUAGUCCAUUUCCAUGAUAUAAUUCUUCUUUAAAGAAUUAAUUGUCAGUAUUUCUUCUUUGCUCAAGUUUAUACCAAAGUUAAAAGUUUCUGAUAAAAAAAAACUAGAGAAAGAAGGAGCAGUUUGGUUAAAAAGCGGCACCGCUUUUUAGCGCCCGUUAAGAAAACAGUGUCUUGAUAUUUAAUGAGAAAAUUUUUAAAUAAAAUAAAUCCAAAUCCUUGCUGUAAAUGAUCAUUUUUUUUUCUCUAAUGAUUGAUUAUUAUUAAUUUGUACUGCAGUGACCUGAGCUUCAACAACUUAACUGGUGGAAUUCCAAAUACUUUGAAGAAACUGUUUUUAUCUGAGCUGUAAGUGAUAACUUUAUUGAAUCCCAUUGAUUUUAUAUCUUUUCUUAAUAUAAAAGGGAGAAUAACAUUCAGACUCCUAAUAUUUUUCGCUCAAUUUUACCACUCCGAUCCAUGAUUUUUUAUAUCACGCAAUUACGUACGUCCCUAACUUAUAACUUUAAUAAUUCAAACUUUUAUUGGUAAAGGUUAAAUGAGAUUUUUUACCAUACAAAUCAUGUGUUCCUUUUGACAUAUAUAUCUUAUCUGAAUUUUGUCUUCUCACACUUUUCCUUUUGACUGACAGUAAUAGCGUAAUAAAAAAGAAUCCAAAACCAACAAAGUGUUGGCUCCACUGGCAAUGGAGUCCCCUUAAGUGCCUUGACUGGGUUUGCUCCCCAGUUCGAGUCGCAGGGAAGUCGCCUUUGUUGGGAGAACCUGUGCCUCCCGGUUCGAGCGGGGACUUCUAGUCUGGGUUGUGGUACGGGCUUAAAGGUGCCUCCCACAGUUGGGGCCCUCCCCAGGAUACCUCGUGAUUAAUAUCAAAAAAAAAAAAAAAAGAAUCCAAAUAAUUUGUUUUUUCUGUUACUAUUUUUACUUUCCAGGUAUCUUACAGGAAAUAUGCUCAAUGGAACAUUGCCAGACUGGAUUUACAGCAAUGUUAAAAAAAAGGAGUAUGCUUUCUAACUAUACAUAAAUGUGAUAAAAUGUUUUCAAACUUGUUCUAGUGUAAACAUUAUUUCCUUUCCCCAUCAAAUUAAACACAUUUUAAAUCAAAGACGCGGGUUAGGCAAAUGAAAAUUUAUGUAAAAAAUUUCAAUUUAGAAUAGUGUAAUGUGCAAAUGUUUUGAAGCUUCUUAUUCAAAUGCUAGCUGCAUGAGUUUAAUUAAAUAUAUACGAAUGUCCAAAGUCAUGCACAAACUCUAGCCUGUCAUUCCUAUGCCAUUUUGCAUGCAAAUACAAAUUAAUAAUUAACGCCAACACUACUUGUCUGAAUUUUCAUCUUGCAGGGAUCUUGCAUACAAUGAAUUUAUAUUUCCAGAACCAGAGACACACAAGUAAGAAAAUAGCGUUAAUUAAUUAAGCGAACUUGGUUCCUUUCUUUGUUAAUUUGUUUCUUUUAUCCACAUGCAUAAUUAUAUAUAUAUAAAUGAAUUUCAUAAUAAUUUUAAAUUUUUAUCUUGUAGGAAUCUUCCCAACAACAAUUCUCGGAUAAAUCUGUAAGAAAAUUAUACUACACCAUAUUAUAAAAUAUCCUCCUACGUUUUUACUCAUUUUCGGGCUUCAAAUUUCAAUUCCAACAGUUUCUGUCCAUCUCGUUUUCUGAUAUUGAUUUUAACUUUCAAUGCACAUGUGAUAUCUGCACGCACACUAUUAACAAUAUUGCUGCUGUAACCAGUGAACCUAAGAAUCGGUAUGUUCAUAUUCAUUUAUCUAAUAAUUAUAAUAUAGGUAAUUUGUCGAUCGAUCAGCAAGCAAUUAUUAUGUGAAUGAAUGCCCUUACAAAAUUAAUUGAUCUUACUAUUGUAAUUAUUUUUAUAGGACAUUUCCGGAAGAGAUUAUGAGGAAGUAUUGCCCCGCUGGCCAGAAGAAAUCUCAGUGUAUGUAUACAUAUCCAUAUGUAUAGAAAUGUUCCUAUUAAGGAUUUGUUAAAUUCCGGAAAAAUUAUAGUUUAAUAGUAUAAUGGGGUGAAAAGCUAUUAAAUUAUAUGGUUUAAAGUUCAGGAUUAUUUUAAUAAAGUGCAGGCGUCUAAAUUAGUUAUAUAUUUUCUUUAUUAUUAACUCAUGCACACAUUGAAACUUAAACUCAAGACUUGAGCUCCAGGAAGGCUGUCCUUUGCGACCAGAGCUACACCUUGGUUUCACAUACAUGUUUAAAUUAAUCAAUGUCUAUAUAUGUUGCAGACAAUUAUAAUUUGCAUAUAAAUGCUGGUGGCGAUGAACAUAACAUCGAAGGAAUUCGGUAUGAGGCAGAUAAAUCGACAUCAAAUUUUUUUGUUAACAAACCGGCAUACAACUGGGCAUAUAGCUGCAACGGAUAUUUCUAUUCGGAUUCAAUGGCUGAUUCGAGUGAAUUUAUACAGAAGGUAACAUGUGGAGCUGCAGUGAUUGAUGCACCUUUAUAUGACGAAGCUCGCCUUUGCCCCAAUUCUCUCAAAUACUAUGGUUUUUGCUUGCAAAACGGCAAUUACAAUGUCAGUCUUCACUUCUCUGAGAUUGUUUUUGCAAAAAACGAUGAUUACAGCAGUUCAGCAAAACGUGUAUUUGAUAUAUAUAUACAGGUAGGUACGCUAGCCACAAAACUAUUUAAAUAAUUUUAAUUAGCAAUUUAUCCCUCCCUCGCCUCCUUUAAUUAAUUUUAAUUUCCAUGCAUGCAGGGGGAGCUAAGGCGAAAGGAUUUCAACAUAAAAGAAAUGGCCAGGCAUUCAAAUAAUGUAACGAUUCAAAAUUUCACGGCUUCUGUACAAAAGCAUCUACUGGAAAUAGAGUUAUUCUGGGCUGGCAAAGGAUCUAUAUUAAACCCACCUUAUUUUCAUGGACCUCUCAUAUCAGCUAUUUCUGUAGCUCCAAGUACGGUGCAAAGUUGCAAUCAUUGCAUAAGUGAUAGCUCUUUAAUUUUGUUAAUUAUCAUCUCCCAAUAUGCCUUUUGUUGCAUGCUAUCAAUCGCUGUUUAUUUUCAGAUUUCCAAGUCAACCGACCAGGAGGACUAUCUAAAAUAGGGAUCGUAGGAAUUGUACUUGGGGCUGUGCUAGCUUUGAUUCUUUUCUUGGCUCUCAUGUGGAGAUUAGGAUGGAUAGGAGACAGAGAAUUGCGUGGUACGUACGGGAGAUUAUAUAUAUAUAUUGGAAAAAAUUUCAGUUCGAAAUUAAAUCCCAGGAUGGAUUUAUGAUUUCGUAAAUCGAUUUUUACAAUGUUCUAAACUGAUUUACGAUAUCAUAAAUAUAUCUCGAACUUUAAUACUAGAUUUUAAGCUUAGGUAUAUAUAUAUAAUAUGCUAUGCAAGAAAUUAUCAGGUGAGGGAUUUGGCACUAUAAUAAAUGCGAGAUGAAUUUUUACAAUAUUGUAAGUUUAGUAGAGUGCAGGACGGAUUUUUAAAGUCUGUUUGCAACAUUUUGAAAAUUUGUCUCGUAUUUUAAUUGACUGCAUAAUCCCACAUUAGAAGCCCACUUUAUGCUAUAUAUGCUAUACUACUUUAUGCUAUAUUGCUAUAGUAUAAGGCUUAUAAAAGAUAUCAAGAAAAAAUAUAUGUAUAAUUGAUCUGUUUCUUUUCUCAAUUCUUCAUGAAAUACACAGUGACAACGGUCAACCUACGAGGGAAGUCUUACACCCUUAAACAAGUGAAAGUCGCUACUCGAAAUUUCAGCGCCAGGAAUGUAAUUGGCACGGGGCGUUUUGGGACAGUAUACAAGGUUAAACAUUAACUGCCGUAUCUCUCUCUAUGUGCGCGUGUGUGUGUGUUUUGUGUGUGCGUGUGUGUGCGUGUGCGUGUGUGUGCGUGUUUGUGUGUGUCCGCGCGUGUGUGUGAAAUAUUUUUCAAUCUGGGAUUAAAAUUCAGGAUGAGUUAACAAUGGUGUGAACAUAUUUUUACAAUGUUAUAAAAAUACGUUCACAAUGUUGUCAAUUCGUCUCGAGCUUUAAGAAAGUAUGAGAUUCUAAACUAGAUUGCUACUUAUAUAUAAUAAGGGACCCUUCGCUUUUUAAAACAAGAAAUCAUCUAAAAGACAAAAAAUACAGAUGCCAAACAAAUGCACUACAUUAGUGUGUAUUUUUUUUUAUCUUUUAAUUUAUCUAUUGCUUUAACAAAAUAAGGGAUUCUUUAUUUGAAAAAUUUCUCUCUCUCUCUCUCUCUCUCUCUCUCUCUCUCUCUCUCUCUCUCUCUAUAUAUAUAUAUAUAUAUAUAUAUAUAUAUAUAUAUAUAUAUAUAUAUAUAUAUAUAUAUUCUCACCAGGAUCCUAUUUUUAUUAAAGUCCGGUUAAACUAUUAAAAUAUAUGAUUUGAUAGUAUAAUGCCACUAUUAAAUCAUAUCGCUUAAUAGCUUUCUCAAACUUUAACAAAUUCAAGAUCAUUGAUUGCGACAUAAUACUAUGAAAUUGUAUGGCUUAAUUGCUUUUCCAGGCUUUAACAAAAUUUAGGAUCCUGAACCAGAUUAGUACUCUAUAUGUAUGUAUGCACUUAUGUAUGUGAAUUGAUUUUCCUUGUUAGAAAUAUGGUUUAUUAAUCUGCUUGCACGGUGCAAGCAUGGCUUACAGGCUGAAUUGCUAGAUCAGACUGUAGCUGUGAAGAUGCUUUCUUCUCAAUCAAAGCAAGUGAUUGAUCAAAUAGGAACCGAAGUUUAUGCCCUUACAACACUGAAACAUGAAAAUAUUGUCGAAUUUUUGGAUGGCUACUCUAAAAAAGACCUCAACUUGCUCAUCUACGAAUACAUGGAAAAAGGAUCGCUUGAACGAGCCUUGUUUGGUAAACCAAUUUAUAUUUAUUUUCAUCAUCAUUUUAUUUCUAUUAAUUUUUCAUCUUAGUGUCAUAAUCUAAUCGGGGAAUCCUGAACUUUAUUAAAGUCGGGGAUGAAUUUACAUUUUUGUAAGCUAACUUUUUCACUAUUUUUUUAAAAAUUGUUUUCACUCAAUUCCCGAUUGGAAAAUUAAGUAUUAGCUUAUGUAACAGGUUAAAAUUACUUUUUUUUUUUUAAAUAAUUAAUAGUUAAAUAUUUGCAGAUGCCAAUUCUUCCACGCGACUUGAUUGGCCAGCCAGAGUCCGUAUCUGCCAUGGAAUAGCAAAGGGUCUAAAGUAUCUACACGAAGAUAAUCCGAGUCGUAAAAUCGUUCACAGAAAUAUUAAGCCUAGCAAUAUUCUGCUUGAUGGGAAUCUGAACGCUAAGGUGUCUGACUUGGGAUUGGCAAAGCUUUAUGACGAAGAAAAUCCAUACAAGUUUAUCCAAGAAAAAGGGACAGUGUAAGUAGCAAAUUAAAUUGAGCAAGCACAAAAUGCAUGCCAUCUUGCACAAGCAAUAUCAUUAAUUAAUUAAUUAUGGUCGCAUGCAGAGUAUACAUGGCACCAGAGUAUGCAAUGCGGAAAGCAAUAACAGAAAAAGUUGAUGUUUUCAGUUUUGGAAUUGUUCUGCUUGAAAUAAUUAGUGGGCAGACAAAUGCCAAGUAUGAAGCAAACCAGGAGACUGAAUUUCUUUUGGAUACGGUAAGAAGACAACAACUAGAGUCAGCUUUCAGUUCGGGAAUCUCAAAUUGUAUAAAGCUCUACACAAUACCCUUUUCAUGGUUUACAGAAUCCUUCACUUCAAAAAUUCCAGGAUUCCCAGAUUGAAAAUAUCUCCUCUAUAUACAUAAAAUAAGGUCUUAAUUUAAUUUGCUAACGAUGUCGCAUGGCAUGGGAUAUAUGGAUUAAUUAAUAAAUAAAUAAUGUACACUGUGCAGGCCAUUGUGUUGCAUUCAAAGGGAAGGCUUUCUGAAUUGGUCGACAAGCAAAUGCCAAAUGAGCAUGUAGUGAUGAAGCAAGCCAAAAUAAUCUUGGAGUUGGCAAUGAGAUGCGUGGAUCAGUCACCUACUCUCAGGCCAACUAUGUCUGAAGUUUUGAGCGAGCUUGAGCGCAUCUCUAAUUAGAUCUGAACUGCUCAGGAUUCUAUGGUUCCACGUGGAUCCUUAUUGAACUCUGGACUGGAAUGUCUUGGUGAAGGUUAAGCCUAUAUACUACGAUUAUGCAUAUGUAUGUACACCGGGCAUUAUCUUAUGUUGACGGUGCACUGCUGCUUUCAAAUAUAUAUGGGUCGCUAUAAUGCUGUAAACUUUUAACAGCAUUAACAAUGUAAUAAAUGUAUACCAUUAGAUUUAAUUACUCUAAUGCAAUAUUUGUGUUAAAGUAAAAGAUAGUUUAAUUAAUAAUUAUUUUAAACGGUUAAGAAAGUGUAGUCAUUUUUGUAAAAUUAUUAUAACCACCCUUAUAAUUUGAAACAAUUGUACUUGAAUAAUAUUUUUAUUUAAAAAUCACUCUUCAAUCAUAUUUUUUAAAUAACUUGCAAUUAUAAGAUUUAUAUAUGGUCUAAUUCUAAUAAACAACACAACUAAAUAUGUACAUUUAAAUGAAUAUCAUAAUUUUUUGAAAAUAAUGUUUCAAAAUUUAUUACCAAUGAGCAUGUAAGAUAUGAUAUCUAAUAGAUUAUCUAACACAAAUUGUAUAAAUAACUUGCAAUUAUAAGAUUUAUAUAUGGUGUAACUCUAAUAAACAACACAACUAAAAUGUAAAUUUAAAUGAAUAUUAUAAAUUGCAUAAAUAAACUUUUAAGUGAGAUUGAUUGUAUUUUAUAUAUAUUAGGACCUUUGUAUAACUGAACUGAAACAUAUAUUACCUUUGAAACCCAUUUCUCAUAUAUGCCAAGCUCAACCCAGGACACGUAGGCUCGGCUUGGGUUGGGUUUUCCUACUAUCCCUAUUGCCAAGUGAUGUACUAUAUGGAAAAUCCCCACAUGAAAUGCUUUUUGAUGUACCACCAGAACUAUCUUGCUUAAGAGUUUUUGCUUGCUUGUGUUUUGAUAAGAAUUUAUAGAUUAAAAAUAAAUUUGACCAACAUGUAAAAGGGAUAUCAUCUUACAACCCAUGUAUUAUAUGCAAAUUCUAUUCAGUUCUAAGUACGAAUUUGAUUAUUGUUUUUUUCUUUAAUGAAUAUAAAUUAGGGUUGGGCUAUUUAAACCCACCAUAGUACAUUAUACACCCACUUUUCCAUAAAAAAAAUAAUUACGAAAUGUCCAUGAGUUAAAUUACUAUUAUAUCUUAUUGAAAUUAGCCUAUCCUCUCCGAAAUCUAUCUAUGAAUCCAAUUAACUUAAAUUGAUUUUUCUACAAAAAAGAGUAGCAGAGAGCAAUGUUUUAAUUUCGUUUCAUUUUCUUUUCACCUAUACUCUUCCGAGUACACUUUUAUAGCUAUAUUUUCUUUUAAUGUGUGACAUUGUUGGUUAGCAAACUUCUACCUCUUGGAUUCAAUCCCCUUUCAACUCAAAUAUGUUCUCAACUAGAGAUAUAUUUAUUUUUAGAAUCAAUUAAGGAGCAAAGAGAAAAUAAAAUCUGAAUUUUUUUUUGCUUUUCUUACAUUUAUGAUGCAAUCAUGCAAUGAGUUCCAUUAAACUAAUUAGAAAAUGUGUUCGAUUGAAUUCAUUACAUGUUAUGAAUCUUGACAAGGAUUAGACAAUAAAUUAAAAAUAAAAGUCAUAAAAUCAAUCAUAAAGAAAACAAAUCAUGCGAGAUGGCUAAGCCAUUGAUAUUUUAAUUUAUUGUUGGGUAUGAUUCAAAUAUACUUUCAUAGCCUUAACGUACUUUCCCAACAGGUGAUUCUGUAUUUCUAGGGAUAAAACAUUUGAAGGUAAUUUAGUAAAGGUAUAUUCGCAAUGAGGUGGGUUUAUAAAGUAAAAAUUUCAUAUGUAAGAGAGGUUUAUUGAGAGAAUGUGUUGAAAGAGUAUUUUAAUGGGUUCUAAUAGCCUUAUCCUAUAUAUUAAUAUCACUAAGGGAUUUUACCAAUGACCCAUCAAAGAUGUAUUAGUGGAAUUAAUUAGCAGGUGCUUCAUUUUAUAUUCAUAAGACAUGUGACUUGUGUAUUAUUACUACAUUGUAUGUUGAAAACAGAAGAGGACUAAAUUGCUCAAUAUUAAAAUUAUUUGGGCAAUAGAAGAAUUUGUUAAACGGAAGGACUUUAUUGAUUGUUUACAAGAAAAACACUACAACACUCACGGCUCACUCGUCUUUCUCUCUACUAAUUCUUCACUCUUUACUUGAUGCCUACAACAAAGAGCUUUAAGGAUAUUUGUAGUAACUUAAAACUAAUAUAAACCACACAAAUAUCAAAUUACAAAAAUUUAAUAACCUCAUUUUACAAAUAUCACCAAAUAUUCAAGAACAUUCUAGAUUUAGAUAUUUUUACUUCUAUUAGAUAUUUUUUAAAUUAGAGUCAUCUCUCAUUUUCUACACAAUUCUUGAAACUUCCAUGGAUUAAACUUUGAAACUGGGCUUGGCUAAGUAUAAUUGGAUUAGAUCAUGACCCAACACCAACUUUCAUCAUUUGAUCCAUAUUUAGCUAUUGCUGGAACUCUUGAAACUUUUCGAUACUAAGACUUUUUGUAAACAAAUCCGCAACUUGAUCAUCUAUCUUGAUGUAUAACAUUUCAACUUCAUCUUACAAGACCUUUUCCCUGAUGAAGUGAUAGUGCACCUCCACAUGCUUAGUUCUACGUUAAACUGAUAGUCGAUUGGUUAUCACAAUACAAUGAUACUGCGUAAUCUACUGGUUGGUGUAGCUCAUUCAUCAACUACGUCAGCCAAGUGCUUUCUUGAGUUGUCAUCACUACUACUCUAUACUCCACUUAUGUGGUGAUAAUGAUAUAGUUGGUUGUCUUUUACUACACUAAGAAACUGUUCCAGACCCAAUUCUAAAAACAUAUUCAGUAGUUAAUCUUCUUGUAUCAUGAUCUCCGGCGUAGUCAGCAUUAUAAUAGCAAGUCAGCUUGUAACUUUCACUUCUUGUAACUUUCACUUUCUUUUACAAUAUACCAAAGUUGAUUGUAUUUUUCACAUAUUUUAGUAUUUGCUAAACCAUUUCCAAAUAAAGCUUCUUUGGAUUUUGCAUGUAUAAGCUUAUUACACCUAUUGCAUAUGAAAUGUCUGAUCGAGUCAACGUUAAGUAUAUUAAACUUUUUACGAAUUGUCGAUACAUGGUUUCAUCUUGUAAAUCUUUGCCUUUAUGUGUGCAAAAUUUUGCAUUGACUUCCAUUAUAGUUGAGAUUAGUUUGCAUUCUAACAUUCCAAACUUCUUCAACAAGUUUUUGGCAUAUUUCUGUUGGCAAAAGAAUAUCCCCUCUUCUAUUCGAUCAACCUCCAUACUAGAAAAGUGCUUAAGCUAACCAAGUUUUUUCAUCUAGAAAUUAACUGAUUAGUUCUCCCUUUGCUCGCCGAAUCUCUUCUCCAUCAUCACCAGAAAUAAUCAAAUCAUCCCCGUACCCUAGUAUAGUUGUUAACUUUCCUUCACUAGCUUUGACGAAUAAGCUAGAGUCUACAUGUGCUACUGCCACUCUAAGUUAGAAAUUCGACAAUCUUACCAUACUAUGCCCUUGGUACAACCGUAUAAUGCCUUUCUUAGCUUGCAUACAUACUUCGGAUGAGCUUGAUUUUCAAACCCUCUUAGUUAGUUCAUGUAGAUCUCUCGAUCCAAUUCUGUGUAAGAAGACAUUUUUUACAUCUAUCUGUCAUAAUUUCCUUUCUUUGCUGGCUGCGAAUACAUGUAGAACUCUUGAUGUUGUGAGCUUUACCAUCAGACUAAAUGUUUUAUCAUAGUCUAGCCCGUAUUGUUGUGAGAACCCUCGAGUUACCAACCGAACUUUGUGUCUUUCAACUGAACCAUUUGGGCAAUUUUUAAUCUUGUGCACCCAUUUGCAAGAUAUUUUAUAUCCUUUAGUUUCGGAACCAGAUCCGAAGUUUGAUUAUGCUUCAAUAAGGUGAUUUCUUCCUUUAUCGCCUUCAUCCAAUGAGAAUUCUCUGCUACUUAUUCAAAUGUCUCGGGUUCUUUUACUGUUUUUUUCUUCUGCAACUACUACAUUAAUGUACCUGAGAUUUACAUUUCUUUUGGAUCUUUUAAGUUGAAAUUUAGAAGUUCUUGGUUCUACUUUAUUUGGUUCUUCAUCUACAAUAGAGCUCUGGUGAACACUUGUCUUUCAAGGACUUUGCGCCUUAUCAUGCUCGAUAUCAUCAUUCCUUCGAUCAUCAGAAUCUUCAAAUUCUUCUUCGCUCGGGUGAAUUUCAAUAAUUCGUUCCUUUAUUUGGUCUUCAAUUUCUUUUGAAUAUAGUAGCUCUUCUUUUUCUAAAGCCUAUCAUGAAGAUGCUUCGUCAAACACCACAUUUCGUUUUGUGAAGCACCGUCCAGUAGUAGGAUCACAACACCUCCAUUCUUUCCUCCGACAUUCAUACUCGACAAAGAUACAAUGAUUGCCUUCUUGUCAAAUUUGCUUUGUAAGUGGCUUGGUACUAAGACAUAGCACACAAAGGUAAAGGCUUUACAUUCCACAGCUUCUCGUAAGUUGAUGUGAACCCUAGUUUUGGUUAAGGAAGCCUGUUGAUCACAUGAGCUAUCGUCUUUAUAGCUUUGGCCCAAAAACUUCUUGGUACAUUUUUCGCAUGUAUCAUAUUUUGAUAGAUCUCCCUUAGAUGCUGCUUUUUUCAUUCUGCUACUCUAUUCUAUUGUGGUAUAUUGGCACAAGUAAACUAAUGACAUAUCUUAUAGUCUCAAAGAUACUAGGAGAACUGAUGUGAUGUAUACUCUCAUCCACUGUCUAUUCAUAAUUAGUAAAGCUUCUUUCUUCCUUCUCCUUUGACUAUGUUUUUGAAUUCCUUAAACUUUAAAAAAGUAUCAGAUUUUUUUUUUAUAAAGAGGACCCAAACAUAUAUGGAGAAGUCAUCGAUAAAUGUGAUCAUGUAUCGCAUGCCGCUAAUAGAAGAUUGCUUGACAUGCCCAAACACAUCAUAAUGUACCAAUUGUAAUAGUUUUUUUGCUCUGAACUUUGACUCCUCAUAUGGGAGUUGGUGAGCCUUGCCGUAUUGACACCUUGCACACACCGUGUUUAUUCUCACAUUAAGUUGAGGCAGACCUCUGAGCAUUGACUUCGGACGUUAUCCAACAUGAAUUUAUUAUAAUAAAGUGUUUGAAUAAAACCAUUUUUUGCUGUCCCAGGCCAUGCCAAAGGAUAAUUGAUACAAUAAAUCUAAAAUGGAGAAAGGAAGGAAAAAAAAACGGAUGACCAAAGUAAUUUGGCGAAUUACAUUAAAAAGGCAAAAUAGUUUUUGAGCUCUAAAGAUGCCGACUCUGUUAUGGAUUUCCUCUACCAGUUGGAAGUUUUCCAACAAUGACUAGAGUAUGUCAUUAUGUUUUUCGUGCAAGAUUACUGAAACCAGAAGAAUAUGCUAAAUCUAUCCUUUUGUCACAUGAUCAACAAAUAUGUAGGAAACAUAGAUCAAUGUUUUUUUGUUAGGCAGGAAGCCAACAACUAAAACUACAAAUGUUACUGACAAAUAGCUAAGAAUCAUAAGGUGAUCGAGGAGAAACCAUCUUCAAAAUCACAGUCAAAUAGGAAAAAUGAAUAGACAGCCCACACUAGGACAAUAGCACUUCUUUUACAGGAAAGAUGGUGUGCUUAAAACAGCUAAAGCCUGAUAAACAGCAGCGAUGAAAUGAGCUCAAACUACAUUUAAGCAAUCUAUUAGAAAGCUCAACCUAUUCCUAAAAAAUUAAACUCAGAUCUCGGUCUCAUAUGUCUAUAUUAUGCAAAUCAGUACAUAGGAAAAGCUGAAAUGAAAAAAAUAAUUAUUUGAAGCUCAUGUUUUAUUUAACUUUCUUUUGAUCUUUAAUCAAAUGGCACAUAUACAAUGCAGCAAAUGGGUAUUUAGUUUCAUUCCCCCAACAGCAGUGAACCGAAAAUACCACACAUUUGAUUUAAUAGAUGAAGUUCUCUUCAUAUCAACAUAUCCAAAAAUUAAAAAUCACAUCUUUGCAAUUUUCUUGACGUGCAACCAAAAGCUCAUUAUAUUUCAAUUGCAAAUCUGACAUUUCAACUUGCAGCUUCUCAUAUUCAGAGACACUAGGAGCUCCUAAUUUCUGUUGAACAAACCUGCCCACCAAAAUAAAUAAACAAAAUAGAAAACCCCAAUUUUUCAGCCAAUUAAAUGAUCCCAUUUGAAAGAAGAAAAGAAUUACAUGAACGUACUCAAGAGCAGAAGAAGGCUUGUCAUUUUGCUCAUACAAUGCAACAAGAACUGGAAGCAACAACAACAACAACAACAACAACAAAAUGAAACAGAAAUUAAAAUUCAGUUGAAAUAAAAAUAAAAAUAAAAAAAAAAGAAAACGAAAAAAAGAGAAGAUGAAAGAGAGGAAUGGAAACCUUUGGUGAGAGCAUCAAGAACGCCACUAGAAUCUAAGUACUUCCUAAAAGCUUCCUUUUUGGCUUCUUUUUCCGACAAAACGAUUAAGUAGGGGGUUGAAGAUUUCAACAGAUAUGGUGAUUAUCAUCAAGUGGAUCUGCAUUAUGCAUACAUUAGUGUUACCUCUUUGUAUUACAUCAUCAUCUGCUCUCUAAUCUUCUUCUUGUGCUCUUCUUGUUGUUGAUGGUAUCACUGAUUCUGUUCAGACAAUGAAAAAUCAAAAAGAAAAGAAAAGAGGAAAAAUCACAGAAAAUUGGAAGGGUUAAUUUCAUUUCACCCCUUAAUUGUUAAUUUAAUUUUAAUUAACCCCAAAUAAAACUCUGCACAAUGGACCUACUCUAUUCUAGCCUAAAGUUUUAAACCCAACCCAACCCACAAAACUAACAUGUGACUUAAAGAGAAAGCAAUCAACAAAAAUAAUAAAAAUAAGGUUCUUUAGCACGUUGCACACAUGAUCUGCUGAGUGACCCUGUUGAAAAUGUUAUUUGGUUUAUUCACUGUUUAAGUACUAUUAAUAAAGUACGAUAAAAUUGUGUCUCCUGUGUAAUUGUGCUCACUAUAUAAUUAGUGAAAUUGUUCAUUGAAUCAUUUGUAAAUAACCCGACCCUACCCACUAAACUCAAUAAAAAGAAAACGACAAUUAAAAUAUUUAAAAGAUGGGUUCAUUUUCAUUGUCUGGUUUUGACUCUUCAAUGCAUUCCACGCGUUAUGCUAAAUGAUACUAUCCACGAUGUUAUUUGUUUAGCCUACGAUUUUAAACAUAUGAAAUCUUUCAUAAAGUAUCAUAAAAUUAUGCGUCGCAUGUAAUUAGGGUGCGUUUGAGAUUGAAGUGCCGUAACUUUUAUUUAAGCUACAACUGUUGUGGAAAAAAAUUGUAAUUAUGAAACAAAAGUUAGUAAUAACCAUGUGGAAAUCAACAAUAAAGGAAACAUUAUUAUGAAGCCAUAGUGAUGUAGCGGAAGUUUAAUGUUCAAAAUAUUCCGUUGAUUCUAGAGAAUACCGGAAUAAAAGAACAACUAAAUUCACGUUGAUUCAAAAGAAUACCGCGAACUUAGGGUUAAGACUCGUUGAUUCUGCAGAAUACCGAGAAUUAACUGUUCAAAUACUCACAAAGAGAUUUGAAAAUUGAAAUAUUAUUGAACUCAAAAUUCUAAAUUAGAAAGGAAUUUAAAAGUCUUAAACUUUAGUUAAUAGGGAAACUAAUCCUAGUAUAAUAUAGAUUCCUACUCUUCAUCAUUCCCCCUAGGGUGGAGAGAAUUCGCCCUUGAAUUUGGAUUGUCAGCAACAACAUCUUCAUCAUGAUCACCUCUGUAAGGAAUAAGAUGCUUGACAUUAAAUACAUCUGUGGUGCAGAUAUGACCAGGAAGCUUUAAUCUGUAGGCAUUAGGAUUUAUCUUCUCUAUAAUCUCCAAAGGGCCGAUUUUCCUGGCAGAAAGCUUGUUGUACUCAUAAACUGAGAAUCUAUCUUUAGUUAGGACAGCCCAAACAAGAUCUCCCACUUGAAAUUCCAAAGCUCGACGUUUUUUGUCUGCCAUAAUUUUAUAACCUUCGGUUGUCUGCUUCAAAGACUCUUGCGUAGUUUCAUGAAUCUUCUGAAGCUACUCAAUAAAGUCUUUUGCUUUACCGCUUUUGCAAACUAAAUCUGGAACCGGAGCCAAGUCGAUGGGAGCUCGUGGAAUACAUCCGUAAUUCACCUGAAAAGGGCUUAAACCAGUACUACGCUUAACUGCACAGUUAUAAGUAAACUCGACUUGAUAUAACUUCUGAUCCCACAUCUUCAAGUUAUCACCAACUAGACUACGUAGAUGGUUUCCUAAAGAGCGGUUGACAACUUCAGUUUGACCAUAUGUUUUUGGGUGGUAAGCACUACUAAAAUUCAGGCGAGUGUUAGUCAACUUCCAUAAUGUCUUCCAAAAAUGGCUAAGAAAUCGUGUAUCCCGGUCAGAUACUAUAGAACUUUGUAAACCAUGCAAUCUAUAGACUUCCUUGAAGAAUAGGCGAGCAACAGUCAAAGCGUCUGUAGUCUUCUUGCAAGCAAUGAAGUGAGCCAUUUUCGAGAAUCGAUCAACAACAACAAAUAUUGAAUCCAUACCCCUUUGAGUACGGGGUAAUCCCAAAACAAAAUCCAUGCUAAUGUCAGCCCAAGGUUAUGUUGGAAUCGGCAGUGGCAUAUAUAACCCAGCAUUAGUUGCUGCGCCCUUGGAAACUUGACAAAUGCGACAAGUCUCGACAUAGUGAUAGACUUCACGCCUCAUAGUAGGCAAAAAAUAAGUGUUGGCGAUUAGAACUAGAGUUUUGUCAUGACCCAUGUGCCCUACGUUAUGUAACUCUGCAAUGAUUUUCAAUCUCAAACUUGAGUCAGGAACACACAACUGAUUACUCUUGAAAAGGAAUUCGUCAUGUAAAUGAUAAUCUGAGCGAAAACCUGCAACAACGUCUUCUAAUAUAGGAGCAAAGUAAGGAUCAGAAGCAUAUAACUCUCGAAAUGUGUCAAAUUCGAGAACUUGAUUAUGCAUCUGUGUCAAUAAAGAAGUUCGUCGACUAAGUGCAUCUGUUGCCCAGUUGGAUUCACUAGAGGUAUGCUUCACCACAAAAGUAAAUUGUUGAAGGAAUGCUGUCCACGUGGCAUGUCUGUGAGAGAGCUUGUCUUGACUAUUGAGGUACUUUAACGCGGCAUGGUCAGUGUAUAAAACAAAGUCUUUAUGAAUUAGAUAAUGUUGCCAAUGUUUUAACGCUUGGGCUACUGCGUAAAAUUCCACGUCAUAAGUGUUGUAGUGUGCCUUUGCUCCAUUCAACUUCUCACUAAAAUAAGCUAUAGGCUUACUCUAUUGGCUAAGAAAAGCUCCAAUGCCAACCUUAGAAGCAUCACAAUGUACCUCAAAAGUGAGCGAAAAAUCUGGUAGGGCAAGUACUGGGGCAGUAAUCAACUUUUCUUCGAUAAUCUUGAAUGCCUUAGUAGCUGCCUUUGUCCAAGAGAAUUGUCCUCCUUUCAUGCAAUCCGUGAUUGGUGCCAUAAUAAUACUGAAAUGAGGAAUGAAUCGCCUGUAAAAAGAGGCCAAUCCAUGGAAACUUCUGGUGGCGGAUAAAGUAGUUGGCUGAGGCCAAUCUCGAAUAGCAUCCACUUUUGAUUGGUCAACAGAUAUACCAUCUUUCGACACUACAUAUCCCAAAAAUAAUACUUUCUCUGUCAAGAAAAUACACUUGUUUACUGCUGUGUAUAAACUUGCUGCUCUUAAGGUUGAAAGCGCUUCUCUCAAAUGUUGUAGAUGUAACUCGUGACUGGUGCUAUAUAUAAGUAUAUCAUCGAAGUAAACAACCACAAACUUUCCAAUGAAAGGGCAAAGAACUUGAUUCAUGACUCGCAUAAAAGUACUCGGAGCAUUGGAUAAGCCAAAUGGCAUUACCAACCACUCGUAUAACCCUUCGCUAGUUUUAAAAGUUGUUUUCCAUUCAUCUCCAGGUCGUAUUCGAAUUUGAUAGUAGCCACUUUUCAAAUCAAGUUUGGUAAAAAUUGUUGCUCCACUGAGUUGAUCUAACAAGUCAUCUAAUUGAGGGAUUGGAAAACGAUAUCGAACUGUAAUUUUAUUGAUAGCUCAAUUGUCCACGCACAUCCUCCAAGAACCAUCUUUCUUUGGAGUCAAUAAAGCAGGGACUGCACAAGGACUAAGACUUUCACGGAUAAAUUCCUUUUCUAGUAACUCUUUCACUUGGCGCCUUAAUUCUUCAUGUUCUGUAGGACUCAUACGAUAAUGAGGUUGAUUUGGUAAUGUAGAACCUGGUACCAAAUCACUUUGGUGUUGUAUAUCCCGAAGAGGUGGUAAACCAUGUGGUAGCUCAUUGGGGAACAAAUCUUGAAAUUCCGCCAGAAUAGGUGUCACAGCUUCAGGAAUCUUCGAAUCACUGUUACUCUCUUUUCCCAAUAAAAUGUAGACUCUCUUUGUCUCUGCUACAACAUCUAUAAAUUGCUUCUUGCCUAACAAAUAAUUACCCAAGUCUUGCUGGAGAGUAAACUCUUUGUUAGGUAGGAGAACGAUCUUGGUGUUGUUAAACAUAAAGUUGUAGGUGUUUCUCUUCCCAUGAUGUACUACGUUUCGAUCAUAUUGCCAAGGUCUACCCAGUAAUAGAUGACAAGCAUCCAUAGCCACAACAUCACACCAAAUUUUGUCUUUAUAAAUUGAACCAAUGGAUAAGUAAACUAAGCAACGUUUCGAUACUGUCACUUGAUUUCCCUUCUUCAGCCAUGUGAGCUUGUAUGGAGUUUGAUGAGGUUCUGUCUUUAAAUUUAACUUUGUUAUGGCUUCUUCCGAAAUGACAUUCUCGCAACUCCCUAAGUCUAUGACCAUACAACAUACUUUACCCCUAAUUGUGCAAGUAGUCUGAAAGAUAUUUUUUCAUAGCCAUUUAUCUUUGUCUUGACCUUUAGGAGUGAAGAAUGUGCGGUUCACGAUCAACAUUAGUCCACUAUCACCAUGUUCUUCAACAGGUUGAGAGCUACCACUACUAUCAAAAGUUGGCUCUACAGCGAACUCUUCAGUUUCCUCCUCCUGAUAGUCUUCGCUCUUCUCUGUGCCUAUGAAUAAGCCUUUACCAUAUUUUCCUCCCUUUUUAAAUUCUGUCAUUCGGUGCCCAUUUUCUCCGCAAUUAAAACAACGUAAUCCCAAACCCGAGGAUUGGGUUUUGCUGUUUUGAUCGAUUUCACUAGGUUUACUAGUUUUAUUUGGAGGAUUUAGAGGAGUGAAAUUACGAAAUUGGGAAGUCGGGUUUGAAUUAUCACGAACAACACUUCGAGCACCCCAAAAGCUUGAGUCAUUAGUACGUCGACUAAAUUGCUUCUCCAACUGCAAGGCUUGUUGGUGUGCCUCUGAAACAAAGUAUGGGUCAAGUAAAUUUAAUUGGUCUUGAAAUUAAGAUCAUAGGCCUCCAAUGUAGCGGGAAACCUACUGUUCUUCUGUCUCUGUCAAGUCAUUGCAUGUCACCAACCAAUGAAAUUCUAUAGUGUAAUCAUCCACUGAUCGAUUACCUUGCCUUAAAUUCUGUAGCUGUUGGUAUAACAGUUUGGCGUAAUUAUGAGGCAAGAAUGCUCCACGCAAGUGCUUCUUGAACUUUUCCCAAGAAUCAAUCUUCUUUUUUCCUUGCCUAAUCCUUGUGAGCUUAGUUUGUUGCCACCAAGCUGCUGCUCUUCCACGAAAUCGAGUUGCAGCAAGCGAAAUUAGUUUAUUUUCAGGAACUUCUUUGUAUUCGAAAACUUCCUCAAUGGCAUUAAUCCAAUCCAAUAAUUCUUCACGUCGACCACUUCCUUGAAAUUCGAGAAUGUCAAUUCUCAACCCAGAUUCUCAUCUUCUGUACUCAGUAGACUCAGUUCUAGGUCGACGCCCAGAGAAUGGGUUAGCAAAGCUUCCACUUGAUUUGUCUUCACGUUCUGGGGUACGAUGGCGUUCGUCAAGUAACUCUGCCAUUCGUUCCAUUUGUGCAGCUAACAUAUCAAUUCUGGCUGUCAUACUAGUCAGGGCUUCAUCUUUAGAAACAUCUUCUUGAUUGUAAGUUGCAGUAUGAGCAUCACGAGCUUUUCUUGGAGGCAUUUUUCAAAUUGAGGUUUAAAAAGGUAGUGGGGCUAAAUUGAAAGUAAAUAAAAAUUUUAGGCCGAAACUGUAAUUAAGCAAAAGUUUUAGAUUUCCGAUGACAGUGGUCAGAAAUCUAGUAAGGAUGCGUGGAUCUGAAAGAUUUUGGGUUGGCGAGUAUGACGGUGGUGGUGGUUUGUCCGAAAAAGUGGUGUUUUGGACGGAAAUUGUAGAUAAAGCCGGCGGUUUUGGAGGGCUUCAAUUUCCGGCGGUUUGAGCGUCGAUCGGUGGUGACGAAUGGUGGGAAAGGUUCAGUUGAUGGAGAGGAAUGGACUGAUGGUGGUGCUUCUGGCCAAAUCGCGCCGGAAAGUGGUGAACGGAGGUGGCGGCGAUCGCGGUUGUUUUGGCUUUGUCUUCCGGCGAUCUGUGGCUAAUCGACGGUGGAAGAUGCUUGGGGAUUGAUGGCCGACGAUUUAUGAUCCGUUUAGUGGUGGUUACGUCUGGAUUAGUGAAGGAAAACGAGAGCCGGCAGCCUUGGACGGUGGCCGCGGCUGAAGCUUUUGUUUCUGUUCUGUUUUUGUUUUUUUUUUUUAUUAAACUAAACGGAAAAAAUUCAAAGAAGGAAAGAAGGAAAUGUUUGGUGGUAGAUGGAGUUAGAUUGGUGAUACCAGGUUUUGCUCUGAUACCAAACUGAUGCAGCGGAAGUUUAAUGUUCAAAAUAUUCCGUUGAUUCUAGAGAAUACCGGAAUAAAAGAACAACUAAAUUCACGUUGAUUCAAAAGAAUACCGCGAACUUAGGGGUUAAGACUCGUUGAUUCCGCAGAAUACUGAGAAUUAACUGUUCAAAUACUCACAAAGAGAUUUGAAAAUUGAAAUAUUAUUGAACUCAAAAUUCUAAAUUAGAAAGGAAUUUAAAAGUACUUUAGUUAAUAAGGAAACUAAUCCUAGUAUAAUAUGGAUUCCUACUCUUCAUCACAUAGUUCACCAAGGAAUCAAUACGUUCAAUUUUUUCCAACUUGUCCUAAAAAGCAUUCCACCUACGUGUAAAAGGGCACUGUUUAUCCUGCAAUUGUGUUCCUCUUGUUAAUACAAUUGUACAUGACUAGGGUUGGCAGAAAAGCCCGGGCCGGCCCAGGCCCGCGGGCUUUAAGCCCGGCCCGCAGCUUGAAAUUAUGGGUAAGGGCUUAUAAUUGUCUAAGUCCAUAUGUUAUGGGCUUAGUCAAGGGCCUGAAUGAAAAGCCCGGACUUAAGCCCGGGCUUUUCAAUAAAUAAUAUAUAUAUUUUAAAAAAUAUAUAUAAUAUAUUAAUAUAUCAAAAAUUGAAAAAAAAAACUUAAAACAAAAUAAUUAAAAAUCCUUCAAUCCCGUGAGUCUCUAAGUAUAAGUUGGUAAAUCCCUAAAUCGGUAAUAUUAAUUGAAUUGACAAAACAAUUAUAACAUAACAAAACAAAUUAUAAUAUUGAACUGACAAAAUCCCUAAAUCGUAAAUCCCUCGUUCCCUCACUUCUCACUCACCUCUCAGUUAUCACUCACUGUCACGGCGUCAUCGUGCCGACGUCUCACUGUUCUCGCCACCGGCAGCCAACAGCAGCGAGCAUCUCCAGAUUCCAGCAUCGUCGAGCCAGAGCCAGCACCAGCCAUCGACGACCCACCGUCCAGCAGCAGCAGAAACAGAUCCCAACACCAGCCAUCGGCGACCCACCGUCCAGCAGCAGCAGCAACAGAUUCCAGCAGCAGCAGCAACAACAGAUUCCAGCAGCAGCAGCAGUAACAGAUUCCAGCAGCAACAGAUUCCAGCAGCAGCAGCAACAGAUUCCAGUAGCACUGCAGCAGCAACAGAUUCCAGUGAGCUAGAUUUCUAUUUUUCUAAAGUUGACAAGUCCCGUGCAUUGAGUUCUAUCACUGUUGUGCUUGUAAAUGCAGUAUUCGUUUACUGCAUUUACACUUAGCUUAAUUAAUUUAUUAAUUUAAUAUUUUAUCUUCUUUAAUUUUGUAUAGGUUUAUAAUGGAAAAUGUUUCUGAAUCUUCUAAUUUGCCAUCAAAUCCAUCUGUGGAGUCGAGGAAUUGAAGGAUGAGGACGAAGAUGGCCCGCAAAUAUUAGAUUAGUUUUUUUUUUUUUUUAUAUUAGUAGUUGAUUACUUGAUUUGUAUGUUGUGUAUGGUACUUGUGAUGAUGUUAGUAUUUUUAUAUUUUAUGUUGGCUAAUCAUGUAUUAGAGAAUUAUGUUUAAGUUUUUAGCCUAUUGUAGUAUUAUGUAUUGGAUAAUUAUGUUUUGAAAAAUUAUAAUUUUAUUUAAUUUUUUUAAAAAAAAAAUCGUAAAAGCCCAGGCCCGGCCUAGGCCCGGCCCAUGCCCGUCAAAGCCCGGCCCGCCCAAAACCCGCCCAAUUUGGAUGGGCUUUAAGAGGGCCUGGACUUUUUAAACAUUAUAUGGGCCUGGUCUUGGGCUUGGCAAAGCCCUGCCCAAGCCCUUAAAUUGCCAACCCUAUACAUGACAAAGGUAAAUCAUUGGCUUUUAAAGGGAACAUGCAAAGUCACCUCAAUUUUUGUGUCACUGGUUUGAUCCUGGACAUUUGAAUUUAUCAAUUGUCUUCUCUCAUCAUGCUUGACUGAUUGUUGCAAAGGCAUUUUUGUUUCAGAGGUUUUCCUUGAACGAGUGGUUCUGUAGGCAGAGUCAGUAUGUAUUGUUUCCAUGACUGAGCCAAAGAAGUUUUUCACAGGUACCUAUACAGAGAAAGAGAGAAACAAGGGCAAAUUCUUAGUCAAAACUCAGAAGUUAUUUCAACCCCAACAAAAAUUUUGAAUAAAAAGGUAGCAUCAGCUUCAAUACUAAUCAACAAAUGUAAAGCAUACAGGUGAUUCACCUCAAAAAGUGAUCAUAGUUUGCUUCGAAAUUAGUAAUAUUUAUUAUGACAGUGGUAAACCAUCCUCAAUUAUCCAUAAUUAAGUUUAACAUAGACCAAAGGCCCCUUCACAUCAUUCAGCCAAGCAACCACUAAGCUGAAGAGGUUUAACGAAACAACAUCUAUGUAUAAUUAAAAAUAAGCAUAAGAUGUACGCAGCUUGUGCAUGUGAAAAAUGAGCACAAACUUCACCUAAACAACCGUAAAGAAUGAAAUAAAAAAAAAAAAAAAAAGAGAUCAGAGCGAACCAGUUAGAAUGGAAAUGUAGAAUAGAAAUACUAAAAGGAUCGGAGAAAAGCCCAGAACUUCCAUACCUCCUCCAAUUUUCUUUGGUAUAGAUCUGUUCGGUAAUAUGUAGUUGACAUCAACAGAGUUGGAUUGUAAGAAGUGAAAAGACUGCAAAACAACCGUGAAAACAGAUAAUGCUGAAGCUAACCUUGAAGAAAUAUGGAAAUUCACAGAUGUGCCAUAGACAGGGAUGGGCAAAAUCCCGGGCCAGCUUAGGGUCUUAGGCUCCAUUCGGUACUGCUGUAUUGUGGCUGUGCUUCCAAAGCAAAGCUACCAAAGUGUUUAGUAAAACACUUUCAGCUUCAUUUUGGAAGCUAAGCUAAUUCUACCCAUAGUUGUUCUAUGAAAAAUUAUUACCCUCACUAACUUACCUUUAACAAACUUCAAAGCUUUGAUUACCAAACACUCAUUUAGUUUCACUAGAUAGCUAGUGCUCCCAUUUCACAGAAGUCGCGGCUUCAAAGCCUCAACACCACAAUCCCAUAAGAAGCCUUGCUGGUGGGUUAUAAAAGUUAUAUUGGUAUACAAGCUUAUGUGUCAGAGACUCUAAGAUACUACUCUUAUAACAAGCACAAAGUCCUACUUUCGUGUACCUGCUCAAUGACGCAUUGUCAUACAUAUUCAGCUUUUCAAAAAAAGCAAGGGUAUAAAAUGUGAAACGAUCCACGACAGAUACUCCAACCUGAAGUUAAUAAGAGAUGUUCAUAUGUAAGAACUGCAAUUGUAGAAGCAAAAUAAAAGAUUGAAACUUCAAAAGCAGGGUAUACUAGGUCCUAUAUGUUUAAAGGAUUGGUAAACAAGAAAAUUCUAUCUUCUUAGCACUUACAUCAGAGUCCAAGUGAUGAGAAUAUGAGUUCUCCCCUUUCAUGCUACUUCCAAUAGCUAAAACACCUGGAGAAUGAAGCUGCAGAAUUUAAAAAAGUCGUUUCCUUCAGCAUCAAAAUCACUGGUUAGGUAAAUCAAAUUUUUAAAUGUAUGCUAAGUUAAAAGACUCAGAAAGUCACGUCAAUGGAUCCAAAUUUGAUUCAGAAGCUUGUUACUAAACUCAAAACUUAGAUGAUAGUGACCAGAUAUGUAAACAAAGAGGCAUCUCACAAAAGCCGAGAUGCACAACAAUUGAAAACAUAGCUUUCAUGAACAAACUUUUGGGGAUCUCAUGCGGCAGAGCAGGUGUGUUGGCCCACCAAUGAAACAGAUAACUGCUUGAGUAUAAAGACAUUUGAUUCUUAACUAAUUACGAGUAGUCACCAAUAAAAGAGCAGCUAUGAAGUGGUUCGUAAUUUAACCAUUCGAACAGAGCAACAUAGUUAAAGAUUUUUCUUCGCACUACCAUGUGCAUGUUUCUCUAGUUUAAAAAUAAUACUGCAGAAAAGUAAAGUCUAAUAAUCACUAGAAGUAACUAGUCUAAUAUUUGUGAAAAGUACAACCCAUUUAGACACACCAUACUAACCUGAGAGAAGAGUGUGGCAGCUUGGCAAGUGUCCACCAUUAUCAGCAACUCCUUGAAUCUAAUUUUGUGAUAAGACACACAAGCUCAUUAUUAAGCAGGAUCAUAAAUGUAUAAAUGUAGCAGACUAUGCUGUUAUCAAUUUUUUGGGCACAGAAAGAGUCAGAGAUGCAUAGCAGAUUAUGUUGUUAUGCACGAUGCUUUCUGAAAUUGUAAAUUAUUGAAGUGAAGUCCUUUUUGUGACUCGCAUUCUGCUUUUCCUUUGUGUGUUUGUGUGUACCACAGAUAUGCAAAGAAAAACAUACCAAUUGUAAGCAUAUGCAUUAACAUAACAUAUUAUUACAGAUGCAAUGACAUAAACUCAACAAAUGAUCCGUUAAUGUCGAAGAAACACCAAUAUACAUUCAGAAGUUCUAAUGCACACUCUAUUCAGUGGGUACAACAAUCUGGGAACAAUCGUUUGAUAUUUCAUAUUUUCCAUUAAAAAAAAAUCAAGUUAUUACAACAUUAUAAAACACGAGUUCUUCAGAAGGACCUCUAGGGCUCAUCCUUUGGCGCCUCAGCAUCAUUAUUCUCUUCGGUAGAUGCCGUUUUCUGUGAAUUCUUAAGUUCCUCUAACUGAGACAGAAAAUAGUCAGGCAACUCAAGUUACAUAUAUAUUAUUUUUAUUAUUAUUUUUUAACACCAUAAAUAAUAAAUUGAAGUGUUUCGGCAAAGAUGGUAAUAGUUUGUGUAAAUAAAAACAAGAAGGAUGAGAAGCAGCACUAAAUAUUACCGUGACGCCUUAAAUCUACAUGCUUUAGUGUCUUGGCAAAAGUAUAUAAAUGUUUUCUUAACAUUAUGCUCAUUGGGAAAAAAACAACUUUGGAAGAAGAAGAAGAAAAAUUAUUCAAGUUAGUCAGUUGUGGGUGAAUCAUCACAUAGGAUAUCUACAUCUGGAUUUCAGUACUAUACAGGACAAUGAAGGGGGAAAAAAAGAAGAAAAAAAUAAACUUGAAAGAAUAAAACUAGAGUGGAAGAUGAGAUGAUUCUGCCUCUUCUGGCAAACACUGCUCCAGCCGGAUCCACGUCAUGCUUGAAUGGGUUGAAUAUCUCUAUAUUUUGUGUUUUUAUUUCUAUUUAUGUGCACUUUGUUAUUUAGUGAAUCUCAAUUAGUAACAAAUUACCCACCAAAUAAUUUUUUUUUAUUAUAUCCAUUUUCAUCUCUUUAUUAUACAUAUAUAUUCUUUAAGUAAUAUGAUGAUAAUCCGACUUCUUUCACACUAAUACGAACGAGAUUGGAACCUCAUACUUUAAUACAUACUAUCAUAAAAAAUUUUACAAAUCGAACAACUAAGCACUCACAAGUUUUUGUUUCACUUACCUUGAAUAAUAUAUCAAGUAAAUGAAAUAUAUUUUUUAAAAACCCUAAACUAUAUAUGUCGUCAUUUUCGUGAAAGAAUUGAUCAAAGCACAAUGAGGAUGCCAUUGGUGAUGCAAAAUUGCAAAUGAGAGGAGAGAUUCACACCAAACGCCUCUAUUUUGAUGAUAAGUGUUAAAAAUGAGAAUUUUCCAUCUCUUGUGCAUCAAUCAUUAGCAUUCGUCAUCACUAGUCGUUCAUGUUCGAAUUCUUUAGUGGCCUCAUUUAAUCUAAUAUACGAUAUGGAGACCAUAUAAAUUAAAUUAUUUAAUAUGAAAUUAAAGAAUGUAGGGUGGUCUCCUCCCCUUGCUAUUUUUGGUUUACUAUGUAAUGAUACUUAUGGGAUUGCAAGUUUAGUGUUGCAUUAGCUCUUCGUGAGCCGUUCUUUAAUAAAAAAAAAAAUGUAGGGUGGGUGUCUAAUAAAAGAAGCGGGAGUUAUGUAAUAAAAAAAAAUUACUUAUUUGUAGAAUUGACUUGAAGAUAAAGGGGCAUGUGAAUGAUGUCAGGGUUGAGCUUAAAAAAUGCCCAUAGGAGUGGUCUUCAUGGCUCAAAUACCUUACGUAGCCCACUUAUAAAAUUGGGUCUUCAAAAGAGUUUUAAGUCAACCACUGUUGAACUUGUUCAUCUUCAUCCUGCCUUGUGACAUGUUUUGGUUUUUUUUUUUUGGGUUAAUCUCUCUUAUUCUUUUUAGUUUAUUUUAUUUAUUUAUUUUUAAAUAGAAUUUUAUGCUAACUAGUAUUAUGAAUAUUCCUGUUCAAAUACGUACAUGGGUAGAGUGGAAUGCUUAACACUCAGUAACAAUGAAAAUAGUAAUAUUAGUAAUCAUUUGACAAGUUUCAGUUUAUAAUCUAAUAUGUAGCCUGGUGCUUAGGUUCAGAUAUUCAGAUGAAUUUAAAAUACAGAGUUAAAAGAUAAGAAAAAUACGAACUAGAAUGCACUAUUCUUGUCUUUAGUGUAUCGAAGUUUAUAUCUUCUUUUUCUUUUUUAAUCUUUCAACUCCAUCCUGAUAAUUUUAAAAUAUGAAUGUCAGCAAUUAAGCAUGACUCAUCAUAUGCUAUAUUAAUUUAAAUAUACAUUUUUCAUUAAAAAAUAAACAAUACUAAAUUCUAGUUUGUAAUCAAUCCUUCUAAUAAAAAGACUUGUUUAAUAUAGUAGUAAGUAUCCUGCAACACCAUCAUUAUGAGUUUUAAUUUGACUUUUAAGAACGGACAAAGAUCCUCUUUUAAUAUUUUUUUCCCCUAAUCUUUUCAAGUGAAAUAAGUGGUUAAGAUUGAAUUUUAAAAUUUGAUAUUGACAAUCAAGCCAAUUUUUUUUUUUACUUUAUUUAGAAAUAAAUUUAUAAAUAUUGAAGGACUAAGAGAGAUUAAAAGAGAUUGAAAAAAAAAAAAAAAGAGAGAAUCCUAAUCCUUGAAGAACAAACCCAAAUUCUCUAUCCUAUCAAAUAAAAUUCUAACGCAAAAUAAAGAAAAAUGAUAGGUAAAAAUUAGUGCUCUAAAAGUGAGCGGAGAAUUGAUUCUUCUUCCCUUACUUUAUAAAGAGAUGGUGCUAAUAAUAAUAUACUUAAACAAAGUUGUAGUAGGGAAUAAACACAGCAUGCUAAAGCCUAAUAAUAACUAAUAAUGGGAAGGGAUGCAGCCUGCCGUAGCAUGAAAUUGAAAUCAGCCUAAUCAGGCUAAUCAAUAUCCUGUGUGGCAGUCUUUAGCACCUUCAUUCCAUCUUUCAUUUGCUUACUUUUCCUAUGAAGAAAAAAGAGAGGAAAAAAGGCAGAUUUUUAGCCACCAAUCAAAUUCAACACCCCCAAUACCUUUCGCGAGAAGUGGACAUCUUUAACAAUUCGGUGGCUUUUUUUUAAAAAAAAAAAUAUUUGAAUACACUUGAAGUAGUCUGAAUUGUAAAUAAAGUUGAAUGUCUGAAUUUAAAUAAUAUAUUUUUUAAAAUUGUUAAAAAUAAGUAUUAAAAUAUUUUUUAACUUAAAAAAUCCAAAAACUAUUAUUUUUACAUUGUGCCCUUAUAAAUGCGAAACAAAGCCCUUAUAAAUGUGAAACAAAUAAUCACACAUAUUAAAGAAUACAAAUAAAAUAAUAUAUUAUGAACACAAAAAAUCAUACUCAAUUGAAUACAAUUCUUUAAUAUUCUUAAUUAGUACAUGUUAAUUGAUUUUAUUGUAAUUUACGAUGUUUUUAUAUUGUUCAUUAAAAAAUGUGAAGAUAAUAAUGCUAAUAUGAAGAAAAUAAAAAGAUAAAAUAAUAAUAGUCUAUCAUUACAUCAACAAAAGUUACAGAGAUAGAUAAUAAUGUUAAUUAUUAAAUUUUAUUCAAGUAAGGAAGAAAAAUCGAUUAAUUAAAUUGAGAUAUUUUGGAGAAUAUCUUUUAAUGAUUAUCAUUAAGACUUUUUAGAUUAAACAAAAAGCUAAAAAAAUUAGUUUAAUAACUUAAUGAUUUAAUGACUGAAAUUUUUUAUUAAGUUGAAAAAACAAACGGACUUAAUGACUUAAUUGAUUGAAUUUAAGUUAAUUAAGCCAUUAAGUAAAAAAACAAAAAACAAACAUGCCCCUCUUUAGCUUUGCUUUGCGUGCACUCAAAAUCUUGAUAAAAACCCCUCUUUUAAAUUUACAAUUGUAACCUCAAUGGAAAAUUAUAAAUGACAUUAAAAGACAAAGACAGGAACUCAUAUGUGCUCAAUUAUUCAUAAUCUUCUAUCACAAAUACAUGUACAUUAAUAUUUGGCUAAGAUUUAAUUAGUUUUAUAUUCUUAUCUAAUAACUACCAAUUAUAUUUCUAAAACGUUAGCAAAAAGUUCAAUUCAAUAUUGAAUUUAAAUCCUAUUAUUAUGUGUGGCCUUUGCAGUACUUCAUAUGAGUUUUGCUUGGUCUUUUCAGGAACUAUUACCUAGUUUAUGAUUUUAUCUCUUGUUUGGUUGUCGAUGUUUUUUGAAUUUUGAUAAUAUAUGUAACUUGCAAGUAGUUUGACGUUUUUUUUUUUUCAUUUGCACAAUGAUUUAAAAGAAUAAAAAAAUGAAAAAGGUCAAGAGGAAAAUUAGGUAUCCCAAUAUUCAAGUCCUAAUUUAAGUCUCAACUGAUAUAACGUACAUCCACUGAAUGAUAGUUAAAUAAUUUUAGAAGUUAUGAAUUAAAUUAUUUAAUAAAUGAGUGACACAUGAUAUUUGGAUUUAAGUUGAGAUUCAAACGUUGGAAUGUCUAAUAUUAUUGAAAACUUAAUACAGUAACACUGGCCAAGUUUGAAUAUUCAUGACGCUCAAGUAACAGACAAAUUGAAUACAUACCUCAAGAAGAUCCAACAAUAAUACAUGUCAUGCUCUUAUUUUAUCAUAAGUGGCUAGUAUAAUUAAUGAAAGUAGCAGUGUACCAUACAUUCUGAUUUCUCAAUCUUGAUUCUUCUUCCAGACAGCCGGCUUGUCAAGAGGAAAAGGGGAAUUUUUCAGAUUGAAGCAACGACUAACCUCUGCAUAACGUAGUAUAGGCAUAUCCUUGAGCAAAACAUUCCAAUCAAGAUCUAAGUUUGGCACGAACUUUAAACAUAGACCCUCAAGGACCCAUGUGGUGCCAUUGCUAUCCUGAUCAGAUUCAGAACUGAUUUCGAAGUUGCUGAUGUCUCCAUCCUCAAGACAGAGAUAUUGCAGGCUUGAGAGGUGCUUAAGAUUAAUCCAUUUUGGCAGAAUUUCGUGGCGGUAUCGCCUGAGGUAAAGCUCCUGAAGGCUCGGAGGAGGCAAAAGCCUAUCCAACAUCUGUGAUACAUGUUUUUCUUUACAAUCCUCUGCAUCAAUAGCUAAAACUUUGAGUUUCUCGAGCUGUGAUAAGACAUUCCAUUCAUCUUCAGAGAUUUCACUCUCAUUAUUUAUGGACAUUCGUAGAACUCUUAGCUGCUUCAGUCCCAGCAGGGCGUUAAGUCGACAGCCUUGUGUGUUAGACUGACUCGCCACCCGAAAUCCAGACAGCUCCUGGAGAUAAAUUAGCUUCUCGAGUCCAUGAGGUAGAUGCUGGAGAGGACAAGAUCCGAGGUCCAAGAUGAUCAACUUCUUCAAACUAGUAAUUGAUGGAUGUAGUUUGGUGCACCUCCUCAGAACAAGUAUUUGGAGAUUACGAAGCUUUUGAAUUGAAGAUGGCAGCUCAAUAUUGCCUGCAACUCCGCUUAAGUUGAGACAUGCAAGGCGUUUAAGUGAAGAGAUCUUAUCCAAUAGAUCCUCAACAUUCAUUCGAUCUAGCUUACAGUAUGAGAAAUCCAGCACCCUCAGUGACAUGAGCGAUUUCACAUUCCAAAAGGAAACCGGAGUGCUUGAUGUCAGUAUUGUUAAGGAAGCUCACACUUGUAUAGUAGUCAGCAGAACAGAGGAUGAUAGCAGCAAGAUUAAUCAGUUACGCAUUGAUGAUGUGGCAUGCCAUGUCAUGCCUGGUGAUUAUGAAAUAUGUGUACACGUGACUAAUUAGUUAAAGGUUGUUAUAUUCAGUUAUCAAGUUGAGCUUAAGCACUUGUAUAUAAGAAAUAAUUCAACACACAUUACGUGUGUAUUUGAUUAAUAAGAUCAGAAAUUUUCUCAUAUCUAUUUCUUAAUUCUUUUCACUUUCCUUUACUUUCUAAGUAACCAAACAUCAUUUUCAAUCUUCAACUUGGUAUCAGAGCCACGGCAAAGUAAUGGCAUUAGUAAAUCUUGUUUCAUCUUCUGCACCAGUUCUUAACACAACAGUUAACUCAACAAUUUCUUCAUUUACGUUCAACACUCCUGUUAAACUUGAUCAAUCCAAUUUUCUGAUAUGGAGAUCUCAAGUUUUGGCUUCAAUCCGUGGUAACAGACUUGAGAAGUUCAUAGAUGAUUCAGCAACUCCACCUCCAUCUCACAUUGCUCAAAGGAUUGGUGAUGAUAUCAGAUCUGUGGAGAAUCCAGAGUUUGUAAUUUGGAGAUCACAAGAUCAAGUACUUCUUGGAUGGCUGCUCUCAUCAAUGAGUGAAGGUAUUAUUAGCUUAGUGUUUGAUCUGGAAACUUCUGUUGAGGUGUGGAAGGCUAUUGAAACACAAUUUGGCUCACAAUCUAAAUCUAGACUUUUACAUCUGAGAUACAUGAUGAACUCAACUAGGAAAGAUGAUUUGAAAAUCAAUGAUUACUUCAUUAAAAUGAAAUCUAUAGCUGAUAACAUGGUUGCAGCAGGAAGUGCUUUGAAUAAUGAUGAUUUAAUUCUGCAUAUACUCUCUGGUUUGGGACCAAAAUACAAUUCUGUAGCCACUUAUAUCACUGGACAAGUAGGUGUUGGAAAGAUGAAUGUUAAUGAGGCUUAUGCCAUGCUUUUAACUCAAGAAGCAAGGAUCGAGCAACAAGCUCAAAUGCUUGCUGAUACAAAUGUGAAACAGAAUUUUGAAGCUAAUCUAGUUCUAAAUAGAGGAUUUAAGAAAGGAAACAUGUCUGGUGGUAAAAACUUUGGUGGUUAUGGAUACAAUACUGGAAACAAUGGAGGUUUUGGAACUAAUCAUUACAAAGGCAAUUAUGGAGGAUCCGGAUAUGGAUUUGCUGGUAAUGGAGAUUCUCAGUACAAAGCUUAUCAAGGUGAUAAUCAGAGAGGUGGAGGAGGCAGUUGGAAUCCAAAUGCUGGUAAUGGAGGAUAUAAUGGCAGACCAUCUGGACAGAUCAAGCCUCAGUGGAAUGGUUCUAAACCAACCUGUCAAAUAUGCCUCAAGACUGGACAUACUGCAAACAUCUGUUGGAAACUUACAGAGUUCAUGAAUUCUGGAGCAUACAGACCACCACCAAAUAGAAAUCCAAAAGCUGCAUACUUAGCCAACAUAGAGGGACCAUCUGAUGCAAACUGGUACCUGGACAGUGGAGCUACACAUCAUCUGACAAAUGACAUGAAUAAUAUGCAUGUUUCUGAAAGCUUUACAGGUACUUCUAAGCUCAUUGUUGGUAAUGGUGCUGGUUUAAGCAUAACUCACUUAGGCAGUGUAGUCUUGAAAAUGCAUAAAAAUAGAGAUGAUGCCUUAUCAACACUUAAGCUCAAUGACAUGCUCCUAGUACCACAAAUUACCAAAAACCUCAUUAGCAUAUCCAGACUUACCAAAGAUAAUAAUAUAGGGGUUGAAUUCACUGACAAAUUUUAUUUUGUGAAGGACAAGAUGAAGAAUGUGGUAAUAUUGCAGGGCAAGGCUGAAAAGAGUCUCUACAGAUUGCUAUUGGUUUCUUCUAAUAAAACUCUUAUCACAUCAUCUGGUCAGAGUUAUAUUGCUAAUGUAGAGUCAACCGAGACAUUAACUCCUCUUUCAAUGUUUUCAAGUGUUAGUUAUGAAUUCAAAAAUAAAACCAACUACUUACAUACUUCAGCAGUUCCUUGUAUAAAUUCUGAGUGUUUGUUAAGUACUUCUGUAUUACAUCAAAGGUUAGGUCAUCCAUCUUCUCAUGUUUUAAAUCAUGUAAUCAAAACAUGUUCAUUUGUUCAAACUAUCAAUGGAAACAAAACCUUUGAGUCUUGUGAUGCUUGUAAGAUGGGAAAGAUGCACAGAUUACACUUUCUUGUCACUGAAACAAAAACAAAGUUUCCUUUAGAAAUAUUACACACUGAUCUAUGGGGACCAUCUCCUGUGAUCUCUCCUCAAGGAUAUAGAUAUUAUGUAAGUUUUGUUGAUGAGUGCACCAGAUUCACUUGGAUAUUUCCAUUAAAAACAAAAGAUGAAACUCUCCCUAUCUUUAAGAUCUUCAAAACCCAAAUUGAAAAACAACUCAACAGAUCCAUUAAAUAUCUUCAAUCUGAUUGGGGGGGAGAGUUCAGAUCCUUUGUUAACUAUCUUCUUACUGAAGGAAUCCAAUUCAGACACUCAUGUCCCUAUACUCACAAUCAAAACGGUUUAGUAGAAAGAAAACACAGACACAUCACUGAACUUGGGUUAACCUUACUUGCACAAGCUACCAUGCCUCUUAAAUUUUGGUGGGAUUCUUUUCAUACAGCAACCUAUAUUAUAAACAGACUACCCACUCCUGUAUUGAGCAUGAAAUCUCCCUAUGAAUCUCUAUUUCAACUUUCACCAGAUUACAAGUUUCUAAGAGUCUUUGGUUGCUCAUGUUUCCCUUUCCUUAGAGAGUACAAUAAACACAAGUUUCAGUUUCAUACAUCCAAAUGUGUCUUUCUGGGUUAUAGCCCUUUACAUAAAGGCUAUAAAUGUUUACAUCCCUCUGGUAAAACUUAUAUAGCUAGUCAUGUUUUGUUUGAUGAAUCUUCCUUUCCAUAUUCAUCUCUUUUUCAUAUUUCUUCAUCUGGAAAUCAUUCCUCAGAUUUCCAGUAUAAUCUUCUCAAAUGUUAUACAGUUCCAGUUUCCAAUAGCAAUCAAGACACUCUUGAAGCUAAUGCAGCGGAUAAUGACCAUUAUUCUCCUCUAUGUUCUUCUCACAACACACCAAAUGUUUCCUCACCAUCAAAUAACCUUCCUACUGACUCACUUCAUUACUCAUCACUCACACAACCAGCUUCUGAUCUAAAUACUUCCAUACAGCCCAAUAAUGCCACAUCACUACCAAAUCAGCAAAAUCCACCUUCUUUACCAGUUGAAACACACCAAUUAUCAGUACCAACACAAGUCAAACCACUCAUAUCUACACACAAAAUGAUCACUAGAGCUAAGGCUGGAAUCUUCAAACCAAAGGCCUUCAUUGCCAACCAUAAUAGUCUGGAACCAUCCACCACCUAUGAGGCAUUAUCUGAUCCUAAGUGGAAGGGAGCUAUGCAGGCAGAGUAUGAUGCUCUCAUGAAGAAUAAUACCUGGAGCCUAGUACCUAUAUCUUCCUCUUAUAAACCAGUUGGAUGCAAAUGGGUUUUUCGAACUAAAUACAACACUGAUGGUUCAAUCUCCAAGUACAAAGCAAGACUAGUUGCAAAGGGGUUUCACCAAACUGCAGACAUUAACUAUUCAGAAACCUUCAGCCCUGUAAUCAAAUCUUCAACAGUAAGAGUUAUCAUAAGCUUAGCUGUUAUGAAAGAGUGGAAAGUAAGGCAAAUUGAUGUAAAUAAUGCCUUUCUUAAUGGAGAACUCUCUGAAGAUGUGUAUAUGACACAACCCGAGGGUUUUGAAUCUAAGGAAGGCUACAUUUGCAAACUCAACAAAGCUUUGUAUGGGCUAAAACAAGCUCCAAGAGCUUGGUAUGAAAAGCUCAAAGGCUGUCUAACUGACUGACAGUUUAUCAAUUCUAAAGUUGACACUUCUCUCUUCAUCAAGCAUGAUACAAGAGGAUUAAUCAUUGUUCUCAUCUAUGUAGAUGACAUUCUAAUUACCGGCCCUGAUUCUGAUCUACUGGAGGUAUUCAUAACUAAACUCAGCACAGUGUUUGCUCUUAAGGAUUUGGGGCUGGUUGCUUAUUUUCUUGGAGUGGAAAUGUGUUACACUGCUCAGGGAAUGCAUCAUUCUCAAACAAAGUAUAUCAAAGAUUUGUUGAGUAGAGCUUCAAUGCAGAAUUGCAAAGGUUCUGAUACACCUUUUAGUAUUAGUUUUAAGCUGGAAAGAGCUGUGCAAGGUUCUCUGGGGCAAGAGUUUGAGGAUCCCACAUUGUACAGAAGUCUUGUUGGUGGCCUUCAAUAUCUAAUUCUUACCAGACCUGAUAUUGCCUACUCAGUUCAUAAGCUCAGCCAAUAUCUCAGUGCUCCCACACUUCAACACUGGUUGGCCUGCAAGAAAGUUCUUAAAUAUCUUCAAGCAACAAUCACUUACGGCCUUCACAUUCAAAAGGAGGGAAUACUUGAAACUACUGGAUUGACUGGUUAUUCAUAUGCUGAUUGGGCAUGUGAUGUUAAUGAUCGCAAGUCCAUUGGAGCUUAUUGCAUAUAUCUUGGUAACAAUCUAAUCUCUUGGUCAUCUAAGAAGCAACCUAUUGUUGCUAAAUCCAGCACAGAGAGUGAAUGCAGAGCUCUAUCCUCAGCAAGCUCAGAAUUAUCAUGGCUGCAAUCCUUAUUUUCUAAGCUUAAGAUUAUGAAGUUACCUCCUUCAAUUCUUUGGUGUGACAACCAAAGUGCUGGUGACUAAGCUAGGAAUCCUGUUUUUCAUUCUAGAUCAAAGCACAUUGCACUAGAUGUUCACUACAUUAGAGACAAGGUGCUAAAGAAGGAGCUGGAAAUCAGAGGAACAUGUUGCUGAUGUGUUUACAAAACCUCUGUCAUUUCCUAAGUUCAGUUACUUCCGCUCCAAGCUCAAUGUUAUUAACAGACUAUUGAGCUUGAGGGGGGAUGUUAAGGAAGCUCACACUUGUAUAGUAGUCAGCAGAAUAGAGGAUGAUAGCAGCAAGAUUAAUCAGUUACGCAUUGAUGAUGUGGCAUGCCAUGUCAUGCCUGGUGAUUAUGAAAUAUGUGUACACGUGACUAAUUAGUUAAAGGUUGUUAUAUUCAGUUAUCAAGUUGAGCUUAAGCACUUGUAUAUAAGAAAUAAUUCAACACACAUUACGUGUGUAUUUGAUUAAUAAGAUCAGAAAUUUUCUCAUAUCUAUUUCUUAAUUCUUUUCACUUUCCUUUACUUUCUAAGUAACCAAACAUCAUUUUCAAUCUUCAACUAGUAUCAAUGCCCUGAGCCUUGAACUGUUUUUCAAAGAUUUUGGAUCCAUGUCACUGGUGAAACCGAACCAUCGCGAGUCUUGUGUCAAUUUCUGCCUGCCUUGUUCAUCAAAGCUGCAAAAAGCCUCAUCUUUUGCAAUCUGAAUGGUCAUAUCCCUGACCAAAUCGUGCAUCUUGCAACUAUAGACCCUCCCAUCGUAGCCUCUUCGAUGCACAACUUCAACCAAGCAUCUACUUACUAGUUCUGAAAGAUAAUCAAAGCCUAAUUCCGUAGUAGUCCGAUUGUCCCUGCCCCAGAUGAGUCCUUCUCCCACCCACCAAUGUACCAUCUGUUCACCACUUAUCUCAAAGUCGUCGGGAUAAAUAGAGAAACACAAGAGGCACUGCUUUAGAUGUGUGGGGAGUUCAUCAUAGCUCAGUCGUAGAGAAGCCACCACCGAAUUGUUCUCUCUUUCGGUUGUCAAAUAUACAUGAAAAUCAUCAUUGAUUUUAUUCCACUCACUAAGGGAAUGGACUUUUGGAGCAAGCAAGCCUCCUAUUGUCUUGAUUGCCAGCGGUAGUCCCUCGCAUUUCUUCAAGAUCUCUCUGCCUUUUUUUUCAAACUCCUUAUUGGGGCAUUUUCCCUUGCUCGUUAAAAAUGCAUGCUUGCAGAGUAAUGACCAACUCUCCUCUUCAUUUAAAAUUUUUGGGGGAUGAAUUCUUGACUCAUCAACUCCCAUACUAUUGACAACGGUUUCAUUUCUAGAUGUGAUGAUAGCGAAGCAUCUUUUUUCAGUCAGAUAUAAAUUCUUCCACCAAUCUAGAUUCAUUCUCCACACAUCAUCCAUUACAAUGAGACAGGUCUUGUCACUGAGCCUCUGUUGAAUUUUGUGCAGCAAAUAACUUUCUUCAAUUCCCGAUUCAUCCUCUCCCAGCUGUUUCAACAUGGGCCUCAUGACUCGUUCCUGGCAGAAAUUCUGAGAAACUGGCACCCAUAUCCUCUUCUCAAAGUAUGCAACCAUCUCUCCAUCAUUGAAUAUCUUUUGGGCAAUGGUGGUUUUGCCUAAACCACCCAUACCCACAAUACCGAUUUGCUGAAGCUUCUCAUUACUGCUAAGGAUCCACCCUUUAAUCUUUUCCAAGUCCUUCUCCAAACCGAUUAUUUCAGAUGGUUCCCGGUCCUCUGGGGAAUAUUUAAAUAUUUGGUAUGAUGAAUUAUUAGGCCCCUGCUGGAUGAUUGGCUGUUCUGCUCUUCCAUACACCCCCAAGCUAGACUCCAUUUUCUCAAUCCGUGAAUUGAUAUGCUUCAAAUCCUUACCUGUUUGGUAUAUGAAAAACAAGUCACGAAGUGAGAACCUGUGGCAAAACCCAUCUUUCCGAUAUUCAUCUCUAAUUUGGCAAUCCGUCAUUAUGUCAUCAGCUUCAUAAAUUAUUUUUCUCAGGUUAGGCAAGAUCUUCUGCAUGAACUACCCCCGAGUUUUCUGCUUAUCAGUGCAGGAGAUGAAGGCAGUCAUUAGCUCAAGCUUUGUCUUCAUUGCCUCAAGCUGAUCUUUAAAAUCAAGUGCGUACUGAGCUUGAGUCAGCAAAGCAGAAAACACUUUCUCUAUCAAUGUCCCAAUCAUCGCCUCUGUCGCUUUCGACGCCGCCAUAUCCUCGGGCAAAUGUUCCCUGUUAAUUUCAUGUUCAUUAUCAUCUCAGUAAAGUAUACAUCUUAUGAGCUCGUAUGGGCUUCUGCUACAACCAUACAACAUGUCACACAUAAAGUACAGAUGGCAGAAAAGAGACUAGCACUUUCAGUACUAGGAGGGACAAGACAAAAUAUAUAAUGGAUUCAUCUCAUUUCCAUGGGACUUGACAGAACAUCUAUCAGAAUAGUGAAGUCACCCAACAACAUUGAUCAGAGUAAAAUUGUGUCAUAUGAGUGAAUCGACAGAAUGAUACUAGUCAGAAUAUAAUAAUGUAUCGAACAAAAAACUGAGAAUUGAAGCUAAGGUCUAGCUCACUUUCUUAGGACUCAGGUCUUAGGUUCGAGCUUCAAUAGAACAAGUUACGAAUAAAUUCUCUUGGUAACCAAGGAUCAAAUACAAUAAUUAAUUGCUAAGGUCGCUCCAGUAGUAAAAGUGACUUUCCUAAGACUUAGGUCUUAGCUUCGAGCUUCAGUAGAACAAGUUACGAAUUGGUUCUCUGCGUAACCAAGGAUCCAAUACAAUAAUUUAUUGAAAAUAUAUUUAUCAUAACUUUAAAAUUAAGUGAUACGACGGCAAAUAUUAACUUGAUAAAAGAUCAUCAUCGACCAUCAAAUUCUAUAAACAAGUUUUAGAAAUUUUCAUGUUUAAAUUCACAUCAAUCAGAGAUUUAGCAACAUGCAUGGGUGAAUCAUAAAAGGGUUUUAAGCAGAAGCACUUACUGGAAUCCUGAAAGUGUGUGUAUAUAUAUAGCUUGACUGGGCUGAACAGAGAGUAUGCUAGAACCUGAAACCCAAAAAACAAAUUGAGUUUUAACAGUCAGAGUAGAUUGUUCAGCUGAAUAUAACAGAGUACCAUGUAAUCAAAUUAUUUUUAUUUCUACUUUUAAUUCCUUGCUGGCUGUUCAGCGUUUCAGUUCGCUUAAUCACUCACUAGCUCCUAUCUGGCUCUGCUAAUUUGAUUUAUAUUGCCGAUAUUUAUUAUAUAGGAGAAGAGAUGCCAGAAUUGAUCAAAUAACAAGCCACCUGCACUUUGUAUUUUGAGGGUACAAGAAAAGAAGGUGAAAAAUAUUUUGAAUGAGUAAUUAAAGUUGAAAUGAUUAAAGUUGAAAGCUGUUGGAAUUUGGAGAUAAGAAGCAUUUUUAUCCUCUUCUCUUCACAACAAUCAAAUUUUGUUUAAUUAAAUAUCAUAACAAUUAUAUUUUUAAUUUUAACAAAUUAUAAAUUUAUGAUUUGAAUGAGGCUACAUAGUUGCAUAAGAAUUUUAAGAAAAAAAUAUUAUCUUAGUAGUUUAUGGAAAUCAUUAAUUUAGACCUUUAGCCCAAGUUGGGACUAUGUAAAAUUAUUAUAUAAUAGAGUUUAUUAACUUAUCUGAGUAUUAAAUUGUAGUGGAUUUACUAUAUUAACCUAAGUGGUGAUCUUAUUUGCAGUACUAGAGGGGUUUUGAUGGUAUAGUUAAUGGGACAAAGAAGAAUUGCGGUAAAAAGAGUGCGUGAAAAAAUCAGUUGUAAUAUAGUAUACAAUUAUUUUGUCAAAAGUGAUUUUUAAGAAAAUUUAUCAAACAGUAAAGUUAACUUUUAAUUUAAAAAAUUAUUUUUGAGCCUUCUAACAGAAAUUUCAAACAAAUCCCAAAUAUUUUUAAAUAACCAAGUAUAACAUUACUUAUAAAUAAAUUGAAGUGGUAGGUUAUUCUGUCCCAACAGUCAUUUCAAGGCCAGUAUAUCACAUACAAUCAGAAGGUUCUGUAUCGAUUCCUCUCACUUGUUUGAAUGCUCGAAUGUCUGAGGUCACAUACCAUCAAUAAAUAGUUUGCUUAUCAAACAAAGAAGAACUUUUUCAAAAAGUAAAAGAAAAAAAAAAGAAGACUGAUAAAAUCCUGAGAAUAUAUGCUUUUGCUUUGCAGGUGAAUUCGUAUUCAAAGGGCCCGAUAAAGCCUGAAAAUAUUAAUUGAUACUAUUCUUGUUGAAUUUUUAACAGGCAUGAAGAACAAUUAUAGGCUGGCAUUAUUGAUGUAACCCAAAAUGAAGAGAAUCAAAAUAAAACAAGAAAAGGGAAACUGCUUUAUUCACAAUAGGAAAAUAAAAGUACAUGCAUUCGUCACAAAAGUCAAAAUCAAUAUUUUUUUUUUGAUAUUUCUGUCAAAAAGAAGAAUAAAUAAAGAGGUUUAAAAGUUUAAUGAUUAUUCUCGGUCGAAGCAAGGAGUGGGUAUGUUCGAAUUAAAAGUUUCAAUUAGAUUAAAUAUGAAAUUGAUUCUCAAAACAAAAUUUUAUACUGUUUUCAAGUUCUUCAAAUAUUUUUAUUUUACUGACCAUUUGAAUUCAAGAGAUUAAAAAAAUUAAUUUUCGUUUUGUGCACCCCCUCUAUCUUUUACAGGUGGGGUAAAAUUUUGAACAAAGUCUAUAGAAUUUGUGGCUUUGUUACAAAUAUGGCCAGAUUUUGGUCCGAUUUUGCUGUUUAAGCCUUUAAAUGAUCUUUAUUUAUUUAUUUAAGAAAUUUUAAGAAUGUUUUCAUUGAUUUUUUUUAUCUUCCGUCUGGUUUUUGGAAUUAAGGAUACUUUGUUUCAUUUAUUUUAUUUUUAAUUUAUGGUAGGUUAGUAGUAAUCUGAUAUUAAAAAUUCGUGUUAUUGCAUUCUUGAAUGUUUUCAUUGAUGGUUUAUCUAAAGGUAAUCCAGGUAGCUCAAUUUGUGGUGGUGUUUUUUGAGAUUACACGGGAUCUUUUUAGGUGCUUUUGGUCUUUCUUUAGGCAUUAACACUGCCUACUUUGCUGAAAUUAUGGCAGCUACGUUAGCUACUGAAUUUGCUCAUGACAAGGGUUGGUAUUGUCUUUGGCUAGAAAGCGACUCUAUGUUAGUCAUUCAUCUUUUUUCCAAUCCUUCGCUCAAUCCUCCAUGGGGUAUUCAUAACAGAUGGUUGAAUUGUUGUAAUCUCAUCAACUCUAUGGCGUUUAGAUUCUCUCAUAUCUUCUGAGAAACUAACUAUGUGGCGGAUCAUUUAACUAACUUGGGUCUUAUUUGUGAUUCUCUCACUUGGUGGCAGACUCCGCCUUUAGAGAUUUUGGAGUUACUUUCUCAUGAUGCCAAUGAGUUUCUAAAAUAUCAUUUUAUAUGGUUACCUCUUUUGGUUUAACUUCAUACUUUUUUCUUUUUUCUACUUUAACUUCUUACAAAUUUUAAGGGAUAAAACUCAUUAUGUCCCCUCUGGACAGUUGUAAUUCCUUUCUUUUAUUUUUUUGACUAAUUAAUUCAGUUUAUAAAAAAAAAAAUUGACCAGUAUUAUUACUCUAUGUAUUAGCAUUAAAUCACACAUUAUUUUUCUUUUGUCUUAACCACGAGGUAUUCUGGGGAGAGCCCCAACUGUGGAAGGCACCUUUAAGCCCGUACCACAACUCAGACUAGAAGUCCCCGCUCGAAUCGGGAGGCACAUGUUCUCCCAACAAAUGUGACUUCCCUGCAACUCGAACUAGGGAGCAAACCCAGUCAAGCCACUUAAGGGGACUCCAUCCAUUGCCAGUGGAUCCAACACUUUGUUGGUUUAAAUCACACAUUAUUAAUGAAAUAAAAAUGAUAUGACAUAUCCAAUUUUAGUAGGUUUACCGAGUUUAAUUAAAGGCGAAUUAAACAAAUUAAUGUGUAAAAAUAAAACAAACAAGAGGAUUUUUACAUGGUUCGGAAUUCAAAUCCCUGCGUCCAUGGAGUCACAUUUAGAUAUCAAAUAAUUUACUAGGUUUAAGAGAUUACAAACUAUUGAAAUUUUACACAGUAUGAGACACCCUCUAGUGAUUGUGGCCACCUUGUCAUAAUAACCAAGUUAACACCUCGUGUGCACCACAUGUCUUUUGCUUCCUCUCCCGAGCAAGACUUCUUAGUCAAUGGUAUGUCACCUCUUCGUAAAAUCCAUCUGUUGCGAACAUGUGACCCCUUCUUCUGAAAAGACCAGAGACAAUGUCUCCCAAAUCAAAGAAUGAUCACAAGGUUGUGGCCUCUGAAGUAGAAUCCUUUUAGUAAAAUAUAUGAAUGACUCGCCUUUAUAUAGUGACAGGUGAAUCACGUGUAAUGAAGAGUCUAAAUCUUUUUCCCUUGAUAGCUCCCAAAGCCUUUAGAUAUAUAAAGAACUCUUCAUGAUAGUAUAGCAAUAUUGUCUCUUCAAUAUCUGUUUAUCAUUUGCUUUAAAUCAAAAGAAUUUAAUCUCAAUCUUCAAUGAUCACGCCAAUUGUAAUUUCCAUCUCAAGGAAUAUUGCUUGCUUGAUCUCGAUAGAUAACUUCUAUGUAGAGAUUGAUUUAUCUUCAACUACUUUGAUCUUGAUGUCCCCAUGUGAAGUAAUACCCAUGUCUUGUAUCUUCUCUAUGAUUCACGCCAACUUCAUCAUAUAAUUUUGCCUUAUGCGUUUUCCUCAUGCUAAAAUAUCUCUGUAUAGACUUACGUGGACCUCACAUACAUAUAAUAUGUAAAAUCCUAAUUUUUCUGUAUUUGCCGUCGUUCCAAGGCACUGUUGUAAUACUUGAGAUAAACUAAAGUACGUAGGUAUUAAAAUGUAACAUAUGAACUUUAAUUUUCCUAAUUAAGUGUAUUAUUUAAUUUUUUUCCCAUGUGAAGUAAUACCCAUGUCUUGUAUCUUCUCUAUGAUUCACGCCAACUUCAUCAUAUAAUUUUGCCUUAUGCGUUUUCCUCAUGCUAAAAUAUCUCUGUAUAGACUUACGUGGACCUCACAUACAUAUAAUAUGUAAAAUCCUAAUUUUUCUGUAUUUGCCGUCGUUCCAAGGCACUGUUGUAAUACUUGAGAUAAACUAAAGUACGUAGGUAUUAAAAUGUAACAUAUGAACUUUAAUUUUCCUAAUUAAGUGUAUUAUUUAAUUUUUUUCCUCUUCGAUAUUAAUUUUAAAUUUGUCAUGAUAUAAAAUUGAGACAAUUCGAACACAAUUCAAUGGUCGUGUAGUUGGAUUUUAUUUCAACACGGGUCCGGCAUUAGCUUAAUUAGUAGUAAUCUUAAAAAAAAAAAAAGAAGCUGGUUUCUAUAAAUGGAAAGGAGGGAACUGGUUUCCAAAAAAGGAAAGAGAGAGGGGCACGCGAGAGAGAAGGAGAGAAAGACAGUUGACCCGAUUUUGACCCGGAUUCGACCCAGAAACCCGCGACCUUGACCCAGCUCCAGCCGCCGAUUUCGACCACCUCACCGGCCGAGCUUGGUACCGAUCUAAAGCUUGAGCGACGCCGGUCAUAUCCCCGCUGUCAUCGUCACCGGAAAAUAGCCAGAACGCCGGUGAUCGAAGCUUGAAAGACCGCGGCUCAACCUGUUUUCAUCGCCGUCAAUCUCACCGGAAUUAGGUUGCAACACCGGCUGGGUUCCACUCCUCACAUCACCAGCUUUCAUUUCCGACCAACCUCGCCACCUAAAACCUCCGUUUUGGCGUGAACGACCGCCGGAAAGCUCACGGCUUUGGAAGCACGAUCCGCCGCCAUCGCCGUGCGUGGGAGGUCACCGUUGACCGGUAGGGGCAAUUCGGUAAUUUCAUAAAACUUUGGGAUAAAUUUGUAAUUUAUGAAAAUGGUGGAUAAUUUGGUAAUUUUCGAUUAGGGCAGAGAGGUUAUUUGAGAUUUCGAGGGUAAUUCGGUAAUUUAAGUUAUUAAGGGCAUUUUUGUAAUUUCGCACUUCGAGGGUAAUUUCGUAAAUUCAAAACUUGUGAUUAAUUUUGUUAUCCGAAUUGAGGACAAUUUGGUAAUAUAAGAUGUUGAGGAUGAUUCGAUAAAUUAUGAUUCCGAUGGUAAUUCGGUAAAUUUCGGUGUCGGGGGCAUUUUGGUAAUUUUUGGACAUAUGGGUAAUUUUGAAAAUUUAUGUAUCCGGGAGUUUGGUUUUGAGCUUUAUUUCGUACUGUUAGUCAUAUUUUAUGAUACGGAUAAUAAUUAUGUAGUUUAUUUAAUUAGGAGGACCCGCGAGCAAGAAUCAACGCGCAGACGUUGGUGAUACCGAGUCUGGACAUCGUCACGGUGAGUGGAAUAUACAAAACCUAUUUUCAUAAUAUAUUCUGAUUUUACAGUGCAGUACAAUUUGUUUUGAUAAAUGAAUAUUUAAUGCUUUGAUUUAUUGAUUUUCUAGAAAAAUUGAUUUUUAUUCUAUGUGCUGAUAUUUAUUAUUAUUGAAAAUGAGAUUGAUUAAUGAUUUUAUUAUUGCUUUUGAUUAAAUUCAUGAUAAUAGUUUUAAAGAGAAUUAAGUGGAAUUGAGAUAUGUUGAAUAAAAAGGAAAUGAGAUUUCAGAUGUGAUUAUAUGUUUAUGUACAUGUGUAUAAAAGGUUGUUUGGAAAAUUAUUGGACAGUACCCUUCCCCUUCAAAUACAGAGAUACAUAUAAUAUGAGAUGAAUACAGUGAUACAGAUGAUAUGAGAUGAGAAGCCUUUGGGGCCCGCUUGAACACACAUAGAGGCUUUGGGCUGUGUGUUUGGGCGCUUUUGCCUUUUGGGGGCUUCUGCAUGCAGUAUGAUGAUUACAGAGAUACAGAUGUUGAGAUACAUGAGAUAUGAGAUGACAUUUCCCCGUCUAUCCGUUGUAGCUCCGGGGCAUGAUGGUUCCCUAAUUGCCCGUCCGUCGGGGUCCGGAUAUGAUGAGAUCAUUCCCCUGGGUACUUGUUUGAUGAUAGUUUUUGGUAUUCAGUAUUUGAUAUUAUAAGUAUUAUGAUUUCAUUGAUUUUAUGCAGAUUUAUGUAAUAUUGUUAUUUCAGUGCAUGAUUUGAAUUAAAUAAGUUUAUGUAAGUUCUUAUGAUAUUUUGAUGAAAUUGAUUUGGGAAAGAUUAAAUUAUUUUAAAUAAAUUUAUUUUUCCAAAAACUAUUAUCCACUCACUGAGCUCACUGAAUUUUAUACUCACCCCGUUUUUAUUAUAUUCCCCCCCCUACAGGAGAUUUGCAGGUACGUCAGUUGACCCAGCAACGAUAGUUAUUUAGAUAUUAUGGCCAUGUGAUGGUGCUAGGAGUCGUAAAUUUAUUUUAUAUUCGAGAUAUCGCGAAUUGUAUUAUUUGUUAUAUUUUGUAAUUAAGGAUAAACAUUGUAUUUUAAUAUUAGAAUAAUUUGGGUGAUAUUUGGUAUGUGAUUUGAGAAGUUGGUUAUGGAGGAUGGUUGGAUAUUGAAUUAUUUUGGGAGUGUUAUUUUGUAAAUUGUAGGUUUGGAAAUGUUAAAUUUAUAGGGGAGAUUCUGCCGAAUUUUUGGUAAAAUUCUUAGAUAUUAGAUUUAUUAUCGAUUCGAUUGCAUGAGUUUAGAUAGACUCGUCCUGGGGAUGCGGGACGGGUCGUUUCAUAAAAUAUUAAUGAAGACUCAAUGAUGUGUACAAUGAGGAUGGCAACGUACAAAUAUUAAAUUGAUGUUGUAUAGAAAUACCAACAUCCAUACAAUGAAAUUCCUUUUUUUUUCCCCCAAAAACUGAAUAUUGAAACUGAUUCAAUUUCAAUCACCCGCCCUAAAAGUUGCAUGAUAGCUAGAACAGAUCCAAGAACACAAAAAGUCUGCGAAUUAAAGGACCAGAAAAUUGGAGAAUUACUUUAUCGUAGCAUCUUUCUUUUCCUUUAAUGGAGUGAAUAACGAAUCGUGUAAUCUGGGAAUUAUUUAAGAAUCUAAAUAGAAACAAUCUGUCACCACUGAUACUUGCUGGAUUAUAUUAGUGCCAUUCCUGAAGUUUGAAGAGCUUUAGAGCCACGAAUCUAAUCUUCAUGAUUUUUUUUUUUUUUGGGAUAAGCUGCAUGGAAACUUCAAGAAAUCGCUGAGUGCGAAAAACAAGUGGAUAACAUUUAAGACCAAUGCGUGGUUAAAACUUAACACACCACCUGGGAUCCGUGUCUUCCUUCAGAAGGAUGCUUCCCAAUCCCUUUAAAAUCGCUUUAGUUGAUUCCGUGCUUAAUGUUUUGUUGGCUUGUAUUUUUUUAAUUGAGAGGCUUGGCUUUCUCUUAAAGACUCUACUCCUUGUUUUUAUUUUACUCUUUUCUUAGUUUUAUUUUAAGUUUCUUCUCGACAUUGUCGAGAACCAUUUAAAGAAAAAAAAAAAAUUAGACUACAUGUAUGUCGGUUCAGUUAAUCAGGUAUGCGUAUAUAGUUUUAUAAAAAGAUUCCGCACUUGAACUAAAAUUUUAUAAAAUUGAAACUAUAAUUUUUAUUACAAAAAUCUCAAAUUUUAUUAAUGACAUAAGAAAUUUAUUUUUUUAAACCUUAUUUACCAUAAGACUCCAAUAAUAACUUGAACUUAAUAUCGGGUUGCUAUUACAUGAUAAUCUACCAUGCAUAAAUUAAAGAUAAAAUAAAUGAAGCAAAGGACCCAUAAUCCAACAACCAGAACAUAUAAAUCAAUGAGAACAUUCUAAAAAUUUCUGAAAUAAAGAAAUAAAGAUCAUUUGAAGGCUUAAACAGCAAAAUUCAACAAAAAUCUGGCCACAUUUAAACAAAGCCACAAAUUCUUUACAUUUCGUUCAAAACUUGAAACAAAAUAUCAUGGAGGGUCUGGUUAACAUAUUACCCGGCCACAUAUCCUCGAUCAAAUGGAAAUAGAUGCCAACACAUCCACACUUUGCUUUGACCGACCUACAAUUAAUUAUUAUAAUUUUAAACUCCUUUUCUUUUUUUAUUUUUGAAGGAUAUGUAUAUAUAUAUAUAGGGGAUCCUGAGCUUUGCUAAAGUAUUAGAAAUCUAUUAAGGCACGUAGUUUAAUCAUAUAAUGGCACUAUACCGUUAAAUCAUAUGACUUAGUAAUUUUUUUCUAACUUUAACAAAGUUUAGGAUCUUGGACCAGAUCAGUAUAUAUCUAGUAUCCUGAAUUAGAAAACACACACAUACAGAGACAGGUAUAUAUCCGUGGAAAGAGAAGGCUUUAUAAAUAAUAAUAAAAACACCUAAUUAAGGAGACAUAAUGAAUCUUAACCCUACAGAGAAGGUUAAGUACAAGGCAACGAAAAAUAAAUAAAUAAAUUGGAAAACAAAAGUCAUGCAUGUGAAGUACAAGAAAGUAAAAAGCAAUGCAAACAUAUAUCUAGGGAACCGCCAUUAGCAUCUUUGUUGUGAAGAAGAAAGAGAAAGAGAGGAAGACAAGUAAACGUGCUUCUUAUCCCCAAUAGCUUUCGACUUUAAUCAAUCACAAAUAUCUUUAAACUUUAAUCAUCCCUUUAACAAAUACUUUUCAAUUACCCAAAUAGAUUCGACUUUAUUUAAUCCAUCACAACGUUUUUCACCUUGUUUUCUUUUUUUUUUCCUUUUUCCUUUUCUGAAUUCUAUAAUUACUCUUGUACCCUCAAAAUACAAAAGCACAGGUGGUGUGUUAUUUAAUCAAGACUGGCAUCUCUUCUCCUGUAUAAAAAUAUCGGCGAUAGAAAUGAUCAAAUAAGCGCAGCCAGACAGGAGCUAGCUAGUGAGUGGGUGAGCGAACUGAAAGUUUAGAACAGCCAGCCAGGAAUUAAAAGUUAAAAAUAAAUAAAAUAAAAUGGAUGAACGUUCUGCUGGGCAUCGCGUGGUUCUAAUUUCUAAGACUGUUUUCUUACUAAUUUUGUUUCUUCUUUGUCAACUUGGCUCCGAGUUCAAAUUUCAGAGUGCUGCUGAAAAUGAUACUAAAGGAGGUGAUCUACCUGGUCAUGAAGGUAAUAUAUGCUAAUAAUUCUUUAUAUCUCGAGUAAAUUUCAUAAUUUUAAAGGGUUUUUGGUUCUCUAGCAUGCGGUUUCCAUUAUUAUAUACAUAUAAGUACAUAGGAAUUAAUUAAUUCGUUGAAUCAGAUGUCUGAAGUUUUAAUGUACAUAUAUAGUCAUAUAUACGCAUGAUCAGUUUACAACAUAUAUAUAUAUAUAUAUAUAUAUAAUUUCACAAAAAAAGAAUCUCUUACUUGAGUAGACAUAAGUAAAAAGAUUAAAAAAAAACUAUUAUAGUGUAUUUUAUCUUAUAGUAUAUCGAAAAUAUGUGUUUUUUUGUCCUUUAACUUAUCUCUUAUAUUAUGAACUCCCUUAUUAUAAGAUCAAUAUAUAUAUAUCAUCACUAAUUAUCAGGUGCGCAUAAAUUCUCUGUAUUGAGAAUUGCUAAAAGUUAAAACAAACGAAAUUAUAAUUAGAUAGCAAAUUCGAUAAUGCAUGCAACUUUUAUAAAUUAAUUAAGAGUUGAACGAAUGUUUUUGUCUUGUAGCUAUAUAGCUAGCAUAGAUCCAUUUGCUCAUGAUCACUUUAACAACAUUUGUUGACGGAAAUAUUAUUGGCAGUGGACGGUUUCACCGACAUGAUGUCGAGUUUGCAGUGGAAGGCACGACCACCUAAAUUGAGUUCAUAUUGCCGUGAGAUGCCAAAGCUUAGUUCCAAUAUUACCAUCACUUGCCGCGUCGAUAAAGGGACCCCGCACAUCUCCGGCAUGUACAUGCUCCAACUCUAAUCUAAUUACUUGCCUAGACAGUCAUAACAAAAGUAAGGUUAAUUUCCAUUAUUAACGGCAUGUUAAUAAUUUUGAAUACAGAAUCAUGGAGAGUGUAGCCUUAACUGGAAAAAUCCCAGAACAUGUGGCUGCUCUGACAUACCUGCAGACUCUGUAUGUACAAUUAAAUAAUUACUUCAAUGAUCAAUCAUUUUGCAUAAGCUUUUAUAACUAAAUUUAAUAAAUUAAACAACUAAAAUACUUAUAUAUAUAUCAUCGUAAGCUUGGAUAUAAUUAUUUGAUAUAACUUAAAUAAAUAAAUAAAAUUACUCUUGCUUUAAUUAAUACAUGCAUACAUAUUUGAUAUGGUUUUAUAUAUAUACAUGUCAAAACUCAACAGUGAUCUAUCCGACAACACAAUUCAUGGUUCCAUUCCUUACCAGAUUGGGUAUUUAUUUCAGCUUAUCACUCUGUAAGUCCUCACUUGCCGCAAGUAAUUCAAUCAUAGCUCCCUUUUUCUUUUUCUUUUUCUUUUUCUUUUUUCCUUUUCUUCUGAUACACUGGAUUUGUGUGAUGAGUAGAGAUUUAUCAAAAAAUCAAUUAACUGGGAGCAUACCAACAAGCUUGGGGAAUUUGAGGAACCUAGAAGCACUGUAAGUCUUUUAUUAGUUACUACGAUCAUUGAGUUAAAAUUAUUCCUUCAUAUUUUGUCUCUAAGUGAAGUGUCAGAUUGAGAUUCUCUCCUUGCCUAUCCUGAAUUUUUAAAGCUCUAUUGACGUGUCACUUAACCAGUUGGCCAAGCCCUAGGGGCCAACUGCCAAUAACAGGCGGCAUUGAAUUCGAAGAGGAUCCAAAUCGGUGAAGUGUCAUGCCGUCCCAAGGAAUUUUAGUCGACAUUUCAAAUUUUUUAAGAUUCAAAUUUUAGGAUGUUUUAUCAUUACUAUUUAAUUUUGUACAUUAUGCAUGCUUGUUCACACACACACACACUCACACAGAUAUAUGAAAUCUCAAUAGAUUAUGCAUGCUUGUUCACACACACACACACACUCACACACAGAUAUAUGAAAUCUCAAUAGAUAGAAGAUUUUUGGUUCCCUCCAUUUUCUUACUAUGAAGUACCAUCAUACGUCUAUGAUUUCCUGCCGUAGCGAUCUGGGCCAGAACUUACUCACGGGGAAGAUACCACCAUCAUUGGGGCGCUUGUCGUCUCUUCAACUAUUGUAAGAAUCUUCACUUGCAAUGCAAUUUAUUUUUAUUUUUAGGUAAAUCUAAAAAAAUUUUACUACUAAGGGCAAAAAAAAAAAAAAAAAAAAAGAUGACACUUAAAUGAGGGUACGCAAUGAAUCUUAUCCUUAAAAAAUUAAGAAAACAACAGGUAUGACCAAUAUUAAAAAAGAAGAGCUACAUAAGCAAUAAUUACUAGGAAAUAAAAUGCAUGUAACAAUGCAAAUACAACCAUAAACUCCCUGAACCCAUAGCUUAGGAAGACCUUGAGCAUCUUUAAAAAAUGAAAGGCAAAAUAGCAACAGGACAAUCCGGCUACCAAUCUGACUCAGAUUCCACAACUCCCAUAUUAGCCAAUUUAUCUGAAAAUAUGAGUAAAUCGCACUUACAUGUGCUCCAUCAAAAUCCGACAGUUCUUCCAAUGAAAAAUUCAGAAGUAAAACAUUGAAAUAUUCAAUUAAUUAAUUACUCCAAUAAUUGCAUUUGCAUUUAUCUCACUAUGUACUUCUGGGCUUUUUAGGUAUCUAUGGAGCAACCAGCUGUCGGGGGAAAUUCCUCGUGAACUGGGAGACCUCUCACAGCUCCGGUAUUUGUACGAAAUCUCACUCUACUUUUAAAAUUAUAAAGCCAGCUGCUUAAAUCAAUACUUAGCUUAUUUCUUUGAAAAUACAAUACAAUUCUUAAUUUCAUAUAUAUUUUCUAAUAUAUAGAUAUCUGCCGGAGAAUGGACUCAGUGGUACACUCCCACCAGAACUCGGAAAAUUAAGCAAUCUUCAAGAACUGUAAGUGUGUGUGUAAGUAUUUAUUUAUAGAAUUUAUAAAAUGGUUAAUUAGGCUGUUGAUCUCGUCGUGUAUAUAUAUGGUUGUAACUAAUUAUGUACUACAUAUAUGCUUGUACUUAAAAAGUCAUUUAUACGUACAAACGCGCGCGCGCACACGCACAUAUUUGGCUGGUAUGCAAUUAUUAUAUGUCAAUCAUUCAUCUACAUACAUACUAAUACCACAUUAAAAUUUACAACACUUAAAUCUUAAACAUAACCUAAAAGUGACUUUCAUGUGGUUGCAGGUGGUUGACAUCCAACAAUUUAAGGGGGGAUUUGCCAAAAGAUUAUGAGAAUCUAAAGAAUCUGACGAUUUUGUAGGUGUCCUGUUUGUUCAUUUUCUAACUGUUAUUGUUUUUUCAUUUUUAAGGAUUGUAAUUAAUUUGGUCUAGAUUUUUCUCGCUUAUUGCUUGAAGUCUGCAAAUAUCAGUAGUGGAAAUUUUAUUUGUCAAUGCAGUGACAUAGCUGGGAAUAAUUUAUCUGGUCCGAUCCCCAGAUUCAUUGCAAAAUGGGUCAACCUCUAUUCUCUGUAAGCCUAUUCAUUUUAUCCUUUUAUGUGUCAACUGAAAAAUGGGCACUCUCUGUGUAAACAAUCUGCUUUUGUUGGUGUUUAAUAAUUUGCUACAUAAAACUGUUAACCAAACUCUGAUAUACACUCCGUUGGCACACCAUGCCAAGUAAAGGUAGGAAUAUGGGCUGGGUAGAAUGGAUGUCCCUCCUUAAUUAAAGGUAGAAAUGUAGGUUGUAUCAUAAUAGAUUUGAUUUAGAAUAGUCGCAGUAUACAUAUCGCAUCAUAUAAAAGUAAACCAAUUUGCAUGAUGCGAGAAAACAUACAAAAACAAUGAAUUCUCCCACACGCGCGAGCUUAUUAUUAAUAAUAUUACUUUUCUUUGCUUGAAUCUCACAGAAAUCUGAUGGGAAAUAACUUCGAAGGGGAGCUGCCGCCAGAAAUUUUUAAUAUGUCAAGCCUUCAAUUUUUGUAAGAACAAUUAAUAAUAAUGCAAACUCUGCUCUAUAUAUGUAUGUGUGUGUACAUAUAAUUCUUCUCUAGUGUAGGCGUUCUCAUUUUUUUUUUAUGCGAACAUGAUUUUAAGUAGCACGAUUUAAUAGAGUUAGUUUUUAAUAUUAUUAAACCGCACGGCUUAAAAGUGUUUCUGUAAUAAAAAAUAAAAAAAUAAGGACGUCUGCACACACACACAGAGAAAAUUUCGGACACACACACACAUAUAUAUAAAAAAAUUUCAGUGACAUUAUACUACAUGGUGUAACAUAUAAUAUUAAUGUUCUCGUAUUUUAAUAAAGUACAAAAAAUCUCAUUAGAUAAUGACCUAUUAAUAUUUUUUUAGUGCGGGCAUCCUCAUUAAAUGAGGAGAGAGACACACACACGCCCACGAGAGUUAGCUUUCAAUGUGGAACUCUGCAUACAAUAUUAAAAACUAUCUUUUUCAUGGUUUGCAAUGUUUUGUCAUAGACAUUGUAAAGUCCAUGACCCCCGGAUUGGAAAUUUUCUUUUUUAAUUUCGCAAUUAACUUAAUUUCUAAUUUAAUUUUUUUUUUUUUUUGCAAUUCGAAAAAUAAAAAAUUCUAACUUGGCUUCGUCGUUUAUUCCAGGUUUGUCACUGACCUACAAACGAAGGUCUUUUCUUUCCCAAAGUCAGCUAAUUUGAGUAGUGUAUUAAGCGUGUAAGCGGUGUAUUCUAAUUUCAUGCGUGUAUAAUCAUUUUAUGCGUUAAUUAUAUGUUUAUCAGUUUUUAUUAAUUAAUUAAUACCUGAUCUGCAUUUUAAAUUUAUUAAUUGUACACUUCCUUAUAAUUAAUUAAUUAAUUAAAUCUUUUUUAGAAAUUAAAUUAAUCAUAAUAAUUCUACAGGAUAUUGAGAAAUUGCAGCAUUACUGGUUCAAUCCCACCAUACAUUGCCGAUUGGAGUCAGUUAGGCUACCUGUAAGUCUAUUUUCUUAUUAGUUUAGUAAUAUGAGGUCAGAGAUCAUUUAAACUUGUAUCAUUGAUCCAUCUGCAACAUCUAUUAACCUUGUCAUAAUGUCGUAAAGUAAAUUACUAAACUAGUGUAUAUAUUUGAUUUUUGCAUAUAUUACCUCAAUUUUUAAGAUAUAUUAAAAAAGGGUUAUUUUCAAGAAUACUUUUACAAAUACACAUCUGUCUUCGGAAAUAGUCCUUUCUAAAAGAAAAUUAAUAAAAUAUUACUGAUUUUUUAUUUUUGCCAUCUAAUCUAAUAUUUCCUAAGCUUUAUAUAUAAAAUAAAUUGCAGUUAUGUUAUUUUGCAGACAACAAAAAAGAUUGUCUUCAAUUGAUAUUGCUUUUUUUUUUCAAAUAUUGUCUAAAAUUUAUUCAAUCGCCGACCUUCACUAUGCUCAUGGGUUGGGGAGAGUUGUUAAUCCACUUGUGAUCGUUUCCUCUUGCUUAUCAAUCCCGGAAACAAGGACUAUAUAUAUAUAUAUAUAUAUAUAUUUAUUUAUUUAUUUAUUUAUUUAUUUUGGGAAAUCUUUCAUCAAAUAAUUUCCAUAUUUUUUUUACUGAAUUUUUUAUUAUUUUUUAAAAGUUUUAUUUAUAAGUACUAUGAUUAUGCUUUCAAUUCUAGUCCAUUUCCAUGAUAUAAUUCUUCUUUACAGAAUUUAUUGUCGGUAUUUCUUCUUUGCUCAAGUUUAUACCAAAGUUUAAAGUUUCUGAUAAAAAAACUAGAGAAAGAAGGAGCAGUUUGGUUAAAAAGCGGCACCGCUUGUUAGCGCCCGUUAAGAAAACAGUGUGUCUUGAUAUUUAAUGAGAAAAAAUUUAAAUAAAAUAAAUCCUAAUCUUAGAAAGGUUUAAUUGAAAUAUGUCAUAAUCUUAUUGUAAACUUAGGAAAUAUUUGGUAAGGAAAGGAUCCAAAUCCUUGCUGUGAAUGAUCUUUUUUUUUUUCUCUAAUGAUUGAUUAUUAUUAAUUUGUACUGCAGUGACCUGAGCUUCAACAACUUAACUGGUGGAAUUCCAAAUACUUUGAAGAAACUGUUUUUAUCUGAGCUGUAAGUGAUAACUUUAUUGAAUCCCAUUGAUUUUAUAUCUUUUCUUAAUAUAAAAGGGAGAAUAACAUUCAGACUCCUAAUAUUUUUCCUCAAUUUUACCACUCCGAUCCAUGAUUUUUUUAUAUCGCGCAAUUACGUCCCUAACUUAUAACUUUAAUAAUUCAAACUUUUAUUGGUAAAGGGUAAAUGAGAUUUUUUACCAUACAAAUCAUGUUUUCCUUUUGACAUAUAUAUCUUAUCUGAAUUUUGUCUUCUCACACUUUUCCUUUUGACUGACAGUAAUAGUGUAAUAAAAAAGAAUCCAAAUAAUUUUUUUUUUCUGUUACUAUUUUUACUUUCCAGGUAUCUUACAGGAAAUAUGCUCAAUGGAACAUUGCCAGACUGGAUUUACAGCAAUGUUAAAACAAAGGGGUAUGCUUUCUAACUAUACAUAAAUGUGAUAAAAUGUUUUCAAACUUGUUCUAGUGUAAACAUUAUUUCCUUUCCCCAUCAAAUUAAACGCAUUUUAAAUCAAAGACGCGGGUUAGGCAAAUGAAAAUUUAUGUAAAAAAUUUCAAUUUAGAAUAGUGUGAUGUGUAAAUGUUUUGAAGCUUCUCAUUCAAAUGCUAGCUGCAUGUGUUUAAUUAAAUAUAUGAUCGUCCCAAGUCAUGAACAAACUAUAGCCUGCCAGCAUUUUGCAUGCAUCUAGUUAAAUAUACGAAUGUCCAAAGUCAAGCACAAACUCUAGCCUGUCAUUGUGUUUAGGAAUUCCUAUGCCAUUUUGCAUGCAAAUACAAAUUAAUAAUUAACGCCAACACUACUUGUCUGAAUUUUCAUCUUGCAGGGAUCUUGCAUACAAUGAAUUUAUAUUUCCAGAACCAGAGACACACAAGUAAGAAAAUAGCGUUAAUUAAUUAAGCGAACUUGGUUCCUUUCUUUGUUAAUUUGUUUCUUUUAUCCACAUGCAUAAUUUUAUAUACAUAAAUGAAUUUCAUAAUAAUUUUAAAUUUUUAUCUUGUAGGAAUCUUCCCAACAACAAUUCUCGGAUAAAUCUGUAAGAAAAUUAUACUACACCAUAUUAUAAAAUAUCCUCCUACGUUUUUACUCAUUUUCGGGCUUCAAAUUUCAAUUCCAACAGUUUCUGUCCAUCUCGUUUUCUGAUAUUGAUUUUAACUUUCAAUGCACAUGUGAUAUCUGCACGCACACUAUUAACAAUAUUGCUGCUGUAACCAGUGAACCUAAGAAUCGGUAUGUUCAUAUUCAUUUAUCUAAUAAUUAUAAUAUAGGUAAUUUGUCGAUCGAUCAGCAAGCAAUUAUUAUGUGAAUGAAUGCCCUUACAAAAUUAAUUGAUCUUACUAUUGUAAUUAUUUUUAUAGGACAUUUCCGGAAGAGAUUAUGAGGAAGUAUUGCCCCGCUGGCCAGAAGAAAUCUCAGUGUAUGUAUACAUAUCCAUAUGUAUAGAAAUGUUCCUAUUAAGGAUUUGUUAAAUUCCGGAAAAAUUAUAGUUUAAUAGUAUAAUGGGUGAAAAGCUAUUAAAUUAUAUGGUUUAAAGUUCAGGAUUAUUUUAAUAAAGUGCAGGCGUCUAAAUUAGUUAUAUAUUUUCUUUAUUAUUAACUCAUGCACACAUUGAAACUUAAACUCAAGACUUGAGCUCCAGGAAGGCUGUCCUUUGCGACCAGAGCUACACCUUGGUUUCACAUACAUGUUUAAAUUAAUCAAUGUCUAUAUAUGUUGCAGACAAUUAUAAUUUGCAUAUAAAUGCUGGUGGCGAUGAACAUAACAUCGAAGGAAUUCGGUAUGAGGCAGAUAAAUCGACAUCAAAUUUUUUGUUAACAAACCGGCAUACAACUGGGCAUAUAGCUGCAACGGAUAUUUCUAUUCGGAUUCAAUGGCUGAUUCGAGUGAAUUUAUACAGAAGGUAACAUGUGGAGCUGCAGUGAUUGAUGCACCUUUAUAUGACGAAGCUCGCCUUUGCCCCAAUUCUCUCAAAUACUAUGGUUUUUGCUUGCAAAACGGCAAUUACAAUGUCAGUCUUCACUUCUCUGAGAUUGUUUUUGCAAAAAACGAUGAUUACAGCAGUUCAGCAAAACGUGUAUUUGAUAUAUAUAUACAGGUAGGUACGCUAGCCACAAAACUAUUUAAAUAAUUUUAAUUAGCAAUUUAUCCCUCCCUCGCCUCCUUUAAUUAAUUUUAAUUUCCAUGCAUGCAGGGGGAGCUAAGGCGAAAGGAUUUCAACAUAAAAGAAAUGGCCAGGCAUUCAAAUAAUGUAACGAUUCAAAAUUUCAUGGCUUCUGUACAAAAGCAUCUACUGGAAAUCGAGUUAUUCUGGGCUGGCAAAGGAUCUAUAUUAAACCCACCUUAUUUUCAUGGACCUCUCAUAUCAGCUAUUUCUGUAGCUCCAAGUACGGUGCAAAGUUGCAAUCAUUGCAUAAGUGAUAGCUCUUUAAUUUUGUUAAUUAUCAUCUCCCAAUAUGCCUUUUGUUGCAUGCUAUCAAUCGCUGUUUAUUUUCAGAUUUCCAAGUCAACCGACCAGGAGGACUAUCUAAAAUAGGGAUCGUAGGAAUUGUACUUGGGGCUGUGCUAGCUUUGAUUCUUUUCUUGGCUCUCAUGUGGAGAUUAGGAUGGAUAGGAGACAGAGAAUUGCGUGGUACGUACGGGAGAUUAUAUAUAUAUAUUGGAAAAAUUUUCAGUUCGAAAUUAAAUCCCAGGAUGGAUUUAUGAUUUCGUAAAUCGAUUUUUACAAUGUUCUAAACUGAUUUACGAUAUCAUAAAUAUAUCUCGAACUUUAAUACUAGAUUUUAAGCUUAGGUAUAUAUAUAUGAUAUGCUAUGUAAGAAAUUAUCAGGUGAGGGAUUUGGCACUAUAAUAAAUGCGAGAUGAAUUUUUACAAUAUUGUAAGUUUAGUAGAGUGCAGGACGGAUUUUUAAAGUCUGUUUGCAACAUUUUGAAAAUUUGUCUCGUAUUUUAAUUGACUGCAUAAUCCCACAUUAGAAGCCCACUUUAUGCUAUAUAUGCUAUACUACUUUAUGCUAUAUUGCUAUAGUAUAAGGCUUAUAAAAGAUAUCAAGAAAAAAUAUAUGUAUAAUUGAUCUGUUUCUUUUCUCAAUUCUUCAUGAAAUACACAGUGACAACGGUCAACCUACGAGGGAAGUCUUAUACCCUUAAACAAGUGAAAGUCGCUACUCGAAAUUUCAGCGCCAGGAAUGUAAUUGGCACGGGGCGUUUUGGGACAGUAUACAAGGUUAAACAUUAACUGCCGUAUCUCUCUCUAUGUGCGCGUGUGUGUGUGUUUUGUGUGUGCGUGUGUGUGCGUGUGCGUGUGUGUCCGCGCGCGUGUGUGAAAUAUUUUUCAAUCUGGGAUUAAAAUUCAGGAUGAGUUAACAAUGGUGUGAACAUAUUUUUACAAUGUUAUAAAAAUACGUUCACAAUGUUGUCAAUUCGUCUUGAGCUUUAAGAAAGUAUGAGAUUCUAAACUAGAUUGCUACUUAUAUAUAAUAAGGGACCCUUCGCUUUUUAAAACAAGAAAUCAUCUAAAAGACAAAAAAUACAGAUACCAAACAAAUGCACUACAUUAGUGUGUAUUUUUUUUUUAUCUUUUAAUUUAUCUAUUGCUUUAACAAAAUAAGGGAUUCCUUAUUUGAAAAAUUUCUCUCUCUCUCUCUCUCUCUCUCUCUCUCUCUCUAUAUAUAUAUAUAUAUAUAUAUUCUCACCAAGAUCAUAUUUUUAUUAAAGUCCGGUUAAACUAUUAAAAUAUAUGAUUUGAUAGUAUAAUGCCACUAUUAAAUCAUAUCGCUUAAUAGCUUUCUCAAACUUUAACAAAUUCAAGAUCAUUGAUUGCAACAUAAUACUAUGAAAUUGUAUGGCUUAAUGGCUUUUCCAGGCUUUAACAAAAUUUAGGAUCCUGAACCAGAUUAGUACUCUAUAUGUAUGUAUGCACUUAUGUAUGUGAAUUGAUUUUCCUUGUUAGAAAUAUGGUUUAUUAAUCUGCUUGCACGGUGCAAGCAUGGAUUACAGGCUGAAUUGCUAGAUCAGACUGUAGCUGUGAAGAUGCUUUCUUCUCAAUCAAAGCAAGUGAUUGAUCAAAUAGGAACCGAAGUUUAUGCCCUUACAACACUGAAACAUGAAAAUAUUGUCGAAUUUUUGGAUGGCUACUCUAAAAAAGACCUCAACUUGCUCAUCUACGAAUACAUGGAAAAAGGAUCGCUUGAACGAGCCUUGUUUGGUAAACCAAUUUAUAUUUAUUUUCAUCAUCAUUUUAUUUCUAUUAAUUUUUCAUCUUAGUGUCAUCAUCUAAUCGGGGAGUCCUGAACUUUAUUAAAGUCGGGGAUGAAUUUACAUUUUUGUAAGCUAACUUUUUCACUAUUUUUUUAAAAAUUGUUUUCACUCAAUUCCCGAUUGGAAAAUUAAGUAUUAGCUUAUGUAACAGGUUAAAAUUACUUUUUUUUUUUAAAAUAAUUAAUAGUUAAAUAUUUGCAGAUGCCAAUUCUUCCACGCGACUUGAUUGGCCAGCCAGAGUCCGUAUCUGCCAUGGAAUAGCAAAGGGUCUAAAGUAUCUACACGAAGAUAAUCCGAGUCGUAAAAUCGUUCACAGAAAUAUUAAGCCUAGCAAUAUUCUGCUUGAUGGGAAUCUGAACGCUAAGGUGUCUGACUUGGGAUUGGCAAAGCUUUAUGACGAAGAAAAUCCAUACAAGUUUAUCCAAGAAAAAGGGACAGUGUAAGUAGCAAAUUAAAUUGAGCAAGCACAAAAUGCAUGCCAUCUUGCACAAGCAAUAUCAUUAAUUAAUUAAUUAUGGUCGCAUGCAGAGUAUACAUGGCACCAGAGUAUGCAAUGCGGAAAGCAAUAACAGAAAAAGUUGAUGUUUUCAGUUUUGGAAUUGUUCUGCUUGAAAUAAUUAGUGGGCAGACAAAUGCCAAGUAUGAAGCAAACCAGGAGACUGAAUUUCUUUUGGAUACGGUAAGAAGACAACAACUAGAGUCAGCUUUCAGUUCGGGAAUCUCAAAUUGUAUAAAGCUCUACACAAUACCCUUUUCAUGGUUUACAGAAUCCUUCACUUCAAAAAUUCCAGGAUUCCCAGAUUGAAAAUAUCUCCUCUAUAUACAUAAAAUAAGGUCUUAAUUUAAUUUGCUAACGAUGUCGCAUGGCAUGGGAUAUAUGGAUUAAUUAAUAAAUAAAUAAUGUACACUGUGCAGGCCAUUGUGUUGCAUUCAAAGGGAAGGCUUUCUGAAUUGGUCGACAAGCAAAUGCCAAAUGAGCAUGUAGUGAUGAAGCAAGCCAAAAUAAUCUUGGAGUUGGCAAUGAGAUGCGUGGAUCAGUCACCUACUCUCAGGCCAACUAUGUCUGAAGUUUUGAGCGAGCUUGAGCGCAUCUCUAAUUAGAUCUGAACUGCUCAGGAUUCUAUGGUUCCACGUGGAUCCUUAUUGAACUCUGGACUGGAAUGUCUUGGUGAAGGUUAAGCCUAUAUACUACGAUUAUGCAUAUGUAUGUACACCGGGCAUUAUCUUAUGUUGACGGUGCACUGCUGCUUUUAAAUAUAUAUGGGUCGCUAUAAUGCUGUAAACUUUUAACAGCAUUAACAAUGUAAUAAAUGUAUACCAUUAGAUUUAAUUACUCUAAUGCAAUAUUUGUGUUAAAGUAAAAUAUAGCUUAAUUAAUAAUUAUUUUAAACGGUUAAGAAAGUGUGGUCAUUUUUGUAAAGUUAUUGUAACCACCCUUAUAAUUUGAAACAAUUGUACUUGAAUAAUAUUUUAUUUAAAAAUCACUUUUCAAUCAUAUUUUUUAAAUAACUUGCAAUUAUAAGAUUUAUAUAUGGUCUAAUUCUAAUAAACAACACAACUAAAUAUGUACAUUUAAAUGAAUAUCAUAAUUUUUUGAAAAUAAUGUUUCAAAAUUUAUUACCAAUGAGCAUGUAAGAUAUGAUAUCUAAUAGAUUAUCUAACACAAAUUGUAUAAAUAACUUGCAAUUAUAAGAUUUAUAUAUGGUGUAACUCUAAUAAACAACACAACUAAAUAUGUACAUUUAAAUGAAUAUCAUAAAUUGCAUAAAUAAACUUUUAAGUUAGAUUGAUUGUAUUUUAUAUAUAUUAGGACCUUUGUAUAACUGAACUGAAACAUAUAUUACCUUUGAAACCCAUUUCUCAUAUAUGCCAAGCUCAACCCAGGACACGUAGGCUCGGCUUGGGUUGGGUUUUCCUACUAUCCCUAUUGCCAAGUGAUGUACUAUAUGGAAAAUCCCCACAUGAAAUGAUUUUUGAUGUACCACCAGAACUAUCUUGCUUAAGAGUUUUUGCUUGCUUGUGUUUUGAUAAGAAUUUAUAGAUUAAAAAUAAAUUUGACCAACAUGUAAAAGGGAUGUCAUAUUACAAUCCAUGUAUUAUAUGCAAAUUCUAUUUAGUUCUAAGUACGAAUUUGAUUAUUUUUUUUUACUUUAACGAAUAUAAAUUAGGGUUGGGCUAUUUAAACCCACCAUAGUACAUUAUACACCCACUUUUCCAUUAAAAAAAUAAUUACGAAAUGUCCAUGAGUUAAAUUAAUAUUAUAUCUUAAUGAAAUUAGCCUAUCCUCUCCGACAUCUAUCUAUGAAUCCAAUUAACUUAAAUUGAUUUUUCUAUAAAAAAAGUAGCAGAGAGCAAUGUUUUAAUUUCGUUUCAUUUUCUUUUCACCUAUACUCUUCCGAGUACACUUUUAUAGAUAUAUUUUCUUUUAAUGUGUGACAUUGUUGGUUAGCAAACUUCUACCUCUUGGAUUCAAUCCCAUUUCAACUCAAAUAUGUUUCUCAACUAGAGAUAUAUUUAUUUUUAGAAUCAAUUAAGGAGCAAAGAGAAAAUAAAAUCUGAAUUUUUUUUGGCUUUUCUUACAUUUAUGAUGCAAUCAUGCAAUGAGUUCCAUUAAACUAAUUAGAAAAUGUGUUCGAUUGAAUUCAUUACAUGUUAUGAAUCUUGACAAGGAUUAGACAAUAAAUUAAAAAUAAAAGUCAUAUAAUCAAUCAUAAAGAAAACAAAUCAUGCGAGAUGGCUAAGCCAUUGAUAUUUUAAUUUAUUGUUGGGUAUGAUUUAAAUAUACUUUCAUAGCCUUAACAUACUUUCCCAACAGGUGAUUCUAUAUUUCUAGGGAUAAAAAAUUUGAAAGUAAUUUAGUAAAGGUAUAUUCGCAAUGAGGUGGGUUUAUAAAGUAAAAAUUUCAUAUGUAAGAGAGGUUUAUUGAGAGAAUGUGUUGAAAGAGUAUUUUAAUGGGUUCUAAUAGCCUUAUCCUGUAUAUUAAUAUCACUAAGGGAUUUUACCAAUGACCCAUCAAAGAUGUAUUAAUUAGCAGGUGCUUCAUUUUAUAUUCAUAAGACCUGUGACUUGUGUAUUAUUACUACAUUGUAUGUUGAAAACAGAAGAGGACUAAAUUGCUCAAUAUUAAAAUUAUUUGGGCAAUAGAAGAAUUUGUUAAACUGAAGGACUUUAUUGAUAGUUUACAAGAAAAACACUACAACACUCACGGCUCACUCGUCUUUCUCUCUACUAAUUUUUCACUCUUUACUUGAUGCCUACAACAAAGAGCUUUAAGGAUAUUUGUAGUAACUUAAAACUAAUAUAAACCACACAAAUAUCAAAUUACAAAAAUUUAAUAACCUCAUUUUACAAAUAUCACUAAAUAUUCAAGAACAUUCUAGAUUUAGAUAUUUUUACUUCUAUUAGAUAUUUUUUAAAUUAGAGUCAUCUCUCAUUUUCUACACAAUUCUUGAAACUUCCAUGGAUUAAACUUUGAAACUGGGCUUGGCUAAGUAUAAUUGGAUUAGAUCAUGACCCAACACUAACUUUCAUCCUUUGAUCCAUAUUUAGUUGUUGCUGGACCUCUUGAAACUUUUCGAUACUAAGACCUUUUGUAAACAAAUCCGCAACUUGAUCAUCCAUCUUGAUGUAUAACAUUUCAACUUCACAUUACAAGACCUUUUCCCUGAUGAAGUGAUAGUGCACCUCCACAUGCUUAGUUCUCCGUUAAGCUGAUAGUCGAUUGGUUAUCACAAUACAAUGAUACUGCGUAAUCUACUGGUUGGUGUAGCUCCUUCAUCAACUGUGUCAGCCAAGUGCUUUCUUGAGCUGUCAUCACUACUACUCUAUAUUCCACUUAUGUGGUGAUAAUGAUAUAGUUGGUUGUCUUUUACUACACUAAGAAACUGUUCCAGAUCCAAUUCUAAAAACAUAUUUAGUGGUUGAUCUUCUUGUAUCAUGAUCUCCGGCGUAGUCAGCAUCAUAAUAGCAAGUCAGCUUAUAACUUUCACUUCUUGUAACUUUCACUUUCUUUUACAAUAUACCAAAGUUGAUUGUAUUUUUCACAUAUUUUAGUAUUUUUCAAACCAUUUCCAAAUAAAGCUUCUUUGGAUUUUGCAUGUAUAAGCUUAUUACACUUAUUGCAUAUGAAAUGUCUGAUCGAGUCAACGUUAAGUAGAUUAAACUUUUUACGAAUUGUCAAUACAUCGUUUCAUCUUGUAAAUCUUUGCCUUCAUGUGUGCAAAAUUUUGCAUUGACUUCCAUUAUAGUUGAGAUUGGCUUGCAUUCUAACAUUCCAAACUUCUUCAACAAGUUUUUGGCAUAUUUCUGUUGGCAAAAGAAUAUCCCCUCUUCUAUUCGAUCAACCUCCAUACUAGAAAAGUGCUUAAGUUAACCAAGUUUUUUCAUCUAGAAAUGAACUGAUUAGUUCUCCCUUUGCUCGCCGAAUCUCUUCUCCAUCGUCACCAGAAAUAAUCAAAUCAUCCCCGUACCCCAGUAUAGUUGUUAACUUUCCUUCACUAGCUUUGACGAAUAAGCUAGAGUCUACAUGUGCUAUUGCCACUCUAAGUUAGAAAUUCGACAAUCUUACCAUACAAUGCCCUUGGUACAACCGUAUAAUGCCUUUCUUAGCUUGCAUACAUACUUCGGAUGAGCUUGAUUCUCAAAACCUCUUAGUUCAUGUAGAUCUCUCGAUCUAAUUCUGUAUAGGAAGACAUUUUUUACAUCUAUCCGUCAUAAUUUCCUUUCUUUGCUGGCUGCGAGUACAUGUAGAACUCUUGAUGUUGUGAGCUUUACCAUCAGACUAAAUGUUUUAUCAUAGUCUAGCCCGUAUUGUUGUGAGAAUUCUCGAGCUACCAACCGAAUUUUGUGUCUUUCAACUGAACCAUCAGGACUAAAUUUUUAAUCUUGUACACCCAUUUGCAAGAUAUUUUAUAUCCUUUAGUUUCAGAACCAGAUCCCAAGUUUGAUUAUGCUUCAAUAAGGUGAUUUCUUCCUUUAUCGCCUUCAUCCAAUGAGAAUUCUCUACUACUUAUUCAAAUGUCUCGGGUUCUUUUACUUUUUUCUUCUUCUGCAACUACUACAUUAAUGUACCUGAGAUUUACCUUUCUCAUUCUUUUGGAUCUUUUAAGUUGAAGUUUAGAAGUUCUUGGUUCUACUUUAUUUGGUUCUCCGUCUACAAUAGAGCUCUGGUGAACACUUGUCUUUCAAGGACUUUGCGCCUUAUCAUGCUCGAUAUCAUCAUCCCUUCGAUCAUCAGAAUCUUUAAAUUCUUCUUCGCUCGGGUGAAUUUCAAUAAUUCGUUCCUUUAUUUGGUUUUCAAUUUCUUUUGAAUCUAGUAGCUCUUCUUUUUCUAAAGACUAUCAUGAAGAUGCUUCGUCAAACACCACAUUUCGUUUUGUGUAGCACCGUCCACUAGUAGGAUCACAACACCUCCAUUCUUUCCUCCAACAUUCAUACUCGACAAAGAUACAACGAUCGCCUUCUUGUCAAAUUUGCUUCGUAAGUGGCUUGGUACUAAGACAUAGCACACAAAGGUAAAGGCUUUACAUUCCACAGCUUCUCGUAAGGUGAUGUGAACCCUAGUUUUGGUUAAGGAAACAUGUUGAUCACAUGAGCUAUCGUCUUUAUAGCUUUGGCCCAAAAACUUCUUGGUACAUUUUUCGCAUGUAUCAUAUUCUGAUAGAUCUCCCUUAGAUGCUGCUUUUUUCAUUCUGCUACUCUAUUCUAUUGUGGUAUAUUGGCACAAGUGAACUAAUGGUAUAUCUUAUAGUCUCAAAGAUACUAGGAGAACUCAUGUGAUGUAUACUCUCAUCCACUGUCUAUUCAUAAUUAGUAAAGCUUCUUUCUUACUUCUCCUUUGACUAUGUUUUUGAAUUCCUUAAACUUUAAAAAAGUAUCAGAUUUUUUUUUUUUAUAAAGAGGACCCAAACAUAUAUGGAGAAGUCAUCGAUAAAUGUGAUCAUGUAUCGCAUGCCGCUAAUAGAAGAUUGCUUGACAUGCCCAAACACGUCAUAAUGUACCAACUGUAAUAGUUUUUUUGCUCUGAACUUUGACUCCUCAUAUGGGAGUUGGUGAGCCUUGCUGUAUUGACACCUUGCACACACCAUGUUUAUUCUCACAUCAAGUUGAGGCAGACCUCAUAGCAUUGACUUCGGACGUUAUCCAGCAUGAAUUUAUUAUAAUGAAGUGUUUGAAUAAAACCAUUUUUUGUUGUCCCUGACCAUGCCAAAGGAUAAUUGAUACAAUACAUCUAAAAUGGAGAAAGGAAGGAAAAAAAAAAACGGAUGACCAAAGUAAUUUGGCGAAUUACAUUAAAAAGGAAAAACAGUUUUGGAGCUCUAAAGAUGCCGACUCUGUUAUGGAUUUCCUCUACCAGUUGGAAGUUUUCCAACAAUGACUAGAGUAUGUCAUUAUAUUUUUCAUGCAAGAUUACUGAAACCAGAAGAAUCUGCUAAAUCUAUCCUUUUGUCACAUGAUCAAUAAAUAUGUAGGAAACAAAGAUCAAUGUUUUUUUGUUAGGUAGGAAGCCAACAACUAAAACUACAAAUGUUACUGAAAAAUAGCUAAGAAUCAUAAGGUGAUCAAGGAGGAAACGAUCUUCAAAAUCACAAUCAAAUAGGAAAAAUGAAUAAACAGCCCACACUAGGACAAUAGCACUUCUUUUACAGGAAAGAUGAUGUGCUUAAAACAGCUAAAGCCUGAUAAGCAGCAACGAUGAAAUGAGCUCAAACUAAAUUUAAGCAAUCUAUUAGAAAGCUCAACCUAUUCCCAAAAAAUUAGACUCAGAUCUCGGUCUCAUAUGUCUAUAUUAUGCAACAAAAUCAGUACAGAGGAAAAGCUGAAAUGAAAAAAAUAGAGUAUUUGAAGCUCAUGUUUUAUUUAACUUUCUUUCGAUCUUUAAUCAAAUGGCACAUAUACAAUGCAGCAAAUGGGCAUUUAGUUUCAUUCCACCAACAGCAGUGACCCAAACAAUACCACACAUUUGAUUUAACAGAUGAAGUUUUCUUCAUAUCAACAUAUCCAAAAAUAAAAAAUCACCUCUUUGCAAUUUUCUUGAUGUGCAGCCAAAAGCUCAUUAUAUUUCAAUUGCAAAUCUGACAUUUCAGCUUGCAGCUUCUCAUAUUCAGAGACACUAGGAGCUCCUAAUUUCUGUUGAACAAACCUGCCCACCAAAAUAAAUAAACAAAAUUGAAAAACCCAAUUUUUCAGCCAAUUAAAUGAUCCCAUUUGAAAGAAGAAAAGAAUUACAUGAACUUACUCAAGAGCAGAAGAAGGCUUGUCAUUUUGCUCAUACAAUGCAACAAGAACUGGAAGCAACAACAAAAACAACAAAAUGAAACAGAAAUUAAAAUUCAGUUGAAAUAAAAAUAAAAAUAAAAAAAGAAAACGAAAAAAGAGAAGAUGAAAGAGAGGAAUAUAAACCUUUGGUGAGAGCAUCAAGAACGCCACUAGAAUCUAAGUACUUCCUGAAAGCUUCCUUUUUGGCUUCUUUUUCCGGCAAAAAGAUUAAGUGGGGGGUUGAAGAUUUCAGCAGAUAUGGUGAUUAUCAUCAAGUGGAUCUGCAUUAUGCAUACAUUAGUGUUACCUCUUUGUAUCGCAUCAUCAUCUGCUCUCUAAUCUUCUUCUUGUACUCUUCUUGUUGCUGAUGGUAUCACUGAUUCUGUUCAGACAAUGAAAAAUCAAAAAGAAAAGAAAAGAGGAAAAAUCACAGAAAAUUAGAAGGGUUAAUUUCAUUGCACCCUUUAAUUGUUAAUUUAAUUUUAAUUAACCCCAAAUGAAACUCUGCACAAUGGACCUACUCUACUCUAGCCUAAAGUUUUAAACCCAACCCAACCCACUACGAGUCUUCCUAUAAUACAGUGCUGUUUGUUAUAUAGCCGCCUCAACAGUAAUAAGGAAACUUGAACAAUCGGUAUUUUACCGGUUGUUCAUUUAAUAAUUUUAAAAACAAAUUUUUUAAUGCGGAAAAAAUAAAAUAAAAUGGAAAAAAGUCAAGGAAAUUUAGUAAAUAUUGAACACAAACAAUAUUUAAGGGGAAAAAAAUUAUAUUUUCCUUGAAUAAAAGUUAAAACAAUUAAAAUAAGUAUGUCUCGAUUUUUGUGGUUAAAUAUCAAUAUAUUUGGUGACAUUCCAAGUUAAUUUAACACGUACCUAAUUUUGAUUACACUUUCUCACAAAUUGGUUUGCUUAUCUCCACUUUUCGAUCCACUAGUUUUACGUUGAGUAUUCCCACUAAACUCGUAAAAUACACAUAUUUUGGGUUAAAUUCGAAACAAAACUAGUUCUUGUUAGAUUAAUUUCAAAAAUGGGUAAAACUUUCUCCACAUUUGGUUUAAAUAUUUCAACUAUUAUUUCAUUAGUUGUACGUCUAACAUUUCAACUAAUUUGUCAAGAUUCCAAUUUUAUAGGUUAGAUAACGAUAUUAAUUUUUUUGUUUGAUCAGUUCCAAGUUUUGGUAAUGCUUCUCCAUUAAUAGGUUCAUAUUUUUCAACUUAUUGGUCCCUUAAUUUUGCGUUCGUUAUUUCUGCUAAAUUCAUCAAGUACCAAUAUUUGUUGUUAGAUUCCAAGUAAUUUGAAUUUUUCAUUGGAUCUGUUCCAAGUUUUCGUUCUACUUUCUCUCUUAAUGGUUCAUAUAUUUCAACUAAAUUAUCUCAAGUUUUACAUUAAAUAUUCCAAUUAACUCGUUGAGAUUUCAGUUAUUAAGGUUUGGUACCAGGUUUGGUUUCUAGAAAUUUAUUUUGGUUAUGUGGAUCACCAAUUUUGGUUGUUCUUUCUCCAAUUGUGGUUGCAGUAUUUCAAUUAAAUUUUCACAGGUUUUACGUUUUGGAUUUCAGUUAAUUUGCCGAAAUUUCAAUUGCAUGGGUUAAAUAUCAUUAACAUUUUUCUUGGUUUGAUUUGUCUCGGUUUGGGGUAAAUAAUUCUUACAUAUUUGUUAACAUGUUUCAACUUAUUGGUUCACUUAUUUUGCGUUUAAUAUUUCUAAUAACUUCGUUAGGUACCAAUAUAUGUUGUGAUAUUUCAAGUCAUUUUGAAUUUUUCGUUUCAAGUUCGCGUUCAACUUUCUCUUGUAAUGGUUAGUGGGUUUCAGCUAAUGUUUUCUCCUGUUGUACAUUAAAUAUUCCAAUUAAUGCGUUUAAAUUCUAGUUCCGAAGGUUAAGUACCAUGUUUGGUUUGUAGAUAUUUAUUUUGGUUACGUUGGUAACCAAUUUUGGUUGGUCUUUCUCCAUUUUUGGUUGUUGUAUUUCAAUUAUAGUUUCACAGGUUUUGCGUUCUUGGUUUCACUUAAUUCGGUAAAAUUUCAACUACGUGCGUUAAAUAUCAUUAACCUUUAUCUUGGUUUGAUUGUCUCAGUUUUUGGUUAAUAGGUUUCAUUUUUUGGUUCAUAGUUUCAACUUAUUAAUUCGGAAAUUUUGCGUUUGGUAUUCCUACUAACUUCGUCGGGUAACAAUAUAUAAUGUCAUAUUCCAAGUAAUUUGAAUUUUCCGUUGGAUCUAUUCCAAGUUUUUGUUCUAAUUUCUCUAUUAAUGGUUAAUGCAUUUCAACUAACGUUUUCUCUAGUUUUACGUUAAUUAUUCCUAUUCCCUCAUCAAAUUACCCGUUAAUAAGGUUACAUAUCAGGUUUUUUAAUGGUUAAUGCAUUUGAACUAACGUGUUCUCUAGUUUUACGUUAAUUAUUCCUAUUCCCUCGUCAAAUUACCAGUUAAUAAGGUUACAUACCAGGUUUUUUAGAAUUUUUUUUUGGUUAAGUGGGUCACUACUUUCGGUUGUGGUUUCUCCAUUUUUCGGUUGAUGUAUUUUCAAUUGUAGUUGCAAAGGUUUUGCGUUCCGUGUUCCCAGUAAAAUGAUUAAAAUUGAAUGAUGUGGGUUAAAUAUCUAAAAUAUUUUCUUGGUUCAGUUCAGUUGUCGCAGUUUUUGGUUUGCUUGUUUCAAUCAACUUAUUGGUCUACUGAUUUUGUAUUCAAUAUUCCUACUAAAUGCCUCCAAGUACCAAUAUUUGUAUUGAGAUUCCAAGUAAUUUGAAUUCUUCGUUGGAUUAAUUCUAAGCUUUCGUUCCAUUUUCUCCUAUAAGGCAACCGUGCGUGUAUAUGAAGAUUCCUGAAAGUGGGUGAAAUUGAAGAUUCCUGAAAGUGGUAACCUAGGCUUCAAGAUUUGGGAUUUUUGAGAGAAGUGGAUGAAAUGAGAAUUUGGGAGUUGAUAAUUGAGGUAAAAUGGAUGGAAAAUGGUUUCAGAAAGUGAAUUUGGAGACAAAAUGUGCAAGAAGUGCACAAUUUUCAGCGAGAGUGAGAGGGGAGAGAGACCGCUAAAAAAUUGAGGAGGAAGACAGUGGAAGGAGGGUAGCCGCUAUGUUUCGGGAAUGGGUUAUCAAAAGCGUAGCACAUGCGGCUAGCCGCGUAUUGAAGGCGGGUAGCCGCUAUGUUUCUGGAAUGGGUUACAAAAAGUGUUGUACAUGCGGCUAGCCGCGUAUGGAAGGCAGGUUGCCGCUAUGUUUCUGGCAUGCAAGUGAAUUCAAGCGAUUAGCCGCUUAACAAGAAGAGGUAAGCCACAAACUUUGUGUCCAUGAGCACUAAUUUCUGUAAUUAUACCUUGAAGGAGUAUAUUCAAUUAUUUUCGUAUAGGUCCUUUUUGAGCGUUUAAAAAUAACACGUAAGGAGAUAAAAAACUGAAAUCUUGUUGAUGUGGUCCAUAAAUCAUUAAAUACUCAUUUUGAUUAAAUAAUUUGCCUUGUAAAAUAUACAACUUUAUACAAUGAAAAUUGAUAAUUUGUUAUAGAGAUUAUGAAAGGAAGCCUUGAGCUUUUAAGAUACUAAGUCAUGCACACAGUAAAGUGUAUUAGCAUUAGGAGUAUGGAAAAGUGAAUUAUUCGAGUUGGUACCCUCUUUAUAACUCGUCGUACGCUCUUUAUAGCUCUCAUUGAUCAUUUAUGCCUUGAGCUUGAUUUUUGUUAGGGUAGAAAGUUUACCUUUAAAUAAAUAUGAGAUUAUAAAUAUACUAAAUUACCCUUUUUUCAUGUAAUUGUUAUCAUCAAAAUUAAUGAUUUCUUCGCCAUUUAGGCCAACAAUUUUAAGAGAACGAAAGAACCAACACUUAAAUUGUCAAACAAUAUUUUCUAUUCAAACUAUUUAAUAUAAAAAGCAGUAAAAAACUAAAAAUUUUAAGCCAUUUUACUUUUUUCUCCAACCCCUCUAGGCGUCAAAUGAGGCAUUUUUGGUCAAAUGAACAGAACCAAAAAUAUUUUUAAUUAUAUUUAUUUAUGAAAAAAAAUGUUAAUUUAACGUAAAAUUUAGAAGAAUUCUUAGGUUUCGAAAAACAUACAUUGUAGUCUCUGGUGUGUAGAAAACGAGCAUUUAAAAAAUGGUAAACUAUUUUACAUGUGCUUUAAAUCUAUCUAUCCAAAGGCUUAUUUGUUUAACAAGAACAUAUUGUUCUCCCCACCUGUUUUCAAAUUCUUAAACAAGGUUUUCAAGAUCAGAAACUGAAGGGGCCUUUAGUUGGACAAACCUGUAAUACUCAUUUUAUUCCACAUAACCAAUUGGUGCCGAGUUUAGUUUUUCAUUGUCCUUUCUCAUUUCCCAACAGCCAAACAACAAUCCCAAACCGUCCAGCAUUUACUCUUGCACUUAAAAAAGAAAAAACUGAAAUCAAGCAAAAAGAAAAAAUUGAAAUCAAGCAAAAAGAAAAAACUAAAAUCAAGAAAAAUAGAAAACUUGUACAGAAGCGUACACAUCAAUUGAUUAACCAUUACAUGUACAAUUUCUUGCUAAAUAAACACCCUCACAUAUACAAAAAAAUAAUAGGGCCAUCACAGUUGAUGUACGCCUGCGCAGUAAUUGUAAUCUUGCAGGAACACACAUGUUUGUAAAAUAAGCACCCUCAGCCAAAAAAUAAGAGGGCCACCCAUCAGCUAACCCAGGUUAGUGAACUCACGGAUUCUACAACAACACUAGUUGCUAUACAAAAUACCAACAAUAUGGGGUGGCAUCACAAAAAAAUUGCCAACCUUUUACCCUAAGUUGCUACAAUGCUACAAAAUGGUUUGGCAAACAAAAAAAAAAAAGACUGCACAUUCAACCUAUAACUUGCGCGCUUCUUGAAUAAGUCGACGCCUGAUCUUGUUAAGCGGAGAUUGCACCAAAUAAAGAGCUAGAAGAAGGCGAGCGUGAUCCAAGUCAUGCUGAAAUAGUUUUAAAAAAAAACCUUUUUUAAAAAGUCGAUCUUCAUCCUGCUGAUAUAAAUCCUUAUUUGUUAAUCUAAUACAGAAAAGAUAUUAUACACCAAUAAGAUACAACUCUACAAACCUGAUAAGAGUCAUGGACAACAAUACAAGGACUAUCCAUAUACUUCAUCACACAGUAGUCACAAUCAAAACCAUUUGGCUGUUGUGUUAGACCAGCUUGACAACAGAUUUGAAAAUUUAAAAAACUGAAUCGGUUACCAAAAAGAGCUCUAGCCUCUUGACGGAGAACAAAAUCCAGGGAGGCAAGCUACCAACAUCAAUAAGCAAUAAGUAUUGCAAGAUUUAAAACAUUCAAGUGUGAAAUAUACACAAAUAUAGUCAAUGAUUUUAAGAACAUACAAUUGCCAAAGACUCAUUAAUCAUUUUCUCUCUUCGACUCGGCGAUUCCAAUGAAUCCCAAAUAGUUGCAGUUGCAUGAGAAAUGUCAACAAGAAGCAUGUACCAAUGACCAUCACAAUUUAUGGGGACAUAAAUCUGCCAUGGUAUAAAGUAUUAAACAUUGAACGGACAUCAAUAAAUGCAUAAUGUUUUGUUAUCAAUCAGGUGAAAUGAAAAGAAGUUAUAACAAUAACAGUGAAAAAGAAACUAAAUUCACGUUAUGUGUUAAGCUUUUCAUAGGUAUCCAAAUGACCCAUGUAUCGAUCUCGAAAACCAGCAGCUUGUGCAAAGUUAAGGCUACUCCAAUCAGCUAGUGCAGCUUGCUUUAGAACAAAGGUUAAAUCAAAGAAAGUGGAAAAAAGGCCAGGUAACUAACUACACUAGCUUAUUUCCAUAGAAGUGUUUGAAUGAUAUAAUUUUAUGGCUAUCUUACAGAGUAAUAUGUAGGUAGGAACCAACAUCGAGGGGAAGUGACAUCUUUUUUAGCCUCUUUCAUAUUCUUAUAAUCUGCGUACAUAGUUAUAAUCUGAAACAUAAUAAAAAAUUGCAAACAAAGUGAACACGUUAGUAGGAUAUAUAUUCAUACUCAGUAAUAUAACAUUAUAGUCGUCUUUAAAAUGGACCAGUCCUAAAUAAUAAGCAUAAUAGGCAGCAAUUAUUACAUCGCCAUCAAUCCAUUCUCCUGGCAAAAGAGUACGCAUGCUGCUCCGAGUUAUACUGUUGUCUCCUAUAUCCACCACAAUUUCCCUUUUACCAUGAAAGAAUGGUGUUAUUUCAACAAAUAACAACGAGAUAAUAAUAUUUGAGCACACUUUACAAAUACACUUGUCGUAAAAGCAGUUCGUAUAUAUAAGAUCAUACAUGUUAUUCAAUUUGUCAUCAAAAAGAUAAAGAAUAAGCUGUUUUGCAUCCUCGGAAAUUGGGGAGGGAAUAGUGAAAGGACCAACGGAGAAUCGCAGUCGGCCAGAUUUACAAAUGACAUUCUUGUCUCGAGAAUGUUGAAUAUGUCCAGCCUAUGUAACGCACGAAAUACAUUUUACAUUAGUAAAUUAUACACCAAGUGCAAUAAUGGUAAACAUUUAUUGUAACGUAACUUAGACAAUUCUAUUACCACAGAAAGACAUUUAUCUAUUUCUUAUAAACACGGCAAGAAUCACAUCCAAGGUCCAGCAAAUUCAACAACAACCCCAUACAACAUAUACCCAGCACAUACCCAACUCAUUGGCCGAUUUGCGGCACAAAACGAUAGAAUAUUAUCAUAAAACCACCAUUAUAUCGCUGGAUUCAAAUAUAAGAAUAAUAGAAAUAUAAUCGUUCAAUUACAUCAUUACCCCAAAUCAGGAAUACUAGUGAGACUACAUUAAUUCAUGCCACUGGCAGCAGCACAUUCUUUAAUAAAAUCCUUCAAACAUAAAAAAUCAGCUACAUGUCAAUCUAGAAUUUAAAAGGAAAUAUACAAUAAUUUUUUGGAGAGAAGAAAUCCCUUUCCACUUAUAUUGAAGAUAAUUCAAGAAAAUGAGAAGCCCCAAUUCGCAACUCAUCAAAACAAACCCCAUUACUUGCAGUUGCUUGAUGCUAGAUAGUGCAACCUCUUUUUUUUUUUUUUUUUCCUUUUUGUGAAAAACAUAAUCUCAAGAUAAAAAAAAAAAAAAAAAAGACAAGCCCUAACAAUUAUCUUUCAAUUAUCAAUCCCUGGAAAUCAUCUCAAUAUUUCAAGUAAUAAUUUCUCAAUUGCAAAAUCAAAUUAUUGAAACUGAAAUUUCAAGUAAUAAUCAUAAACUAAACUGAAACUUCAAGCAUAUUUAAAUGACAUGAUAAGAUUUUUUAUCAUAUAUUAAAUUAGAGAGAGAGCUCACCGAAAUUGGGAGACAUAAGAGAGAGGUACAGCAAGAGAGGUGAUUCGAUCACGAGAGUGAAAAUUUGAAGCUGUGAGUGACGAACUGAAGCUGAGAGUGAUAAAUUGAAGAUGCCCUCGAGAAGUUGAGCGACGAAUUGAAGUGACAGUGACAUAUCGAGUAAGCUUGAAUAAAUGGCACUCCUUCGACUACAUCUUUGCUCUUUGCUGUGAUGGGUGGUGAAUAUUCUUGAAUAACAAGUUCAUAUCAUCCAAAAUUCUGGAUGUAGGAGAAAACAAUAGGAGGGAGAAUGCGAAGGUUUUUAUUACGAGGGAGAGAGAGACAUCACAAUCCAACGGCUGUGAUUUUUUAGUUAAGUUAAUUGAUGAAAUAAUAACUGCCAUAUCCGGUCGCCAAAAUGAGUUAUCACACAUAUUAACCAUUGGAUGUAUUUACUUCUAUCUAACGGUUGCCAUUUUUUUUAAUAAAUUAUUGAAUUAAGCUGUAUGAGAUACAUACGCUGUAUUACAAGCGGACCCCUAAACUAACAUGUGACUUAAAGAGAAAGCAAUCAACAAAAAUAAUAAAAAUAAGGUUCUUUAGCACGUUGCACACAUGAUCUGCUGAGUGACCCUGUUGAAAACGUUAUUUGGUUUAUUCACUGUUUAAGUACUAUUCAUAAAGUCUGAUAAAAUUGUGUCUCCUGUGUAAUUGUGCUCACUAUAUAAUUAGCAAAAUUGUUCAUUAAAUCAUUUGUAAAUAACCCGACCCUACCCACUAAACUCAAUAAAAAGAAAACGACAAUUAAAAUAUUUAAAAGUUGGGUUCAUUUUCAUUGUCUGGUUUGACUCUUCAACGCGUUACACGCGUUAUGCUAAAUGAUACUAUCCACGAUGUUAUUUGUUUAGCCUACGGUUUUAAACAUAUGAAAUCAUUCAUAUGGUGUCAUAAAAUUAUGCGUCGCAUGUAAUUAGGGCGCGUUUGAGAUUAAAGUGCCGUAACUUUUAUUUAAGUUACAACUGUUGUGGAAAAAAAUUGUAAUUAUGAAACAAAAGUUAGUAAUAACCAUGUGGAAAUCAACAAUAAAGGAAACAUUUUUAUGAAGCCAUAGUUCACCAAGGAAUCAAUACGUUCAAUUUUUUCCAACUUGUCUUGAAAAGCAUUCCACCUACGUGUAAAAGGGCACUGAUUAUCCUGCAAUUGUGUUCCUCUUGUUAAUACAAUUGUACAUGACAAAGGUAAAUCAUUGGCUUUUAAAGGGAACAUGCAAAGUCACCUCAAUUUUUGUGUCACUGGUUUGAUCCUGGACAUUUGAAUUUAUCAAUUGUCUUCUCUCAUCAUGCUUGACUGAUUGUUGCAAAGGCAUUUUUGUUUCAGAGGUUUUCCUUGAACGAGUGGUUCUGUAGGCAGAGUCAGUAUGUAUUGUUUCCAUGACUGAGCCAAACAAGUGUGUCACAGGUACCUAUACAGAGAAAGAGAGAAACAAGGGCAAAUUCUUAGUCAAAACUCAGAAGUUAUUUCAACCCCAACAAAAAUUUUGAAUAAAAAGGUAGCAUCAGCUUCAAUAGUAAUCAACAAAUGUAAAGCAUAGAGGUGAUUCACCUCAAAAAGUGAUCAUAGUUUGCUUUGAAAUUAGUAAUAUUUAUUAUGACAGUGGUAAACCAUCCUCAAUUAUCCAUAAUUAAGUUUAACAUAGACCAAAGGCCCCUUCACAUCAUUCAGCCAAGCAACCACUAAGCUGAAGAGGUUUAACGAAACAUCUAUGUAUAAUUAAAAAUAAGCAUAAGAUGUACGCAGCUUGUGCAUGUGAAAAAUGAGCACAAACUUCACCUAAACAACCGUGAAGAAUAAAAAAAAAGAAAAAAGAUCAGAGCAAACCAGUUAGAAUGGAAAUGUAGAAUAGAAAUACUAAAAGGAUCGUAGAAAAGCCCAGAACUUCCAUACCUCCUCCAAUUUUCUUUGGUAUAGAUCUGUUCGGUAAUAUGUAGUUGACAUCAACAGAGUUGGAUUGUAAGAAGUGAAAAGACUGCAAAACAACCGUGAAAACAGAUAAUGCUGAAGCUAACCUUGAAGAAAUAUGGAAAUUCACAGAUGUGCCAUAGACAGGGAUGGGCAAAAUCCCGGGCCAGCUCAGGGUCUUAGGCUCCAUUCGGUACUGCUGUAUUGUGGCUGUGCUUCCAAAGCAAAGCUACCAAAGUGUUUAGUAAAACACUUUCAGCUUCAUUUUGGAAGCUAAGCAAAUUCUACCCAUAGUUGUUCUAUGAAAAAUUAUUACCCUCACUAACUUACCUUUAACAAACUUCAAAGCUUUGAUUACCAAACACUCAUUUAGUUUCACUAGAUAGCUAGUGCUCCCAUUUCACAGAAGUCGCGGCUUCAAAGCCUCAACACCACAAUCCCACAAGAAGCCUUGCUGGUGGGUUAUAAAACUUAUAUUGGUAUACAAGCUUAUGUGUCAGAGACUCUAAGAUACUACUCUUAUAACAAGCACAAAGUCCUACUUUCGUGUACCUGCUCAAUGACGCAUUGUCAUACAUAUUCAGCUUUUCAAAAAAAGCAAGGGUAUAAAAUGUGAAACGAUCCACGACAGAUACUCCAACCUGAAGUUAAUAAGAGAUGUCCAUAUGUAAGAACUGCAAUUGUAGAAGCAAAAUAAAAGAUUGAAACUUCAAAAGCAGGGUAUACUAGGUCCUAUAUGUUUAAAGGAUUGGUAAACAAGAAAAUUCUAUCUUCUUAGCACUUACAUCAGAGUCCAAGUGAUGAGAAUAUGAGUUCUCCCCUUUCAUGCUACUUCCAAUAGCUAAAGCACCUGGAGAAUGAAGCUGCACAAAUUAAAAAAGGCGUUUCCUUCAGCAUCAGAAUCACUGGUUAGGUAAAUCAAAUUUUUAAAUGUAUGCUAAGUUAAAAGACUCAGAAAGUCACGUCAAUGGAUCCAAAUUUGAUUCAGAAGCUUGUUACUAAACUCAAAACUUAGAUGAUAGUGACCAGAUAUGUAAACAAAGAGGCAUCUCACAAAAGCCGAGAUGCACAACAAUUGAAAACAUAGCUUUCAUGAACAAACUUUUGGGGAUCUCAUGCGGCAGAGCAGGUGUGUUGGCCCACCAAUGAAACAGAUAACUGCUUCAGUAUAAAGACAUUUGAUUCUUAACUAAUUACGAGUAGUCACCAAUAAAAGAGCAGCUAUGAAGUGGUUCGUAAUUUAACCAUUCGAACCGAGCAACAUAGUUAAAGAUUUUUCUUCGCACUACCAUGUGCAUGUUUCUCUAGUUUAAAAAUAAUACUGCAGAAAAGUAAAGUCUAAUAAUCACUAGAAGUAACUAGUCUAAUAUUUGUGAAAAGUACAACCCAUUUACACACGCCAUACUAACCUGAGAGAAGAGUGUGGCAGCUUGGCAAGUGUCCACCAUUAUCAGCAACUCCUUGAAUCUAAUUUUGUGAUAAGACACACAAGCUCAUUAUUAAGCAGGAUCAUAAAUGUAUAAAUGUAAACGGCCACCAAAAUCUACCAUAAAUGAUUAGCAUUUCAUAUCGGCAUUUUACAUUGAGAAAUAAAUAUGUUUCAUCUAUGCACCAUCCAAAAUGGCAGAACUACAGGUCUAUAAACCCUUUUACUUUCAUUCUUAUGGUUGAAUGUUACUGUUAAAGGCAAUAGGCAUGAAAGCAGAAUACAAUCUCACCUGUGCUUUUCUUUCAUUUGCUUCACUGCAUCUGCUAGAUCAUGACUUUGGAGCUCUUCUGAGUCCUGAAAUUUUAAAAAUUCAUCUCCCCCAUGACCCGUCAUGUAUAGAAGAAUAUGGCUUCCUUCAUCACUUAAAAGACGCUUUGAUCUAGGAACAGCAGCCUCGUGACGCCCAGUCAAAACUCUUAAAAAGUUUUCAACUGUCACUUCAUAACCACGAUAGUCUACCUGAGUUAUUGAAGUUUAGUAAAAUGAGGAUCUGCUAAACUUUAAUUUCCUAGAAGCAAGGCAUGUUCAGUAAUUAUACACCCUUAAAUUUAAAUUCUUGAUUGACUGUCUCCAUAAGGUGUUCAUUGAAAGACUUAUAAGGAGACGGCACACCCUUUCAAAACCUAAAGACCUAAGCAGAGUGUCUGGAGAACACAGUACCAACCUCGACAUUAUCUCCAUACAAAUUAAGUUUGUGGUUCUCAUUAUUGAAAACUUGUGCAGGAUACUUGUUUCCAGCAUUACAAGCCAUGUCAUCUGCCAGCACAAGUAUUAUCCUCUCCUCGGGUAUUCCUAGCCGCUUAACUGUUCUGAAAAAUCAAGUUAAAGUGCACAGUCUACAAAUGAAAAGAGGAGGGAAGAGAAAAGCAAAUUACUUCACAAGACAAUGCGAAAACAACAAGCUAAUCGCUUACCUAUACAAGGAUAAUGUAUUAGCCAUAUGUCGAUAAUUGAACCUGAACAAACCAAUUCAGUGAUUAAUUCCAUUGGCAAGGACAUGGAAUCGGUUUUUAGUCCAUCAAAACAAUGCCAUUUGACGUGGCAAUAGAAGUUUAUGAAUCCAAGCAAUAGAAGCUUGAAGAAUCAAGCUCAUCAACAAUAAUGCAGUAAUAUUAGCUGAAACUCAGAAAUUACAAUCACAAGAAAGAGAAAUUGGACCAUGGGUAUUGUUCAUCAUCAACAUUGUUAAAAAUGGGGUAUAAUUUAUAAUGAAACGGGAAAGCUUGAAUUCUUCCAAAAAUUAAAUCAAAAUCGGGAAAAAAUAUAAAAACUGAAAAUAAAAUAAAAUUAAAUAAAAUAAAAAUGAAGGUAAUUUAGUUACCAGAAGCGAGAAGUGCAAACCAAGACAGCCCAAUUGUUAGUGUGCAUAGUUGUCUCAGCUGAAGCUCUGUACGAAGUCGAACUGGAGAGGAUCAAAAGCAACAGCAUCGCCGCCAAACUUUUGAAACCAAAUGAAUUGUACAUCUUGUACCGGACCAUCAUUUUCUCGCGAAUUUUAAUUUUCUGGGUGGAAAACUCAAAACUGUGAUUUAAAUUUUAUUCGUUUUUGCUGAGAAUGAAGUCUAUUGUUGCAGUUUCAGUGACGCAAACAGUGCUCCAGCCGGAUCCACGUCCCGAAGUUGAAAAUAGGAUACAAAUUUAAAUUUUAGCCCCGUUUGAUGUGGAAAUUGAAAUUGAAUAAAAUGUUUAUUUUAUAAUUUAUGAUAAAAUUUGUAUUUGGUAAAUUUUAUAAAAACUGCUCAUUUUAAUUAUUUUUUUUAAUUUUGAUAGUAGCUAUUUUUUUUUGUAGAGAAAUAUUUUUCAUAAACAUCUUAUUAAAUAAUCUAUUAUAUAUUUUUAAAAUUUUUAUUAUAAUCUUAAUAUUUUUAAAAAAUAAUUAUAUCUUAUUUUUUUCAUACACCAUAAUAUUAAGCCGUUAGAUAUCAUAUUACUACUACAAUCAAAUUACAGCUACAAUUAGUGUAUAUUCUCUCUGGUAUCAAAAUUUUAAUCUAGUAAGUUCAUAUUUUUUUAUAUUUUACUUGUAUUUCCUAUUAUAAAAUUAAAAAAAGUUUGCAUAUAAUUAUGUAAAUUUUUUUGAACUUUGAACAAUUUCACAUGAAUUAACCAUAACUUUUAAAAUUAAUUUCAUAAACAUGAUUUUUAAUAUUCAAUCUAUUUAUAUUUUUCCGUGUUUAUUACAUCAUGUUUAAUAUUAAUGUAAUGUAUAUUACUUUUUUUUAUCUAGAUUACGUAUAUAAUAAAUUUAUUAUUUAUUUCAGUUUAUGUCAUUUUACGUGUUUUUUUUUUAAAGUUAUGUCUAAACAUCAUUAAAUAUAAUAAAAAAUAAAAGAUAAUUUAAACUUACCUAUGUUUUAGUUAUUAUAUAAUAAAACAAUACAUUUAUAAUAAAAUUAAGCAAACACACGUACAUUACUUUUAAAAUUUACAGCAACUGAGACAAUGCAGCUUACUAAACACCAAGCAGCUUUUUUAAUUAGCUGCUUAUUGCAUCCGUACAGUAAAAGCAACUUAUUUAAUUAACAAUUGCAAUCCCAAAGUGGGUCUUUGUCCUCGUCCCAUCUCGUAACCCGAAAAAUAAAUUAUCUUUAAGCCACCAAAACUAUUUGAAAAUUUUUGGGCAAUGGAAAAUGCUAUUUCCACAAAAUCAAAAGAAAUUAAUUUUGCUAUGUCGGAUGGACACGGUGUUGGUUCGGUUUAGAAUUAAUCCAUAAUUUGGUUCCCCUUUUUUUUUUGGUUUUUUAAGGUUCAUUCAUUUGUAUUUUGUGAUUUUUUUUAUAUUACGUUUACUAAUUCUUAAUUGGAAUAGAUGGAAUCAGAAUGUUAAUUAAUAAUAAGAAUAGAUUUUUUUACUUUACUUAUAGGAAUUGGAAUCAAAAUGAGUUGUAUUACUACUAAUCUGUUUAUUUUGUCUUGGAAUCAAAAUAGAUUAUUACAAGUUACUAAAAUAACCUAAGUUGAUUAUUUUCAUUAUUUAUUAUAAUAAUUGUGAUUAUGAUUAUUGUCAUUCAAUAUAAUUAUUGUUAAUAAUAAUGAUAAUGACGACAAUGAUAUAUUAUUAUUAUUACUACUACUACUACUAGUACUAUUAUUAUUGUAUUACUAAUGAUAAAUAAUUUAGGACUUAUUUGCAAGUGGCAAAAAUUAAUUAGGGUAAUUUAAAAAUUAUAAAAAUUUAAUGGGGGUAAAAUAAAAAGUUUAAGGAAAGGAAACUUGAUUCUCAACAUUCCUUAAUAGUUAAUUCAAAAAACAUAUGGGCCUCAUAUAUUUCAUUCUCAUUCCCACUUCUACUUUAACAAAUAAACGCUAUCAAUCAUUCUCAUUUCAAAUUCUGAUUCAUCAAUCUUACAAAUAAACACACCUUUAAUAUGAACUGAUCAAUUUUUAUUGAUUUUUAUAACCAAACCACAUCAAAUUGAAUCGUUGGUGCUGUUUGGUCUUUUAGCGGGCAUCGAUUUUUUUUGUCCACCCUUGUCCAUGCCUAUAAAGAAGGGUUUUAUACUCCAUAUUUUUAUACUUGAAAAUGAAUAUAAUAAAAGUAAAAACAUCAUGCUUGAAUGGGUUGAAUAUCUCUAUAUUUUGUGUUUUUAUUUCUAUUUAUGUGCAAUUUGUUAUUUUGUGAAUCUCAAUUAGUAACAAAUUACCCACCAAGUAAUUUUUUUUAUUUCAUCCAUUUUCAUCUCUUUAUUAUACAUAUAUAUUCUUUAAGUAAUAUGAUGAUAAUCCGACUUCUUUCACACUAAUACGAACGAGAUUGGAACCGCAUACUUUAAUACAUACUAUCAUAAAAAAAUUUACAAAUCGAACAACUAAGCACUCACAAGUUUUUGUUUCACUUACCUUGAAUAAUAUAUCAAGUAAAUGAAAUAUAUUUUUUAAAAACCCUAAACUAUAUAUGUUGUCAUUUUCGUGAAAGAAUUGAUCAAAGCACAAUGAGGAUGCCAUUGGUGAUGCAAAAUUGCAAAUGAGAGGAGAGAUUCACACCAAACGCCUCUAUUUUGAUUAUAAGUGUUAAAAAAGAGAAUUUUCCAUCUCUUGUGCAUCGAUCAUUAGCAUUCGUCAUCACUAGUCGUUCAUGUUCGAAUUCUCUAGUGGCCUCAUUUAAUCUAAUAUACGAUAUGGAGACCAUAUAAAUUAAAUUAUUUAAUAUGAAAUUAAAGAAUGUAGGGUGUCUCCUCCCCUUGCUAUUUUUGGUUUACUAUGUAAUAAUGCUUAUGAGAUUGUAUACUCUCGUUUAGUAUUGCAUUAGCUCUUCGUGAGCCCUUCUUUAAUAAAAAAUAAAUAAAUUGUAGGGUGGGUGUAUAAUAAAGGAAGCGGGAGUUAUGUAAUAAAAAAAAAUUACUUAUUUGUAGAAUUGACUUGAAGAUAAAGGGGCAUGUGAAUGAUGUCAGGGUUGAGCUUAAAAAAAGCCCAUAGGAAUGGUCUUCAUGCCUCAAAUACCUUACGUAGCCCACUUAUAAAAUUGGGCCUUCAAAAGAGUUUCAAGUCCACUGUUGAACUUGUUCAUCUUCAUCCUGCCUUGUGACAUGUUUUGGUUUUUUUUUUUUUUGGGUUAAUCUCUCUGAUUCUUUUUAGUUUUAUUUAUUUAUUUUUAAAUAGAAUUUUAUGCUAACUAGUAUUAUGAAUAUUCCUAUUCAAAUACGUACAUGGGUAAAGUGGAAUGCUUAACACUCGGUAACAAUGAAAAUAGUAAAAUUAGUAAUCAUUUGACAAGUUUCAGUUUAUAAUCUAAUAUGUAACUUGGUGCUUAGGUUCAGAUAUUCAGAUGAAUUUAAAAUACAGAGUUAAAAGAUAAGAAAAAUACGAACUAGAAUGCACUAUUCUUGUCUUUAGUGUAUCGAAGUUUAUAUCUUCUUUUUCUUUUUUAAUCUUUCAACUCCAUCCUGAUAAUUUUAAAAUAUGAAUGUCAGCAAUUAAGCAUGACUCAUCAUAUGCUAUAUUAAUUUAAAUAUACAUUUUGCAUUAAAAAAUAAACAAUACUAAAUUCUAGUUUGUAAUCAAUCCUUCUAAUAAAAAGACUUGUUUAAUAUAGUAGUAAGUAUCCUGCAACACCAUCAUUAUGAGUUUUAAUUUGACUUUUAAGAACAGACAAAGAUCCUCUUUUAAUACUUUUUCCCCUAAUCUUUUCAAGUGAAAUAAGUGGUUAAGAUUGAAUUUUAAAAUUUGAUAUUGACAAUCAAGCCAAUUUUUUUUUACUCUAUUUAAAAAUAAAUUUAUAAAUAUUGAAGGACUAAGAGAGAGUAAAAGAGAUUGAAAAAAAAAAGAAAAAGAAAAAAGGAGAGAAUCCUAAUCCUUGAAGAAGAAACCGAAAUUCUCUAUCCUAUCAAAUAAAAUUCUAACGCAAAAUAAAGAAAAAUGAUAGGUAAAAAUUAGUGCUCUAUAAGUGAGUGGAGAAUUGAUUCUUCUUCCCUUACUUUAUAAAGAGAUGGUGCUAAUAAUAAUAUACUUAAACAAAGUUGUAGUAGGGAAUAAACACAGCAUGCUAAAGCCUAAUAAUAACUAAUAAUGGGAAGGGAUGCAGCCUGCUGUAGCAUGAAAUUGAAAUCAGCCUAAUCAGGCUAAUCAAUAGCUUGUGUGGCAGUCUUUAGCACCUUCAUUCCAUCUUUUAUUUGCUUACUUUUCCUAUGAAGAAAAAAGAGAGAAAAAAAAGGCAGAUUUUUAGCCACCAAUCAAAUUCAACACCCCCAAUACCUUUCGAGAGAAGUGGACAUCUUUAACAAUUCGGUGGCUUUUUUUUUUAAAAAAAUAUUUGAAUACACUUGAAGUAAUCUGAAUUGUAAAUAAAGUUGAAUGUCUGAAUUUAAAUAACAUAUUUUUAAAAAUUGUUAAAAAUAAGUAUUAAAAUAUUUUUUUAACUUAAAAAAUCCAAAAACUAUUAUUUUUACAUUUGUGCCCUUAGAAAUGUGAAACAAAGCCCUUAUAAAUGUGAAACAAAUAAUCACACAUAUUAAAGAAUACAAAUAAAAUAAUAUAUUAUGAACACAAAAAAUCAUACUCAAUUGAAUACAAUUCUUUAAUAUUCUUAAUUAGUACAUGUUAAUUGAUUUUAUUGUAAUUUGCGAUAUUUUUAUAUUGUUCAUAAAAAAAUAUGAAGAUAAUAAUGCUAAUAUGAAGAAAAUAAAAAGAUAAAAUAAUAAUAGUCUAUCAAUACAUCAACACAAGUUAUAGAGAUAGAUAAUAAUGUUAAUUAUUAAAUUUUAUUCAAGUAAGGAAGAAAAUUGAUUAAUUAAAUUGGGAUAUUUUGGAGAAUAUCUUUUAAUGAUUAUCAUUAAAACUUUUUAGAUUAAACAAAAAGCUAAAAAAAUUAGUUUAAUAACUUAAUGAUUUAAUGACUGAAAAUUUUUAUUAAGUUGAAAAAAUAAACGGACUUAAUGACUUAAUUGAUUGAAUUUAAGUUAAUUAAGCCAUUAAGUAAAAAAAAAAAACAAACAUGCCCCUCUUUAGCUUUGCUUUGCAUGCACUCAAAAUCUUGAUAAAAACCCCUCUUUUAAAUUUACAAUUGUAACCUCAAUGGAAAAUUAUAAAUGACAUUAAAAGACAAAGACAUGAACUCAUAUGUGCUCAAUUAUUCAUAAUCUUCUAUCACAAAUACAUGUACAUUAAUAUUUGGCUAAGAUUUAAUUAGUUUUAUAUUCUUAUCUAAUAAGUACCAAUUAUAUUUCUAAAACGUUAGCAAAAAGUUCAGUUCAAUAUUGAAUUUAAAUCCUAUUAUUAUGUGUGGCCUUUGCAGUACUUCAUAUGAGUUUUGCUUGGUCUUUUCAGGAACUAUUACCUAGUUUAUGAUUUUAUCUCUUGUUUGGUUGUCGAUGUUUUUUGAAUUUUGAUAAUAUAUGUAACUUGCAAGUAGUUUGAGGUUUUUUUUUUUUUUUCAUUUGCACAAUGAUUUUAAAAGAAUAAAAAAAUGAAAAAGGUCAAGAGGAAAAUUAGGUAUCCCAAUAUUCAAGUUCUUAUUUAAGUCUCAACUGAUAUAAUGUACAUCCAUUGAAUGAUAGUUAAAUACUUUUAAAAGUUAUGAAUUAAAUUAUUUAAUAAAUGAGUGACACAUGAUAUUUAGAUUUAAGUUGAGAUUCAAACGUUGGAAUGCCUAAUAUUAUUGAAAACUUAAUACAGUAACACUGGCCAAGUUUGAAUAUUCAUGACACUCAAGUAACAGACAAAUUGAAUACAUACCUCAAGAAGAUCCAACAAUAAUACAUGUCGUGCUCUUAUUUUAUCAUAAGUGGCUAGUAUAAUUAAUGAAAGUAGCAGUGUACCAUACAUUCUGAUUUCUCAAUCUUGAUUCUUCUUCCAGACAGCCGGCUUGUCAAGAGGAAAAGGGGAAUUUUUCAGAUUGAAGCAACGACUAACCUCUGAAUAACGUAGUAUAGGCAUAUCCUUGAGCAAAACAUUCCAAUCAAGAAUUAAGUUUGGCAUAAACUUUAAACAUAGACCCUCAAGGACCCAUGUGGUGCCAUUGCUAUCCUGAUCAGAUUCAGAACUGAUUUCGAAGUUGCUGAUGUCUCCAUCCUCAAGACACAGAUAUUGCAGGCUUGAGAGGUGCUUAAGAUUAAUCCAUUUUGGCAGAAUUUCGUGGCGGUAUCGCC
RNAcentral lists this long non-coding RNA (184365 nucleotides) under Citrus maxima (pomelo). Its description in RNAcentral is "long non-coding RNA (CMAX_LNC003410)". The stretch from base 133224 to 133360 matches the Rfam family "Small nucleolar RNA Z247". The record is from RNAcentral. Lineage: Eukaryota; Viridiplantae; Streptophyta; Magnoliopsida; Sapindales; Rutaceae.